AGCCAAGUGAAGGUGCAGAAGGAAGAAUUUCGGGCAAUGUUCUUGCUGGUGACAAAGACUCCCUUUCAUUUGGUCGAACACCAGAGGAAAUUCUACGAAUUGUGUAUGGAAGUGGGAAUGAGAGUAAACCCGGUGGAUUUUACCCCAAAGGAGCUGAAGGUCGAAUAGCCCAGUCACAUCUUAGAUUGAACGAGGCAUUAUUGAACUUCAAUUGAUGAUUAGAACUGCUGAGUCUAGUAGUUUUCUUAUGGUAUUGAUGAUCAAGUAGUUCUUUUUAGUUUAACUUUCAAUGUAUUAGUAAUUUAUCUACAUCCCAAAUAAGUUUCUUUCCACUGUAAUUUCUAAGGAUAUAUUGUGAUAUUGAAUAAGAUUUGGCUUGUUCUUAGUGUUUUGGAUUACCAAAACUACAUCAAAAUAUUAUUCAAUGACGAUGCAUCUGAGGGUUGUCAAUCUAUAUUUAUGAGUAUCUAACAAUUGAGGCAUAAAGAUGACAAAAAUACUAAAAAAGAAAAAUUUCCAUGUCUUCUUUUUAGUCAUCCUAAUGAUCAAAAGUAGGAAAAUAUAUGUCCAAAAGAUCAUUCUUCAUUCUUCAUUCUUUUUAUAAGAUGAUAGAAUAUAAUAAAGAUUUUGAAAGUACAAGUCAAAGUGUUGCUAUUGAAAUUCAUUGUUCGUUUUGCACUUUCAUGAAGAGAAUAUUGUCUAAAGCUAAAUUUUACGGUUUCAAUUACUAUAAACAAUAAAUAGAUUAGGGAGUACAAAUUGACGAAAAGAGAAACUAUCAAUCAAGAAUUGAACAUUUAAUGAAUUAACAAUUUCUGUUAACACAAUAACACUUGAAAAGAGUAAUACAAUGCUACCUAGAAAAUAAUAAGGCUCAGAAGUAAGUUAUGAAGGUCGAAACAAAAAUUUAAAAAGAAGUAAAAAUUUAAGUAUUCAUAAGGAUUAAGGCCAAAAGCUAGAGGGAGGCUUUCCAAAAAAAAAAAAAAAAUUCUAGGGAAUGGAGGGAGGAUUAAAAUUUCGGAAGAGCAAAGAAAAGGGCCUUUGAUGUUUUAAAAAAAAGGGCCUUACAAAAGAAAAUGAAGAAGUAAUGAUAUCGUGUCGGGUCUUGAUUCAAUAGUAUUUAUGCAAUCAGGGGAAAUCCAGUAUGAUUUGCUUGCGGGAACAAAUGGGGACAGUAAAAACUUACACAAAGUACUAUAUCCUAAGAAGUAUAAAGGCGGGAAUGGAGUUAGGAACAGUGGUUUUGGUCCCUCAUUGGCAUCCUGAGUGUGUGGGCUUUUUGAUCAUUUUACAGUGAUUUUCAAAGAGUGAAGCGGUGCCAUUGGAGACAUUUGUGGCUAGAAUUUGUUUGUAGACUGUAUACUGACCAUUAUAUCCUUAGGUACCAAUUUUGCCCCCGAGUGACUAAUUGGUUAUCAAAGCCAAGGUUGGCUUUUUUGUCUGAUCGCCCAGCUUCUUGAAUUGUCUUCACAGAGCAAACGGUGUGCUGCGCUUUUUCCUAUGCGGUGGCUUCCUAUUGCGUGGUUUUGUGACUUUUGUCUGCUACGUUUCAUCAACUUUCCCUUUUCAUUAGGUACCAAUUUUGCACUUUUGCCUAUCAAAUGCUACAGAUUAGUGCAGAUGAUAUACUACCGAUGGCACAAAAGGUAAUAUUGUUACAGUAAAAAAAUUUCCCAGUCAAUUUUAUAACUUCAAUCAAUUGUCGAAAUAAAAUCUGUCACAGAAUCAACAACCAGAUGUGCUUUAUGUCAGCAAAAGACUUGGAAAAGAAAUCUACUGCCUCCAAGUGAGGAAAUGUACUCAUCCUCUCGGAAAUAAUAUAGUAACAAUGUACAACAAAACAGCAUGCCUACCAACUGAAGUAGCACUACUGCCAGUUCCAGCAAAUCAACAAGAACCCACCUGCACGCUACAACACCCCAGCCAAGUGACCAAAGACAAACUAUAUCAACAUUCGACCAUCACGAUCACAUUGUAGAGAUCAACUUUUGCGGUUUUGCCUAGCUAAUGUGUAUAGUAUGCACUUUAUGAUGCUUUUGUCAAACUUAAAGCCUCAUGUCCAUCCACUGUAUUUCUAACAGCUAGAAGAAUCCUUUUGCCGAGGCUAAUUAGCUCUUGCUAACUUUUGAUGGCCGACUGAGAAUACUUACUAAUGGCCAUAUAUAAAUUUAUCUCAUGUAUGAAUGUAAAAAUAUAAAUAAUUAUAAGAGCAUCCCUGAAAAUUCUUGAAAACUCAAUCCCUGAAAAUCUGAGCACCCUCGAGCCUCGCGCGAGGCCCAGGCCAACUAGUAUAUAUAUAUAUAUAUAUAUAUAUAUAUAGUUUAAACUUGCACAAACUACUUGAAUAUAGAAAAGGAUAAUGUACCCAUGAUUUUCAAAAUGCCAAGAAAGCGGCAGGACCAAAAGGGCUUUUCCAUCAAAUGCAGUGUUUGCUCUUUAAAGUAAUUUCUGCAAAUCAAUUCAUGACAAAUAAAUGACAAAAUAACACUUUGAGACGAAUAUCCUGAGAGAUUUCGGAAAAUUAAGAACAAAAUAUGUAACAGACAGACAAUUAAAUAUGCCAUGGUAGCUGUACGCGAAGUACUAAAUAUUUGCUUCAAAGACCAAACUUAGCUGUGGUAAGAAUAAUAACCUAAAUCCCAAUUGAACUCUAAAACCUUUUUAUUUUUGGCAAGCUCUUUAGUCCGGAGAUGUCAGCUCCAAAUUUAUUAAAUAUUAAAAUUAAAAAUAUACGAGUGGACUAUAAAAUCAAAAAGUUUCCUUAAUUGAACUCUAAAAUCUUUUACUUUCAAAUUUUUAAAAUAAGGUCUGCAAUCUUCUUUAAGUCAGAAAAAAAAAAAAGAAUCGAGCAAGCUUUGGUAAGAACAAGAACCAAAUGUUAGGUAAUAUAAAAUCCCCAAUUUAACUUGAAAACAUUUUUUAUAUAUUUUUUAUACGAAUUAUAGGGAAGAAAAAAAGAAAUCGUGCAAGAAGAUUCUAAAUCUCCUUAUAUCUUGAUAUAUUAAAUGAAAUAAUUUAUCUUUUUCAGUUCAAGUGUAUGAUGCCAUUUGUGCACCCUAUCAAGUGUGUUGGCCUUGGGGGCAGGUUUUGCAUACCAUUCGUGUGUUUGUCUCCAUGCAUAAAAGAAAAUUUGUUGUUAGUCUAACCUCAAGAAAAAGUCAGAGAUUCCAGUAUAAUCAAAAAGCGGAUAGACUUCAUUAACUUCAUGUCACUAAAUUGCCAUCUUGACACCCUUAGAUAACCUUUGACUAUUUUAUUAUUUAAAGUUUGGAAAAUCAGAAAAUAAUACUAUACAUUUAAGUUUUAUACUUUUCUAGCUCCUCGCUUUUAAAAUGAUGCAUUUUCGUCUCCUAUACACGAGAUUUUGUACUGAUAGUCCAGCACUUUUCAGAUUGUUUAGUUUGGCCCCCACAUAUGAAAAAAGUGCACCGUUUUCAUCCCAAAGAUCAUUCUUUGUCACAUUUUCACGUCAAAUUCUAAUUUUGUCAUAAACCAAAUCAAACUCAAAACAUAGUCUUUUUUUUUCCUUGAGGUACCAAAGCUCAUGCUUUGAAUUUUGCAAUAAUAUAAUGAAAAGCUGAGAGUUUUUUACCUCAACUAAUAUCUUUUCUAGAUGCCUAAAAUAGGUAAAAUUUAAUUUAGAGGUGUUUUUAGGAUACAAUAAAUGGUUUUUUCAUUAUAGUGCAAUUUUUUGUGAACUUAAAGAGUUUUGUAAACAAUUUUAAAUUUUUUUCAAUCUUUUAAAAAUUUUCAUCAAAUAUGUACCACUCUCAUUGUGAUAGUUUUGUCUUGCUUGGCUUCAAAUUGUACCAAUAGUAAUUUUUAACAAUAUUUUAUGAAAUUUACAAAUAUAAUAAUCACAAAUUUUGUCAAAUCUGUUUAGCUAUUUCUAGUGAAAAUUUGAUUGAAAAUAAAAUUUGGGACAAAAAUUGUGUGUUUUUGAAUAUGUGAGGGACCAAACUCAUCAUUUUAAAAGUGAGAGAUUAAAAAAAUAUAGACCUCAAAUGGAACGGAUCAAAAUGUAUCAAAAUAUGAGGGACUAUUUUUGCAAUUUUCCCUUAAACUUUCAUCUUAUUUCUGCUUUUUGUUUCACAUUUUUUCAUAAAUACUUUAGUCCCAUCAAUAGGCUUGACAAAAAAAAAAUUAACAAAUAAAUACAAGUCAGAAAAACGAAAUUAGUUCUUAGAGCAGAUUAGGACUUGUUACAAUUGUAAUGCUCUCAGGCCCAUAUAAAGCCACAUCGGGUAGAAUACAUAGGCCCGUUUGUUUUUGCGCUGUUUUUUUUUUUUUACAUAAAAAAGUACUUUUAGAUGUUAAAAAUACUUUUAACGUGUUUGGUGAAUAUCUGUUGGAAUGUAUGCCCUAAAACUAUGAUUUUGUUUAAUACAUUCCUUAUUAUGUUUUGUAUUUUAAUAACUUCUUCUUUAUCUAUUAAAUGCUAGAUAUAACUGAUAAAGUCCUUAGAAUACUUACUAAUGUGAUGGUGGUCACAAGUAUUAAUGACUAUGAGAUAUCAAUCACAUUUAUAGUAAUAUUCUUAAAUUUCUCUAGUCAUAGUACUAAUGAGAUAGGACAUCAUUAGUACGGAAUGACUAGUACACAACUAGUUUCUACUUAAUGUAUGUAGUGGUUGUUCUCAUCAACCAUGGUAUAUAGAUACCUAGGUUAAUGUGUAGAUGAUUUGUAAAAUACAAAUACAUUGGAAUGAUCCGCAUAGAGAUCCCAUUAGGAUAUCUAUCUAGUGCCAAUGAUCGUAUCUCUUGUGGUAAUUUAUGUAAAUGAUCCUAUGACUUGAGAUCACCAUAGUAUCUUGAGUGUGAAUCACUACAUUUUGACUCUAUUGCUUGUUACUUACUGAAAGUGACUUAGAGAAUAGAGAUUGGGUGUAGUGUGAAGCACGGAAAGGUAAUGAGUGAUCAAGAAAGGAUUCAUCACUCCGAUAGUAGGAGUUGAUAUCCAGAUGGCCACUAGUGGGAAAUUAACCCUAAAAGGUCUAUUACAUUAGGUUAAUUGAAGAAUAUUUUCAAGUUAACCUAAUCUAGGGUUAAUUCUGGAAACUAGUAAAUUUAAUUAGCCAUUAAGGAAUUGGCACUUAUUCCUCAUUCCUUGACUAAUUGGAUAUCGGUGGUGAAAGGAUAAUAAUUACAUGGUAACUUCUCAUGGAAAGGUUAGGUCAAAAUUCCCUUGACUAAUUCCGGGUACUUGGGUGGUCAUGAUGUGUUGCUAGACACCACUCAUGAUUUGUAAUUAUGAAUUAAUUAAUUAUUGUAAUUAAUGAUAAAAUAAAGUUGUUUAUUUUAUCUAAUUCUUUUUGGGAAUUAUAAGUCAUAAUUAUUGCCAAUGUAUUUGGAGCCUAUUGGAUCACACGCAUUACAGUUUUGAUUCUAGAUUAAAAUUAUAUGUCCGAGUGAAGACUUGGAAAUAAAAUAUAAGAUACUUUCGAGAUUUAAUUACAAAUAAAAUAAAUUCCAGGCCUAUUUGAGCAGAUAGGAGAAAAUAUUUAUCUCCUAUCUAUCAGAUAGCUGAAGGAUAGAGUUUAUUAUUGGAUAAAAACCUAUCUCUUCCUUUUUCUUUCUAUGAAUCCGAUCUCUAUUAGAACAAUGAAAAACCUAUGACUCUCUCAAGGAAAAAAUAGGGUUUUGGCAUACAUAGAGAGUGGAGAAAAAAAGUAUGUGAGACAUACAUAGAGAGAAAAAUAUAGACAAGGAAAGGUGAAAAGAAAGGCCGGCAACUUUCAUCCCUUUCACACAUAUAUCGUAGAGACGAUCCAAAUAUCACUCUUGCGUGGAUUUCGGUAGAGGCAGGACAUCUGGACUACUCAAGGGGUUGUUCGUCUUCUCCAAUUUGGCAGAGGAACGUCACACGAAUUAAGAUAAUCCGUUUUCCCCUUUCUUCUUGAACCAUACGCAAAAUCUAGGGUGAUCCUGAGUGGGUUUUUGGGAAAAUUUUUAAUUAUUUCCGUUGCCUUUCUGUCCCAAAAACCUAUCAAUAUCAUCCCACAAAAUUAGAAGUGAAGAUUUUGGUGUUAAAAGCACUUUUAGCAAAAUCUCAAAUUUGGUGCUUUUAGAGUAGCUUUUGUACUUUAAAAAAUUAAAUAUUAAAUUUAACCAUUUUAUCCUAUAUUAUAAACUAAAUAAAGAGAUACAUACAUUUUAAAAUUUUUAAAUCACACAUUAUCUAAUAUAAUAAGUACUUAUUGAACUAUAUCUCUAAAUAAUGACUUAAAAUCACUUACACACUUAAUAAGUACUUUUAUUAAAAAUUCUAUUAAAAAAGUAUUUUUUAAUAAACUACUGUAAUCCCAAACUGGCCCAUAAUAUGCAGAAUUGCAUAGACAACUCCUAAUUUGGAUGACGUAUUAGUGUACUUUCCACAUUUCUACUCUUAAAACAUUCUAAAUUUCUUUUCUUUGACUUUAUAUAUGAAUUUCAUUCUAGUUGGUCUUUGGUUGAAAUCAUUUGAUAUAUGAAUUUCAUUAUAGUUGGUCUUUGGUUGAAAUGAUUUUAUAUCUGAAUUUCAUUAUAGUUGGUCUUUGGUUGAAUGAAAUAGUCAGGGUCUUAUCAAAAGAAGAUCGUGAGCUAUUUGCUAUCCUUUGUCAUGCCAUUUGGUUAAAUCAUAAUGAGGCACUUUUGAAAGGUAAGCUUCAUGAUCCUAUGAUGAGCUUUGCAACUAAUUAUCGUCAAGCCUAUUGUGCAGCUAACCUUAAUGAUAGUAACUCCUCCCUCAAAGUGUUGCUCAAACGUGAUUAGCUCCCCCACUUCAAUCACUAUCAAAUCGCAAUCAUGAGGGACAGUUUGUUGCAAGGUUAUCCAAACGUUUUGAAGGUCUGGUGACAGUUGACAUAGAUGAGGCGAUUGCAGCUCGUGAAGGGUAUCCAAUUGGUUUGAAAAAAAAAAUGUAAUUAAGGAUUCCAAUUGUAUCCUUAAGGGUGAUGCAUUUAAUGUUAUUAACCACUUGCAUGAUGAAGAAAAGGUGUUGUCAGAUAGUGAUCCUAUAAAUGAGGAUAUCUGGCUAUCCAUGCUAGAAGCAAAUACUGUUGAUGUAAAAUGAGUUUCCAAGGACGCCAUAAGGUGGCACAUGAUUUAGUUUUUUGUACUAAAAUUUCUAAUCUUAUGGAAUCCCCAUGGAAUUCUCCAUCCAACUCUGUUAAGCAAUUCAUAUUGGAUGAAUUUCAGUAAUUUAGUUAAUAAUAUUUUCUAUUUUUAUCAAAAAAAGAAUUUCACUUUCGUUGGUGAGGUACUACUUGACCAUUAUCAGAGAGUGUGACGGCCCCACCUCCCCCUAGGGCGUACCCCAGAGCUUGGCGGGUCGUCUGCCCAUCCCUCGUCAGGACUCACUCAUGCACCUCAAGCAAAAGAAAAUAAGACCACAAGAACAAGGGUAACAAUAAUUCCAAACUUAAAACAUAUACUUAUAUACAUGUCUAUCUAAAAGGAAUACAACUCAAAUAUACAAAGGUUCUCUAUUCUUCACGUCCAACCCUUGCUAAGCGAUAGGGCGAGAACUAUUACAAAAUUCAAAAGAACUGGACUAAACUAGUCUAUACGGAUCUCUCGUCCUUGCUCGCAUUGUGACGCCCCCGCUUCUCCCAAGGGCGAACCCUAGGGUAUCGGCGGGACGCCUGCCUAGCUCGCGCCAGGACUCGAAACACAAAGCUAAUAAAACUAUAUUAAACCAAAAGAGUUCUAUUUACAUCUUCAAAAGUAUAUCUAUUCAGACCACCAUAUUACAUUAUAAUAACAAUCAGCAGAAGGUGGACCCUAAGGUGGGUCCUUAUACAAACCACCAAAACAAAAAGGAACAUCUUAACCGACCAACUAUUACAACUAACCCUAACUAUACUAGUGGCAGUGUCCAAAAGUUUCCCCGUGUCGCCCCCUGCUAAGGAAAACAAAGGAAACGGGGUAAGCUAUAUGCUUAGUAAGUACACGGGGGUAAACACGUAAAUGUCAUAUUAAAAUAAACAACUAUUUCACAAAAUGCCAAGUCAAGUGCAAAAGUAACAAUACAAAGGGAGGAUACAGGUUGGCUUCAAAGCCAAAUCGUUUGCCAUGCGUGACCUCCUGUCGACACUCCGUCGACCACGAAUAAGGUCCGUAGAACUCCACUUGUACACCCACCUAACACCUUAUCACCCUCACUGGCCAGUCACCUCACGAACUUGCUCGAGCGAACGAAAUCACAAACUUGAGCUUGAAUCACAAGCUCGGGUCACAAACUUGGUUCAUAACUUGAACCUACGAACUUGGUGACCUCAGACUAGGUUGGACUAGCUUCGACCAAGCCCCGGCCGGCUCGAAUAGUCCAUCUAGAUCUUGAGAUCGGGCCCACAACUUCAACAUAUUUCACGAACUCACGAAAGUCACCCCGAGCUCCAAGCUCAAGGGGUUCAAACCCAAAAUUAUUCAUUUAGACAUGUCCUGUAUAAAUAUGCACGUAAAUUAGGGUUUAGGUCGAGUGCGAUGAAGUACACCCUCGCCUAGGUACCCUUUCAUUCACCUUAAACACAUAAACAAGUUAUAUACAAAAUGGCCCGAAUACUUACCCAAAACACAAAAGUAGUACAAGAGUGGAAAUCACUUCGUGCGUUUUAACUAGUAGUAGGCCCCACCGGCUCCGCCUAUUUCACCACGGUCUCAAGAUGAAGGUUGUAUGAUGGCUAAUGAACUCAACCCAACUCCAAGAUGGAUUCUUUAUGCUUCAAGAUGAAGAUCUAUAGCAGAAAUUUGGUUGAACUUUGCCAACUUCCCUUAGUUUUUUUUCCUCAAGGUGGCCGGCCCUCUCUCUCUCUUUUCUUUCUUACUUGUUUUGUUUUUUUUUUUAUGGAAAUCCUAUGAUAUAUACAAGAUGGUCAAAGCCUUGAAAGAUAUUUCUAUUUCCACCAAUCACACAAAAGCUUCAUUUUUGCUCUCAAGCCCUUACACCUUCAACUUUGCAUUUGAUCAACUCUUGCCCUUAAACAUUUGAUAAUCUUUCAAUUAACUCCAUAGGUUAUAACUUAAUCUAAUCUAAAACACUUAACCACACUUAAUUACUUCACUAAUCACCCUCCUAUUUUAAUCACCUCUACUUAAUCAUACUUAAUCCCACAUAAAAGCAAUUAAACAACAACCUUUUGUCAUGGGUAGUAUUAAGGGUUUUAAACCCAACUUAAAAUUCUAACAAAUCAUAACACUAGAAACUUUUCUAGUUUAGGGUUUUCUAACUUUUAAACUCACUUAACCUAUAUAAAAUGGAUCAAAUCCUAUACUUCCCCGCACUAAAACACACACUAGCAUAACUAACUUAAUCACCACUCGAACUUAUAAUUAAUACAAAAAAAACUAGGGUUUCAAUCCUAACCCCAACUUAGGGUUUUCGAAGUAGUCCCAAAACCAAAUGUUACCGCACAAAUAAUGAAUAUAACCCUAAUAUCAAACUUAAGAACUGACCGGGGUCUCACACGCAUCCCCUGUAAAGAAAACAAAACUAAAGGAAUGAGCUAGAAGCUCAGUAAGGUUCCAAACACAUAGACAAACAAUAAGAUCAAUGCAUUAACCAUAGAUGACAAAUAAUUCAAGAAACAUUUACAAUGGAAAGCGAUAAUAACACAUUCAUUAAAAGGAUAUGGGCUCACAGGGAGCCAUUCAUUCAUUCGUUUAUUCAUUCUCCUUUCAUUCCCUUAUUCCUCCAAUCAUUUAAAAAUGCAUUUUGAUAAGUAAAACUCCUCAUUUGUAUUGACAUUCGUUCGUUCAUUUCAUUCACCCCCUCCGGGACGUUGGCCAGGCUCCACCCGACAACAAGGUAAUACUCGAGUAUACCAAACGUUCACCCAGGGUCACCAAAUCGCCCGACUGAGUCCGCUUCUGGCUCGAGUAUACCGGCAGCGAAGGGCAAGGGCCCAGUUCAGCCAAACGGCUUACAUUCAUGCGCAACUAGCAUUUAGUUAUUUAAUCAUUGAAAAUUUCACAUUCAUUUAGGUCGAGUGCGAUAAAGUACACACUCGCCUAGAAAACUCAUUUUAAACAAUCAGUGAAAAUAUUUAACAUGUUGUCAUUCGUUCAUGACAAGUCAUAUAAUCAAGAACAAGCCACAUAGUCAAUGAAAAUAUAACAAACAAGGAACACUCACCUAUUUAAGCAAAAUAACGUCCAAAGUUUCCUUCCGGAUAAUACUCUCAAUCACCAAGGAACCCUAAUAAUAACCAAGGGAAAAUAUUACGGUUAAACCAUCCAAAGAUUAGGUGAAUCAGAGAAAAUCCGAGUAACUAUUAGUACAAAGGAUAAAUAAUGUUUUGGAAGUGAAAAGAAUACAUUUAAACAAAGGACAUGAGUAAACUAUUUGUAUUUAUUAGUCGUAAAUUUCAUUUUUCCAAGGGUAUAAGGUUUGGCCGAAAUCCAACUUAUGUGCCUUGAUAAAAGAGGUUGCAAAUAUCCUAGAUGGUUCAAGUGGUAUUCGCUCUCAAACCUUAUUCAAGUCGCAAGUAUCUACCUAGUCCUCGAGCGUAAAUUUGGGCAGCACGCCCUUUGUAUUUACCUAUUUUCCAGCCUUUUAUGGCUUCGUUCUUUUCCUCAAUCAGUCCCAAAGUUAUACACAAAAUAAUCUCAUUUCAAUAGCUAUUCACUAGGCUCAAAGUCAUACAAGUACAAAAUCAAGCUAAGGACAUGUGCGGAAAUGAAGUUAAGUUGAAAACAAAAGACAGAUUUGACGUUGUUUUGCGUAACGGACACAACCGAAGCUACGCAUAUCGGAUUCAGGUAUAAUUUAUACUGUUUCAAAGCUAAGGCAGAGAGUUACAACUUUUAUGAAGACCACUUAGUCCAGUUUACAAUGUAUCCAAGUCAAAUUCACAAAUUACAGUACCAAAUUCCUACCGACAGGCCAGUUAACCGUAAUAUGUUUCAAUCACCAUAAUUCUGGAUACCGAAGUCCGAUUGAGGUGUUCGCAGUGGAGUUGGAAAGCUAAAAUAUAGGGGUAAAAGUUUCAUGUUUUGGCCAAAGACUGGUUUGGUACGGAUCAAGGUGAAAAAUACAGCCAACAUGAGGAAAUGUCAAAACUGUCUGCUGGACUCUACCUAGGGCAGUCUCAGAGGUAAUUUUGUCUUUUCACGAGCUACAGGGCUCCGAUUGAGCUGAAAUUUCGUUGAAAACUAUAAAACAUCAUUCCUUACAACUUUCAUAUUUUUUACUAAGGCUGAUUCGGUCUCUAACAUACUCAAAUAGAAACGGGCAGAACUGAACCAUAAGAAAUCUCAAUUCUGGAAUUUCAAGAAUUUAAUGUGCAACUUCACAUUUCUAGCUUAAAACCACUACUACUACCUCCUAUACAAGCCUACAUAGACCAUAUACCAUCCAAACAACCAUCAUUCCAACAACGAAAGCUGAAUUUUUUUACACUGUAGAGCUGGAAUUUACCAAAACUAAUACUAAAACCAUGAAAGUUACCUAACAAGCCAUAACUUUCACUUGUAAACCAAUAAGUAGCACAACCAUGAAAUAAUAUCAUCCUUACCUAGAAUUGGAGAAGCACAACAGCCCCUAGGAAGCUUGAACCACCAAAACUCUCCACUCCAAGAUGAUAAUCCACCCUCCUAAGCAACUUCUAUGGAUUAUUUGGUGAAUCUAUCUGUUAUUUUUGCAAGAUUGAGCCAGAAAGCAAGCUUGAAUGAAGUGGUUUCUUUCUCUCUUUUUCCUCUCUAAAUUUCGUGCACAAUGAAGCUUAGAAGAUAGAAAUUGAGCUCCAAGAAAGAGAUAAGAAGCAUAGACUUGAGUUGGUCAACAAUGGGUGGAUGCUUGCCAAGUGUCAUCACAAGAUUACAUCUCACUUUUUUUUUCUUUCUUCCUUUUCUUUAGUCAACAAAGAUGGCUGGAUUAAGGGGUAAUUUAGGGCUGGUUAGUCAAGUAAACAUAAAGGGAUUAAGGUAAUAAAGUGAUGGUCAAGUGGUGUAUUCCAUCGGUAACAAACGGUACCUGUCGUUCAACCCGUUUUUUCGUAUUUCGCACGUACUAGGGUUUUCACUUAUAAUUCACUAUCUUAUAGUUAUUACUUCUAUUCACACACUUAAUAUCAUCUAAAACUUACCCUUAAUCACCAAAUUUAGUACACAUUUUGUACCGGUUACUCAUACUACGAAAAGACGUAAAACCCUAAUUCAUGCUAACUUAAAAACGAAUGGUGAAACCCUACUUUUUAGGUUCAUUUGCACUUAUUGUGGGGUGAUUGAGUAGUAAGGCUACUAUAAAGUAAUAAUUUCCAAAUAAAAGGGAAUUUUUAAGAAGAAUAUAAGGAAUUUUAUGAGUCCUCACACUCUCUCCCCCUUAAAGAAAUUUCGUUCUCGAAAUUUUUACCUUCAGUUGCCUCAGAUGUCUCCGGAGCUUGUUGGUUGUCUAAGGCAUAUACCUUUGUCGGUACUUUUGUUCGGUUCCCUCUUUCAUUUACUUGUUUUGAUUUGGUUCCAUCCAGUGGUUGAGUACUACCCUCUCGGAUAGUUAUUCACUUGAUGAUCACCACUUCCACAAAUCAAACACUUCCGCCCUUUUCGCAAGCAAUCAUUCUCCGUGUGGUUUGCCUUCCCACAGUAUCCACAAGCCAGGUGAGACGCCACUUUUUGGCUUUCUUGAGAAAUUUCCCCAUGACCUAUUUGACUUUCUUUGGUAGAUCUUUCAUCUAGUGCUCCUAAUAUCCACGGUGGACGGGGUACAUGGCUCACUUUUUGUACUUUCAAAGGCGUUAUCUUUCCGCUGGAGUCCUCAGAUACACCACCAGAUGCACCCCUUUUCCAUGUUUGGGAUGCUUUUACCUGUGCCUUGGCAUCCUCAAUCCUUUCAGCUUUCUCAAGAGCCUCCGUAAAAGUAUUGACUUGCACCGCCGCUAAUGCUUCUUGGAUUUCCAAAUUCAAUCCUUGUAUGAACCGUCUCACUCUCCUCCGUUCCGUGGCCACCAAUUCAGAAGCAAACUUGGAUAGUUUCGUAAAUUUCAUUUCAUAUUCGGCCACACUCUGGGAUCCCUGGUGUAACCCAAUAAACUCAUCCUCCCUCCUUUCUUGGACUAAAGGUGGGAGGUACUUCUCGUUAAAUUCCCUUAAGAAGUUAGCCCAGGUCCAUACAGUUUGUUCUCUCUCCCACUUUGCUUUAAUCACGUUCCACCACGCUCGGGCCGGUCCUUCAAAUUGAAAUACCGCAAAGUUUACUUGUCUUUGUUCGGUAUAGUUCAAAGCUGCAAAAAUAUUGAUCAUAGCCUCAAGGCACUGUUCAGCCACAUCCGGAUCAGGCCCUCCCAGGAAUUUCGGAGGUAGAAAUUUUGAAACCUCUAAAGAGUCCUAUCCUCCCCUAUUUCAGGAUUUCGGGGUUGAUUCACCGGCAUUUGACCUUGUUGGUCUACAAGUCAUGCCAGGAUAUUUGUCAUUUGUUGUAUCGCCGUAGCUGUUUGAUCUCCGGCCUCAACUCUUGGUCCAGGUUCUUGCUCGACCAUUGUUUCUCUUUUGCCUCUUGGUUCUGGAACUCGCUUAGUUCCACGGCCACGGCCACGACCACGUCCACGACCACGACCACGUCUCCCUUCCUUACCCUUGUCUCUCUCUCUCUCUCUUUUUUUUCCCAAAAGUUGAUUUAAUAUGUAAUCAAAAUAAGUCGACUAAAAUAACAAGAUAUAACACAGCAAUUUCACAUCAAAUUCACAAAGAGACAUAUUCACGAUGGACCAUAUCAUAUACACGUAGAGACAUAUCAGGUUAGACAUGAUCAAGUGCAGCAAGUACAAUACUUAGAGGUAUUCACAUAUCAUAAGCAAAGUGCAAGGGCAAAACGAGGAAAACACGACACGUUGUCCCACACUCAGUUCUAAUAACCCACAUUCGGUCUCUCACAUUACUAUCUAUCCAAACUAGAUGUCUGUUGACUUCAGGUACUCAUUCUAGCCAGAUAUUAGCCUAUUCAAGUUUCCUCAAAAUGAAAGUCUCAAGUACUGAGUAUCGCCCUCAACUUUGGAGUACUCGGGCACGAGAAUCCGAAAUAAUAUGAUUCACAUCUCGAGCUGGCCAGUUCCAAAAGUAAAUGAUCUACAAUCGAGAUUCCUACCUGACGUACCUAUCUAUUGUCCUCAACUACCAUGAUGACGAUUUAAGGCUAUAACACUCCAUGAUUCAUACCUUGUAAGGCCUGGUGCAACCCAAUGAGUACAAACAAUUUCACAAUGAUGCACAAAGAUAUAUCAAAUUUAAGCACAAUAAAGAAACUUAAUUAAAGAGAAAAGAUAAGAAAUGCAAACCAAAUAUCAAUCCAAUAGCCUCUUCAAUAGAUGGCGAUGCUAACCAAGAUGUACAAGUGAAGGCUCACUCCUUCCUCACCCCAAACACACUUUGGUUGAGCCAAGGAGUUUUACAACUAUUCUAGUUAACCCUCAACAACCCACACUUGAAAGAUCACUCACCCAAAUAAGAACUAUUUUAUACAAAUGAGGCAAACUUCACCAAGGUUUUACCACUCCAAGUGAUAGGUUCACCUUCACCAAGGUUUUACUCCUCCUAGAGAGUAACCUUCACUUCAGCAACCUCACAACCCAACUUUCCCAACCCCUUAUACAACCAACAAAGAAUCUUUCUAUUCAAAAAUCUCACUUGUAAGCUUGUAUUUUGUGUUGGCAAAAGUCCCUUGUCUUCUUGUGCUUUGGGGUAUUUAUAGAAGGUGAGAAAUGGCUUCAAAAGGCUCUCUAACGGUCAAAUAUUAAAUGCUGUCAAAACUAGCCGUUGGCCUGUCGGACGUCCGAACCACCUGUCGCACGUCCGAACCCUGCGUCCAAACCACCUGUCGGACGUCCGAACCCUGCGUCCGAACGUUGACAGAGAGUCAUCAAAUCUUUGCGAAAUUUCUCGGACGUCCGAUGCGAUCGAUGUGCGUCCGAGGCGUGCGUCCGAUCCUUCCGGACGUCCGAUGCUUCCUCACGAGCGUCCGACAGAGUUUCCUUCUUGAUGUUCUUCAUCCUUUCGGACGUCCGAUAGCGUCCGACAUGAGUGCCCUGUUUUUGCUUCUUCUUUUAUGCCACAAGAAUCUGUUCUAACAAAUUACUCACAUAAAAACAUUAACCCAAAUCUACAUAUUGGUUUGUUAAUCAUCAAAACCAAGGAUUGAUCGACCAAGGUCAACAAUCUCCCCCUUUUUGAUGAUGACAAACAAAAUGAAGAUUUCUUUUAUCAAAUAAGUUCAAAUAAAGCUCCCCCUUAGAAAGUGCCAACAUACAAAGAAAUUUCAAUAAAUCCUACUCCCCCUUUUGGCAUCAAUCAAAAACAAACUCCCCCUUUAUUUUUCAAAUCAAGACCAUAUUGAAUAUCAAAAUUUUCAAUUGUACUUACAACCAUAUAGCACUUCUUGGAUCAAAUCUUCAUGAUGUACCUAAAUAUGAGAAAUUUCAUUUGGUACCCUUUCUUUAUAGGGUUCUUGGGAGUUAAUACAACAUGAUCUAGCAAUCCACAUGGAUUUCAUACCUUUUCUCAUAUUUUUAUUUACAUAGCAAUCAUUUUGCAUAUGUCCAAAUUUGCAACAAAAGUGACACAUGAUAGAAGUAUUUUGCACAUAAGUGGAUUUAAUGCAACUAAUUUUCUUACUUCUUAUCAUAGCAAACUUAUUUGUGCCUUGAAAAGAUUUGCUUUCUUUUGUUUGAGAAAACUUUUGUUUUUCAUUUUGGAGAAACUCGUUCAAGUCAUUAAUUCUUUUCUUUAACAAAUUCUGUUCCUCCAACAUUUUUUCAUAAAACUUUGUUUUCUCUUCCAACUUCCUUUUCAAAACAUUUUUUUGAUUUUUUAAAUCAUCAUUUUCCAUUCUCAAACAUUUGUUUUCUUGAAAAAGUUUGGAGUUUUCUUCCAACAAAUCAUUUAUUUUUGUUUUCAAAUCUUUAUUUUUAGCAUAAGAUUUUCUCAAACUUUUAUGCAUUUUAAUCAUAAGAAUUCUCACAUCAUCAUCUUCAUUAUCUUCAUCACAAGAAGAGUGAUAAGAACUUACCUCCUCUUCUCCAACGGCCAUUAGUGCCAUUUGGGCCAACUCUUCCUUUUCUCUUUUUGAAUUGCAUUCAUCCCAUGUAAUUUUGCAAUCUCCUCUUGAACAUCUCUUGUUGAAGAUCUUCUUCAAACUUUUGAUGUGAGGAGUUAUAUCAUUGUCCACUUCCAUGAUUUCAUUACCCAUGAAGGAUGGGUUAUCCCCCACUUGAGAUGCUUCAAAAGCUAUGCCUCUCUUAUAAAUUCUUGCAUUUUCUUCCUCUUGCACUUUGAAUUUCAGCUUUAAUUCAUAAGAGGUUAGGGUAUCCACAAGAGAUUCAAUGGACAUAGAAUUUAAAUCCUUUGCCUCUUCUAUAGCAUUUAUUUUGUUUUCCCAUUCUUUUGGCAAGGCAUUCAAAAUCUUUCUAUUUUUCUCACCCAAAGAAUAUUCUUUUCCAAGCAAUUUAAGAUCUUGAAUAAUGUCACAAAAUCUACUACACAUCUUAUCAACAUUUUCAAGAGGAUGCAUUUUGAAAAAUUCAUAUUGAGAAACAAGCAAAGAUUUCUUUUGUUCUUUAAUAUCUUGGUUACCUUCAUGAAAUACACACAAUUUAUCCCAAAUAUCUUUAGCUGAUUUACAACCUUUAAUCCUACUAGAUUCAUUUACAUCUAAUGCAUUGUACAAUAUACACAUGGCCUUGGCAUUCAAAGAAAGGUAUCUCUUGUCUUUUUCAUUCAAUUCUUGUCUAGUCUUUAAUCUACUCAAAUUAGUGAUAGAGUCAAUUAUUCUGGCUUCAUAAGGACCAUCUUCUACCACAUACCAUAAUUCAAUAUAAACGGAUUGUAAGAAAAUCAUCAUUCUUUGUUUCCACAUGCUAAAAUAAGAACCAUUAAACAUAGGUGGUCUGUCAAUAGAUUGCCCUUCUAAAAAAGAAACUUUUAUGGUUGCCAUGAUCUUUACUCUAAGCGGUUAAGCUUGAUCAAAAGAGACCAAGCUCUGAUACCAAUUGUAAGGCCUGGUGCAACCCAAUGAGUACAAACAAUUUCACAAUGAUGCACAAAGAUAUAUCAAAUUUAAGCACAAUAAAGAAAACUUAAUUAAAGAGAAAAGAUAAGAAAUGCAAACCAAAUAUCAAUCCAAUAGCCUCUUCAAUAGAUGGCGAUGCUAACCAAGAUGUACAAGUGAAGGCUCACUCCUUCCUCACCCCAAACACACUUUGGUUGAGCCAAGGAGUUUUACAACUAUUCUAGUUAACCCUCAACAACCUACACUUGAAAGAUCACUCACCCAAAUAAGAACUAUUUUAUACAAAUGAGGCAACCUUCACCAAGGUUUUACCACUUCAAGUGAUAGGUUCACCUUCACCAAGGUUUUACUCCUCCUAGAGAGUAACCUUCACUUGAGCAACCUCACAACCCAACUUUCCCAACCCCUUAUACAACCAACAAAGAAUCUUUCUACUCAAAAAUCUCACUUGUAAGCUUGUAUUUUGUGUUGGCAAAAGUCCCUUGUCUUCUUGUGCUUUGGGGUGUUUAUAGAAGGUGAGAAAUGGCUUCAAAAGGCUCUCCAACGGUCAAAUAUUAAAUGCUGUUAAAACUAGCCGUUGGCCUGUCGGACGUCCGAGACCUCCUGUCGGACGUCCGAACCCUGCGUCCAAACCACCUGUCGGACGUCCGAACCCUGCGUCCGAACGUAGGCAGAGAGUCAUCAAAUCUUUGCGAAAUUUCUCGGACGUCCGAUGCGAUCGAUGUGCGUCCGAGGCGUGCGUCCGAUCCUUCCGGACGUCCGAUGCUUCCUCACGAGCGUCCGACAGAGUUUCCUUCUUGAUGUUCUUCAUCCUUUCGGACGUCCGAUAGCUUCCUUUCGGACGUCCGACAUGAGUGCCCUGUUUUUGUUUCUUUUUUUAUGCCACAGGAAUCUGUUCUAACAAAUUGCUCACAUAAAAACAUUAGCCCAAAUCUACAUUUUGGUUUGUUAAUCAUCAAAACCAAGGAUUGAUCGACCAAGGUCAACAAUCUCCCCCUUUUUGAUGAUGACAAACAAAAUGAAGAUUUCUUUUAUCAAAUAAGUUCAAAUAAAGCUCCCCCUUAGAAAGUGCCAACAUACAAAGAAAUUUCAAUAAUUUCAAUAAAUCCUACUCCCCCUUUUGGCAUCAAUCAAAAACAAACUCCCCCUUUAUUUUUCAAAUCAAGACCAUAUUGAAUAUCAAAAUUUUCAAUUGUACUUACAACAAUAUAGCACUUCUUGGAUCAAAUCUUCAUGACUGUCCUAAAUAUGAGAAAUUUCAUUUGUACCCUUAUAUUAAAUAAAAUUACGGGUUUUACAAAAAAUGAAUUUUGAUUAAUUUUUUAUUUGAAAAAAUGAGUUUUUGUUUUUAGAAAAUGAAUAAAGAAAUGGGACUAAAAAGUGCGAUGAUUUUGACCCAAAAUAAUAGUUUAAAAAGGGUUUUUAAUGAAAAAUAGGAGUCGCUACUUAGUAUUGAGUUAAGGUAUACCAAGUCAUCUAAAAUGAAUUUUUUAAAGAAAAAGUAGAGAAAACCUUUUUUAAACGACUCCAAUUCUGUGAAAAUCAAGAGAAAAGGGGUCGGGAGUCACAUUUGAGAAAGGGAAGGUAAGGAUAAAAUCCAAGGCACCCUUUCAACCUAAUCAAGGCUAGUUGCGUGAUUUUAGUCAAAAAAUUUUCUUAAUUUAACCUAAAAAUUUAUCACAUUUGGAUAUUACUAUAUGAAUGCAAAUCUAGACCUAAUGGAUGGUCGUCGGGGUCGGAAUAUCUCUUCAAAACUUGAUUGGUGCAAAUCACAUUAAUUGUGAUACCUAAGAGUGACUCUUCGAAGAGGUCACGAUCAUGCAAAAUAUGAGAUUCGAAAGAAAGAAAAGAAAAGAAAAAAUAAUAAUAUACAUGACCUAAAGGAAUGCAUCAUAACGAGUGCGGGAACUGUGAUUCGUGACUUUAAUUUUCCCUUAGAGGGAAUACGAGCGUGCUAAGACUAGAAAGUCAUACUCGUCCAUAUCCCAUAUUUAAAGGGUAUAUUCUCCUAAUUUUGGUCAAGCAAAUGAUCUAACCUAUUUCUAAUUUCCUAAAUGAGAUGCAAAUCUAAAUGUUAUAUUUUUGUACAUGGGGGUAAGGGAUAUAUAUAAGGGAAAUAUCAUGCAAAAUGAUAAAAACCCUAAAAAGUAGAAAAUAUGCAUGAAAUGUCAUGAUUAUCACACAAGCAUGAUCUAACUCGUGAAUGGUCCCUAAGGGUCUAGCGUUAGACUAUCCCAUGUCUAUAACUUCUCACUAGCGUUGGACUAAUGUGGUAACGUCAUGCAUUUAUUAUAACUAAAUAAAUCAUAUAAAACAUCAUAAAGCAAAUAAACACAUAAACAAAAUUGUUCGUCAAGGCAGAGACAUAUGAUGCUGUAGUAUCUUCAUUAUGAAAAAUGAUGAAUAAAGAGACAUAUGCAGAACUUCUUUCUAAAACAACUGCUUAAUUCGGGAAAGUCAAGGUAAAGGAAGAAAAAUUAACUUGUUACUUACAAAAUCUUGAAGAAAAAUCUGCAAUCUAUUCAAAAUGGGAAGAAAGUUCUUUAAAAGGAACUUAUUGAUUUGGAAAGGCCAGGCACGGAAGUUAGCUCAACUAUUGACCAAAAGCAUGAAACUUUCAAGGAGAUCUAGACUGAAAUAUUCCAAAUCCAUGAUGAACUCUCUUUCAUUAAAAAAUGCUAGUGUUUUAACUGAUUACACAGUGAAAAAAUUUAAAGGCAUGAAAUCCGCACUUGAAACAUACAAAAUAGCUAUAGUAGAUUACAAGUUUGAUAUUUAGAUUUUCCCUCAUGUUCCUCCUUUUCCCUUAGAAAUUUUAAGGCAGAAUUUUUUUCUUUUCAUUUUCUUUUCACAUAUAAUGAAACUUUUUUUGAAUAAUAAAACAACUUUUCUUUAUCUUGUGAUUUUUUUCAAGAUAAAAGAACUUAAAUUUAGCAUUUUAUUUUCAAAGAGAGGAAAAAAAGACUUUACAAGGAAAACGAUUUAGUUUGGGAGGUGUAACUGAACUUAGAAUGUGCCCUUUAAUCAGUCUACAUAUCCAAAAGGAAUCAAGCCACACGUAAUUUCUGCCAUUUACAAUUUAACCUCAUGCAGACCAGGAGUAUCUAUUUAUUUAUCAUUUUAAAUUGGUGGAGUGUUUCAGGAAUUUAACCACAUACUACACUAUUGUGAUUGCCAUUCAUAAUUUUAGUUCAUGUGGGUUAGAAACAACAUGUAGCUUUUUAUUUAUGCAUCAUGAGGCCUUGAGAUUAGCAAUAAUAUUUCUUCAAGUAUUUGUCAUUGAUGUGGCCAAUCCUUAAUCUAGUUUCAACAACUAACUUAUACGAACCAUUUGAGUAUAUUUCUUGAACAACAUACGGGCCAUCCUAUUUGAAGAUAAAUUUUUUUGUUCACCAUGUGUGAGGACCCAAAUUUUUCCUUACUUUUAAUUCUAUUUUAUUGGCUUAUUUAAUUAUUUAUUUACCCGUUUUCUCCGAAUAAUUUAUUUCAACCAUUUUAAAAUCAUUUACAUGGAAUACUGUCCCACUUAUAUUUUAAAACAUCCCGUUAGCAAAUUUAAUUUUUUUUGGAGGUUCGUUUAUUAAGAAAAAGUGAAUACAUGUUUUUCGACGGCAAUGUUUGAAUCGAGAGUGCAAUAAUCCUAGCGAAUUAAGAAUGAGUAAUAGUAGACUAAGAAAAGUUAAUUGAUGGAUUAGAGGUGAGUGAGUUAAAAAUUUAAGCUUAUACCGCGAAUGCGUCGAAAGUUUCCUGAAAGUCGCACCUGUACAAACUAAUUGGAGAUUUGAGGAAUUAAUACUUGUGAGAACUUAUGUUUUUAUUUCAAAAAUAGUUAUUUUUAGGAUUAUUUACCCUAGUAUUAGUGAGUUAUAUUAUCGUUACAAGAAUUUCUUUUGAUUUUCGCUUUAUCGCGCUCGAAUCGGAAGUUCGCAUAUUUCGCGUCAAAACGGUUAAGUAGUGAUUUAAGAAACUAAAACUAGACUAUGAAGAGUGAAUAAUUAUAAUGUUAAAAGAAGUACAUUAGAGGUUUAGUGCACAAGUGAAACAAACCCGAGAGAAAACGGAUACGAAACGCGCACGCGCGAGUACUAUUCAUAGUUGACUUUUACACAAAAUUUUAACCACAAAACACUUAAGCUUCCAAGGGAAGCUUCAUUCAUCAGCCACACUCUCUCUCCUCACCUCCAUAGCUCACAAAACCAGCCAAGGAAGAAAAGAGAAAGCUCUUCAUCAUUCUUGCUCCAUUCUUGAACAAUUUCACUCCAAAAUCUUCACUCAACUUCCAUAUCACUUAGAGAUUAGCUUAAGCUUGGUGGAAGACUUCAUCUUGGCGGUUUUCUUGGAGCUUUUGUGAUCAAAAUUUCUGGUUCUUCAAGGCUUCAAGAGAUAUACACCUCAACUCAUCCAAUCUUUUAUUUCUUGGCUUUAAUGAGUUUCAUUCUUGGCUUGAAGCUUGUAGCUUUCCAACGGUAUAAAAUUCACUUUCUAGUUUGAAAUGAGUGAGGUGUAAUGAGUCGGCAAAGUUGCUGCCCUGUUCUGUUGGCCUAUCCGAGAGAAAGGUAGAAGCUGCAUUUUGUGGCUCUAUUUUCUCUCACUUAUGAAUCGAUUUUGAAAACGAUUUGUUCUGAUGAAAUGUAGCCUUAUGAUUCUAGUUUCCAACGCCACCAACCAUUCGCAAUUCCAAGUUGUAUUGAGUGAGAUAUCAUCCAAUUUUCAAACUGUGACAGAACUGGAAAACCCUUCUUUUGGGCUGGCCGACUGGUUUAGUUGUUUGUGAGAUGUUUUAUAUUGAAAUUUUGAUGUCAACCAACUAUCAAUUGCUUAUGAAAUGUGAAUUACUUGACAAGCUCCCGUAUCCUUAACAAGUGUGUUAUAUUAUAAAUUGUGAAUUACUUGAACUUUCUGGCUUUAAUUCUUGUACAUAUGUUAUUGUUACUUGUUACUUGAACUAUGUGUUCGCAAGUGCAUGUUUUGUUUUUUUCUUGGCCUCACGAGCAUCCGCUCACCCCGUUAGAUUUGUUUUCCUUAACAGGAUCUGAACUGGAAGGGAUUAUGGAAAAGCCUAUUGAUGGCUCUUUUGGCUAGAAUUUUGGAAUGUAUUUGUCUAGACAUCAUUUUGGGAAGUUGUAUAUUUUGGAAAGUGGAUGUAUUUUGAACUUGUGGUGUAAGAUUGGAUAUUUAUAUAUGGAAACGACUUCUCUUUCUUACUUCGCCUUGUCUUACUAGUUAUUAUGGUAUUAAGUUUGAACGGGAAUUGUAUCGAGUCCUGGCGAGAGUUGGGCAGGCGUCCAGCCGAUACCCUUUGGUUCCCCUUAGGGAGUGGGGGCGUCACACCAUGAGUGAGAAUGAUCAGUCUUCAAAUAGUAAGUACUAAUUCCUCAACUUGAAAAGUGCGAGGUCGAACACACUUAUUGAAUACUUUUGAGAGAUGAGUUUGAUAGCACUCAAUUCAUUGUUGGGUUUCCAAUAUCUUUUUAUCAAAUGCUUCUAAUUCCUCAAGACGAAACUAAGCAUUAUCUUUCUCAUUGAACACUUUUUGACUUGCAAUCUUAAAUGAGGGCAUUUGUCGUUCAAGUGAAAGAAUAGAUUCGACACCAUAGACCAGUGCAUAUGGAGUAGGUUGCAUGGGAGUUUGCCCAAUGAGCCUCUCCAAUUUAUUGAUGCCUAUCUUUUUUCAAUUUACUAUGAUUUUUUUCUUUUUAACAAUUGCAUAAGGUCUUGUUAAAUGUUUCGGUAAGUCCAUUUGCAGUAGUAUAAUACAUUGAAGAAUUAAUAUUAUUUAAACUUAAACUUUCACAAAGUUUAUUCAUUGCAAAAAAAGCUUGCCAUUAUCAGUGAUUAAAUAACGCAAAACUCCAUUCGAUAGCUGAUGUUAAAAUGGAUGAAAUCUACUACAUUUUUUUUCUUCACCUCUCUUAGAGGAAUUGUUUCAACCCACUUUGAGAAGUAAUUUGUUGCAACCAAAAUGAAGAUGUGUCCACUAGAAAAUUUUGGAGUGACCCAACUAUGUCCGAUUCCCAAGCAUCAAAUGGUCAAGAAACAGCAGUUAGAUGCAAUGGUUCAGGAGGUUGAUGAAUGAAAUUGCUAUAAAAUUGAUAAGUUUGACAUUUCUUUGCAAAAUCAAUGCAGUUUUUUACCAUUAUUAGCCAAUAGUAUCCCAUCCUCCUGAUGUAAAAAUAUAGUUUAGGCCCGGAUUGAUGAGUCUUACAUACUCUAGAGUGAGUCUCUUCCAUUGCUUGCAUGGCUUCAUCUUCUCCAAGACAUCAUAGAAACAUUUUCAUCAAAUGAUCUUGAUGAGAAUAUAGAGACCAAGGCCCAUUCCAUUCAAGCACAUGGGGAAUUGGAAGAUUCAAGUAAAGACUAGUUCGCGGAGUACUAGCUUGCUAAUUAGGGUUUUAGUUUCCAUUAUUAGUUGUUUGUUAGCAUUAAUAAUUUCGGUCAAUUUUCACUUCACUUUGGCCGAAUUUGGAGUCUUAAUUUUAGUCAAUUAGUUGUUAGACAUUUUCGCCCUUAAUGAAGGGCAAGGUCGUCCAUUGGACAUGCUAGGGUUUGAGUCCUGUAAGGCUAUAUAUAGCCUAGGUUUUCAUUCAUUAAAGGACAAUUCAGAUUUUAUAAAAUAUAUGUGAGUUAUUUCACUCUCUCUUGCCUCAAGAGAAUUUCCUUUGAAUACUUGAGAAUUAAUCUCAAGUUGUUCAUCGAACUUAUCAAUCAAGUAGUCUCCUUGAUUGUGGCGUUCUUCUAUCCAUACUUUUGGUUCACUAAAUUUGCUAGUCGUGGGUUAAGGAAUCUCCUUAGUUCGUGGCUCGUGAUUCUAGAAGGGUCAAAGUUCCGCCAAUCAUCCCAACUUGGUGUUCGUCUAGAUCCGUCUCACAUCAGUUGGUAUCCAGAGCUAGUCGACGACAUCAAGUAUAUCCCGUUGAGUUUGUUCGUAAGCUUUCUAGUCAAUUUUAUUUUGCAAUUCUGGUCGUGUCUUCCUUUGUGUCAAGUCCGAUUGUUAUUACAAAAAAAAAAAAUUCUGUCCGCCUUUGUUGUCUUGUUGAGUCACUCUUUGAUUUCUUUUGCUUCGUGUCCACUUCGUGCAUUACUUGUUGUGUGAUUCUGUCUUGAAGCCUGCCUUCAAGUGUAGCCGUGUUUUGUUCGUUGCAUAUUCUGUUUAAAUAUCAAACAAAAAAAAAAAAUUUUCUGCGACGGCUAGGGUUUUCACUUGCAACUAGGGUUUCCUUGGGUGCAAGUUUCUUGCCAAAUCUGUCCAAACUUUAGUUUAUUCCACCAAGUUGUUUUCAUUAAUUUCCUAAACUGAUUUUUGUGGUUAAACUUGUUUGGGGUUGGAAUCUUGAAGAGGAACUACAAUAAUCUAGGGAUUCUUGAGUUUCUUGAAACUAAUCUUGAAGUCUCAAAAUCUUGAUACAUGUUUUGAUAGUUAUUGGAGGAUUGAAGGAGAACAUUGGUUUGACAUUAAAUUCUGGAAUUUUACCCAAGAACAGCCGAGUAAUUGUGUGUUCUUAGAGUCAAAAAAAAAAAAUAGAAAAAAAAAGAAAAAGAGAAAGGGCACUCGGGUAGCAAACAACAAAGAAGGAAGCCGCACUUUUAUUUGCCAAAUUCUGUCUUGUUGCAAUUGUUUCAACAAACCAGAAAAUUACAUCAAGAAAAAGACUACUCAAAAGUUUUGACCAACCUCUUCUUGAAAAUCUUGCACACCUUGAGCCUUGAUCACUUGUAUCACCCGCUGAGUCUUUUGAGGAUCUUGACCAUCUUGAUUCUUGAAGAUUUGCACUUCCCUACGUAUAAACAGUUUCUUGUACGUCCUUGCAUCCAUACGGGGCUUUCUUGGCUUAGGAGUAAACCUCUUGGGAGUUUCUUGAGCAGGCCGCUUGGGGUAUUCUUGGGUGACGUUGCUUGUGUCAUCUUGUGAAGCCAUUGUUAGCACCAAGCGUCAAAACUGUCCUUGUGUGGAGCAAAGAGGGGAGGGCCGAAUUGUUGUUCUUGAGGGAGAGUAAGGGACGAAAAUUUUGAGGGGAUUUAAGAAGAGGUAAUUCUGGAAAAUUUUGGGGUUAGGAAGCUACCAAAUCUGGAAAAUUUUUUAGGAAAUUCCAGCCGACUUUGAGGGGAAUUUAAGAAGACAAGAAAUCUGGAAUUUUUUUCGUGGAAGCUAUUCUGAUUUGAUAAGGUAACAAAUCUGGAAAUUUUCAGCGGUUAGGAAGCUACCAAAUUCUGUUUUGCAGCCGACUUUGGAAGGUUUAAAAGGAGCAGAAAUUUGGAAAUUUUUUUAGCUACCAAAUUCUGUUUUGCAGCCGACUUUGGGAGGUUUCAAAAGAGAAGGAAAUCUGGAAUUUUUUUUGGGAACAAUUCUGAUUUGUUAUAGCUGACUUUAGGAAGGUUUUUGGAGAGGGAAUCUAGAAAAAUUUUGGAAGGUUUUUGGAGAGGGAAUCUGGAAAAAUUUUGGUAAUAAUUCUGUUUGGUUAGCCGACUUUAAGGAAAUUUCCAAAUAAGUCCAACACCUAACUUGUUUCCAAAAAUCAAUUGGGCAAUUAAGUAAAGCACUUGGGAACUCCAUCAUCGUACUUGGACUUUCUUUUUCUUUGUACAUCAAUUCUUUCCUCUUCCAUCCCUUAUUCAUUACUUGAGCUUUCCAUUUCUACUUUUGGUUUCCUUGUUCCUUUGAUACAAUUGGGAGCUAUUUUGAUUAAAGUUUGAUUGAACUUCCUUGAGAAAAUUUCUGAUUUCUUCAAAGGAAACAAACAAGUGGUUUGAGAAGUGAAUUGGUGAGAGCAUUAGAGUGCCAUACACACUUGAGUGAAAACACGAGAGGAGUGAAACACUUAAGGAAGCAAGUGAGGCAUUUUCUACUAACAAUUUGUCAAGUUUUGCAGGUUUCACCAUGUCUCAGGAACAUGAAAUUACCAUUGCUCAGUUAUCACUUAAAAUGGAUAAUAUGUGGAAGGAAAUGCAGAAGAGAUUUGACCAAAGGUUGGAAACAAUCCAUGAGCAAAUUGAUCAACUAAGUUCGUCUAGGGCUUCUUCUAGGAAAUCUAGGGGACAAUCCACCCUGGGGGAAUCUAGUGACUCCAAUGCUGAUUCGGAACAUGAGGCAUACGAGCAAAGAAGACCAAAGCGAAACACAAGAGCAAUCGGUGAUGCCAUCAAGGGGAUUAAGAUGAAGAUUCCUCCAUUCCAAGGCAAAUCUGAUCCGGAUAUAUACCUUGAAUGGGAGAGUCGAGUAGAGCUAGUAUUUGAUUGUAAUGACUACACCGAUGCACAAAAAUUGAGACUUGCCGUAGUCGAAUUCACCGACUAUGCCAUAGUUUGGUGGGAACAAGUGGCUACAAGCAGAAGAAGGUGUGGAGAGCCACCUAUAACCACUUGGACUGAGCUCAAGAGACUGAUGAAGAAGCGAUUUAUACCAAGUCACUACCAUAGAGACUUGUACCAAAAACUUCAAACCUUGACACAAGGUCAACGCUCAGUUGAGGACUACUACAAGGACAUGGAAAUCUCCAUGUUGAGAGCUGAUAUUCAAGAAGAUAGAGAGGCUACAAUGGCAAGAUUUCUCAAUGGUCUGAGGGUUGACAUAGCCGAUCAACUGGAGCUUCAAUACUAUGUGGAGAUAGAAGAUAUGGUGGAGAAGGCUAUCAAGAUUGAGCAAAGGCUCAAGAGGAGGGGUACAACCAGAAAUUCUAACCCUCAUCCACAAACAUUUACUCAACCAUUCCAGCCUAGCAGGGAAGAGAGAGGUUCGAAUACUUGGACCACUCCAAAGCCGAAGCAAGAUCAAGGGUCAAGCUCACGGCCACCUUUUACUAAAGCCGACUCCAAGGUUGUUUCAAAACCAACAAUUGAAACUUCAAAACCUAGGAAUCGUGACACCAAAUGUUGGAGGUGUCAAGGAAUUGGGCACAUUGCAAGCCAAUGUCCAAAUCCAAGAACCAUGCUUGUGCUACCAAAUGGAGACAUUGUCACUGAUGAUGAAGAGGAGGAGUACAAAGACAUGCCUUCCUUGGUUGAAGAGGAAGAUGAGAUAGAGGAAGUUCCAACUCAAGACAAAGUUGGAUUGGUAGCAAGAAGGGCACUAGCUACGCAAGCUAGUAAAGAUGAACUUCAACGUGACAACAUCUUUUACACUAGGUGCCAUGUGACCAACAAGGUAUGCAGCUUGGUGAUUGACCCCGGAAGUUGCACUAAUGUUGCUAGUGCAUUGAUGGUGGAGAAACUAAACUUGCCAACUAGUGAGCACCCCCGUCCCUACAAGCUUCAGUGGUUAAACAACAGUGGAGAGGUACGUGUUCUUAAACAAGUUCUGGUUACUUUUCGCAUUGGUAGGUAUGAAGAUGAUGUUAUGUGUGAUGUAGUACCAAUGCAAGCUGCACAUAUACUCUUAGGGCGUCCUUGGCAAUUUGACAAAAGAGUCACUUUUGAUGGUUUCUUGAACAAAUACUCUUUUAUGCAUAAUUGUAAAAAGAUUACACUUGCACCUCUUACACCUCAACAAGUACAUGAGGAUCAAGUUAGUCUACAAAAAGAGUAUGACUUGCAUGCUACCACCAAGAAGGACAACGCCAAAGCUAAGAAAUUAGUGUUGGCCGACCCUUCUUCAAGCAAGUUGGAUCACUCUCAUUCGGUCUUCGAACCCGCACAGGAGAGAAAACCCAGCAUGCUUGCCAAGGUGAAAGAUGUGAGAAAGGCCUUGCAUUCUAAUCAGGUUUUAUUUAUUUUAUUUGGCAAGGAAUCCUUACUCACUAAUGCUCUUGAUGCUUCUUUGCCUAGUGUUAUUACUAACCUCUUACAGGAGUAUCAAGACGUCUUUCCUGAGGAUAUACCUAAUGGAUUGCCUCCAUUAAGGGGAAUUGAACAUCAAAUUGAUUUCAUUCCUGGAUUUUCCCUUCCAAACAAGGCACCAUAUAGGACCAAUCCUGAGGAAACCAAGGAGCAACAACGACAAGUGGAGGAGUUGCUUGGUAAGGGUUGGAUUCAAGAGAAUCUAAGCCCUUGUGUUGUACCAGUUCUACUUGUUCCAACCAGCACUAGUCGGGUUACAAUGGCCUUUGAUGCCGCUUUUGCACGUCUUGAUGCGUACAACGCGCAGCCCAACCAAACCUUGGUUCACCGGGCGUCCGCUCACGGUCCACCCAUAGGCUUGAGACGUCACUUGUGUAGCCAUUAUCAUGGAACUCUUGCUGUCUGCAACAUGUAUCUACCACCACCACAAGUUUUCCUGGUGUCCCACAAGGGUGUCUUGAUCUUUCUUCGCUUGAGAAGGCGACAUGCAGGCUGCUUGGUGACUAUACACAUGCUCUCAUCACCUUUGUUUUGUAAGAAGAGUCAUGAUUUGGGGACAAAUCGCCUUUAAGAGGAGGGGAAUGAUGAGAAUAUAGAGACCAAGGCCCAUUCCAUUCAAGCACAUGAGGAAUUGGAAGAUUCAAGUAAAGACUAGUUCGCGGAGUACUAGCUUGCUAAUUAGGGUUUUAGUUUCCAUUAUUAGUUGUUUGUUAGCAUUAAUAAUUUCGGUCAAUUUUCACUUCACUUUGGCCGAAUUUGGAGUCUUAAUUUUAGUCAAUUAGUUGUUAGACAUUUUCGCCCUUAAUGAAGGGCAAGGUCGUCCAUUGGACAUUCUAGGGUUUGAGUCCUGUAAGACUAUAUAUAGCCUAGGUUUUCAUUCAUUAAAGGAUAAUUCAGAUUUUAUAAGAUAUAUGUGAGUUAUUUCACUCUCUCUUGCCUCAAGAGAAUUUCCUUUGAAUACUUGAGAAUUAAUCUCAAGUUGUUCAUCGAACUUAUCAAUCAAGUAGUCUCCUUGAUUGUGGCGUUCUUCUAUCCAUACUUUUGGUUCACUAAAUUUGCUAGUCGUGGGUUAAGGAAUCUCCUUAGUUCGUGGCUCGUGAUUAUAGAAGGGUCAAAGUUCCGCCAAUCAUCCCAACUUGGUGUUCGUCUAGAUCCGUCUCACAUCAUUCAUUCAUUCUCCUUUCAUUCCCUUAUUCCUCCAAUCAUCUAAAAAUGCAUUUUGAUAAGUAAAACUCCUCAUUUGCAUUGACAUUCGUUCGAGUGCGAUAAAGUACACACUCGCCUAGAAAUCUCAUUUUAAGCAAUCAGUGAAAAUAUUUAACAUGUUGUCAUUCAUUCAUAACAAGUCAUAUAAUCAAGAACAAGCCACAUAGUCAAUGAAAAUAUAACAAACAAGGAACACUCACCUAUUUAAGCAAAAUAACGUCCAAAGUUUCCUUCCGGAUAAUACUCUCAAUCACCAAGGAACCCUAAUAAUAACCAAGGGAAAAUAUUAUGGUUAAACCAUCCAAAGUUUAGGUGAAUAAGAGAAAAUCUGAGUAACUAUUAGUAUAAAGGAUAAAUAUUGUUUUGGAAGUGAAAAGAAUACAUUUAAACAAAGGACAUGAGUAAACUAUUUGUAUUUAUUAGUCGUAAAUUUCAUUUUUCCAAGGGUACAAGGUUCGGCCGAAAUCCAACUUAUGUGCCUUUGUAAAAGAGGUUGCAAAUAUCCAAGAUGGUUCAAGUGGUAUUCGCUCUAAAGCCUUAUUCAAGUCGCAAGUAUCUACCUAGUCCUCGAGCGUAAAUUUGGGCAGCACGCCCUUUGUAUUUACCUAUUUUCCAGCCAUUUAUGGCUUCGUUCUUUUCCUCAAUCAGUCCCAAAGUUACACAUAAAAUAAUCUCAUUUCAAUAGCCAUUCACUAGACUCAAAGUCAUACAAGUACAAAAUCAAGCUAAGGACAUGUGCGGAAAUGAAGUUUAAGUUGAAAACAAAAGACAGAUUUGACGUUGUUUUGCGUAACGGACACAACCAAAGCUACGCUUAUCGGAUUGGAGUGAAAUUUAUAUUGUUUCAAAGCUAAGGAAGAGAGCUACAACUUUGAUGAAGACUACUUAGUCCAUUUUACAAUGUAUCCAAGUCAAAUUCACGAAUUACAGUACCAGAUUCCUACCGACAGGCCAGUUAACCGUACUAUGUUUCAAUGGCUAUAAUUCAGGAUACCGAAGUCCGAUUGAGGUGUUCUUAGUGGCGUUGGAAAGAUAAAAAAUGUGGAUAAAAGUUUCAUGUUCUGGCCAAAGACUGGUUUGGUACGGAUCAAGGUGAAAAACGCAGCCAACAUGAGGAAAUGUCAAAACUGUCUGCUGGACUCUACCUAGGGCAGUCUCAGGGGUAAUUUUGUCUUUUCAUGAGCUACAGAGCUCUGAUUGAGCUGAAAUUUCGUUGGCAACUAUAAAACAUCAUUACUUACAACUUUCAUAUUUUGUACUAAGGAUGAUUCGGUCUCUAACAUACUCAAACAAAAACCAGCAGAACUGAACCAUAAGAAAUCUCAAUUCUGGAAUUUCGAGAAUUUAAUGUGCAACUUCACAUUUCUAGCUUAAAACCACUACUACUACCUCCUAUACAAGCCUACAUACACCAUAUACCAUCCAAACAACCAUCAUUCCAACAACCAAAGCUGAAUUUUUUUACACUAUAGAGCAGGAAUUUACCAAAACUAAUACUAAAACCAUGAAAGUUACCUAACAAGCCAUAACUUUCACUUGUAAACCAAUAAGUAGCACAACCAUGAAAUAAUACCAUCCUUACCUAGAAUUGGAGAAGCACAACAGCCCCUAGGAAGCUUGAACCACCAAAACUCUCCACUCCAAGAUGAUAAUCCACCCUCCUAAGCAACUUCUAUGGAUUAUUUGGUGAAUCUAUCGGUUAGUUUGCAAGAUUGAGCAAGAAAGCAAGCUUGAAUGAAGUGGUUUCUUUCUCUCUUUUUCCUCUCUAAAUUUCGUGUACAAUGAAGCUUAGAAGACAGAAAUUGAGCUCCAAGAAAGAGAUAAGAAGCUUAGACUUGAGUUGGUCAACAAUGGGUGGAUGCUUGCCAAGUGUCAUCACAAGAUUACAUCUCACUUUUUUUUUCUUUCUUCCUUUUCUUUAGUCAACAAAGAUGGCUAGAUUAAGGGGUAAUUUAGGGUUGAUUAGUCAAGUAAACAUAAAGGGAUUAAGGUAAUAAAGUGAUGGUCAAGUGGUGUAUUCCAUCGGUAACAAAUGGUACCCGUCGGUUCAACCCGUUUUUUCGUAUUUCGCACGUACUAGGGUUUUCACUUAUAAUUCACUAUCUUAUGGUUAUUACUUCUAUUCACACACUUAAUAUCAUCUAAAACUUACCCUUAAUCACCAAAUUUAGUACACAUUCUGUACCGGUUACUCAUACUACGGAAAGACGUAAAACCCUAAUUCACGCUAACUUAAAAACGAAAGGUGAAACCCUACUUUCUAGGUUCAUUUGCACUUAUUGUGGGGUGAUUGAGUAGUAAGGCUACUAUAAAGUAAUAAUUUCCAAAUAAAAGGGAAUUUUUAAGAAGAAUAUAAGGAAUUUUAUGAGUCCUCACAGAGAGAAGACUAAAGUGUUAAUCUUGGCUGUUAAAAUGUGACAGCCCCACCUCACCCUAAGGCGAACCAAAGGGUUUGGCGGACUGCCUGCCCAACUCUCGUCAGGACUACGGAGUUGAUUCACACAAACCCAAUAUAGUACGCGCUACAGGACCCAAAGAAAAUGAACAAUCGGAAACUACUAAGGUGAGAACACGCUUACCAAACCAUAAAAUCAUAGUCUCAACGGAAUACAUUUAAUAGACAAGGUUAAACACUUAUACAUAUAGUUACAUUGGGGUCUUGAACAAAUUAAUAUACAGUGCAAUCCGAGGUAUUCAUACUACACAAAAUACAAUUAGGGCUUCGUUUUCAAAAAAACUUAACAACAUGACAUAUAUACUAGCUUGACCCUUUUCUUCCAAAACCGUGAUUUCAGAGUUUGUCCCCUGUAAGGAAAACAAAGGUAAUAGAAAGGGGUUAGCUUUUGCUCAAUGAGGUACCAAACAUAUAGGGGUAAAAUCAUGGCCUUUCACAUUUAACCAAUCAGAUACAUAUACCAGAUAUAAAGGAAAGCAGUUAGACACAGUGAUUCAAAGGGAAAGGAUACAAGUGGCUCUCAGGAGCCAGAUUUUCAUUUGCAGUACUUGAUCCGAACCCGUUGACUCUCCGUCAACGUAAAUAGAACCAAUAUAUCGGUAGACCCCACUUUACACCAAUUUCCCGUCCAUCAAACAUACUCCUACCGGGCCCGAACGCCGAACGCCGAACAGGAAUAGUAAUGGUAAUACUCGAGUAUACCGAAAUCAAGAGUCUCAAUACCCAAAGAUUCCCAGAACAGACUACCAUGGUUCGUUAUCUAAUCGACCAGGCCUUUGCCAGCCGACUUAAGUAACUAGCCAUAGGUGUUGAGCUCAGAGGUCACAGAAAGGUCGUUGGAUACCAGCCUCCUAACGACGUCCGAACAGACUCAGAUACAGUUAACAGAUUAUACACAGUAAAUAGACAUAUGAACAUACAAGAGAACGAGUGUGAUAAAGUACACUCUCGUCUCAAACAGAAUAAACAGAUAGUGCAGUCAUUUAAAUCGUAGAUUACAGGGGUAGAAACCAAGUUAAGCAGCAAAUGAGGGGAGUGGUACACUCACCGGUUCCAGUACAGAUACUUCAAAAGUUUUUACCCGAGUGGCUUUAAUCGCCAAGAAACCCUAAAAUAACCAAGAUAAAACAAUUAUAGUUCGCACAUCUACAAACCCAGUAAAUGGAAUGCAUAAAAGAGGCUCGACUACAAGUCGUAUGCCUUCCCAGGUUAAGUACUAGUACAAAAAAAUAAAAUAUGACUUUUGAGGAAAAAGAUAACAGUUGGUCCUAGGGUUACAAACAACUCCCAAAACCCUUCAUUUUUACCAAGAUCAAUUCAAAUUGAAGGAAUCGCGUAGCCCUAAAAUUUUGGGCAGCAUGCCCUCUGUAUUUUGCUAUAUUCCAGCCAUUUAUGGCUUCAUUGUUUUUCCUCAAGUUAGUCCAAUUCAACACAUAAGAAAUCUCAAUACAAUAGCCCUUCAACUAGGUUCAAAUUCAUCCAAAUACAAAGCAAGUCUAGGAAUGCAACUAGAAAUCAAGUUUUAAGGACAAAAGCUAAAUAGCAGGUUUGACGUCUCUUAGCGGAACAGACACAACCGAAGCUACACUAAUCGGAUUGGGAUGAAAUUUAUACCGUUUCGAAGCUAAGAUAAAGAUAUACAACUUUGAUGAAGACUACUUAGUCCAGUUCGUAGUGUAUCUAGGUCAAAAUUUCAAAUUACAGAACCAGGAUCUCACAAUCAGACUAGUUAACCGCACUAUGAUUAAACGACAAUAACUCAGGCUACCGAAGUCCGAUUGAGGUGUAUCUUAUGGCGUUUCGAAGCCAAGACAUAUACCUACAUUUCUUAUGAAAAACUCCAAAGCUAAAUCAUGCAUUUUCAGAGACAAAAAUUGAAAUCCCCACGAAGAUAGAAAACUGUCCGCGAAAAUAAGGUUUAUGGGCAGUCAAGGGUAUUUCAGUCAUUUCACAUGAUACGGUGCUCCGAUCUAGCUGAAAUUUUACAGGAAGAUAUAAAACAUCAUUUCCUACAACUUUUAUGUUUUGUUCUAAGCCUAAUUCGACCUCUAACAUGCUCAAAUAAAAUCGGACAGAACAGGCCUGUUUGGAACCCUAAAGCUGAAAUUUCCGCACAAAACCGAAAUUUUCCGCAAACAAUCGUAACUAACCUAUACAAACUCCUUUUCACACCAUAAAAAACCAUCAAUCCAUGACUAAACAAUAAUUUAUAUAUUAAAACAGAAAAAAACCUCAAUAAAUAGGAAAAUUAGACAACUCAACCAUAACUUAUGAAAUAAUCCACAAAAUGACAUGCUUCACCACUAAAAACCCUUAAUUGAUCAUUAUUAUCAUGAAAGGGAAGAUAUCUUGACAACUCACCUUGGAAACUCCAAGAAACUAGAUAGCUAGAGCUUGUUCUUCACAAAUGGCUCCACUAAAGGCCUUAAACUAGCUUAUCAACUUACUUUUGUGGAGGGAUUUGGAAUUUAAACGGUAGGUUUGCAAGAUCCAAGCAAGAAAUGAAGAAACAAGUUGGAAGCUUUCUUUCUUUUUCUCUCCAAGAUGCUCGGCCAAAAGAGAAGGAAAUGAAGAUGAUUUUGGGUCAAUUUUUGAUAUUUGGUAAAGUUAAUGAAUAGUGGUCAAAGUCCAAGAACCAACCGUAGCGCGACACCUAGCACCUUUAAGGUUUAAACUUAUCCUUUUGUCUCUCCAAGAUUAACCAUCUAAGCAACCUCUAAUUAUCUUUUAACACCUAGUAAAUUAAUCCCUGUAUACAAAACUUAAGCUAAUUGGCCGAAUUGUAUCGCACUUACCGCAUUAGCAGGUCCCACGUCUAAUAUACACUCUUAAAAUCUCAUGAACUAACUUAUACUAGAAAAAUAUUUUAAAAACUCUAUUCACUUAUAAAAUCUCUGGAAAAAUCGAAAUAGUGGGGUAUAAUGAAGAGAAAUGCAGGCGAGGAAAUAAAUAAAUAAUAUAAAAUUAGGGAAAUUUACGGGUCCUCACAUAAAAUAAAUUAAAGACUCCACGUUCUAGAAUGUGGGUAAUCCAUCUGAUUUUUAUUUGCAAGAUAAUGGCCAUGUCAAUUGAGGAGUUGCAUCAUAGACAUCCUUCCACAUGAACAUUCCCAAAAUCCAGUUGAAUAGGCCACCAUCACAUGUGUUCAAUUUUAGCUACUUCAAAGAUGACUUAAGGCUUUUGAAUUAGGAAUCUUUCAACUCUUAGUUUUGUAUUCAUCGAACUUGGACAGCAAGUUAACACCAAAGUCCUGGUGAAUAGGUCUUGGAAACUUGUUAGUAGUCAUUUUUCACAUACACUGGGAUGGUGAAGUAUUUGAAAAACAUCUCUAAAAACAUCUAAUUUAUACGCAGCCAUAGUUUUACAGCAUCUAAGCUUGACAACUUCCAAAAUUUUUUAAUGGAAAGUCAUAAGACAACUUACCUUUCGACUUGUAGCCAUCUUCCACUAGCGUCGGUGGGAACUAAAGCUUCAAGGCUUUGGAACUUCACAGGCACUGCUAAAAUCCACCAUUUCUGAAAUGAAUUUACUGGACGCACUUCGAGUUCGAGAACUACUCAUGCAUUCCAGCAAUUUCAAAAGCCAAAUUAGGAAGCAACGCAAUUUGGCAAUUCUUGGAGGUUGAAACUUCUAAUGGAGAAAUAUAGUUUUGGUUCUCAAUAUUUGGCACUUGUAAAAUAGGAAAAAUGCACUUUACAUCCUCAAAGGUUGGGUUGAUGACCAAUUUCGUCCUCAAAGUUUCACUAAUUAUAAAUUUUAUCCUCAAAGUUCCUGAAUUUUGGCCAAUUAGGGACAAUUAACAGAAUAACACUCAAUUUGGAUAGAAAGCUGAACGUGAGAAACACACUCUGUUAGAACCAACAAAAAAGGGAUAAAAGCCGUUCGGAAGUGUAGACACUAAUAUUAUAACUUUCGAAUUCUAAAUUUUGUACCUUUGCUUUAUUUUGUUUAUGGUCCAUAUUUAGUAUGAGCCAUGUCAAUGACCACUUGGAAUGCACUUUGACAAACCUAUGCCUCUUCUUUUUUGAUGGUUUUAGUUGGUUAUAUUAAUUUGGAUACAAUAUCCAGUUUGGUUGCUACUUCAGAUUGUUAAAAUUUAAGGCAAAACUCUACCAAAACUUUCCUUCUUACCUUAUUGACAUGUAAAUCAACAUCAAGAUAAAAACAGCUGGUGGUUUUUUUAUAUAAUGCCUAUUUUAGGUUGGAAUUGAAAAUCAUACCCAUAAAUAACUGGUAGUUUUUUCAAAUAAUGGACGAAAGCAAUAAACAGCUGAUAGUCUAUGGGAAAUAAAAGAAACCCACAAAGAAUCCCAUGCAUUUUUUUUUUACGAAAUGAUAAGAGUUUUUAUUCAUAGUUAUCAAAGUAUAUACAAGUUGGAUUCAGUCCCCUGAUACGAUAGUAGUGCAACAUUGCACUAAGGAGAUAAAAAAAGAAGUUAUAAAGAGGUGAUAAUUUUUGGACAAGAUAAAUGAAAGGGGUAAUUUCAGAAACCUCCCCUGAGGUUCUUACAAUUUCACUCACCUCCCUUAGUUUUGAAUAAUUGCACUAACCUCCAUUUAUGCAGUAAAAUGACUAUAAUAUCCUUCACUUACCGAUGAUUUCUAAAAAAGCCUACAACUAAAACUAAUCUUUCACUUUAAAACAACAGCUACCACACAAAACAAACUUUUAUUCUCUCUCUUCGAUCCUCUUGCUUACCUUUUCUCUCCUGUAUUUCAUAGUCCACUUUUUUUCAUAGUCGCCAUAUCCGCUUGCUACACAAUUAUCUAAUACAUCCCAUAUCCUCAUUAUUAUGGAAAUAGAUCCUCUUUUUUUUUUUUUCCUUUUUGGUAAGUAUUAUUGAAUUGAAAUUGCUAAAUGACAAGUUGUCAAAGCAUAUUUGUUGUCAAACUAAAUGAAGAUGAAAAGAAUGGCGGUGAUACAGAGUAUAAGUAAGAAAAUAAAAAUGAUGGAUAAAAAUGAAACAUAGAUUGAGGAAGAUUACACUAUUAUACCAAUUGUGCAAAAAAAAAAAGAAAUUUGGGAUAUAAGAACUAUAAUCAAAUUUGCCUAAAAACAUAGAAUGUAGUCUCUAAUCUUGCUUUUGGUUGCUCCAUGUUGGUAUUCUUAGUGGGUUAGAUUAUUUUAGCAUCAACAAGGUUGCAUCCAUUUUGAUUGAAUUUGAAUAAUGACAGUGGUCAAUUUAGAGGCAAAAUUUAGGCAAAAAAAAUUGAGGAUAAAGAUUAGGUUGAAUGCAAAUGUAAAUUGUCAUGAUUGAUUUGUACAAGAAGCUUUAGGGCUGCAAAGUUGGGCUUUCGAAAUUAUGAGAAUACGAGGAUUAAGUUAAAGUGGCUUAUUGAAUUCGUUAGGGUAGUAGUUAUGCCGAUUGCAACAGUUGCAAUGUGGAAGAAAUUCAUGAGCUAGUUUUCCCCCUUCUAACUAACAAAGGGGUAUUUUAGGCUUUUUAGGACAAAUUUAGCAUAGUGGGUUUAUAUUGUUACUGAAAUGCUAAUAGUAGUGAAGGUAGGUGUAAUCUUUUAAAUUAGAAGGGAGCUACCUUCAAUAGUCAAAAACCUCCCCUGAAGUUUCUGAAAUCAUCCCUAAAAUUAAAGUUAUAAAUAGCUGGUAAUUUCUACACAAGAUAAAGAAACAACAACCUAUCAACUUUUUAUAGCUUUCCUCUAUUUUUGCAAAUAGGUUUCCUCUAUUAUAUAUCUUUUUGAUAGGUAAAAAAUAAAAAUUAAAUUAAAUUAAAUAGGAUGGGCUAAUUUAAUGCGUUUGGAUAGAUACUCAAAUCCAAGUCAUCUAUAAUGCAUGAAUAAGUGGAUGUCAACCAUUUAUGUCAACCUUCUUGCCAACAAAUGACUGGAUUUAGAAUGGUGAGGGUGGUUAGAACUUUUUUUAGAACUACAACAAGUAGAAUAGCGGAAAGGACAUAAAUGAAGUAAGAACAGGUUUUACCCAUUUUUUAUUGGGUGCAAAGUUGGUUCUAAUGGGGCAUGCUUCUUACGUACAGCUUUCCGUCCAAAUUAAGUGUCAUUCUAUCAAUUGUCCCUAAUUGGCCAAAAUUCAAGAACUUUGAGAAUGAAAUGUAUUCUUGGUGAAACUUUGAGGACUUUGAGGACAAAAUUGGUCAUCAAUGCAACCUUUGAGGAUGAAAAGUGCAUUUUUUCCUUUGUAAAAUUUAGGUGCUUAAAGUUUUGACAGAGUCAAAUCUAGUCCCAGUGGCUGGUACCUAGUACAAUUUUAGUCCUUAAAGUUUCAGCAAAAAAUAAAUUGGGUCCCCAAUUUUACCAAUUUGAAGCAAACUUAGGAUAGUUGACAUAUUUUCUCAAAUAUUGACGGAAUCAAUCGCAUCCAGUCACAUAUUGUUGAAUUAAACUUCUUAAAAAAAAGCAAAAUGGCGAGUAAUCUUGAACAAUAAAAAUAACUCGUACGAUGGGAUGUUUAGUAAUUAAUUAAUCAAGAAAUAGAAAAAGAAAGGAAAUUGGUUAAUCUAUAUGAAAAAAUUAAGUAUUUUGAAUUUUUUCUAGGGGGCUGUAGGGAUAGAGAGUGAAUAUAAGUUCUAGAUUGAUGAACUGGGCUAUACAACUAGUUUUAGUUUUUUAGUUUAAAAAAUUUUCUUCUUUUUACGAGUUAAUUAUUUAGAACAAGAGUUGUUGGUUCUUAAUUUUGUUGUUUAAAGUUAGUUGCUAUUUUGCUUCUUUAUUUUAAAAUUAAUUUAACGAACACAUGACUAGAUGUGACUUGAUUUUGUUAGUAAUUACAAAAAAUUUCUUCAAAUGUCCUAAAUUUGCUUUAAAUUGGAUACAUCAGGAACUAGAUUUGUUGCUGUCAAAACUUUAGGAACUAAAUCUACAUGUAUGCUAAACAUCGAGGACCUGAAUUAUUUUUGCCAAAACUUUAAGGACUAAAAAUGUACAUAAACUAUACCUUAAGGACUAAAACUGCAUUUUUCUCAACUUCUAAAAUACUUCCUUAAUCCUUCAUGAAGAAAUGAGGUGUGCAAGAAUUUUUUGUUAUCUUUUAAGAGUUGUUACCAUAUUUGCCAAAAAGAGGUCCCCAAGUCCUUUAACUGCCACUCUGCGAGUAAAAUAAAUUUAAGACAGGGAAAUUCUACAAUGUGGUAUACCACAUAGUGGUAAACCAUAUUAUAGAAACAAGAGUGUGACAAAAAAAAAGAAAAGAAAAAAGAUAAAACUCAUGAGAUACCACAAAUGCGGUAUACCACAAGGUAGAUGAUCCCACAAAUGUGCAUAGGGUAGGUAUGGAUUCAUUGGAGGAAAUAGGCAAUUCUAGAAAUCACUUCCAAGCAACCUGGCAGUUCCUGAAUUUCACCAAAUACCAAAAACAACUUUAACAUAUUGCGCUUGCUUAAAAGUUGCAACUUCCGCACGAGUUGUUACCAUUCAGUGCUGUGGUUUAGACUUUCUAAUUAAAAAAUCCUAAUUAUUCAAUUAAUUAAACUCAAUUAUCUUGAUUUUUUGCAAGUAUAAGGGUCAAGACGAGUGUAGGAAUAAUCAAGGUCGAUCCCACAGGGAAUCGGAUAAUUAUUAUGGCUUUUUAACUCGCUCUAUUAUCUAAACAACCAAGAAUACAAGAAAAAUAACACUAUAAACUAGAUAACACAAGAAAAUAAAUUUGGAAAGUUUGGUAGAAAAAUUUUCUAAGAUUUACGAAACCAUUGUCACUCAAGAUUAAAAUAUAAUCCAGUUGAUUUAUGCCUUUUACUUAUGACUUGUCAAGGAUAUACUUCCAAUUUUGUUCAAAUAAUGUGUUCGCCAUUAUCCAAACAUACUAAUAUCAAACCUUCAUCUAUUUACAUGAUGAAUUAACUUAGCACAAGUUCAUUAAAAUAUAUGAAGUAGCCAAAUUAAAUCCACCUAAAUACAUCUACUUUCAUGAACAUGAUCUUAGGGUUCAUGAAUCUUGUUCUACACUUGCAUGGUAAUAUUUAAUGCACAAUAAAUAAUAGGAUGAUUCAUAGUUGCUGAUCAAGAACUGUAAAUAUAAAGUAUAGAUACAUGAACUAACAAAUUCACAAGACAGCACAAGUCAACCAAUAAGUACUCAUAUCAUGAUGCAAACAAGUUCAACUUCACUCUAAGAGAAAAUAUCUUUGUUAGACAAACAUUAGGUAUGUUUAAGCAUAAUGUACUCAUGAAACAAGGCAUGACUGGUAACAAGAAUUUAAAGAUCAAAUGAUGAGAAAUUCGUAUUCAAAAUAUUGCAAUAAACUCCACAAGUUUCCUCUUGCAACUUUUGCUUCAAUCUACUGAUCUCACAAGUUUUUCUUCUACCUAAGACUCUCCAAAGUUUGUCCCUACUCAGCUAAAAUGAAAAGCACAACCUCUAUCUAUGGAGAGUUCUCCAAGUCUCUUUGUGUCUUCUCCAAUGCGAACUCUUGACAAACGUAACAUCCAAAAGUCAAGAUUUGUGGUUCCAAUAGAAUCAAUAAGAUUUGAGAUGACAAAACGUUUUCUUGAAGUUGUUUGAUAUUGUUUUUCUAGCCACCAAAAUGUCCCAUCAUCUUUUCCAUCCAAAACAAGAAAGCACAUGCCAAAAGGAAUGGUUAUGCAACUUGCAAAAGGCACUUUUCAGUUGGGACAAACCACAUGAGAAACCAAUUCUACUUCUAAGGUUUCAAGGCCAAUUUCUUGCAAAGUUUCUAAAGCAAAAGAGUAAAACCAAUCUGCCAAGAAUCCCCACCAGAAACCGGCUCGACUUCUGGGGUUUCUCCCCCUAUCUCAUGCCCAUUUUUAUCUGUUGAAAACUUCUUGCUUUCUUCAUUUAUCUUGGCACACAACCUUCCUUCAUAUCCUUUACCUCUUUUCCUAGAAAAACCAAUUUAAUGAGCAAAAAUAUACAAAACUUCUAAGAUUUGAUCAACAAUGCUUAAACAUCAACUUUUAGGAUAAUCUCAACUUCCAUUCUUGAUUUUCAUCAAAAAGUGACUAAAAACUUUUAAAGAGCCACAAAUAUAGUGCAUAAUAAGCACUUAUCAAACUCCACCCCACACUUAAAUCAUUGGUUGUCCUUAAGUGAUAAGAACUUCAAUCCAAAAGUUUGAUAUAACACAUGCAUAUUAGAAAUUCAAUUCCUUAAAACCCAGCAAACAACCAGCAUACAAUUAUUCAUUUCUUCUCACGUACACAUAAUAUCAAGCAAAGGAGACGUCAUUAUACCCUAAUUUAAACAUAUCAUCUUAAUUUCUCAUCCUCAUCCAAUUUCACAAUCAAGUAACUCACAAAGGUCAAUAAAAACAUUCCUAAAACCUAUGAUCAUCUUUGCAUCUUUUCCACGUCUCAUACAAUGAUUCACCCUCUUAAUAAGAAAAACUCGUUAUAUCCAUGUGUAAUUUAGCAGUUUUACUAGUUAGGAAAUAUUUAUUCAAGAAAGCUCUAGAUAAAUCCUCUCAAGUGGUGAAAGUGUAUGGGUUGAGAAGAAUACAGGGAUAAUUAGAAUUGAUCCUACAAGGAAUCGGGUAAUUACUACAGCUUUUGGCAUGAAUCUAGUAGCUGCCAAAGAUUGAAGUACCAAUAUUUUAUUACAACCCCAAGGGUCCCAAGUCCUAUGUUCAAGCAAAUCAUUCAAACAAGCUUACAAAUACAUUACUUCAAGUAAUGGCUAAAGGAAUUCGUAGAACAAAUCCAUUGAAGGAAUUGAAUUUGAAGGAAUGCCACUUCAAACCCUAGUUCUAGUUCAACUUGAGGAGUUGAAGAUUAUUGAAGAUAUUUGUCUUUUGGGCUGAAUUUUAUCUUUUGUUUAUUAUUAGUUUUAUUCAUUUAAUAGGCUGGCUACUUUAGUCAUUUGUUAGUUUUUUAAGUUAAUACAUUUAGCCAAGCUGUGUUGAGCUUAAAUAGGCUGAGUCCAUUAGCUAUUAGACAGAAUAAGUGAACCCUAAUCCAAUUCAAAUUUGGGCUAGUUUAAGUUUUACCUUAUAAACAAUUCUUAUUCUCAUUUUGAAAAGAGAGGCAAGAUUUGAUGAAUAAAAAUUGAUAUUUUUCUCUUGGUUCCUUGUGAACUUUCUUCGAAUUUGUCUUGAGUGUGUCUCGACAAAUUUAACUUGGCUUAUCAAUUAAGAAUUGCACUUGAUUUUGGCACAUUUUACCAUCAACCAGAAUUCACUAAUUCAUUUAGUUGUAGGUUAUGAUUGUAUCAACAUAUUCAUGACUCUAGGAAUUGGAACGGUUUUUUAUUUUCACAAUUCCAAAUUUGAGUACCAAUGUCUAGAUCAGGUCUUGUGGGAUACGAGUUUCUUUCAACUCUAACGGGUUUUGUAUCCGCUACUAUCACAGCCAGGUUGAAAGUAUCAAGUUAUAUCUCUAUUGGUUUGUUGUUUGAGUCAAUUUUCCAUGUUUCAAUUCGUUUAUAGGAUUUCUUGUUGAGUCAUCUUUUUGUCCUUGUUGAAUUGUUUGUUUUGUGCCCUAAUUGUGCCAAAAAAAUUGUUUUAGUAUUCAUCAUUAUUGUUGCUUAGUGUAUUUCAUUAUUGUUCAUCACACUAUUCAUUGUAUUGUUCAUCCAAGCACUAUUCCUAUUAUUGUUCAUCCAAAAACAUUUUGUCGUCGUCCUCAAAUCUAUGGCGAUUUUGAAUUAAUUCUUGGCUGGAGUAGUAGGUUUCGACUCGGUCAACUGUGUUUCAGCAAUCACGAGAUUGUCUCUCUUCUAUUAAUGAAUUUAUGGCACCUUUCUUUCACCGAAGGUGCUUGAUAACCAGGCACAAAGCAGGAAUAAGCAUAGAGCGUGCGUGCUCAGCUCUCACCCUCCUCUCAUCCGCAAAGCCAAGGCGGGAGAAAAAGCAUAACUCCCGGCUAUCAUAGGUUACCUUUCUAUCUUCCUCCCCCAUGAUGCUUCCAAAGCGAUCGCUAUCAUUUUCUUGCUUUCUUCUUGUCUUGAAUUGUUAUAGAAUGGCUUUAUAUCAGGUAUAGUUGGGAAGUGGGGUGAAGCCUUAGUGAACAUAGCAAGUGUACCGGGGAUGUUGCUCGGGCGUAGUAGGGCUGGACACCUAAGAUGAAAGAGCCUUCUCUGGCAGCGGCACUAUACCUUAGUCUCUCUAGCUUCCAAUCUAUAUAAAACUAGUCAGCAGAGGUAAGCUUGUCUAGCAUUCCCUCAUGCAAAGGGCGACUUUUGUCUCGGUUCUCUCUUGUUAGGCAAUUAUUGAGGUGAAAACAGCUCUCUUGGCAGUUAGUUUCCCCGUCAUCUUAGUGGGACUAGUCUAUCUCUAAUAAACUUUCACUUGAACUGCCAAGACUCGGUUUUUUGUGGUAACGUGCUUCUAGAAUUACGUUUAACGUCCCUUUAUGACUUUCUCGAUCGGUGCCUUGGAUUAGUAGCCGGGCUCCGGGACAUUACUACGACGGCUACUAUCGACCCGAGCCCAAAGAAGGACUAAAGCGAGAAGUUCAUUGGCCAUACAUAGUUAAGAAGGAUGAGGGUCAACAUCCUUCAUUACCCAAAUUGUUUCUUGAAGCUUUUUGAAUUUUCUGGAAUCUAUUGAUUGAACUCUCAAAGUUCUUGGAAGAAUUUUUAGGCUUUCUUCAAUUCUUGAUUUCAAACUUGGCAAAUCUUGAAAUUCUUGAACAUCUUGAAAACCCUAAUUGUUUCAUGAAAUUUCUUGUGGCUGAUCAUUGUUUUCUUGGCAGUUCUUGCUAUGGAGUGGAAAAAAAGAAAAAAAAAAUGACCAGCUAUUGAAAUUUGAUCUUGUUGAUUCCUUAAACAAGGCUGUUUGUUAGUUUGAAAACAAGACGAAGGAAGAAAAAAGCAAUGAACAGAUUUGAUUUUGAACUCUUGAAGUAAAGGCUACUAUUUUUGUUAAAUAAAAGAAAAGGAACAACCAUAUUUUUGGAAAAAUAAAGAAAACAAUCACUUCAUCUUAUCCUUUCCUAAUCUAAAUAAGAUUUGAGCGAAACUAGUGAUUUUUUUGCUUUCUUGUCCUAGUAAGAGUUGGAUUUGGACAAAAAAGGGUAACAAUUCCUAAUUCUAGUUGGAAAAAGGUGUCUUAUUCAAAUUUUCAUGCCUGAUUAUUUUCUAGAUUAGAUUCAGAUCAUAUUCGCUAGCUAUAAAGUCAAACGCUUGUUCGUGUAUUCUUUAUCUCUUUAGGGAUUCUUGAGUCAUUAAAUUCCAACUAUGUGUAGUGUCCUCCUUGAGUCAAAUUCUUGUGUCAAAAUCAAUCUUUUGAGCCAAAUUCAUUGUGUCAAAUUCAGCUAUAUUGAGUUAAGUUUCUUAAUCUCCAAAAAUCUAAUUGUGGUAUAGUCUUGUUGGUUUUUGAUUGCUGGUUGAGUUGAAUUGCCUUGAGCUUGUUUUGGGCCUAUUCAAGGAAGGUAAUCAAGGACCUUGAGAGAUUGGUGAAAUCAUUAGAGUGCUAAACACUUGAAUGCAUGAGUGUGAGUAGAUACACGUAAGGAAGUGCGUAGUGUAUUUUUUUCUCUACUUAACAUUUUCUUGCAAGUUGAAAUAAAAUGUCUAACGGCAAAGGUUCAAAGUAAGUUGAUCCUAAUCUUAUGAUGGAUGAAUUUCAACAGAUCUUGAACAAUACUCUCAAGCUGCUCCAUAGAUGACUUGAUCGAAUGCAGAAUAAGGCUGUUAAAAGGAGGGGAUUUAUGAGAUCUAGUUCCAAUUUCAAUUUCAAUUUCAAUUUCAAAUUUCAAUUUUAUUUAAUUCAAUUUUAGCUUUAUUUUAUUCUUGUUUUUAUUUUAUUUUAUUUUAGUUGAUUAAGUUUGCAAAAUGAUAGUUAGUGUUUAUUUUUGCUUAUUUUAGUAAAUUAGGUUCAUCAUUUUUUUAAGACAUUUUUGCAUUAAAUUUCUAAAAAAAAGAAAAUUCUCACAAAAAUUUGUUUUAAUUCAAGUGUUUCAAAAUAAAAUAAAAAUUAGUGAUACAUUUAACAUUUUUUUUGAUUACCCUAAACUUGUUUUGAAAAAAAAAAAACAAAAUAAAAAAUAGGUGGAGACCAUGCAAACUAGCUAAGUGGGAUACGUAAGGGUUAGACAAGUGUCCUCAUUUUUUGUUGAUAACACAACAUUUGCUAGAUUAGGUGGCAGGACACUUGUUGAUUUGUGGGAUUUUAGAGAAAAAAAAUCUGAAAAUGAGAAAUAAGGAAAAGAAUUGGCUACGGGACAGGAGGGGAAGAAAAAAGAAAAACUAGAAGGGAAGCUUGGGAUAGAGGAAACGAGGAGCUUGGCGAAAUCUAGAAAAAGGAAAAGAAAACAGGAGGAAGAAAGAAAAGGUUACGGGCUGAACAGAAAAAAAAAAAAGAAAAAAGGAAAAACCAGAGGGAGCUUCGGGGGAGGAAAAAAGGUGGGAAAGAGAGGAAGAGCUUCGGAGAGGAGGCAAGAAAAAAAGAGGUGGCGGCUGAGGGAAAAGAAAGCUGCAACCAAGAAAGAAAAAAAAUGAACAAGAAAGAACGAGAAAAGAGAUUGAGAGGAGAACUUUGGGCAAAAGAAAGAAAGAAAGAAAAGGGAGAAGCAGCCCGAGAGAGGAGAAACAGAGGCUUCGAGUAAGAGGAGGGAAUCUGGGGAGCAAGAAAGAAGGAGCUUUGGGCAAGAGAAAGAGGAAGAAAAAAGGGUUUCGGCUGGGAAGAAAAAGAAGGGAAAGGGAAAAAAUGUGACAGCCCCACCUCCCCCUAAGGCGAACCAAAGGGUUCGGCGGACCGCCUGCCCAACUCUCGCAAGGACUCAGUCAUACCUCAAGCCAAACCGGAAGAAAACCACAAGAACCAGCAUAACAACAAACCUAAACUUAAAGCAAAACUUAUAUAUAUUUCUAUCCCAAAAGAAGGUACAAACUCAAAUAUACAAAGAUUCUCAAUUUUUCAUACAUCCAGCCCGUGCCAAACGCUAGGGCGAGAACCAUAACAAAGUUCACAAACUAGACCAGGCUAGUUUAUAUGGAGCUCUCGUCCUUGCUCGCCUUCCCCUAUUAAGGAAAACAAAACUAACGGAAUGAGCUAAAAACUCAGUGAGGUUCCGAACACAUAAGUAAACAAUAAGUCCAAUGCAUUAACCAUAGAUAACAAAUAAUUCAAGAAACAUUUAUAAUAUAAAGCAGUAAUAAUACAUUCAUUAAAAGGAUAUGUGCUCACAUGGAGCUAUUCAUUCAUUCAUUCUCCUUUCAUUUUCCUUAUUCCUCCAAUCAUUUGAAAAUGCAUUUUUGUAAGUAAAACCCUUCAUUUACAUUAUCACUCGUUCAUUCAUUUCAUUUCACCCCCUUCCGGACGUUGGCCGGACUCUACCCGACAACAAGGUAAUACUCGAGUAUACCAAACAUUCACCUAGGGUCACCAAAUCGCCCGACCGAAUCCGCUUCUGGCUCGAGUCGAUCGGUAACGAAGGGCAGGGCCCAGUUCAGCCAAAGACUUACAUUCAUGCACAUAUAAGCAUUCAAUCAUUGUCAAUCAUUCAAUCAUUGUAAAUUUGACAUUCAUUUAGGUCGAGUGCGAUAAAGUACACACCCGCCUGGAAAACUCGUUUUAGCAAUCAUAGAACGCAUUUAACAUGUUAUCAAUCAUUCAUAACAAGCCAUAUAGUCAAGAGAAACAUAACAACAAGGAACACUCACCUAUUUACGCAAAAUAACGUCCAAAAUAUCCCUCCGGAUGAUACCCUCAGUCACCGAUGAAACCUAAGAUUAAGCGAGAGAGAAUAUUACAGUUCAUCUAUUAAAACAAUUAGGUGAAAUCAAAGAAAAUCCGACUAACAACGCGAAGAACGUAUAAAGAUGACUUUAAAAGUGAAAUGAGGGCAUUUGGAUCUGAGGACAGAAAUAAUUAAGGGUUUCCCAAAUCAAACACCAAACUAAACGAAAAAGGGUUAUAGAAAUUUCCAACGGAAACACUUGGACCGAAGACAAAUUAGAAUCCAGCUAGAUAGGUUAAAGAAAUAUUUUUCUGAAUCGUUUAUAUGGCUCAAAAUCAACAUAUAUUCAAGUAGAUAUUAUAUAACAAAUGUAUUGAUGAAAAUCAUGUGAAAAGGAGGAUAAAAUACCAUAAUUUCACACUUAAAACCUUACUUGAAAGUAGUUUUCUCGAAGCCGAGAAAACCCUAAUUCAUACCUCUUUAUUUUGGUAAGGAGUAAGUAAACAUUUGAAGUUUCAAACGAAAGAGGUAUCAUGUGUUAAAAUAGUAAAACGGUCACGAUAUUCGUCAAGCGAAAAUAUAUAAGUUCGAAUAGAAAUGUAUCUCCUCGAACACCCUUCGAGAGAACCGACGUAGUUUUCAAUGAAGUACGUCCAACUUGACACAAAAUCACAUUUCCAAAUCCACUUUAACUCACUCACAUGACAAGAAAAUAAAUGGGCAGCAUUUCCCUUUAAAAACUUCACUUUCACCCUACAAUCAAAUACCCAUUCUCAUAGCAAUUAACCACGAUCACACAUACGGUUCAUAAGCAUAAGCAAUAAAAUACAUCCAAUUUGGAGCACAAUACCCUUCAAUCAAGGCCAAUUAGGAGCUUAAGAACCAACUGUAAGAAAGCCCCAAAUCAAAACCCUAGAACUGCAAUUUUCCGCAUAAAUCUGAAAUUUUUCGGAAAUAACCACAAUUAAUAUGCACAAGCUUCAUUUUAUACCAUAUCAAGCUAUCCUUCCAUAACCAACUAACAAUAAUCAUAUAAAAUCAGAAAAUUCCCCAAUAAAUCAGAAAUUGAUCCAACCUUACUUAAAAUCAUGAAAUCCUCUCCAAAAUAGCAUAACUAACCUCUAACAACCACCAAUUAACCAUUAUUAAAGCAAGAGAUACUUUCUUAUCCAACUUACCUCAAGACUCAAGAAAGCUAGCAACUAAGGGUUUCCCUUUCAAAAACAACUCCACCAAGACCUUUAAUCCUUCUUAGCUAGCACUCGUACGGAGUAGUUUGGAAUUCCACCAGUUAAAACUCAAGAUUUGAGUAAAAAUUGAAACUAGAAAAUGAAGAGCUUUCUUGGUUUUUUUCUCAAGACAACCGGUCAAGCAAGGAGCAAAAUGAAGAUAUUUUGGCCAAAAACAAGAUAAGAAGGAAGAAAAAGCAGACAGUCAAAGUUGACUACCGGAGAUGACGUCACAAUCCGGCCGGAUUCCAGGCCAGAUUCUAGGCAGUGGCGGAUCAAAUUUUUUUUCAAAUCCCUCAAGCAAUCCGGCCAAGAACUGGCCGGAUUUGCGGUCGGAUUUGGUACAAAACAUUUUCAGCAGAAAUAUUUCUUUCCAAGCUCACAAGCCGCGUUCGUCCAUACUUCCAACAAAGAUAUAUAUAUAAUCUCGCACAAAUACACAUGAUAUAAACAAACACACGCUCAUAUUUAUAAUGAAAAUCUUCCUUAGAAAACUUGGUUAGCAAAUUUUCAUUUUAAAAGGGAAGUGAGAAUAAACAAGAAAAAUGCGGAGAAUAUGUGGAAAUUUUAGGGUUUUCACACUUUCUCCCCCUUAAGAAAUUUCGUCCUCGAAAUUUUUACCUUCAGUUACCUCAGACGAGUCCGGAACUUGUCGGUUGUCUAAGGCAUAAACCUUUCCCGGUACAUUUGUUCGAUCCCCUUUUUCACUCGCUGGUUUUGAUUUAGUUCCAUCCAGUGGUCGAGUGCUACUUUCUCGUGACUGUUUCCUCAGGUAGUUACUAACUUGAUGAUCACCACUUCAACAAAUCAAACACUUCCGCCAUUUUCUCCAACAAUCGCUUUCGGCGUGAUUUGCCUUUUCACAGUAUCCACAAACCAAGUGAGAAGCCACCUUUUGGCUUUCUUGAGACAUCUCCCCAUGUCCGAUUUGACUUCCUUUUGUAGACCUUUCAUCUAACGCCCCUAAUGUCCAUGGUAGGCGGGGUAUUGAUUCACUUUUUUCACUUUAGAAGGUGCUAUCGUUUCACUAAAUUCCUCCAAUACACUACCAAAUGCACCUCUUUUUCGGGUUUGGGAGGCUUUUACCUGGGCCUUUGCAUUCUCAAUUCUUUGAGCUUUCUCAAGAGCCUCUGUAAAAGUAUUAACUUGCACCGCCGCUAAUGCCUCCUGGAUUUCCAAAUUCACUCCCUGUAUGAACUGUCAUACUCUUCGCCGUUCUGUGGCUACCAAUUCAGAAGCAAACUUGGAUAGUUUCGUAAAUUUUGUUUCAUAUUCGGCCACACUUUGAGUUCCCUGUCGUAGCUCAAUAAACUCCUCCUCUCUCCUUUCUUGGACUAAAGGUGGAAGGUACUUCUCGUUAAAUUCUCUUAUGAAAUUCGCCCAUGUCCAUACAGUCUGUUCUCUUUCCCACUUUGCUUUAAUAACAUUCCACCACGCUCGGUCCGGUCCUUCAAAUUGGAACACCGUAAAGUUCACUUGUCUUUGCUCAGUAUAGUUUAAAGCCGCAAAGAUGUUGAUCAUGGCCUCCAGCCACUGUUCAGCUACAUCCGGAUCAGGCCCUCCAAUGAAUUUCGAAGGUACAAACUUUUGAAAUCUCUCAAGAGCCCGAUCUUCUCCUAUCUCAGGGUUUUGGGGUUGAUUCACAGGCAUUUGGCCUUUUUGGUCCACCAAUCUUGCUAAAAUAUUUGUCAUUUGUUGUAUGACUGUCGCCAUUUGGUCCCCGGCUUCAACCCUUGGCCCUUGUUCUUGCUCAGCCACUGUUUCUCUUUCUUCUCUUGGUUCCGGGGAUCGCUUAGCUCCACGGCCGCGACCAUGUCUACGACUGCGCCUCAUCUCCAUACUUUUUUCCCCUCUCUCCUUUCUUUUCUUUCCAAAAGCUAAUUUAAUAAAUAAAUGAAGUAAAUUGACUAAAAUCAUAAGAUCUAACGCACCAAAUACGCAGAAAGACAUAUACAUGACAUGACACACCAUAUAUACAAAGGGACAUAUCAAGUUAGACAGAUAAUCAAAAGCAGUCACUAUCACACAUGUAGGUAUUAACAUACCACAAACAAAAGUCAUGUAGUAACAACACAAGGCAAAUAAAAAAAAGGUGAUAUCGUCCUAGUUUCAGGUAAAAUAACCCCGUCCGGUCUCUCACGUCACUUUCUAUCCAAACUAGACAUCCGUUGACCUCUUGUACUCAUUCUAGCCAAACAAGGCCUGUUAAUAUUCCCAAACUGCAAGUCUCACGCACUUAGUACCGCUUCAACUCUGGAGUACUCGGGCAUGAGAAUCCGAAAUAAGAUAAUUCACGUCUCGAACUGGCCAGUCCCAAGAGUAAACUAUCUACAAUCGAAAUUCCUACCUGACGUACCUAUCUAUGGUCCUCAAAUACCAUGAGAAAGAUUUAGGUCUAUAACAUUUAUGAUUCAUAGCUUAUGUUCGAACGAGCACUUAGUCCUUCAUACUUAUUCACCACUUGGCCUAAACUCACUCCGCGCAGAGACCCCGCGAAGCAGUUACUGAUACCAACUGUGACAGCCCCACCUCUCCCUAAGGCGAACCAAAGGGUUUGGCGGACCGCCUUCCCAUCUCUCGUCAGGACUCAGUCAUAUCUCAAGCCAAACUGGAAGAAAACCACAAGAACCAGCAUAACAACAAACCUAAACUUAAAGCAAAACUUAUAUACAUUUCUAUCCCAAAAGAAGGUACAAACUCAAAUAUACAAAGAUUCUCAAUUCUUCAUAUAUCUAACCCGUGCCAAAUGCUAGGGCGAGAACCAUAACAAAGUUCACAAACUAGACAAGGCUAGUUUAUACGGAGCUCUCGUCCUUGCUCGCCUUCCCCUGUUAAGGAAAACAAAACUAACGGAAUGAGCUAAAAGCUCAGUGAGAUUUCGAAUACAUAAGUAAACAAUAAGUCCAAUGCAUUAACCAUAGAUAACAAAUAAUUCAAGAAACAUUUACAAUAUAAAGUAGUAAUAACACAUUCAUUAAAAGGAUACGUGCUCACAAGGAGCCAUUCAUUCAUUCAUUCUCCUUUUAUUUACUUUAUUCCUCCAAUCAUUUGAAAAUGCAUUUUUGUAAGUAAAACACUUCAUUUACAUUAUCACUCAUUCAUUCAUUUCAUUUCACCCCCUUCCGAACGUUGGCCGGACUCCACCCGACAACAAGGUAAUACUCGAGUAUACCAAACAUUCACCCAGGGUCACCAAAUCGCCCGACUGAGUCCGCUUCUGGCUCGAGUCGAUCGGUAACGAAGGGCAGGGCCCAGUUCAGCCAAAGGCUUACAUUUAUGCACAUAUAAGCAUUCAAUCAUUGUCAAUCAUUCAAUCAUUGUAAAUUUCACAUUCAUUUAGGUCGAGUGCGAUAAAGUACACACCCGCCUGGAAAACUCAUUUUAGCAAUCAAAGAAUGUAUUUAACAUGUUAUCAAUAAUUCAUAACAAGCCAUAUAGUCAAGAGAAACAUAACAACAAGGAACACUCACCUAUUUACGCAAAAUAACAUCCAAAAUAUCCCUCCGGAUGAUACCCUCAGUCACCGAUGAAACCUAAGAUUAAGUGAGAGAGAAUAUUACAGUUCAUCUAGCAAAACAAUUAGGUGAAAUCAAAGAAAAUCCAACUAAUAAUGCGAAGAACGUAUAAAGAUGACUUUAAAAGUGAAAUGAGGGCAUUUGGAUCUGAGGACGGAAAUAAUGAAGGGUUUCCCAAAUCAAACACAAAACUAAACGAAAAAGGGUUAUAGAAAUUUCCAACGGAAACACUUGGACCGAAGACAAAUUAGAAUCCAGCUAGAUAGGUUAAAGAAAUAUUUUUCUGAAUCGUUUAUGUGGCUCAAAAUCGACAUAUAUUCAAGUAGAUAUUAUAUAACAAAUGUAUUGAUGAAAAUCAUGUGAAAAGGAGGACAAAAUACCAUAAUUUCACACUUAAAACCUUACUUGAAAGUAGUUUUCUCGUGGCCGAGAAAACCCUAAUUCAUACCUCUUUAUUUUGGUAAGAAGUAAGUAAACAUUUGAAGUUUCAAACUGAAGAGGUAUCAUGUGUUAAAAUGGUAAAACGGUCAGGGUAUUCGCCAAGCGAAAAUAUAUAAGUUCGAAUAGAAAUGUAUCUCCUCGAACACCCUUGAGAACCGACGUAGUUUUCAAUGAAGUACGUCCAACUUGACACAAAAUCACAUUUCCAAAUCCACUUUAACUCACUCACAUGACAAGAAAAUAAACGGGCAGUAUUUCCCUUUAACCAUUUCACUUUCACCCUACAAUCAAAUACCCAUUCUCAUAGCAAUUAACCACGAUCACACAUACGGUUCAUAAGCAUAAGCAAUAAAAUACAUCCAAUUUGGACCACAAUACCCUUCAAUCAAGGCCAAUUAGGAGCUUAAGAACCAACCAUAAGAAAACCCCAAAUCAAAACCCUAGAACUGCAAUUUUCCGCAUAAAUCUGAAAUUUUUCGCAAAUAACCACAAUUAAUAUGCACAAGCUUCAUUUUAUACCAUAUCAAGCUAUCCUUCCAUAAUCAACUAACAAUAAUGAUAUAAAAUCAGAAAAUUCUCCAAUAAAUCAGAAAUUGAUCCAACCUUACUUAAAAUCAUGAAAUCCUCUCCAAAAUAGCAUAACUAACCUCUAACAACCACCAAUUAACCAUUGUUAAAGCAAGAGAUACUUUCUUAUCUAACUUACCUCAAGACUCAAGAAAGCUAGCAACUUAGGGCUUCCCUUUCAAAAACAACUCCACCAAGACCUUUAAUCCUUCUUAGCUAGCACUCGUACGGAGUAGUUUGGAAUUCCACCGGUUAAAACUCAAGAUUUGGGUAAAAAUUGAAACUAGAAAAUGAAGAGCUUUCUUGGUUUUUCUCUCAAGACAACCGGUCAAGCAAGGAGUAAAAAUCAAGAUAUUUUGGCCAAAAACAAGAUAAGAAGGAAGAAAAAGUAGCCAGUCAAAGUUGACUGCCGGAGAUGACGUCACAAUCCGGCCGGAUUCUAGGCAAUGGCGGAUCAAAUUUUUUUUCAAAUCCCUCAAGCAAUCCGGCCAAAAAUCCGGAAUUGGCCGGAUUUGGUACAAAACAUUUUCAGCAGAAAUUUUUCUUUCCAAGCUCACAAGCCGCGUUCGUCCGUACUUCUAACAAAGAUAUAUAUAUAAUCUCACAUAAAUAUACAUACUAUACACAAACACACGCUCACAUUUAUAAUGAAAAUCUUCCUUUGAAAACUUGGUUAGCAAAUUUUCAUUUUAAAAAGGAAAUGAGAAUAAACAAAAGAAAUGCGGAGAAUAUGUGAAAAUUUUAGGGUUCUCACAAAAAAAGAUAGGGAGAAAGGGAGAGAAGGUGAGGGCUGAGGAUCAAGAGAGGAUCAGAGGGAUCAAAGAAAGUAAAACUGCAAAGAAAAAGGGGAAAAGACCAGAAAAGGGGAGAAGAAAAUUGCAGAAAAUUUUUUCUGCUGAAAGUUGAGCCAGGGUUGAUGAAUCCACUCUGUUCGUGACCUUAUUUCUACAAAUCCCAAUCUCCUUUUGAGGAAAUUUUUCUUGCUGCACCAUCUACAAUCGUCAGUGACCAAUUGGUAUUCAUAAAACAUUUGGAGAAAACCGCUGCAACGUCUUCAAAUUGGGGUCUGAACUUGCUGCCUUUACUAGACUUGAGGAACGGCGAACAAAAUUUCUGCUCCGUGUCCAUCACUUCAAGCUCAAUCUCUUUGUUUCCCUCACAUCGAUUCAGUCUUCAACUGCAUGCAGGUAAUGAAUACAUCUUUAGUUAGCCGACUUAACUCUUUCUAUGAGGUUUUGUUGGACCAUCGCAUGAGCUUUAUUUGGUUGAUAUGUUUGCACUUGUUAUUUGCUCUUUUUGUGAUCCUUGUUGCAUCAAAGAUUUGAGUUUUGAUGGUUUACGAUUUGCUAAAACAGUUUUAAAGAUGUUUUAAUGUUUGAUGUUUGGGUGAUGAGGUCGAAUCCUCAAGUGUUGUUUCACCAAAAACCAGCUUAGGUCGCCCUUUCUUGUAUUAUUCAGUCGAUUCUCUUUUGAUCUUCAAUGGCUUGGUGUUCAUGAUUGGGUUGUGUUAAUCAAAGUGUUCAGUUGUUAAGGGGUGUUGAGUAUGCGGACCCGAAUUCUUAUUUUAUUCUACUUACUUUUAUUUCGUUUUACUGGUUUAUUUAAUUAUUUAUUAAACCGUUUUCUCCGAAUAAUUUAUUUCAACCAUUUUAAAUCCAUUUACAUGGAACAAUGUCCCAUUUAUAUUUCUAAAACGUUUCGCUAGCAAAUUUAAUUUUUCUGCGACUCGUUUAGCGAGAAAUAGUGAAUGCACAUUUUUCGAGGCAAAUUCGAUCCGAGAGUGCAUUAGUCUUGGAGAACUAAGGAUGAUUAAUAGUAGAAAUAUUAAUUGAGGGAUUAGUGGUGAAUGAGUUAACUUAAGCUCAAUUAAGAGCACCAAUGGCUCACUAAUCAACCGUUGACUUUUGGAGCCAAGACCACCUUUAUGUCAUUUCUCUUGUCACUCAAUCAAGUUACCCAACUAUCACACAAACACUCUUCCUUCUCCUCUACUCAUUGGCCGGCCAUCCCCCUUCCCAUUUCCCCUCAAAAUUUCAGCUUUUGUCUUCCAUUUUUGCUCCACAAAGCUCUCCAAAAAUUGCUUCUUGUCUUGGGUCUUCAUGCAAGCUUGGAAGAGGACAUCUUGAAGAGAAGAGAUGGCCAGCUGCUUGGGAUUGUUUUAGGGAGUUUCUCAUACCAAAAAUCUAGAGUUUCCUCUUGUGUUUGGAAGGUAUACACAUUUCUCACCAAAACUCUUGCUUUCUUGUUUCAUUUCUUGGCUUUGAAGCUUGUAGCUUACUUCUUGUUGUUGUUGGUUGGAUUUGGUUCGUUGAAGUGGGCUCUAUGAACUCCCACCUUGGUUAAAUGAGGGCUGCCAUGAUAUUUAUGUGUGUAUUAGUGUGUUUGUGAUGAGUUUUAAUGAUAGAAACUAGAAGAGGAAAAAGAAAGAGAGAACCGAGAGGAGAGGGAGAAGUGUUGGCCAAAAUUUUGAGUUUUUGUUACUCUGUUUUGAUGCCAUAUUUUCCUGACUUUCUUGGCUCAUUUGAGAGCUGAUAUGUUCAGCUUUAAGUGGACAAAUUUCUAGCCAAAAACUCUUUCGUUUGGUGCUUCAAAAUUCCAUGAAAAAAAUUGGCCAAAAAUCUGGAACUUUCCUUUCCUCUGCUGACCGAAUGGUCAAAUCUGUUUUGGGGUGUUUCAUUUCUAAAAUUUUAGUGUUAUUUAACCAUAAAUUGCUCAUUAAAUGUUGUUAGAAUUUUGGUUUAAAAAAUGGAGUGAAUUGGGGCUGAUUUCGUUGGACAAAACUUAUGGAAAAGAAAGAAUGAUAAGAUUGGCAGAUUGGUUUCAAAGAAUUUCACUAACUUUGAUCAUUUUGUUAACUGCCUUCCCAUGCAAGUUCUUGCCUAAAUUUUGGUAGGGAGGUAGUCCAUAUAUGAAAGUUUAAGUGUACCAAAUUUUGCAUAAUUACAAUACCAUUUCGAUGCCCAAAUGAUUCCCCAAAGAUUGCACUUCAAAGUUGGAAAAAAAAACUACCCAGGUCAGUCAACCAGGGGUUCUUUGUCUGUGUAUAAAUCUUUGUACAAAAGUCAAAAUUGAGUGCCGUUUGUGACAUUUAAAACUAGCACCAAGAGCUUUCCAAUGGUAUAAAAUUUCCCUACCAGUUCAUUUUGAGUGAGCCGUAGCGAAUCGGCAAAGUGGACUGACCUGUUUUAUCUGUUUACCCGAGAGAAACUGGAAAACUGUAUCUUGUGGCUCAAUUUCGUCUCACUUGUGAUAGGAGUUUGAAAAUGAUGUCUUUUGAUGAUUUGAAGAAUUUUGAAUCUAGUUUCUAACGUGAUAAACCAUUCUCAAUUUGGACUUAUGUAGAGUUAGAUAUGGUCUGAUUUCAAAACUGUGUCAAAGCUGGAAAUUGGGAAAUUGUUGAACAGGUUGUGAAAUCCAGACAUCUUCAAACUGUUGUAUCUUGUGGUUCAAAAAUUCAAAUUUAGUUUCACUUGUUGUGUUUGAAACUUUACUUGAAACUCUUUCUGUGUUAUAAAUUCCAAAGGUUGAUUCAAUUUCUGUGAAUUUUACCAAAUUUCCAAACGUGGCUUAAAAACAAGAACUGGUUCUGCCCUGUCUUCAUGAAACAACAACUUUGAUCUGAGAUUUGAAUAGUUUCUAGUUAGAAUCUAGGAAAAGUGUCUUCCAGAAAGUUUUAGUACUUUGAAUUUAGUUUCCAACGGCAUAAAAUUUCCAAUUUUUGAACUUACCAAACUUAAGAUAUGAUUUUUCAAGUGUUGUCAUCCAAAGCUGGAAUUUCUGGUUUCCCAUGAAUUGAACAUUUUAAGAACUUCCAAUUCCCUUUUUAGAUUGAGGGUUCAUUUUAAACUCAAUUUCAUGAAUGAUACAAGUUCUCUUGUAACUUUAACACUUCAUUUUUGAAACUCGAUUUCCAAUGGAAUAAACCUCUCUUGAUUUUUUUCUUAGUCAUUAACUUUCUUGGUUAUUGCGCCUCAUUUUCAUACUUGAGAAAUGGACUUCAAUUCUUAGUCUGAUGCAUUUCAUUUCAUGAGUUUGAACUUUAAAAAUGGAGCGUUUUAACUCAAGAGAUUUUUAGAGAAUUUCUUCAGUUUUCUACUCAAAACAUGAAACGUUUAACUUUGACAAUUUCUAUGAAAUGAGUGGAGUUUUGGAUGAUUUUUAUCUCCAUUAGUUUGAAAAAUGUAAACGUCCUUUAUAUUCUAAUUUUUGGGUCAUCAGACUUGAAGUUUUGAGAGAUAAAAACUACCUACCUUUUCUCGAUUUUCGUGCCAAAAGUGAAAUUUGUACUUUCUUUUGGAAUUGAGAUUUACUUACCACGACUUGAAUCAAAAAUGACUUUUGAGUUCUCUUUGAGCAUUAUUUCAAUGAUUUAGCAAAAAGCUCCUUUAACUUGAUUUGAACUUGUGACCUUAAACCUUUAUUUGUGAAUUUUGAUUUUCAAUAAAAUAAACCUUUUUGAUGUAUUGUUCUAGUUCUAGGUAAACGAACUUUCUUCUUUGUAUGCUCAAUGGUCUAGAGUAUACGUGAGUGAUGGAUGGUCACUAUUUCUUCAGGUGCUCAAGAGGGCUUCGAAAGGAAUCCCGGUGUGGACAACUGAAGGGCUUUAUUUGCUCACUUGCUUUUGAACUGGUGAGUGUCAAGUGCAUAACUUGUUGUAUAAUACUUGAAAUACUUCUUAUUGAAUAUGUGAAUUGGACUUGUCGAAACGAGUGUGUACUUUAUCGCACUCGUUCUCUUUUACUUGAUUUGAUAAUUGACUUGCUCAUACUUAAAAUUAUACUUGUGUUUGACUCGACGUCGAUUGGAGAGCCAUCUCAUCGACUUGUACUUGUACUUGUGGGGGACGCUCAAAACUCAUUGGUUAACCUUGCGACUUGAGCCGGCAUGGGUUUGGUCGGGAAGUUUGGUGAACCAUGAGGAAAUCAUAAAACAAAAGAUCUUGCUUGGCAUAUUUGAGUAGUAUCACCUUUUCUAGUCGACGUACAGGUCCGGUAGGGGGUGUAAUGGUGGACGAAAUUUGGUGAAAGUGGAGUCUACGGAUUUGGUAUUUGCUCGGUUGACGGAGAGUCAACGUGUGAUAUUUGGAUCAAGACCUUGGCCAAGCUAUGUGGAAUUCAGCUCCUGAGAGCUCCCGUAUCCUUAUUGAUUGUAUUUUACUGUUAUUUGUGAAUUACAUGAACUUGCUAACUAUAUUUUUUGUACAAGUGUUGUUGCUACAUGAAGUUAUUUGUUUGCAUGCUUUUCUUGGUCUCACUGAGCGUUAGCUCACCCUCGUAGUUUUGUUUUCCUUAACAGGAGCUCGGAUGGAAAGAUUUUUGGAGAAGCUGACUUUACCAACUUUUCAUUAGAAUUUGGAUGUAUAUAGUUUAGUUAGUUUUUGGAUGGUUGUAUUUUUGGGAAAAGUUGAGGUACCUUUUGAAAACUUUGUGAUGUAAGACUUGAAUGAUUGUAUAAGGAAGCGACUUUUCUUUAUAUUGGCUUUUAUUAUUGGUUGUGUAUCGUUAAAUUUAAAUUUGACUCGUAUUGAGCCCUGGCGAGAGCUAGGCAGGCAGCCCGCCGAUACCAUAGGGUUUGCCCUAAGAAGAAGUGGGAUCGUCACAGUUGGUAUCGGAGCUUAGGCGUCAGAUCUCUGUAGUGUAUCUUAGACUAAAAAUUUAGGAUGCAGGACUGUGGGACUGGUUUGAAAGUUAAGUGACCGCUUGUAGGAAUGAAAAUCAGAGCGCUAGGUUUGAAAUACCUGGAAUAGGGUUAGGAGUUCUUAGUCAUGAUCUUUUGGUCAUAGAAAUUUGUGAUAAAUCUUAAGUUAAUUUGUUGAAUAGCACCAGUGAUUAUAAGGUCCUAACCUUUAGUUUUGUGGGUUAAUUGUAGGUCAUGGAAGGAAAUGGUAGAGAUGGGUCCCCUCUGAGGCACCUUCCAACGAUUCGUUAUUGAGUGAGGCCUUGGGGCCCUCUUUGGCAGUGGACCCUAAUUUGUCGUAAUAGGUCUUUAUGUGACUGUUGGAGAACUUACUCGUACCCUAACGAAGUGGUGCUACCGAAAAUCAAUGAUUGAAGGCGGUUAUUCGAGGAAACUAGGGUAGUCCGAGAGGAUAAUCGAGGACUGAGGGCGACUGUGGAUGUCCAAACUGUUAGAGUUCAUGAACUGGAGACAGAUGUACUUGAGGAGUGGAAAAAGGUUGAGGCUCUUCGUGAGCAGGUUCAGGAGGUUAAGCGCUAACUCACUAGGGUAGCACAUGAAAUUAGAGACCAGAUUGAGGGAAUGAUGGUCGAGUGUGUUACCUUGGUUGAACAAGUGGUGGAUGGCAAGAUACUUGACGAGGGACAUGAGGAAGAGACUCCUAGUGCUGAAAAUGAAAAUGAUCCUACUGAAGUAGCAGAGACUUCUGAGUCCGCCAGUCACUAAGCUAGUGAUUUAAUCUACUUUAGUAGUUUUUGUCUAGAAUAGUCAGGGUGGUGCUUGUUCAAAGGCCAUUGUAUUUUGCUUAAUUAUGCUACCUAUCUUUUGAAGCACUUGAACGUUACUUAUGAGGUGUUUGACUUUAUUGCUCCAUGACUUCUAAUCUAUGCUAUGAGUUGUUCAUAAUUACAAUUAUUUUUGGCAUCUCUCCUAUUUAUUUUCGUUUUGCAUGAUUAAAGUGUCAUUUUAAACUUUGCGUAUGUGUAUGUAUUUCACGUUAUGCCUUUAGAAAAUAUUAAAAUUAUGGAUAGGCGGGGACGUGGACGGGGUCGUGGGCGUGGGUUUCGGCAACCUCACACUCCCGAGAGAGAUGAGGGAUCAGUGAUUGGUCUGAACCAAAACCCUAGGAACGGAGAGGGUGACCUAGUGACUACGACCCUUAGCCGCAUAAUUGAUAUUUUUGAGCGUUUAAUUGAGCGUCAAGGCCUUAAAACAAUCAACCAACCUAGGAACCAAGAGAGGGGUGAGAAUAGGUCUUUAGAGUGAUUCAUGAAGUUUGCCCCACCUAGGUUUCAUGAAAGAUCCGAUCCCAAAGCAGCAGAAAUUGGGUUGAGAGGAUGGUAUAAGGCACUAGUGAGAGCAAGAGGUUAGGGAUUCUUCUCGAGUAACUUCGUGAGUAUUAGAGAGUGAGUUAGGGUGUGAAACUUUUAUAUUAAGGCAUAAGAUCUUCAUAUUUUGUUAUGUGUAUAAGUGAUGAUAGUAGUUCUUGUGGAAGACCCAAGAACUCGUCCAUAUCAAGUAGAGAAUAGUUAAGAUUCAUAUUUUUUGGGAAACCUGUAAGCGAAAGAACGGAAGAGUAAAAUGGCCAGAAUUUUCCAGUGUGAAUAGUUACUUAUUUUGAUUCUCUGAUUUUCCUGGUAGGCUAGGAUUUGAUUUAAGUCAAACGGUGAGAUGACAAAUUUGGGAGAGAUACGUAAGGAAAUGGACAUUCUUCGAAAGGAGGUAGAAUUUCAAAAGAAAUUGGCUGACUACUGAGAAGGACGGUAGAAACAAGAAUAUGCAGAGAAGAUUGAGUUGCUAUAUAAAAACGUGGAACUAGAGAAGAAAUACAAAGAAAAUUCUCAAACUGAUCAGACCGUGACUUCUCGUGUGACUUAUGAAUACUGUGGCAAGUUUAACCACACUGAAACUGAGUACUGGAAAAAGCGAGAAAAAUGUCUGAUCUGUGGUAGUGCUGAACAUCAGGUUUCAAGCUGCUCUAGUGCCUCUAAGAAAAAGAGAAAAUACUCUGUAGCCUACUAGGUCCGCUACAAAGCAAUCAAGUGCCAAAAUGAGUGAUUAAUGCUAAUGGCUGUGAGAGAGAUCCAAGUAGUGGAAGCUUUACGAAUGGGGAUGGAUUUGACUCCACUCGAAGGAUAGAGAUUGUAAUCUUUUGUAUAGGAAAUAAAGUUCUUUUGUUGUUUUGUACAUUUGCGAUUUAGCACGUUUUCCUAUGGUUUUGUUUGUCCCCCUUUCUUUUGAAAUUAUUUGAUGAAUUUAUCCUCACUUGGUGUAACUAUUAUGAUCUUUUAUUAAAAAAAAAUUUACCUUACUUUAAUUGAUUUUAUGGCUUACAUGUAUAUUUAAUUUACUGUCCCAGACCUUUAGACCUAUAAUAAGAUCGUGAACCGUACUUGAGAAUAGUUUACAAAUCUUGAGAGAGCGCCAACUUCUUUUGCUAAGUUCUAUAAAUGUGAAUUGGUUGGAAGAAGUAGCCUUUCUAGGUCAUAUAAUCUCUAAGGAAGGAAUUACCGUGGACCAGCUAAGGUAGAAGUUGUUUCUAAGUGAAAACGACCAGAAAACCCUACCGAAGUUUGGAGUUUCUUGAGGUUAGUCGAAUAUUAUCGUCAGUUUAUCAAGGACUUUUCUAAGACUGCAAAACCCUUAACCAUGUUGACUAAGAAGUAUGGCAAGUUCAUAUGGGAUUUUAAAUGCGAGAAAGGGUUCAAGAGUUGGAAAAGUAUUUGACUGAGGCAUCGUAUUAGCCUUGUCGAGCGGAGAAAAUGGUUUUUGUGGUUUAUAUGGAUGCUUUAAAGAAUGGUUUAGGAUGUGUAUUAAUGUAAAAUGGAGAAGUGAUUGCGUAUGGCUCCCGUAAGUAAAAACUCAUGAACAGAAUUAUCCGACCCAUGACUUGGAGUUAACGGCAGUGGUGUUUGCCUUGAAAAGUGGAGACAUUAAUUAUAUAGAGUGACUUUCGAGAUUUUUACUAACCACAAUAGUUUUAAGUAACUAUUUUUUUCCUGAAAGAGUUGAAUUUGAGGCAACGUAGAUGGGUGGAAUUUUUGAAGGAUUAUGAUUUUUCGCUUAACCGCCACCCCGAGAAGGCUAAUGUAGUGGCAGAUACCCUAAGCCGUAAGGUGUAAGUGGCUAGUUUAGUGGUGUGAGAAUGGCAUAUGCUAGAAGAAGUAGAGAUUGAUGAGAAUCCACAUGAGGAAAGACCGGUAAAGCUUUUAGAUCGAAAAGUGAAGGAAUUAAGACGCAAGCAAAUUCCCCUAGUGAAGGUUUUUUGGAGAAAUCAUGGAAUCGAGAAAGCGACCUGGGAAGUAGAAGAAGAGAUCUAGAAGAAAUAUCCAAAGUUGUUUCUAAAUCAAGGUAUGAAUUUCGAGAACGAAAUUCUUUUAAGGGGGGAAGGAUGUGAGGACCCGAAUUCUUAUUUUAUUCCACUUACUUUUAUUUCGUUUUACUGGUUUAUUUAAUUAUUUAUUUAACCAUUUUCUCCGAAUAAUUUAUUUCAAUCAUUUUAAAUUCAUUUACAUGGAACAAUGUCUCAUUUAUAUUUCUAAAACGUUUCAUUAGCAAAUUUAAUUUUUCUGCGGCUCGUUUAGCGAAAAAUAGUGAAUGCAUAUUUUUCGAGGCAAAUUCGAUCCGAAAGUGCAUUAGUCUUGAAAGACUAAGGAUGAUUAAUAGUAGACUAAGAAAAGUUAAUUGAGGGAUUAGUAGUGAGUGAGUUAAGCUAAGCUCAAUUAGGAGCACCACUGGCUCACUAAUCAACCGUUGAUUUUUGGGGCCAAGACCACCUUUAUGUCAUUUCUCUUGUCACUCAAUCAAGUUACCCAACUACCACAGAAACACUCUUCCUUCUCCUCCACUCUUUGGCCGGCCAUCCCCCUUCCCAUUUCCCCUCAAAAUUUCAGCUUUUGUCUUCCAUUUUUGCUCCACAAAGCUCUCCAAAAAUUGCUUCUUGUCUUGGGUCUUCAUGCAAGCUUGGAAGAGGACAUCUUGAAAAGAAGAGAGCUGCUUGGGACUGUUUUAGGGAGUUUCUCAUACCAAAAUUCUAGGGUUUCCUCUUGUGUUUGGAAGGUAUACACAUUUCUCACCAAAAACUCUUGCUUUCUUGUUUCAUUUCUUGGCUUUAAAGCUUGUAGCUUCCUUCUUGUUGUUGUUGGUUGGAUUUGGUUGGUUGAAGUGGGCUCUAUGAACUCAAACCUUGGUUAGAUGAGGGCUGCCAUGAUGUUUAUGUGUGUGUUAGUGUGUUUGUGAUGAGUUUUAAUGGUAGAAACUAGAAGAGGAAAAAGAAAGAGAGUACUGAGAGGAGAGGGAGAAGUGCUGGCCAAAAUUUUGAAUUUUUGUUACUCUGUUUUGAUGCCAUAUUUUCGUGACUUUCUUGUCCCAUUUGAGAGCGGAUAUAUUGAACUUUAAGUGGACAAAUUUCUAGCCAAAAACUCUUUCGUUUGGUGCUUCAAAAUUGCAUGAAAAGAUUGGCAGAAAAUCUGGAAAUUUUCCUUUCCCCUACUGACCGAAUGGUCAAGUCUGUUUUGGGGUAUUUUAUUUCCAAAAUUUUAGUGUUAUUUAACCAUCAAUUGCUCAUUAAAUGUUGUUAGAGUCUUGGAUUAAAACAUGGAGCAAAUUGGGGCUGAUUUUGUUGCACAAAACUUUUGGAAAAGAAAGAAUGAUAAGGUUGCAGAUUGGUUUCGAAGAAUUUCACAAAUUUUGAUCAUUUUGUUAACUGCCUUCCCAUGCAAUUUCUUCCCUAAAUUUUGGUAAAGAAGUAGUCCAUAUAUAGAAGUUUAAGUGUACCGAAUUUGGCAUAAUUACAAUACCAUUUCAAUGCCCAAAUGAUGCCCCAAAGAUUUGCUCUUCAAAACUGGAAAAAUAAAAAGUACCCAGGUCAGUCAACCAAGUAUUCUUUGUCUGUGUAUAAAUCUUUAUACAAAAGUCGAAGAGUACCAUUUGUGGCAUUUAAAACUAGACACCAAGGGCUUUCUAACGCUAUAAAAUUUCCCUGCUAGUUUGUUUUGAGUGAGCCGUAGCAAAUCGGCAAAGUGGACUGACCUGUUUUAUCUGUUUACCUGAGAGAAACUGGGAAACCGUAUCUUGUGGCUCAAUUUCGCCUCACUUGUGAUAGGAGUUUGAAAAUGAUAUCUUCUGAUGAUUUGAAGAAUUUUGAAUAUAGUUUCUAACACCAUAAACCAUUCUCAAUUUGGACUUGUGUAGAGUUAGAUAUGGUCUGAUUUCAAAACUGUGUCAAAGCUGGAAACUGGAAAAUUGUUGAACAGGUUGCGAAAUCCAGCCAUCUUCAAACUGUUGUAUCUUGUUGUUCAAAAAUCCAAAUUUAGUUCCACUUAUUGUGUUUGAAACUUUACUUGAAACUCUUACUUUUUCAUAAAUUCCAGAGGCUGAUUCAAUUUCUGUGAAUUUUUCCGAAUUUCCAAACUUGGCUAAAAAACAAGAACUGGUUCUGCCCUGUCUUCAUGAAAUAGCAACUUUGAGCUGAGAUUUGAAUGGUUUCUAGUUAGAAUCUGGGAAAAGUGUCUUCUAGAAAGUUUUAGUACUUUGAAUCUAAUUUCCAAUGGUAUAAAUUUUCCAAUUUUUGGACUUACCAAACUCAAGAUAUGAUUUUUCAAGUGUUGUCAUCCAAAGCUGGAAUUUCUGGUUUCCUAUGAAUUGAACAUUUUAAGAACUUCCAAUUCCCUUUUUAGAUUGAGGGUUCAUUUUAAACUCGAUUUCAUGAAUGAUACAAGUUCUCUUGUGACUUUAACACUUCAUUUUUGAAACUCGAUUUCCAAUGGAAUAAACCUCUCUUGAUGCGUUUUCUUAGUUGUUGACUUUCUUGGUUAUUGCGCCUCAUUUUCAUACUUGAGAAAUGGACUUCAAUUCUUAGUCUUAUGCCUUUCAUUUUAUGAGUUUGAACUUUAAAAAUGGAGCAUUUUAACUCGAGAGAUUCUUAGAGAAUUUGUCCAGUUUUCUACUCAAAACUUGAAACAUUCAACUUUGACAAUUUCUAUGAAAUGAGUGGAGUUUUGGAUGAUUUUUAUCUCCAUUAGUUUGAAAAAUGUGAACAUCCAUUAUAUUCUAAAUUUUGGGUCAUGAGAUUUGAAGUUUUGGGAGAUAAAAACUACCUACCUUUUUCUCGAUUUUUGUGCCAAAAGUGAAAUUUGUACUUUCUUUUGGAAUUGAGAUUUACUUACCACAACUUGAAUCAAAAAUGACUUUUGAGUUCUCUUUGAGCAUUAUUUCAAUGAUUUAGCAAAAAGCUCCUUUAAUUUGACUCGAACUUGUGACCUUAAACCUUCAUUUGUGAAUUUCGAUUUUCAAUAAAAUAAACCUUUUUGAUGCAUUGUUCUAGUUCUGGGUAAACGAACUUUCUUGUUUGUAUGCUCAAUGGUCUAGAGUAUACGUGAGUGAUGGAUGGUCACUAUUUCUUUAAGUGCUCAAGAGGGCUUCGAAAGGAAUCCCGGUUUGGACAACUGAAGAGCUUUAUUUGCUCACUUGCUUUUGAACUGGUGAGUGUCAAGUGCAUGACUUGUUGCAUAAUACUUGAAAUAUUUCUUGUUGAAUAUGUGAAUUGGACUUGUCGAGACGAGUGUGUACUUUAUCGCACUCGUUCUGUUUUAUUUGAUUUGAUAAUUGACUUGCUCAUACUUGAAAAUUAUACUUGUGCUUGACUCGACAUCGAUUGGAGAGCCAUCUCAUCGACUUAUACUUGUACUCGUAGGGGACGCCAAAAACUCAUUGGUUAACCUUGCGAGUCGAGCCGGCAUGGGCUUGGUCGGGAAGCUUGGUGAACCAUGAGAAACCAUAAAGCUUGAUCUUUUGAGAUCUUGCUUGGCAUAUUCGAGUAGUAUCGUCUUUUCUAGUCGACGUGCGGGCCCGGUAGAGGGUGUAAUGGUGGACGGAAUUUGGUGAAAGUGGAGUCUACGGAUUUGGUACUUGCUCGGUUGACGGAGAGUCAACGUGGGAUAUUUGGAUCAAGACCUUGGCCAAGUGAUGUGGAAUUCAGCUCCUGAGAGCUCCCAUAUCCUUAUUGAUUGUGUUUUACUGUUAUUUGUGAAUUACAUGAACUUGCUAGCUAUAUUUCUUGUACAAGUGUUAUUGCUACAUGAAUUUAUUUGUUUGUAUGCUUUUCUUGGCCUCACUGAGCGUUAGGUUAGCCCCGUAGUUUUGUUUUCCUUAACAGGAUCUCGGAUGGAAAGAUUUUUGGAGAAGCUGACUUUACCAACUUUUGAUUAGAAUUUGGAUGUAUAAAGUUUAGUUAGUUUUUGGAUGGUUGCAUUUUUGGGGAAAGUUGAGGUACCUUUUGGAAACUUUGUGAUGUAAGACUUGAAUGAUUGUAUAAGAAAACGACUUUUCUUUAUAUUGGCUUUUAUUAUUGGUUGUGUACCAUUAAGUUUAAAUUUGACUUGUAUUGAACCCUGACGAGAGCUAGGCAAGCGGUCCGCCAUACCAUAGGGUUCGCCUUAGGAAGAAAUAGGGUCGUCACAUUGAGUGAUGGGUUUGCAGGCUUUUGUUUGAAGUUUUUGCAUGAAAUUUCUGCACCAAAUAAGCAGAAGCAAUGAAAGAUAGACCUACAUCAGUUCAAAGUUUGCAUGAAAAAACUUCCAAAAAUUACACUUUUGCCCCCAAACUUUUGAAUAAUUCUGAUAUGACCCAGAAAAUUGGAAAUUUUGAUCAAUUUUGUUCCUUCAAAAUGAUAAUUUUCUUUGGUAUGUCUUAAUGUGAUUUUUGGAUAGAUUAUUCAUAAGUUUUAGGAGAGAAUUUGAAGGUUUAAUAAUUUUUGAUAAAUUUAUAGUUUUGAUUGGAUUUAGUAAAAUUUUGAGUAAUUUUGUUGUUUAAUUAUAGCAAAUGGGUUUUCAUUCAUUUUGUGAAGUUUAUCAUUUGAUUUUGGUAUGCUUCAUCUUAAGCCCUUAAUUUUAUUUCAUUUUAAUUUAGACUCUUAAUAUUUGUAAUAAUAAUGAUUUGACCCCUCAAACUUCUUUAAUUCUUUCAAUUGGAUCCUUACUUGUUUUAAUUCUUUUAAUACGAGUUGUUUACUUUCAUUUAAGUGCUUUGAUUGUUCAAUUACAUGUUUAUUCUCAUAUCUUAUGAUUAUUUGUUAAUUAAAGUGGUACCUUAAUCAUUUUCUUUGUUUUGGAGGGUAAAUAAGAGAAAUUUCGUUUCAUUAGGUCACAAUUCAAGGGAGGUGAUUUUGAUCCUAUGUGCUCCUAUGUGCUUUAUUUGAUCCUAUGUGAUUUUAUGUGUGUAAUUACAUGUUUUUUCGAAUGUUUAUUAUUAUUAUUAUUAUUUUAUUUCAUUUAUUUAUUUAUUCAUUUUGUAUAUUUAUUUUAAUUUAAUUUUUGGUUAUUUGAGAAGCAUUUAAAUGCCAAGUUGUAAUAGUUAGGUUAUUAUUUCAUUUCAUUUCAUUUUUACCCCUUUAGAUUGUAGUUAGGGCCCCCAAAUGUAAUAGUUAGGUUUUUAUUUGUUUUAUUUGCUUUGUAUGUUUUGCAUGUUUGUGUAUUACGUGUUACUCGCUUUCUUAGGAUUUUGCAUUUAGAUAUCAUGCUUAUGUGCUAUGUGUUUUAUGUGAUAUUAUGUGUUUAAUUGUUUUUAUUAUGUUUAUUUUAUUUAUUUAGUUAUGAUAAAUGUAUGACGUCACCACACUAGUCCAACACUAGUUGUGGCUCUAUUUCCUCGAUUUCUCGCUAGUCCAAUGCUAAUGAAAACUUGUAGACAUGGGUUAAUCCAAUGCUAGGCCCUUAGGGACCAUCCACGCGCUAGAUCAUAUUUGUGUGACAAAUCACUACAUUUUAUGCAUAUUUUUCUACUUUUUAGGACCCUUGCCAUUUUUGCAUGACAUUUUCCCUAUGUAUAUAUAUCCCUUAUUUCUAUGUGUGACAUAUAACAUUUAGGUUGUCAUUCCAUUUAAGGAAAUUAGGAGUAGAUUAGUGCAUUUACUUGAUUAGAUAGGAGAAAUACCCCUCGAAUAUGGGAUAUGGACGAGUAUGGUUUUCUAACCUUAGUACGCUCGUAUUCCCUCUAUUAAAGGGAAAAUUAAAGUCACAAAUUUUAGCCCCCCACACCUGUUAUAAUGCAUUCCUUUAGGUCAUGUAUAUUUGUAUAAUUAUUAUUUUCUUUACUUUCCUUCGAGUCUUAUAUUUUUGCAUAUUCGUGACCUUUUCAAAGAGUCAAAUUGGACAUCACAAUUAAUGUGAUUUGCACCAAUUAAGCUUUGAAGAGAUAUUUCGACCCCCAGAUAUCCUCCUAGAUUUAGGUUUUGCAUCCAUAUAGUGACAUCCAAAAUGUGAUAAUUUUUUAGGUUUAAAUAAGAAAAUUUUUGACUAAAUCACGCAAUUAGCCUUGGCUAAGUUGAAAGGGUGAUUUAGAUUUUAUCCUUGCCUUCCCUUUUUUCAAAUAUGACUCCCGACCACUUUUCUUUGAUUUUCGAAGACUUGGAAUCGUUUAAAAAGGGUUUUUUCUACUUUUUCUUUAAAAAUUCAUUUUAGGUGACUUGGUACACCUCAACUCAAUACCAAGUGGCGACUCCUAUUUUUUUCAUUAAAAACCUUUUCAAAACUAUUUUGGGUCAAAAUCAUCGCAUUUUUAAAGUCCCAUUUAGGCCCAUUUUCUUUAUUUAUUUUCUAAAACUCAAAAACUCAAUUUUCAAUCAAAAUUAAUCAACAAUCCAUUUUUAUAAACCCGUAAUCGUAAUUAUUUAUUUUUCAUUAAAAAAUGGGGCGCGACAGCUUUAUUAUCAUCUUUCUAGAGUUAGUUGGAGUUGUUUUGUGAAUUGCACUUAUCUUAGUUGUGGGAGUCUCUUGUUAAUUCAUUAUGUGACGUUUGUUUUCUUUAAAUCAUGUGUGCAUUUAAAGUCCUUGAGUCAAUAGUUAUUAUGUUUAAAGUCGCUUAUUUGCAUGAAGUUCUUUGUCCUAUCUUAAACGUUGUCCAUGUAAAUUGUGUGAAAAAUCGACUUGACCAAGUUGCUUUAGAGAGUUUACUUGUUUGGAAGCUUUUGUGUUGCUUUGAAGCUUAUGCUCAUUCAAGUGUGUUGUUAGGUUGUAUUAAAGGUCUGAAGAUGGUGCAUGGCAACCAAACAUUUCCUUUUGUUAUCGAGCAAAUUGCGCGAAAUGUCACUAAACUAUUCCGAAGUGCCGGUUCUGAUCACUAAACUUUUUUAUUAGCCAAAAAUGUCACUGAACUAGUAAAUCUGUACCGUUUUAGUCAUUCCGUGUACUUAUGCCGUUAGGAGAGACGGAAAGUCACUUUUUUAGGGGCAAUUUCGUCUACACAACUGUUAAAAAAUUUAUACCCUCAUGCUUCUUCGUCCUCAUCUUCUUCCUCAAAGUCACAGCAAAAAUUAGACCCACCUGAAUUCCUCUGCCCAAUUUCUGGGUCUUUGAUGUCUGAAAAUCAAAGACCCAGACUCCCUGGCCAGCCCUCUGAACCUUAGACUCCCAUGACUUAGUGAGUACAAGGCUGCCAUACAAUUCUCACGUGUUGACUCGGACAAGUCAGACUCACUUCCAUCUCGCAAAAUUGCCACCAAGCUGGCCACCGUGCUGCCAUCCAACAAUGCCGACCGCCCCUCCGAUGACACCGCCAAAUUGCAGACCACUAACACCACCCUUCCCACCAAAACCCCACUCCACAGCAUCCCCAACAAAAUCCCAACGGCUCCAAGCUUAAUCAACUUUACCCUAUUGCUACUGACAAAGCUCAGAUGAUACAACGCCAAGGCAGAGUCAACUCGGUCCCGGACCUCAAAGCAUGCAACAAUGGCUCCAGAGCUCCCAAAACCCCAAUCGCCAUCUUAUUCUCGUCCUGCAGAGCUAAACUGAAAAUCCCACCUGCGGCAUGCUCCUGAGACUCCUCAAAUCCACCCUUUAACAAAUCAACCAGAAUCGGAACCAUCCCAGAUCGAACAAUCUUCACUUUAUUCACAUUAGCAAGCGAAAGAUUCACAAUCGAAGCAACUGCAUUCGUCUGCACAAUUGGAUAUCUCAAAACCAGCAGAGGUUUUAUCGCUUGUAAAAGCUUGGGGGUACAAAGUCUUACCCUAGCAUCUUUAUCGUUUGCUCUAGUGGUUUUUCGUAAAAGAAUCACUGCUUCCUCCUGUUCCAUCACAUCCAAACUCUUGAACUUCAUCACAAACAUUUCAUCCAUACCAAUACCAGUACCAAUUCCAUCCAGUGUACCCAGAGCUUCAUCGUAUACUGUUUCUGAAGAAAAACGAUGACGGAACUGAUGAUGAUGGCGAAGAAUAGCAAGCUGGACGAGUGGCAAAUGGGAGAAAAGGGGUAGCAUUUGCAAUCACAGAUUCCUCCGAAGACGAGGAGUAAUUGUUGUGGGGAUUCAAAUCAGAAGCCGCAUGAGAAAACAGAAAUGAAGGGUUAUUCUCUACCCCUCUCAGCAGCUCCGUUUCAGAAACUGAAUGUUCCCGUUGAGAGGCCGUUUUUGCUUGAACAAUGGUGGUUUCCAUGGAAGAAUAAUCUGGUCGGGAGGGGAUUUCGACACGGGAUUGUCGACACCAGUUGAUAAUCGAAGAUUUAAGAGCUAAAUAAGGAAUUACAGCGGAAAAAUCAGGGGUUGAGCCAUCGGAUAAAUUUGGGAUAACCCCUAAAUCCUUGCAAAGUUGAACAGCAACCCGCUCGAAUGUUUGGCCAGAAGAAACCACCACAGGAUCAGACAUCAAAGACCCAGAAAUUGGGCAGAGGAAUUCAGCAAGUGGGUCUAAUUUUUGCUGUGACUUUGAGGAAGAAGAUGAGGACGAAGAAGAAUGAGGGUCUAAAUUUUUUAACAACUGUGUAGACGAAAUUGCCCCGAAAAAAAUGAUUUUCCGUCUCUCCUAACGGCAUAAAUACACGGAAUGACUAAAAUGGUACAGAUUUAUUAGUUCAGUGACAUUUUUGGCUAAUAAAAAAGUUUAGUGAUCAGAACCGGCACUUCGGAAUAGUUUAGUGACAUUUCGCGCAAUUUGCUCUUUGUUAUCAACUUGAUAAAUUUACUGCUUAUAAGUGUUUUAUCAUCAUUCAUUCCUCGUCUUUUGUAUUUGAUUUAGAAAUCUAUUUGAGGUUGAAUCUUUCCUAUGGGGAGAGAAUGAUGGAAAUCUAAGUAGCCUUGGUGAUAUGUGCUUUUGGCGAUUAGAGCUUGAGCUGGAACCUAUGCUUAAAAGAUCAUGUUCGUGGCCAAACUAAAUAGAAGACAUUUUUCUUGGCUCACGUUCAUCAAGACAUUCCCUGAGUUGCUUCAAUUUAGGCAAGCACCAGAUUUGAGGACAAAUCAUUUUCAAGAAGGGGGAAUGGUAUGAAUCCAGUGGCUGCCAAGUGUUCAAGUACCAACAUUUUUUUACACCUCCAAGAGUCUUGAGUCAUGUGUUCAAGCAAACCAUUCAAAUGGGCUUACAAAUGCAUUACAUCAAGUAUUGGUUGAAGGAAUUCGUCGAACAAAUCCACUAAAAAAUUGAACUUGAAGGAAUGCCAAUCAAAACCCUAGUUCAAGUUCAGCUGGAGGAAGCCAAUUGAAGAUUAUUUAAGAUAUUUGUCUUUUGGGCUGAAUUUUUUCUCAUGUUUAUUCUAGUUUUAUUUAUUUAAUAGGUUGGCUACUUUAGCCAUUUGUUAGUUUCUUAGUUAAUAAAUUUAGCCAAGCUAUGUUGAGCUUAAAUAGAUUGAGUCCAUUAGUUAGUAAAGUCCAUUAGCUGUUAGAUAGAAUAAAUGAAUUCUAGUCCAAUUUGGAUAGUUUAGGUUUUUGACAUAUAAAUAGGUCUUAUUUUCAUCGUAAAAAGAAAGCCAAGAAUUGGCGAUUAAAAAUUGAGAGUUUUCUCUUGAUUCCUUGUGAACUUUCUUUGAGUUUGUCUUAAGUGUGUCUCAACAAAUUCAACUUGGCUUAUCAAUCAAGAAUUGCACUCGAUUGUGGCACCUUCUACCAUCAACCUAGGUUGGCUAAUUUAUUUAGUUGUGGAUUGAGAUUAUACCAACACAUUCAUGACUACGGAGAUUGGAAAGGUCUUUGGUUUUCCGCGAUUCCAAACUUGAGUACCAAAGUCUAGAUCUAGACUUGUGGGACACGAGUUUCAUUCCAUUCUAACAGACCUUAUCAGCUUUUUAAUUCACUCUAUUAUCUAAACAAUCAAGAAUACAAACAAAAAUAAUACUAUAACUUAAAAUGGAUAAAAUAAUAAAAUAAUAAUGGAGAGUUUAGUAGAAAAACUUUCAUGAAUCCCCUAUUGCCUAUGAUUAAGAAAUAAUCUAGUUGAUUUAUGCCUUUUACUUAUGAUUUGUCAAGGAUAUGCUUGCAAUUUUGUUCAAAUAAUGCUUUCACCAUGACCAAGACAUACUCAUACCAAACUUUCAACUAUUUGCAAGAUGAAUUAACUUAAGUUUAUUAAGAUCGAUGAAGUAGCCAAAUUCAAACCACCUGAGUACAUCUACUACUUUUAUGUACAUAAUCUUUAUGGCUCAUGAAUCUUAUUCAACACUUGCAUGGAAACAUUUAAUGCACAACAAAUGAUUUGAUGAUUCGUAGUUAUCUAACAAUUACAAAUAUAAAGCAUAGAUACAUUGUGACGACCCCACCUUGCCCUAGGGCAUACCCCAGGGUUUAGCGGACCGCCUGCCCAACUCUCGCCAGGACUCAUUCACUCACUUCAAGAAAGCAAGUUACAACCUCAAAAGUGAAGGAAACAACAGUUCCUAAGUUUGGAACGUACAUGUACAUUCAUUUCUAUCUCAACCGUUCAUACAUUUCCAAGUAUAACAAAAGAUCGAAGUUCCAGCUAACUUCCAACCCUAAUCAAGCACUAACGUGAGUACAAUCACAAAAUUCAAAAACUAGACUACGCUAGCUUGUACCAGUCUUAUGCCCGCGCUCGAUUUCCCAUUAAGGAAAACAAAACUAAUAGGGUGAACCAAAAUUCAGUGAGGUUCCACAACUUCAUGCAGACCCAAGUAGCAAGUUGGUCGUUAUGUAAAACUUGAAAUAUCAAAGUAGCGAGCAUAAAAGUUCAUGAAAUUAAACAAUAAUGCUACAAGUAACAAAUUGACUAAAUAUAUAACAUUUCCAAGUAUAAGGAUAUAGAUGGCUCUCAAGAGCCAAAUUCCCGUUGCAUUACUUGAUCUGAACCCGUUGACACUCCGUCAAUGUUUAAAGAAGCAAAAUCAUGACCGUAGAUCUCCACUUUACACCAAUUUUCAUCCACCGAUCAACCCCCUACCGGACCCGAACUCCAAAUUAAGAGUGAUGGUAAUACUGGAGUAUACCGUAUCCAGUGGACCAUAUCCAAAGGAUAACACAAUAAACAAUAAACAAUAAACAGUAUGUGAGAACCCGUAUUUUUUUUCUUUUUUCUAGGUUUUAUUUUAUUUAAUUGCACACUAAUUCUAUAUUUUCUUUGUUACGAAAAUUUUCUAGAUAAAUUUUAUGAGUCAAUGUGGUUUUUAAAUUAUUUUUCUAGUAUCAGUUAGUUUUCGAGAAAUUAAGAGUGUAUAUCGGAUGUAGGACCCGCAAGUGCAGAAAGUGCGGUAAAAUUCGGCCAAUUAGGUUAAGUUUGGUAUACUGGGAUUAAUUUUCUAGGUGUUAAGAGAUAAUUAGAGGUUACCUAGAUGGAUUAGUAUUAGAGAGACAAAGGGAUAGCUAUAAACCAAAAAGGUGACAAGUGUCACUUUCCUACUUAAUCUUGGACUUUGACCACUAUUCAUGACUUUACUAAAAUCUCAAAAUUGACCAAGAAAUCUUCAUUUUCUUCACUCCUUUGCCCGGCCCUCUCAAGAAGAAAAAGAAAGGAAACCUUCAACUCUCUUGCUCUCAAUCUUGCUCAAUCUCCCAAUCCAACCGAUUAAACUUGAAAUUUCUCUAUAAAAACCCUUAGUGAAGUAGUAGUGAGGUAGUUGGUGGAGUAGUUUGGAAAGAGGAGGUGCUAAGUUGGGUCUUUUCUUGAGUUUGCAAGGUAAGUGACUAAGGAACAUUUCUUUUGUUCUUGAAAAUGUGCAAUUAGUGACUUGUGUGAGUUAAGGAGGUGAUUUUGUGGAGGUUUUCAUAACUUUUGGUAGUGCUUGAUGAAUUUCUGAUUUCAUGCAUGAUUUUUCUAUUUUUAUAUGUUUAAUGUUGGUUGGCCAUGGAUGAUGGCUUGGUAUGGUUUAGAAUGAAGUUUUGGUAUGUUAAUUGUAGUGAUUUGCAGAAAAUUUCGGGCUUAUACGGAAAAUUUCAGAUUUAGGGUUUUGAAUUGGGGCUUUUCUAAGGUUGCUAUAGAACUCUUGAAUUGGCUUUGUUUAAGGGUAUUGUGACCCUAAUAAUUUGUAUUGAGUAGCCUAUGACUUACAAUGGUAAUUGUGGUUGUGUUUGAGAAAUAUAAAUGAUUGAUGGUAGGAUGGAAAUCUGAAAUUUUAAGGGGAAAUGCUAUCCAAAUUGUGGGUUCUUAUGUUUUAUUGGAUUUGGGUUGUUUUAGGGGUAAUUAGAGACCUUAGGGUGGUCUAAACCCUUAACACCGAGUGUUCCUUAUUUUGUUUGCAAGUUCUUUUGGUUUUACAUUAGUGACUUGUGGCUUGGAUUUACGAUGUGACGACCCCACCUCCCCCUAAGGCGAACCAGAGGAUUCGGCGGGCCGCCUGCCCGGCUCUCGCCGGGACUCAGUCGUUCACUAAAGUCCUCAAAUGAAUUACAAGAAUAAACCUCAAAUAUACAUCCAAGUCUCCAAUAAUUACAUGUCACAAAUGCAGCGGAAAACAAUUCCCAACUAUACAUCAAAUGAUUCCAAAUCCAAAUUGUACAAAAUAUAGGCCAUCCAUACACGUGAAUAAGCACAACAAGUCUUGCCUUCGCCUUGAGCCCUGUGGAGGGGAAUAAAAUAUUUUUGGGGUGAGCUAGAAGCUCAACGAGUAACCAGGAAAAUCAUUAAAUAAAUAUAUUUCACAAUGUUGCAUUUCGAUGAUUUCGAUGAUGUCAUGAUUCCAAGAUCAAAUGUCCGUUUAGUGCUCUCGUGAGCCGGUGAAAUCACAGCACUUGAACACCCAACGCUCAAAUAUUUCAUUUAACAUUAACUCACGAACUCACGAAAGUGGGAGUAACGUCGGUGCUCCAGAUAAACAUGAACAUGAACCAUAAACAAAGUGGAGACGUUGGUGUCCAGCACAAGACUUUCCCAGAACUCAUUGAAGCCAAAUCAUGUCAUGAAUCCACAUGCAAGCACGCAUGAUAUGCAAUCGAAUAAUUAAUGCAAGAAACAUUUCACAAGUACUUUGGAAAUAGUUUAGGGUCACUCACCUCCACGGCUCAGAAAUCAUCCAGCAUAUAACAUUGCCUUGCUCAAAUCCAAGUCUUAGAUCAUAAACUCAAUGCAAACAAAUCCCUUCAAAGUUCGGACAGCACUUCCCCUAAAUUUGCUAACUUUUCCAGCCAUCAUGGCUUCAUUAUUUCCUCAUUCCAACCCAAAGGUACACACACGACAACAAGUUCAUCCAAUAGCCAUUCAGCAAGCUCCAAGUAGUACUAGUACAAGUCAAGCUAGGGAAAAGUCCGGAAAUGAAAGUUAAGCUCAAAACCAGAAAAACAGUUUUGACGUCAUUUUGCGGUAAUGGUGUCAAAAGCACUACGAUGAUCGGAUGAAGGUACAAGAUACACCGUUUCGAAGCUAAGAGAUAGGGCUACAAUAUUACAGAAGGUCACUCAACCCAGUUUCGAGUGUAACCAGGUCAAAAAUGCAAGAUACUACACCAGAAUCACCAAAAACAGAUUCACCAAAACGCAUUCUAGCGGAAACAUCAUAACUCAGGCUCUACAAGUCCAAAUCCAGAAAUUACAAAACCAUCUGAAAGCUAAGAAACAGGGCUAAAUUUCAUCAGAAGGCCUCAACAACCAAUUCGGAAGCAAUUCCAGGAAAAACAACCAAUUACAGGCGCAGUUCUCAAUUUCGGGUAAAACCAGAACAGCAAUAGUAAUUUUGACUUUUCUCAUUCUACACAACUCCAAUUGACCUGAAAUUUUGUAGGCACCUCUAAAAUGUCAUUCCCUACAACUUUCAUGUUUUAAGCCAAGGCCAAUUCGGCCUCUAUCUAGGACCUAAAAAUUCGGACAGAAUGCUCCUUCACAAAACCUGAUUUUUUGAAAUUUCUUCCAAAACAGAAAUUGAUUGCAAUUAAUCACUUUUUCCACCUCAUAGAGUCCUUAAAUAUCAUUUCCAAUCAUCAUACAUGACCCCAUAAUCAUACUCAUAUGAAAACAGAAAAAUCACCAAUAAUUAUAAAACUUCACCAAUUCAACCAAAAUCAAGAUAUAAUCCAUAAAACCAUCUCUUUAGCCAUCACAAGUCUCUAAUUUAGCAUAAUCAAGAACAAAGAAAGGAUGGCUAGACAUGAUACCUUCAAAUAUCAAGAAAGGUGAUGACUUAGGGAUUUUCUUCCAAAACAACUCCACCAGAGCUUCAAUCUUCCUUAGCUAGCAAGUUUUAUGGAGUGAUUUGCAAUUUAAUCGGUUGGAACUCAAGAUUUGGACAAGAAAUUGAAGUGCAAGAUGAUGGAUUUUCUCUCUCUUUUUCUCUCAAAAUUUCGUCCAAGACAAGCUAAAAUGGAGAGAAAUUGGGUCCAAAUUGGUUUUAGUAAAGUUAGAAAAGUCUUGGUCAAAAGUCAAGGUCCAAUGGUUUUGUGACAAAUGGUCCUUUAGGGUUUUAAUCUUAUCUUUUUGUCUCUCCAAUACAAAUAUCUUAACACAUUGUAAAAUAAUAUCACUUAAUACAAAAUUCCAACAAGUUGUCAAAAAUAUAAUGCAUUUACCGCACUUGCGGGUCCCACGUCCAAAAUACGCUUUUAAUUUCUCAAAAACUAACCUAUACUAGAAAAAUCAUUUUAAAACUAUUUUUGCUCAUAAACUUUAUCUGGGGAAUUUUUCUAAUCAAGAAGAUGUAGAAAAGGCGGGCGUUUAAAAAAUAAACCCUAGAAAAUUAGAAAAUUUUCGGGUUCUCACACUCAUACUUUUCGGGGCGUCACAAUCUCCCCUCCUUAAAAGAAUGUCGUCCUCGACAUUCCAUCUUGUACCAAUCAAGUCGAGACAUCCCGCAAGAAUCACUAAUAUUGCAAACCAAACCCACAGUCCGGCAUCCUAAACUUCAAGCCUAGGAUACACUACAGAGAUCUGAAGCCUAAGCUCUGAUACCAACUGUGACGACCCCACCUCCCCCUAAGGCGAACCAGAGGGUUCGGAGGGCCGCCUGCCCGGCUCUCGCCGGGACUCAGUCGUUCACUAAAGUCCUCAAAUGAAUUACAAGAAUAAACCUCAAAUAUACAUCCAAGUCUCCAAUAAUUACAUGUCACAAAUGCAGCGGAAAACAAUUCCCAACUAUACAUCAAAUGAUUCCAAAUCCAAAUUGUACAAAAUAUAGGCCAUCCAUACACGUGAAUAAGCACAACAAGUCCUGCCUUCGCCUUGAGCCCUGUGGAGGGGAAUAAAAUAUUUUUGGGGUGAGCUAGAAGCUCAACGAGUAACCAGGAAAAUCAUUAAAUACAUAUAUUUCACAAUGUUGCAUUUCGAUGAUUUCGAUGAUGUCAUGAUUCCAAGAUCAAAUGUCCGUUUAGUGCUCUCGUGAGCCGGUGAAAUCACAGCACUUGAACACCCAACGCUCAAAUAUUUCAUUUAACAUUAACUCACGAACUCACGAAAGUGGGAGCAACGUCGGUGCUCCAGAUAAACAUGAACAUGAACCAUAAACAAAGUGGAGACGUUGGUGUCCAGCACAAGACUUUCCCAGACCUCAUUGAAGCCAAAUCAUGUCAUGAAUCCACAUGCAAGCACGCAUGAUAUGCAAUCGAAUAAUUAAUGCAAGAAACAUUUCACAAGUACUUUGGAAAUAGUUUAGGGUCACUCACCUCCACGGCUCAGAAAUCAUCCAGCAUAUAACAUUGCCUUGCUCAAAUCCAAGUCUUAGAUCAUAAACUCAAUGCAAACAAAUCCCUUCAAAGUUCGGAUAGCACUUCCCCUAAAUUUGCUAACUUUUCCAGCCAUCACAUGAACAUGAUGUCUUCUGGUUUUUAUGAUGGUGUUGAUUUGAGAACCCGGAAAUUUGAGAAUGAGUUUGAGAACCCGGAAAUUUUUUAAUUUUCUAGGGUUUAUUUUAUUUAAUCGCCCGCUUUUUCUACAUUUUCUUUAUUAGAAAAAAUUCCCCAGAUAAUGUUUAUGAGCAAAGAUAGUUUUAAAAUGAUUUUUCUAGUAUCGGUUAGUGUUUGAGAAAUUAAAAGCGUAUUUUGAAUGUGGGACCCACUAGGGCGAAAAGUUCGGAAAAAUUCGACCAAUUAGGUUAAGUUCCGGAUACUGGGUGAAAUUUAUCGGGUGUUAAGAGAUAAGUAGAGGAGGUGAAGUGAUUGAUGUGAGAGGGAAAAAGAAGGAUAGAAAUGCAUUUAAUGAAGUGACACGUGUCACUUUGUGAGUGGUUGAAGCCUAAGACAACUAUUCACCCUUUUUGACUUUUUGCCAUUUAGUUAAAUAUCUCACAAAAAUCACAAAAAUUCACUCUUUUCUUCUCCUCCAUGGCUGGUUCUCUCUUGAGCAAAGAAGAAAGAAACUCUUCACCAUUUUAGCUUCCAUUUAGUUCAAUCUUCCAAAACCAAUUGCCUAAACUAGUUUCUACUCCAUAAAAUCCCUCCAUUAGGAGCUAGUAAGUUGUUUGGUGAAGUUUUUAAGGAAGCUAAGGUGUCCUACAACUCUCCCUCUCUUGUUUACUAGGUGAGUGGUAUAUGAACUUUCCCCUACACUUAAUGAAGCUUGAGUUGUGCUUAGUGGAAGCUAAAGUGUUCAAUUUUGUGAUUUAAUUCUUGUUUUUGGAUGAAAUGGUGAAGUUUACAAUUUAGUGGUGAUUUUUCUGGUUUAAUAUGAACAUGAUGUUGUGGCCUUGUAUGAUGAUUGGAAAUGUUAUGUAAUGAAGCUAGAAGGUGGAAAAAGUGGACAAUUGCAACCAAUUUCUGUUUUGGAAGAAAAUUGAAAAAUCUAGGGUUCUUGAAGCUACAUUCUGUCCGAAAUUUUAGGUCAUAGAUGGAGGCCGAAUUGGCCUUGGCUUAAAACAUGAAAGUUGUAUGGAAUAAUAUUUUAAAGGUGUCUACAAAAUUUCAGGUCAAUCGGAGUAGUGUGGAAUGAGAUAAGGCGAAAUUACUAUUGCUGUUCUGGGUUCAUCAGGAUGUUAGAACUGCGUAUGAAAUGGGUUGUUUUGACUGGAAUUGUUUUGGAUUUGGGUGUUGAGGUCUUCUGAUGAAAUGUAUCUUGAUGUCUUAGCUAUCAUAUGCCUUUGGAAUCAAUGCAUUUGGACCUGUAUAGACUGAGUUGGACGAAUAACAGCAUUGUGUGAUUUGGGAACCUGCAAUUACGAUUUUGGUUUGGUAUUCUGCAUGUUUGACCUAGUUGUGCUAGGAUUUGGACUGAGUGGCCUUCUACAUUGUUGUAGCCCUGUCUUUUAGCUUCGAAAUGGUGGGUCUUGGACCCUCAUACGACAAUCGUAGCGCCUUUGGUGCCAUUACCGCAAAAGGACGACAAAACUGUUUUCUGGUUUUGAGCAAUUGUGGUUAAUUGCUAUGUGAUUGGGUUUGAUUGUAGGAUGGAAAGGAUGAAUUUAUGGGGAAAUGCUGUCCGAAUUUUGAAUGGGCUUGAUUGCUUUGCGUUUGUGCUUUAGGGCUUGGAUUUGAGUGAAGUAAUGCAAUAUGAUGGAUGGUUUCUGAGCCAUGGAGGUGAGUGACCUCAAACUAUUUCCAAAGUACUUGUGAAAUGUUUCUUGCAUUAUUUAUUCGAUUGCAUCUCAUGCGUUCUUGCAUGUGAAUUCAUGAUAUGAUUUUGGCUUCAAUGAGUUCUGGGAAAGUCUUGUGCUGGACACCAACGUCUCCACUCUGUUUGUGGUUCAUGUUCAUGGUUAUCUGGAGCUCAAAAAGGGGCUUCCUCUCUCUGUUCGUGUGUUAUGAUCUAUUUGAGCGUUGGGUGUUCUAGUGCAAUGAUUUCACUGGCUCACGAGAGCACUAAACGGACAUUUGAUCUCUGAAUCAUGACAUCAUCGAAAUCAUCGAAAUGCAACAUUGUGAAAUAUAUUUGCUUAAUGAUUUUGCUGGUUACUCGCUGAGCUUCUAGCUCACCCCAAAAAUAUUUUAUUCCCCUCCACAGGGCUCAAGGCGAAGGAAGGACUUAUAGUACUUGUGCAUGUGAUUGGAUGGCCUAUGUUUUGUACAGUUUUGAUUUGGAAUCAUUUUAUGUAUAGUUGAGAAUUGUUUCCGCUGUUUUUGUGACAUGUAAUUAUUGGAGACUUGGAUGUAUAAUUGUGGACCAUGUGAUGUAUAUUUGAGGUUUAUUCUUGUAAUUCAUUUGAGGACUUUAGUGAACGACUGAGUCCCGGCGAGAGCCGGGCAGGCGGCCCGCCGAACCCUCUGGUUCGCCUUAGGGGGAGGUGGGGUUGUGACAUAUGUAAGCUAGGGCAUAUGCUGUAAUCAGUACAACUCAGUCUAAACAGGUCCAAAUGCAGAAAUUCCAAAGGCAUAUGGUAGCUAGGACAUCAAGCUACAUUUCAUCAAAAGACCUCAACACCCAAAUCCAAAACAAUUCCAGUCAAAACAACCCAUUUCAGACACAGUUCUAACAUCCUGAUGAACCCAGAACAGCAAUAGUAAUUUCGGCUUAUCUCAUUCUACACUACUCCAAUUGACCUGAAAUUUUACAGGCACCCUUAAAACAUCAAUACCUACAAAUUUCAUGUUUGAGCCAAGGCCAAUUCGGCCUCUAUCUAUGACCUAAAAAUUCGGACAGAAUGUUCAUCACAAAACCCUCACUUUUCAAUUUUUGGUCCAAAACAGAAAUUGGUUGCAAUUAAUCACUUUUUCCACCUCCUAGAGUCAUUAAACAUCAUUUCCAAUCAUCAUACAUAACCACACAACCAUGUUCAUAUUAAAACAGAAAAAUCCCCAAAAAUUAUAAAAGUUCAUCAAUUCAACCACAACUCAAAAUAUAAUCCAUCAAACCAUCUCUUUAGCCAUCACAAGUCACUAAUUCACCAUUAUUGGAAACAAACAAUGAAUCUUUACACACCAUACCUUGAUACCUCACAAAAGAUAGUAGCUUAGUGGUUCCUUCUCCAAAAUAACUCCACCAAGACCUUGGAAUCUCCUUAGUAACCCACUUUUAUGGAGUGAUUUGCAAUUCCAUCGGUUAAAACUCAAGAUUGAAGUAAGAAAUUGGAGUGAAAGAUGAAGGUUUCUCUCUCUCUCUUGCUCUCCAAGUUUCAGCCAUGAGAAGGAAGAAAUGGCUUGAUUUUUGGUCAAAUUUUGGUUUUAGUAAAGUUAAGGUAAGAUGGUCAAAAGUCCAAUAGUGAAUAGGAUGGUGACACUUGUCACCUUUUGAUUUAAAACUUAUCUUUUUGUCUCUCCAAUACAAAUAUCUUAACACUUUGUAAAAUAAUAUCACUUAAUACAAAAUUCCAACAAGUUGUCAAAAAUAGAAUGCAUUUACCGCACUAGCGGGUCCCACGUCCAAAAUACGCUUUUAAUUUCUCAAAAACUAACCGAUACUAGAAAAAUCAUUUUAAAACUAUCUUUGCUCAUAAACUUUAUCUUGGGAAAUUUUCUAACAAAGAAAAGGCGAAAAGGCGGGCGAUUAAAUAAAAUAAACCCUAGAAAAUUAGAAAAUUUCCGGGUUCUCAAACUCAUUUUUUUUCGGGGCGUGGCUGGCUCUCUCUCUAGGAAAAGAAAGAAAACUUCUCCAAAUUUCAAGCUUCCAACUAGCUCAAUCUUCCAUUCCAACCAAUUAAACUUAGAAUUGCUCCAUAAAAAUCCUUCUUUUGGUGGUGGUGAGUUGAUUGGUGAAGUGUUUGGAGAAGCUAAGGUGUCCAACAACUCUUCCUCUCUUGUGUUCUAGGUAAGUGGUGUUUGAACUUUCUCCUACACUUAAUGAAGCUUGAGUGAUGCUUAAUGGUGGUAUAAGGUGCCACUUUAUGGAUUAUAUUGUGAUUCUUGGUUGAAUUGAUGAACUGUGGUAAUUUUGGGGAUUGUUCUGUUUUAAUAUAAGUAUGAUGGUGUGGUUAUCUAUCAUGAUUGGAUAUGGUUUCUAAUGACUAUAGGAGGUGGAAAAAGUGGACAAUUGCAAUCAAUUUCUGUUUUGGAAGAAAUCUGGAAAAUUAGGGUUCCUUGGUUCUUCAUUCUGUCCGAAAUUUUAGGUCCUAGUUAGAGGCCGAAUUGGCCUUGGCUUAAAACAUGAAAGUUGUAGGGAAUGACAUUUUAGAGGCGCCUACAAAAUUUCAGGUCAAUCUGAGUAGUGUAUAAUGAGAUAAGUCGAAAAUACUGAGACUGGUCUAGUAAGGGGUGCUGCGAACAGGGUUGCCUUUUCACUCAAUUUGACCGUGACUUUUCACCCUGAUCCUCACCGAAGUAGAUUUUGGCCAAAACAUGAAAGUUGUAGCCACGGCUAUAAACAAGUUGUCUGUAAAUUUUCAGCUUGAUCCGACCACUGUAACAUGUGACAUGACCGAAAUACCCUUGACUGUUUUUGAAACCUGUUUCGCGCCCAGAUUUCUGUUUUCGUGUAGUCUUCCAUUUUCGACCAUGAAAAUGCACGAUUUGGCCUUUGAGGUCUUCUGAUGAAAUGUAGCUUGAUGUCUUAGCUACCAUAUGCCUUUGGAAUUUCUGGAUUUGGACUUGUAGAGCCUGAGUUAUGAUGUUUCCGCUAGAAUGCGUUUUGGUGAAUCUGUUUUACGUUUUUGAUAUAGUAUCUUGCAUUGUUGACCUGUUUUCACUCAAAACUGGGUUGAGUGACCUUCUGUGAUGUUGUAGCCCUGUCUUUUAGCUUCGAAAUGGUGGGUCUUACACCUUCAUCCGAUAAUCAUAGGGCAUUUGGUGCCAUUACCGCAAAAAGAAGUCAAAAACUAUUUUUUUUCAGGGCCAAAGCUAAUUGCAUUUCCGAAUUUUCUGGUUUUCUCUACUGUUUGUAUAUGUUCAUGGAACCCUAUUGGGGUCAUAUUUGGCAUUGAUUUAUGAUCAGUUAUCGAGUCUCAUUGUACUUGUUUGUAUGUUUUAAGGCUUACUUUUAUUCCGGUCAUUUCCUAGUUAACUUUUACUUUGAGCCUAGUGAAUGGCUUUUGGGAAAUGAGAUGACUUUUGUGUGAGAUGUUGGGACUGAUUUGAGAAAAUAAUGAAGCCUUAAUGGCUGGAAAAGUAAGAAAUCUAGGGGAAGUGCUGCCCGAUUUUCUAGGCCGUUUGGUUCUUUAAGUUGGAUUUGGCUUUUGAUAGAAAUGAAAGCCUUUUGGGUUGUUUGGCGCCUAGGUCUUCAUGUUAUCUUUUUGUUCCAAGAAAAUCAUGUUUUCCACCCUCGCACUAGUAUUUAUUUGGCAAGGCGUACGACGUGUAGUCGAGCCUCACAUGUGCAUUCUGUUUACUCGAUUCUGGAAGUAAAACCUUCAAUUGGUUUAUUUUGAUUAUUUUAGGAUUUCUUGGCGAUUAAGGCCAAUCUGAAGUGAAAACUUUUGAAGUUGAGCCGGUGAGUGUUCCACUACCUGCUACCCAUUAUGUGAAAUAUCUGAAUAUGAUAUUGAAGCCAAAUACUGUUUUGAUAAAAUGGAGGCGAGGGUGUACUUUAUCACACUCGUUCUUCUAUCUGUUCAUAUGCCAAUUUUGAGUGCCUAUCUGAAUCUGCCGUCUGAAUCUGCUAUCUGAAUCUCCUAUUCUGUAUCUGUAUCUGAAUCUGUUAUCUGUGUCUGCAUCUGUUCGGAUUUCUAUGACCUAUGAGCUCAAUCCUGUUGCUAAGUUAUUCGAGUCGGGCCGGCAAGGGCCUGGACGAUUAGAUAACGAACCACGGUAGUCUGUUCGGGGAUUUUUGGGUAUUGAGACCCUUGAUUCCGGUAUACUCGAGUAUUACCAUUUCUGUUCAGUUGAGGUGAGCGGGCCCGGUAAAGGGGUGUUUGGUGGACGGAAUUCGGUGUAAAGAGGGUCUACGGACGCAUUGGUUCUAUAUGCGUUGACGGAGAGUCAACCGGUUUAGAUCAAGUACUGCGCUGGAAAUUUGGCUCCUGAGAGCCACCCGUAUCCUUCUGAUUUGAAUCAUUGGUUCCUUUGCUUUACAUCUGACAUGUGUGUCUGAUUUGUUAAAUGUGAAAUGCCAUGAUUUUUCUGCUAUAUGUUUGGUACCUCAUUGAGCGCAAGCUCACCCCUUUCUGUUCCCUUUUGUUUUCCUUACAGGAAAAUAAACCCUUUUGGUCUGGAUUUGACAAAUGGCCGCCAAAUUGAGCUAGUUGAACAUAUUUUUUGUAUAGCUCAUGUAUUAAAACCCUAAGUGUACUUUUGGGGCGUUUUCUCUUUUGAUUUGGCAAACCGUGUAUAUGUAUUAACUUUUGAAAACUUUUGUAUGUCAUUUUGGAUUGUAAUCGCUAAAGUUCAGAUGUGAAUGUUUGCGUGCUCUUUCGGUUGGGUUCUGACGGGUCGGUUACUAUCUUGGCCGACUCCGGAUUUCAUUUUUCUUAUUUUGGGUUAUGUUGCCAUUUUGACUUGCUUACGCUCGUUGGUAAGUUUCGGAACGUGUUAGAUUGACGUAAACGGAUCCGUAGUCCUGGCGAGAGCUGGGCAGGCAAUCCGCUAACCCCUUUGGUUCGCCUUAGGGGAAGGUGGGGCUGUAACCUCAAAUAUACAUCACAUGGUCCACAAAUAUACAUCCAAGUCUCCAAUAAUUACAUGUCACAAUUGCAGCGGAAACAUCAUAACUCAGGCUCUACAAGUCCAAAUCCAGAAAUUCCAAAACCAGCUGAAAGCUAAGAAACAGGGCUAAAUUUCAUCAGAAGGCCUCAACAACCAAUUCGGAAGCAAUUCCAGGAAAAACAACCAAUUACAGGCGCAGUUCUCAAUUUCGGGUAAAACCAGAACAGCAAUAGUAAUUUCGACUUUUCUCAUCUACGCUACUCCGAUUGACCUGAAAUUUUGUAGACACCUCUAAAAUGUCAUUCCCUACAACUUUCAUGUUUUAAGCCAAGGCCAAUUCGGCCUCUAUCUAGGACCUAAAAAUUCGGACAGAAUGCUCCUUCACAAAACCUAAUUUUCUGAAAUUUCUUCCAAAACAGAAAUUGAUUGCAAUUAAUCACUUUUUCCACCUCAUAGAGUCCUUAAAUAUCAUUUCCAAUCAUCAUACAUGACCCCAUAAUCAUACUCAUAUGAAAACAGAAAAAUCCCCAAUAAUUAUAAAACUUCACCAAUUCAACCAAAAUCAAGAUAUAAUCCAUAAAACCAUCUCUUUAGCCAUCACAAGUCUCUAAUUUAGCAUAAUCAAGAACAAAGAAAGGAUGGCUAGACAUGAUACCUUCAAAUAUCAAGAAAGGUGAUGACUUAGGGAUUUUUCUUCCAAAACAACUCCACCAAGAGCUUCAAUCUUCCUUAGCUAGCAAGUUUUAUGGAGUGAUUUGCAAUUUAAUCGGUUGGAACUCAAGAUUUGGACAAGAAAUUGAAGUGCAAGAUGAUGGAUUUUCUCUCUCUUUUUCUCUCAAAAUUUCGUCCAAGACAAGCUAAAAUGGAGAGAAAUUGGGUCCAAAUUGGUUUUAGUAAAGUUAGAAAAGUCUUGGUCAAAAGUCAAGGUCCAAUGGUUUUGUGACAAAUGGUCCUUUAGGGUUUUAAUCUUAUCUUUUUGUCUCUCCAAUACAAAUAUCUUAACACAUUGUAAAAUAAUAUCACUUAAUACAAAAUUCCAACAAGUUGUCAAAAAUAUAAUGCAUUUACCGUACAUGCGGGUCCCACGUCCAAAAUACGCUUUUAAUUUCUCAAAAACUAACCGAUACUAGAAAAAUCAUUUUAAAACUAUUUUUGCUCAUAAACUUUAUCUGGGGAAUUUUUCUAAUCAAGAAAAUGUAGAAAAGGCGGGCGUUUAAAAAAUAAACCCUAGAAAAUUAGAAAAUUUUCGGGUUCUCACACUCAUACUUUUCGGGGCGUCACAUACAACUCGUAAUCGAGUCUCAUUGCGUUUUAUUGAAUGUUCUAGGGCGUGCCGGUGACGCUAGGCGCUCGUUGGACCGAAAUCUGUGAAAUUUUCCUUUGUUUGAUUGGUGAGUGUACUACUCAUAUGAUUGUUACUUCAUGGCUUUGUUAUACUUGAAAUCUGUUAUUUGAAUGCUUGUGUAUACUGUUGAGAUUGAUUGAGUCGAGGGUGUACUUUAUCACUCUCGCACUCUAUGACUUAUGUGACUGUUUAUUGUAUCAAUUGAAUGUCUCUUGAAUAUACUUGAACUGGUGUCGUUUGGAUGUGUAUCCAACGACUCUUACUGUUAACUCUGAGCUCAACCCCAUUGGUGGUCAAUUGAAUCGAGCCAGCAAUGGCUUGGUCGAGGAAAUUGGCAAGCCAUGGGGACUGUUUAUGUGGAAUCAUUGGGUAUGAGACUCUUGAUUCCGGUAUACUCGAGUAUUAUCACUGUGAACUGAUUGGAUUUCGGGUCGGGUAGGGGUAUGUGAGGUGGAAGGAAAUUGGAGAAAGCGGAGUCUACGGUAUUGGUUACUCCUUAAGUGUUGACGGAGGGUCAAUGGGGCAAGAUCAAGUACGGCAAGCGAGGAAAAGGGCUCUUGAGAGCCGACCGUAUCCUUUUAAAUAUCUGUGUUCCAAUGUGGUGCUCGUUGACUCACUUACUGAAUGUAUUUGGGUUGAGUAGCUUUGUACUUAGAUGAACUUCGUUGCUUGGGUGAUGGUAUCUCAUUGGGCGAAAGCUCACUCUGUUAAAUUUUGUUUUCCUUACAGGGAACCACCUUUUGGAGACUAUGAUGUUUGAAGCACGAGUUGAGCUAGUUUUCAUAUAGUUUGAGUAUAUUCUUUUGUAAAGCUCCUCGCUGGUUGGAAAACCCUAAAUGUACUUUGAUUCGAAUAUUUUCCUUUUAAUUUGGAAAUUACAAACGUAUGCGUGUAAAACCGUUUAACCAUGUUCAUGUAUCCUAUUUGGUUUGGAAAUGUUUCCUCCCGAGUGAUAUAAUGUUAUCUAUAAUCGAUUGGAUUCCGGUUGGUUUGUGACAUGGCCGACACUAUUCAUGUUCGGCUCCCAUUUUCGUUUUUGUUUGGUGAUUGUUCUGAUUCUUUUGAGCGCGCUUUUAUUUUCUGGAACUUUUUAGAUUGUGUGUAACUGCCUCAGCAGUCCUGGCGAGAGUUGGGCAGGUAGUCCGCUAACCCCUUUGGUACGCCUUAGGGGAAGGUGGAGCUGUCACAGGUGGUAUCAGAGUCUAGGUUAGAAAUGACCUAGGCAAGUUUAAAUUUUGUCCCUUAGGGCCUGUGAGGGAAGUGUUAAGAUACCGUUAAGUGUGACUAUGCUUACGUUGUCUAAAAUAUGAACCCUUUUGCUAUCCUUGUAGGUUAUGGCCGGAACCAGCGGAGAGGGCGGAGGUGAGCCACCUCAAAGGCGGCCACGAGUCAUUGAUUACCAGGAGAGGCCAGGAGGUCCGAUCCAGCUUUGGUAUACUGCGAGCCGGACCCGACGCUGUAGGCGUUGCUAGUAUUACUCUUAUGCUGAUCAUGUAGUCGUGGCAGUCCUAGAUGAGAGGAGGAGACUUAGGAGUGCCGCAGCCAGGGAUCACACUGAGGCGCUUAGAUUGAGAGGCGUCAUAAGGAUGCAGGCUGACCGAAUUGGAGAGCUCCAAGGAGACUUAGCUAUGGAGCAAGAGCGAACGAACGCUCUGAGGGAGCAGCUGCAGGUGGUGAACACUCGUCUUACCAAUGUCGUCCGGGAAGUUAGGGACCGUUCCGGCGACAUUAUUAAUGAGUGCGAGGCGCUAAUCCAAGGUGUGAUUGGCGCCAACGCGCAAGUGGAGGCCCUGAGUGACGACACACCUAGUGAAGGGAGUACCCCUAGUUCUAGGCAAGGGGGAGAGUCUGUGACCUCCGUGGGGAACUAGGCUAGAACUCUUUUGAACCACUUUUGAUCCCAUGAAGGGAAUAGUUAGGAAAGGCUCUUAGUUAGCUGUUUUGGCCUAACUCUGUCUAUUGUCUUUUGGAGGACCCCUUUUAUUUCAUGGGAUGACUUUUGUAUGUACUGGACUGCCUGUUUUUGUAUAACUGCUGGAUCCUGUUAUGUGUUAUGUGUUUAAAUGCCCGAUGAGGUAGUUGUUUUGGUUAAUUGUUCAUGUUAUUUUUAAGUAUAGGGGUUAUGUGCCCUUUAACAUUAUACUUACUUUUGUAUUACCCUAGAUUGACUUAGAUCGAUGGAGGGCACUCGUAGUGGUCGAGGCCGUGGAUGCGGGAGUAGACAACCCACAUUUGAAAGGGGCACCGGGGAAAUCUCGUCUGGACCAAACCCUGAACCUAGGGUUAACCCCAAUAUCCAAAUAGCUGCUGCUAUGCAGCAAAUGACUGAUUUGCUAGCCCAAGUGGUGCACCAAUAGGGUCAAAACCCUAACUCCAACCCUGGGAACCCUGGUAAUCACGUGAAGAGCGGGGACCGGGCCCUCGAGAGGUUCCAAAAGUUUGCCCCACCAAAGUUUAUUGGGGAACCCGAUCCAGAUGUAGCCGAAAGGUGGUUAGAAAAGAUGGUGGACAUCUUUGCAGCCUUGUAUUAUACGGAGGAAAGGUAGGUGACUUUUGUUGUCUUCCAACUGGAAGGGGCGGCCCGUUCUUGGUGGAACGUAAUACGACAAAAAUAGGACCGAGAGCAAACGCCCAGGACCUGGGUGAACUUUAUGCGGGAGUUCAACGCUAAAUUCUUUCCUCCUCUAGUUCAGGAACGAAAGGAGGAUGAAUUUAUCCGGUUUCGUCAAGGGACUCAGACAGUGGCCGAGUACGAGAGCCAAUUCACUCGGCUGUCCAAAUUUGGCCCCGAGCUCAUCGUGACCGAGCAACGAAGAAUACGGCGAUUCGUCCAGGGUCUGAACGUGGAGAUCCAGAAGAAUUUAGCCGUAGCCCAAAUUAACGCCUUCAGCGAUGCCGUAGAGAAGGCGCAACGAGUAGAGAAUGUUAGGCUACAGGUGAGAAACUUUCAAACUAAAAAGCGAGGGUUCCCUGGUAGUAGCUCGGGGCAGGGGGAUAAGGGUACCCCUCCCAAGUUUGGACGGGGAGCCGAAGGUGGAAGGCAUCGGGACGUAAGUAGAGAGGCUCAGCUAAGAGGUGGCCCAGCUGAGAGAGGCCAAAGAGGAGGUUUCCAGAGAGGUUCGGGUUCUGCAUCCCUUGGACCCUGCGGGUAUUGCGAAAAGCCAAAUCACACAGAGGACAAUUGCUAGAAGAAUGAGGAAAGUACCUGCGUUGCGGAAGCGCAGACCACCAGCUCGCCUCCUGCCCAGUUCUAAAGCAAGAUGGAAAAGGAAGUCAACAACCGCCAAGGACCAGUUCUAGACCAGUUAAGGUGGACGGGACGAAACCCAAGGUGUCGGCUCGAGUAUACUCGCUAGAGCCCCAACAGGUCUCAGACUCUUCCGAGGUCGUAGAAGGUACGAUCCCUGUAUUUCACUGAUUUGCGAAGGUCUUAGUAGAUCCUGGUGCCACCCAUUCCUUUGUUAACCCUAAUUUCAUGUGUGGUAUUGAUAUCAAGCCUGCUAGUUUACCUUAUGACCUAGAAGUUAGUACCCCCACUGGGGACCAUCGUUUGAUCACUAGCAUGGUUUAUAAGGACUGCGAGGUUUGGUUAGGAGAGAGAAAAUUGCUAGGGUAUUUGAUAAGCCUGUCCAUUAAAGGGUAUGACGUGAUCUUGGGCAUGGACUGGUUAGCCAGGUAUAAUGCUCAAUUAGAUUGUAAGAAGAAGGAGGUAGAGUUCCGCAUUCCUGGGGAGGCGACCUUAAGGUUAAAUAUAAGGGGAAGGUUAGCCUCAUCCGCCUUGAUCUCGGGCAUUCGGACUAGAAAACUGCUAAGUAGAGGGGCGCAAGGGUUCUUAGCCUUUCUAAUCAAUACCCCCACCGAUAAAUUGAAGGUAGAGGAUGUGCACAUAGUAAAGGAAUAUCCAGAUGUAUUCCCUGAUGAGUUAGUAUCCCUACCUCCAAAGAAAGAGAUAGAGUUCAAAAUUGACUUGUUACCUGGAACGUCACCUAUCUCAAAAAUCCCGUAUCGGAUGACACCUGCUGAGCUAAAGGAAUUGAAAUUGCAAUUACAAGACCUUUUGGAACGGGGUUUCAUUCACGAGAGUGGGUCUUCCUGGGGAGCCCCUGCGUUAUUCGUGAAGAAAAAGGACGGGAGUCUGCGUAUGUGUAUCGACUACCGGGGGCUGAACAAUGUGACGGUUAAAAAUAAGUAUCCAUUGCCCCAUAUUCAUGAGUUGUUCGACCAGUUGCAAGGAGCAGUGGUCUUUUCGAAAUUAGAUUUUCGACAGGGGUAUUACCAAUUGUUGAUUAGGAAGGAGGAUAUCCCAAAAACUGCUUUCAAUUCGAGAUAUGGGCAUUAUGAGUUCGCGAUUAUGCCCUUUGGACUGACCAAUGCCCCUGCCGCCUUCAUGGAUCUGAUGCAUAUGGUUUUUAAGCCCUACCUGGAUCGAUUUGUCGUGGUCUUUAUUGAUGACAUUUUGGUCUACUCCAAGACUCGUAAGGAGCAUGAGCAGCACUUAAGAAUCAUUUUACAAACCUUAAGAGAGCAUCAAUUGUACGCCAAGUUUAGUAAGUGCGAGUUUUGGCUGGAGAAAAUUUCUUUCUUAGGGCACGUAAUUUCCCAAGAGGGUAUCUCGGUUGACCCGGCAAAAGUAGAGGUCGUGACUAAUUAGAAGAGGCCAGAAAAUCCUACGGAGAUUCGUAGUUUUCUAGGGUUGGCUGGGUAUUAUAGGCGCUUUAUUAAAGACUUUUCCAAACUGGCCGGUCCUUUAACCGAUCUGACAAAGAAACAUGGUCGUUUUAUGUGGGAUGCCAAGUGUGAGACAAGUUUUCGAGAGCUAAAGAAAAUAUUAACCAUGACACCGAUUCUAGCUUUGCCUAACGGAGUAGACGAUUUUACCGUUUAUACCGACGCGUCGCGAGAAGGUUUGGGGUGUGUGCUGAUGCAAAACCAGAAUGUGAUAUCUUUUGCCUCUAGAAAGUUGAAACCCCAUGAGCAAAACUACUCAACCCACGAUCUGAAGUUAGCCACAGUUGUUUUCGCUCUGAAAAAGUGGAGACACUAUCUAUACGGGGUAACUUUCGAGGUUUACUCAGACCACAAGAGUCUUAGAUACCUCUUCUCACAGAAGGAAUUGAAUAUGAGGCAGCGACAGUGGAUGGAAUUUCUGGAGGACUACGACUGCACUAUCAAUUAUCAUCCGGGGAAAGCGAAUGUGGUAGCUGAUACCUUAAGUCGAAAGGCUCAAGUAACGGGGUUAAUGAUUAAGGAGUGGGAUCUGUUAGAAUCCGUUUGUGAGUGGAAACCCUGCCUUGGGAGUCAUAAGGUGACUUUUGGUAAUGUGAGGGUAAUGUCUACCCUACUGGAGCGAAUUAAAGAAGCUCAGAAGGAAGAUGUUAUGGCGCUGAAGUGGGGAGAGAAAGUGGGAAAAGGGGAAUUGGCUGAUUUCAACCUCAGUCCAGAAGGCAUUUUGAAAUACCGAAACCGAGUGGUGGUGCCUAAGGAUGAAACGUUAAAGACGGAGAUCUUGGAGGAAGCUCAUCGGUCCAAGUAUACGAUCCAUCCGGGUAGUAGCAAGAUGUAUCAGGACCUAAAGGGAGCCUAUUGGUGGGACAACAUGAAGAAGAAAAUUGCUCUAUACGUGCAAAAUGUCUUAUUUGUCAACAAGUUAAGGCGGAACAUCAAAAACCAUCGGGCUUGUUACAACCUCUUGAGAUACCCGAAUGGGAGUGGGGAAACAUCAUAAUGGACUUCGUUUCAGGUUUGCCGCGAACACAACGAGGACAUGAUGCCGAUUGGGUGAUCGUCGACCGAUUAACCAAAUCGGCCUAUUUCUUGCCGGUAAGCAUGAAGUAUUCCAUGGAUAAAUUGACCCAAGUGUACAUGGACGAGAUCGUAAGAUUACAUGGAGUUCCUGUGAGUAUCGUAUCGAAUAGAGAUCCCCGCUUCGUAUCUAGGUUUUGGCAGAAAUUUCAAGAGAUUUUGGGGACUAAACUCUACCUAAGUACCACUUAUCAUCCCCAGACGGAUGGACAGUCGAAGCGAACAAUUCAAACUCUCGAGGAUAUGUUAAGGACCUGUAUUCUGGAUUUUGGGGGUAACUGGGGUCAACAUAUGACCUUAGUAGAGUUUGCCUACAAUAACAGUUACCAUUCGUCUAUUCAAAUGGCUCCAUACGAAGCGCUUUAUGGGAGGAAGUGCCCAUCACCGAUUUAUUGGGACGAAAUCGACAAGAGGAAGGUGCUAGAUCCAACAACUAUUCCAUGGAUGGAGGAUACCCGAGAAAAAGUCAAGUUGAUACGACAAAGACUCCAAACAGCUCAAAGCCGACAGAAGAGCUACGCGGACAAUCGAAGAAAAGAUCUGGAGUUCGAAGUUGGGGACCGUGUUUUCCUUAAGGUCACACCAUUACGAAGCGUCACGGCGGGUAGAGCAAAGAAACUUCAAUCGAGAUUCGUCGGACCUUUCAAGAUUCUCUAGAGAGUUAGUAAAAGCGUAUCGACUUGAACUACCGUCAAGUCUAUCUAGAAUUCACGACGUCUUCCACGUCUCGAUGCUUAAGAAGUAUUAUCCUGAUCCGUCUCACAUCUUACAACCAGAGGAAGUCGAGAUAGAUGAAUCCCUCACCUACGAAGAGAAGCCAGUGCAGUUGCUUGACCAAAAGGUUAAAAAACUGAGAAACAAACGAAUACCUUUGGUGAAGAUUUUGUGGAGAAAUCACGGGAUUGAGGAGGCUACCUGGGAGGUCGAAGAAGAAAUGCAAAAGAAAUACCCAGAACUGUUUGAAAGUCAAGGUGAGAAAUUUCGAGGGCGAAAUUCUUUUAAGGGGGAGAGAGUGUGAGAACCCGUAUAUUUUUUUUCUUUUUUCUAGGUUUUAUUCUAUUUAAUUGCACACUAAUUCUAUAUUUUCUUUGUUAGGAAAAUUUUCUAAAUAAAUUUUAUGAGUCAAUGUGGUUUUUAAAUUAUUUUUCUAGUAUCAGUUAGUUUUCGAAAGUGUAUAUCGGAUGUGGGACUCGCAAGUGCGGAAAGUGCGGUAAAAUUCGGCCAAUUAGGUUAAGUUUGGUAUACUGGGAUUAAUUUUUUAGGUUUUAAGAGAUAAUUAGAGGUUACCUAGAUGGAUUAGUAUUAGAGAGACAAAGGGAUAGCUAUAAACCAAAAAGGUGACAAGUGUCACUUUCCUACUUAAUCUUGGACUUUGACCACUAUUCAUGACUUUACUAAAAUCCCAAAAAUUGACCAAGAAAUCUUCAUUUUCUUCACUCCUUUGCCCGGCCCUCUCAAGAAGAAAAAGAAAGGAAACCUUCAACUCUCUUGCUCUCAAUCUUGCUCAAUCUCCCUAUCCAACCGAUUAAACUUGAAAUUUCUCUAUAAAAACCCUUAGUGAAGUAGUAGUGAGGUAGUUGGUGGAGUGGUUUGGAAAGAGGAGGUGCUAAGUUGGGUCUUUUCUUGAGUUUGCAAGGUAAGUGACUAAGGAACCUUUCUUUUGUUCUUGAAAAUGUGCAAUUAGUGACUUGUGUGAGUUAAGGAGGUGAUUUUGUGGAGGUUUUCAUAAAUUUUGGUAGUGCUUGAUGAAUUUCUGAUUUCAUGCAUGAUUUUUCUAUUUUUAUAUGUUUAAUGUUGGUUGGCCAUGGAUGAUGGCUUGGUAUGGUUUAGAAUGAAGCUUUGGUAUGUUAAUUGUAGUGAUUUACAGAAAAUUUCUGGUUUGUACGGAAAAUUUCAGAUUUAGGGUUUUGAAUUGGGGCUUUUCUAAGGUUGCUAUAGAACUCUUGAAUUGGCUUUGUUUAAAGGGUACUGUGACCCUAAUAACUUGUAUUGAGUAGCCUAUGACUUACAAUGGUAAUUGUGGUUGUGUUUGAGAAAUAUAAAUGAUUGAUGGUAGGAUGGAAAUCUGAAAUUUUAAGAGGAAAUGCUAUCCAAAUUGUGGGUUCUUAUGUUUUAUUGGAUUUGGGUUGUUUUAGGGGUAAUUAGAGACCUUAGGGUGGUCUAAACCCUUAACACCGAGUGUUCCUUAUUUUGUUUGCAAGUUCUUUUGGUUUUACAUUAGUGACUUGUGGCUUGGAUUUACGACUCGUAAUCGAGUCUCAUUGCGUUUUAUUGAAUGUUUUAGGGCGUGCCAGUGACGCUAGGUGCUCGUUGGACCGAAAUCUGUGAAAUCUUCCUUUGUUUGAUUGGUGAGUGUACUACUCAUAUGAUUGUUACUUCAUGGCUUUGUUAUACUUGAAAUCUAUGAUUUGAAUGCUUAUGUAUACUGUUGAGAUUGAUUGAGUCGAGGGUGUACUUUAUCACUCUCGCACUCUAUGGCUUAUGUGACUGUUUACUAUAUCAAUUGAAUGUCUCUUGAAUAUACUUGAACUGGUGUCGUUUGGAUGUGUAUCCAACGACUCUUACUGUUAACUCUGAACUCAACCCCAUUGGUGGUCAAUUGAAUCGAGCCAGCAAGGGCUUGGUCGAGAAAAUUGGCAAGCCAUGGGGACUGUUUAUGUGGAAUCAUUGGGUAUGAGACUCUUGAUUCCGGUAUACUCGAGUAUUACCACUGUGAACUGAUUGGAGUUCGGGCCCGGUAGGGGUAUGUGAGGUGGAAGGAAAUUGGAGAAAGCGGAAUCUACGGUAUUGGUUACUCCUUAAGUGUUGACGGAGGGUCAACGGGGCAAGAUCAAGUACGGCAAGCGAGGAAAAGGGCUCUUGAGAGCCGACCGUAUCCUUUUAAAUAUCUGUGUUCCAAUGUGGUGCUCAUUGACUCACUUAUUGAAUGUAUUUGGGUUGAGUAGCUUUGUACUUAUAUGAACUUCGUUGCUUGGGUGAUGGUACCUCAUUGGGGAAAAGCUCACUGCGUUAAAUUUUGUUUUCCUUACAAGGAACCACCUUUUGGAGACUAUGAUGUUUGAAGCACGAGUUGAGCUAGUUUUCAUAUAGUUUGAGUAUAUUCUUUUGUAAAGCUCCUCGCUGGUUGGAAAACCCUAAAUGUACUUUAAUCCGAAUAUUUUCCUUUUGAUUUGGAAAUUACAAACGUAUGCGUGUAAAACUGUUUAACCAUGUUCAUGUAUCCUAUUUGGUUUGGAAAUGUUUCCUCCUGAGUGAUAUAACGUUAUCUAUAAUCGAUUGGAUUCUGGUUGGUUUGUGACGUGGCCGACGCUAUUCAUGUUCGGCUCCGAUUUUCAUUUUUGUUUGGUGAUUGUUCUGAUUCUUUUGAGCGCGCUUUUAUUUUCUGAAACUUUUUAGAUUGUGUGUAACUGCCUUAGCAGUCUUGGCGAGAGCUGGGCAGGCAGUCCGCUAACCCCUUUGGUACGCCUUAGGGGAAGGUGGGGCUGUCACACAGUACCUAUGGUUUGCCAGUCUCAUUGACCAAACCCUUACCGGUUCGAUUUGACUGACUAACUAAUAGGGUGAGGAUCACAUGUAGUAUUCAAGUUCUACACAUGUAUAUCAAGUUAAUAAUAACCAGUAAAGAGUAAGAAAUCACAUUAGGGCAAGUGUGAUAAAGUACACCCUUGCCCGUCCAAACAAGUCAAGUAUUUCUUUCAAAUAUUAAGUUCAAUCAUGCACUUGGAAACACUCACCAAAGACUUAUUGCUUUUCAAAACCACACUCAAGUUCAUCUUCCUGGCUGGAGUCCAAAUCUGCAAUAAAAUACCGUUUAACAGUUUGAAAUCAAUAAGGGUUCAAAAUAUAGGAAUUUCGCUUAAAGAAAAUCAAGUAAAUAAAACUCGUUUAAGUAGUACUCGUUUUACUUAUCAAACUCUAGAAAAUUCAUGCUCUCUCGUUUGGUUUCGAUAAAGAAGCGAUUAAAAUGUUUAAGUUCGCAACUGGGCGGAAGAAACUAGAAAAUCGUAUUUAAAGUGGUCGCUACUUUGUCUUUGAAAAAUAUACACUAUUGGCAAAAUUUUAGCUUACAAGUCACUCACAAGGUCAACUUAAGCAUCCCUACAUAACUAAGUCCCAAAUCGCUCACAAGUCACACACUUAUUUCCGUAUUCACUCACUUAUCCCACAAAAGAAAACCGGGCAGCAUUUCCUUUGUGUUUACCAAUUUUUCCAGCCAUUCAAGGCUUCAUUUUCUUUCCAAAUCAGCCUCAAAUCAACACUACAAGUAAACAUAUAAAGAUAGUUCUUAAUCUAAGCCAAAAAUCAUUCAAAUAUAACUCAUUUCUAGCAAAUAAUCAACCAAUACCAAAGCUGGAAAUUUCUUACCAAGGCUGAAAUUUCAUCUUUUAAAGUUAAAAGUCACAGCCAUGCUACUAAUCACCUCACAAAUUCCAUAUCCAAGCUUAGGUUAACAACAUAAUCAAGGCAGAAAAUUACAAAACCCUAGCUGAAAUUUCACUAAUCACCACUGUAAGGCCCAAAGACAACCUAAGAGGGGGAGUGAAUUAGGUUGAUUAAAAACUUAAUUGAGUUUAUGCACUUUUUACUUAAUAAAAAUUUACCUUCUUUUCUAGUAGCGAUCAAUCAAGUAAUUUUAAAGAAUAGAACAAUGUUGAUCAGAAAUAAGGAUAUAUAUAAGCAAUGAGAAUUUUAUUAAACAAAAAGAAUAAGAUAGAGUAUCAAACCGAUUGUCUACCAAGCUUUCCUCAAACUUGAAGACCAAUCACAAGAAUGAGCACCUUCUCUUUGAUGAACAAUAAUCAACUCAAUGUACAAUGGAUGGAUCACUUCCUCCUUGCCCCAAGCCUCACUUAGUCAAGUUAGAAAGUUUUACUAUCACUCAGAUAACCCUCAACAAAGCUACACUAUUGAAAAUUUCAAACACAAGAGAAGAGCUUACAAGAACUUCACACAACUAGGAGAACAAAUCUUGCUUGGGAGACUAUUUUCUAGUUAAAAUAUCUCUUUAGAUCUUGUAAACAAAGUGUGCAAAAGUCUUUUUCUCGUUCAGAAUCGUUUGUAUUUGAAGGGGACCAAAGAUGGGCUUCAUUAAUGCUUCCAACGGAUAGAAGGCAGAUGAAGAGUCAGCUAGCCGUUGGGGCUGUCGGACGUCCGACAGAUUAAUCAUCGUCCGAUCCCAUCGUCCGAAACUUGCCAAGUUGUUGUUCGGACGUCCGAUGGGAUUGUAUUGUCUGAAAGCAUCUGCGUCCGAAUGUCGUCCAGAGAGUCAUCAGAACUUUGCAAAAUUUUUCGGACGUCCAACGCGAUCGAUAUGCGUCCGAAGAAUGCGUUCGAUAUUUCCGGACGUCCGAUGCUUUCUCACGAGCGUCCGAAGGAGUUUCCUUCUUGAUGUUCUUCAUCCUUUCGGACGUCCGACAGUUUCAUUUCGGACGUCCGACAUGAGUGCCCUGUUUUUGCUUCUUCUUUUGAUUGAUUUUCUUUCCUUGACACCUUUGUACCCGAUUCUCUAAAAAGCAAAACUUUUAUAUUUGGAGAGAAUUAGAUAAACAUUUCAAAGUGCUUUUGUGAUCAUCAAAAUCAAGAAUAACAUUCUCCCCCUUUUUGAUGAUGACGAAACAAAAGUUUGAAAUGAAAUUUGAUGACUUCAAAUAGGCUCCCCCUUUCUCACUCAAUUGUAGAACAAAAAUUAGCUCCCCCUCAAUCAUAGAACUCCCCCUCACUUGGCUACUUAUUAUCCAUAUUAUCCGUAUUCAUAUCUUCACCAACUCUCCCCCUUUUUGUCAUCACAGAAUUCAAAAUGUAAAGAUACAUUUGGAGAACUAGUAACAAAGAUUCGACCAUAUAUCCAACCAUUCAUAGCAAAAUGAUCUUACGAGCAUUACAUCCAUAUAUCCAACCAUUCAACCAAACAAAAUGUAAAGAUUCAACCAUUCACAAACAUUACAAACAUAUGUCCAGUUUUGGACAUUACAAAACACCAAAUGACACCAAGCACCAGAAUUCAAUAGAUAAAAAGAGUUCAAGGCAACUAUCUAACAUUCAGCAAAUAAAAACAGUCAAACAUAAUGCAAAUGAUCCUAAUAGGACUAGUGAUCCUAAAUGAUAAGCUAAGAGGAUCCAGGCGUCCUUCGAGUAAGUUGAUACUGAGAGAGAUCCUCCUCCUCAGUGUCUUCAUCAUCUUCAGCAACUGGUUUCUUGCCUUUAUCAGAUGUGGAAGGAUCAUGUGGUGCCACGAGAGUAGAGGUGAGGUCGAUAGGAGCAGGACUCAUAGAGCGAACAGGGGCUGAUGAACUUGGAUCAUUGGAGCGUGGCUCCUUGCCAGGAGGGACUUCCUCAACCACAGGUGGGGGAAAAAGAAGACUCUUUUUAUCUAGGAAGUCAGCUUGUUGCUGGGAUGACAUGGUGAGCAUGAGACCAUGUUCAAGAAGCAGAACAUGUUGCUUAAGGUUUCGAAGGAGCUCAACCACCUCAGAAUUUGAAGAAGAAGAUGCCUUAGUUGCAGUCUUCCUAGGAUGAAUAGAGGUCAGUGCAACAGAGGAUGGAGUGUGAAGUGGAUCAUGUGCAGCCUUAGAUCUAGGUUCAUUAGAAGUGGCCCCCUUAUACGCCCACAAAUUAUCCCUAAAGACAAGAUUUUUGCACUCAAAAUAAGCCUUAGUGAAGGCAGAGGAAAAUGUUUCUUUGGGACAAACACCAAGGAUAGGUACUUUGUAAAAUUCAAAAACCUUUUGAAGGAAUUUUCCAUAGGACAGUUUUCUACGAGAAUCAGUGGUAUAGCGAAGUAAAAACUUGCACAUGACAAAGCCAAAGUCAAUGCGAAUUUUUUCUCGAAAACAAUAAAACAAAUACAGCUCCAUUUUAUUUGCAUCUGUUCUAUGACCGUCAGUAGGCACAAGCAAAUUUGAAAUGAUUGAGAAAGCAAUAAGAUUCACAGGGGCAAGGUCAUUUAGUUUUGCAUCAGCAGGGGCAGAAAAUUUCUUUCGAAAAUAGGUUAGCAUUUUAGCAUUAUCAAAGUGAUUAUCAGCAGUAGGAUGCUCUUCAUAAGAAAAGAAAUUAGCAAUUUUACUUUUGCAUCCUGGUUCAAUAACAGUAUUUAAAAUGGCAUUCACAGUUUCAGGAUCAAAUACUAAGUCUACCCCAUUUACCCUGGACAUAAUUUCAGUGUGAUCAGUGCCUUUCCUAAGAUUGGCAAAGAAUUGAUACAGCAUUUCAGGGUAAUAAACGUUAGGCAUGGAAAUGAUAUGUGACCAUUUCUGGAAUUCAAAGAGAUUAAGAAUUGACUCUAAACCAAUCUUGCGGAAUUCAGAAAGAUUUAUGGUUCGUUGAGGAAUGAAACCUUUCUGGGUUAUCAAGGAAUGUUUUUCUUUGGCAGCAGCAUCAAAGAAUGGGGAGACGGUGGUUGAUUGGGAAGGCUGUUGAGAUGGAGUUCCUUGUCCGGAUUCAGGCUGAGCGGAAGGCCGGGAAGUUUGAGUCUUUACUGCUCCCCUUUUGAAGCGUUUGGAUGAUCUUAUGACCCUAGGAGAAUCCACAUCUUCAUUCCUGAGUGUGUGCUUGCGUCCGGCAGGGACUUUUCCUCCUCUUAGAUUCACCAUUGUGUGAAAUGUGUGAGAUGUAUGAUGUGAAUGAUGCACACAGUGGUAUGGGAGUGAAUCACACAAGAAUUUUGGGUUAAAGAAGCCUUGAAGAUGAUUGAGCAGAGCGGUUAUGAGAAAGUAGGGUUUUGAGGGAAAUUUGGGAAUUUUCGAAAUGUGAUGAGAUUUGGUGAAAAGAUCCGAAAAUUGAACUCGCAAUGAUCAGGAGAAGUUUUUGGUUGAGUCAAUUUUGGAAUGAGUGCUUCAGAAAAGCACGAAUUGAGUGUGAGAAGGAUAGAGGUUUCCGUCCGAGUGAGAAGAGAAGAGGAGAGUUCUGAAGCAAAUGAGGAGGGAAGUCACUUUAAAAAGUGUACCGUUGCACUGUCGGACGGCCGAACGUAGUCGUGCAUCCGACGGUUUCGUCCGAACAGAUGUUUUCUGGGAAAAUAGCUGAAGAACAUCAUCGGACGUCCGUUCAUCUGUUUUAGGACGUCCGAAAGCUUUGAACAGAAAAAAAAUUUUAAGAUAAUUUUUCGAUUAUCCCUAAUUUUGAUCUUAGAUGAAUGAAUUGAUCCAAUGGCAAAGCUUUUGUAAAAAUAUCAGCAAUUUGAUCUUUAGAGCAAACAUAAUUCACACAAACUUCACCUUUUUGAACAAGAUCGCGAAUAAAGUGGUGCUUUAUAUCUAUAUGUUUUGUCCUAGAAUGUUGAAUUGGAUUUUUGGUCAAAUUUAUAGCACUGGUAUUAUCACAGAAUAUAGGCAUGCAAUCAUAUAACAAUCCAAAAUCAUUCAAGGUAUGCUUCAUCCAUAAAAGUUGAGCACAACAUGCACUAGCGGUAAUAUAUUCCGCUUCGGUUGUGGACAAAGAGAUUGCAUUUUGUUUUUUGCUAAACCAAGAAACUAAGCAAUUACCAAGAAAGUGACAAGUUCCACUAGUACUUUUUCUAUCCACAUGACAACCACCAAAAUCCGCAUCCGAAUAUCCAUAUAGAGCAAAUUCACAAGAUCUAGCAUACCAAAGACCAUGGUCUAAUGUACCUUUCAAAUACCUAAAAAUUCUUUUAACAGCGUUCAAAUGUGAUUCUUUUGGACAAUAUUGAAAUCUAGCACACAAGCAAACAACAAACAUAAUGUCGGGUCUACUUGCGGUUAAAUAGAGUAGGCUUCCAAUCAUACCUCUAUAGUACUUUUCAUCCACAUGUUUACCUUCUUCAUCUUUGUCAAGUUUUGUAGAAGUGCACAUUGGAGUUCCAACUUGCUUUGAGUCCUCCAUGCCAAAUCUUUUCAGCAAUUCCUUGGUGUAUUUUGCUUGAUUUAUAAAAAUUCCCUCUAGUGCUUGAUGUAUUUGAAGUCCAAGGAAGAAAUUUAAUUCUCCCAUCAUACUCAUCUCAAAUUCACUUUGCAUAAUGGUGGAAAACUCCUUGCAUAGAUACUCAUUAGUAGCACCAAAAAUAAUAUCAUCUACAUAUAUUUGCACAAUAAGAAGAUCAUUUGACACUUGCUUAGUAAAAAGUGUGGUAUCGACAAUACAUCUUUUAAAACCAUUCUCAAUCAAGAAACCACUCAAUCUCUCAUACCAAGCUCUUGGAGCUUGUUUUAGUCCAUAUAAUGCUUUUGAGAGUUACAUGACUUGGAAAUUUUGUAUCCACAUAUACUUCUUGAUCAAUAAAACCAUUUAAGAAGGCACUUUUAACAUCCAUUUGAAACAAUUUGAAACCUUUGAAGCAAGCAAAAGCAAGAAGCAUUCUAAUCGAUUCUAAUCUAGCUACGGGAGCAAAUGUUUCAUCAAAAUCAAUUCCUUCUUCUUGUGCAUAUCCUUUAGCAACUAAUCUAGCUUUAUUUCUUACAACUACACCUUUAUCAUCCAACUUAUUUCUAAAUAUCUAUUUUGUGCCAAUGAUAGGUUGAUUUUGAGGUCUAUCAACAAGUGUCCAAACCUUAUUUCUCUCAAAUUGAUUAAGUUCCUCUUGCAUUGCCAAAAUCCAGUUUUCAUCCUUUAAGGCAUCAUUGAUAUUUUUAGGUUCAAAAAGAGAGACUAAAGCAAAAUUAUCUAUCAAAUUCUUAGAUGAGGAACGUGUCUUUACCUUCUCGAAUGGAUCACCAAUUAUAAGCUCUCUUGGAUGAUUUUGGCUAAAUUUCCAAGCUUUGGGAAGGUCUUUGAAUGAAUCAUCAUUCUUGUCUUCAUCUUCCUUUUCUUCAUGAGCUUCAUCCUCCAUUUCCUUUGCUUCCGGAUUAGAGUUUCCUUCAUCUCCAAUUGUUAUCUUUUUCAUUCCUUCACGAACACCUACAUCAUCAUCCUCAUGCGAACUUUUGGAAUUAUCGUCAUUAGAUUCAUCAAAUGUUAUGUGUAUAGCUUCUUCUAUCACAAGAGUUCUUCUAUUAAAGACUCUAUAUCCUCUUUUGUUCUCACAAUACCCCAAAAAUAUUCCUUCAUCAGAUUUUUUCUCAAACUUACCAAGAUGUUCCUUUAAAUUCAAAAUAAAACAUUUACAACCAAAAACUUUGAAAUAUCCAACCGUAGGUUUCUUAUUAAAAAUCAGUUCAUAAGAUGUUUUAUUCAAAAUAGGUCUCAAGAGGAUUCUAUUCAUCACAUAACAUGCGGUGUUUACCGCUUCAGCCCAAAGAUAUUUUUACAAAUUACAUUCACUCAACAUAGUUCUAGCAGCCUCUUAGAGUGUCCUAUUUUUCCUUUCUACAACACCAUUUUGCUGUGGAGUCCUUGCAAUAGAAAACUCAUGUGUUAUGCCAUUAUGAUCACAAAAUUCUGGAAAAUCACAAAACUUGAAUUCCGUCCCAUUAUCACUUCUAAUCCUAACAAUUUUUAAACCAAGCAGAUUUUGCACUUUAGCAAACAAUGAAGUAAAAUUCUUGAAGGCAUCAUCUUUAUGAGCAAGGAAUAUCACCCAAGUAUAUCUAGAAUAAUCAUCAACAAUCACAAAACAAUAUCUCUUACCUCCCAAGCUAGUAAUUUGAAUAGGACCAAAUAAAUCAAGAUGCAAGAGUUCCAAAGGUUUAGAGGUCGAUACACACUUCUUUGGUUUAACGGAAAUUUUUGUUUGCUUCCCAAAUUGACAUGCAUCACAAAUUUUGUCCUUUUCAAAACUGAUUUUUGGCAAGCCUCUAACCAACUCCUUUUUCAAAAUUUCCUUUAGUAAUUCCAUGUUAAAAUGACAAAGCCUCAUAUGCCACAACCAAGGAUCUUCAUUUGAAGCUUUAAGACAUUGGAAGCUAGAUGAAUCAAGUUUAUCAAGAACAACAAUAUAAAUAUCGUUAAACCUCUUACCUUUGCACACAACAUUAUAUUUACAGUCAAGCACAAUGCAUUCAUGCUUUUUGAACAACACAUUUAAGUCUUUAUCACAUAGUUGACUAACACUAAGCAAGUUAUAAACUAAGUUAUCAACUAAGAGCACAUUAUGAACAAAAGUUUCACCAUCCUUACCAACAUCACCUAUUCCAAUUGUCUUAGCUUUCACGUCAUCACCAAACGUCACUUUUUCACUUGAUUUUGAUUUUAGUUUUAUGAACAAAGAAGGAUCACCGGUCAUAUGCCUAGAACAGCCACUGUCAAUGAACCAUUUUGACUUGUUUGAGCCUUUUCCCUCAUUAUCUCCAAUAGCCAUGAAGGCCAUUUGAGCUGAUUCUUCUUCUUCUUCAACUUCGCCUUCGGAGUUACAUUCAUUCCAUGUAAUCUGGAAGUUGUUGAACCUUGGCUUUCGAUCAGCUUUUCCAUCUUUCUUUUUCUUCAGGGAGCAUUCGUUUGCGUAGUGUCCAAGCUGUCCACAUUCGUAGCAUUUGUCCAAUUGUUUCUUGUUGAAUUCUUGUUUUCCUUUGUUCCUUGCGUUUGAAGACUGAUUCUGGAAUUGAUUGCUAGGUCCUCUCCUUCUAAACUUCCUUUUAUUCAAGAUUCUCUUGAAGCUUUUUGUGAUGAGAGCAAGAUCGCUGUCAUCACCAUCCAAGUCUUCAUCAUCCAACUGAGUUGGAUCAUCUUCACCUUGAGCUGCUUUUAGAGCUAUGUUUCUCUUUGCUCUCGCGUCCUCUUCCUCCUGCACUUUAGUUUUCAACUUCAACUCAUAGGAGGUUAGUGAGUUAAUGAGAGAUUCAAUAGGCACAUAAUUCAAAUCCUUAGCCUCCUCUAUUGCAGUCACUUUACUUUCCCAUUCUUUGCCCAACGCAUUGAGAAUUUUCCUGUUUUUCUCUCCCAAGGUGUACUCUUUGUCUAACACCUCGAGAUCUUUGAUCAAGUUAUUGAACCUGCAAUACAUUUUGUCAAUAUCCUCAAGGGGUUCUAUUUUAAAUGAUUCAUACUUUGUGACCAAGAUAGACUUUUUCUGUUCUCUCACGUUGUCACUACCCUCAUGAAUUUCUUUUAGCUUAUCCCACAUUUCUUUAGCAGAUUUACAUCCUUUUACUCUAAUCGAUUCAUUUGAGUCGAAGGCACUAUAAAGAACAUUCAUGGCUUUGGCAUUCAAAGUGAGAUUGGUUCUAUCUUGAGCAUUCAACUCAGCUCUUGUUUUAGGCCGAAACAAACCUGUAUCUGCAUCAAGAAUGUUAGCAUCAUGCGGUCCAUCAUUCACAAUAAAUCAUAACUCAAUAUCAAUGGAUUGCAAAAAGAUAAUCAUUCUUUCUUUCCAACUAACAUAAUUAGAACCAUUAAACAUGGGAGGCCUAGUGACAGAUUGCCCCUCAACAAACAUGGCAUGAUUAGUUGUCAUCUUUUACUCCAAGCCGCUUGAGCUUAAUCUCUAGGAGACCAAGCUCUGAUACCAAUUGUAAGGCCCAAAGACAACCUAAGAGGGGGGUGAAUUAGGUUGAUUAAAAACUUAAUUGAGUUUAUGCACUUUUUACUUAAUAAAAAUUUACCUUCUUUUCUAGUAGCGAUCAAUCAAGUAAUUUUAAAGAAUAGAACAAUGUUGAUCAGAAAUAAGGAUAUAUAUAUAAGCAAUGAGAAUUUUAUUAAACAAAAAGAAUAAGAUAGAGUAUCAAACCGAUUGUCUACCAAGCUUUCCUCAAACUUGAAGACCAAUCACAAGGAUGAGCACCUUCUCUUUGAUGAACAAUAAUCAACUCCAUGUACAAUGGAGGGAUCACUUCCUCCUUGCCCCAAGCCUCACUUAGUCAAGCUAGGAAGUUUUACUAUCACUCAGAUAACCCUCAACAAAGCUACACUAUUGAAAAUUUCAAACACAAGAGAAGAACUUACAAGAACUUCACACAACUAGGAGAACAAAUCUUGCUUAGGAGACUAUUUUCUAGCUAAAAUAUCUCUUUAGAUCUUGUAAACAAAGUGUGAAAAAGUCUUUUUCUCGUUCAGAAUUGUUUGUAUUUGAAGGGGACCAAAGAUGGGCUUCAUUAAUGCUUCCAACGGAUAGAAGGCAGAUGAAGAGUCAGCUAGCCGUUGGGGCUGUCGGACGUCCGACAGAUUAAUCAUCGUCCGAUCCCAUCGUCCGAAACUCGCCAAGUUGUUGUUCGGACGUCCGAUGGGAUUGUAUCGUCCGAAAGCAUCUGCGUCUGAAUGUCGUCCAGAGAGUCAUCAGAACUUUGCGAAAUUUUUCGGACGUCCAACGCGAUCGAUAUGCGUCCGAAGAGUGCGUCCGAUACUUCCGGACGUCCGAUGCUUUCUCACGAGCAUCCGAAGGAGUUUCCUUCUUGAUGUUCUUCAUCCUUUCGGACGUCCGACAGUUUCAUUUCGGACGUCCGACAUGAGUGCCCUAUUUUUGCUUCUUCUUUUGAUUGAUUUUCUUUUCUUGACACCUUUGUACCUGAUUCUCUAAAAAGCAAAACUUUUAUAUUUGGAGAGAAUUAGAUAAACAUUUCAAAGUGCUUUUGUGAUCAUCAAAAUCAAGAAUAACAACCACUAAAACUAGAAGAUCAUCCAUAAUAUUCCAAGAUUCACGCCAUCUACACCAUAUUUAGCAAGAAUAAGAAAGAGAAAGGAAGUUGAUAAACUUAUACCUUCCAAAACUUCUUGAAAAGUGAAGAACCAAGCAAUUUCUCCCAAGAAAUUCACCACUCCAAGCUUCCUAACUCCCUUGGUGCAAGUUUAAUCGGUUUAGAUUUUGUGAUUUCAACUCAAACAAGGCAAAAUCAAGAUGAAGUUGGAAGUUCUCCUCUCUUGUUUUUCUCUCCAAGAGUUCGGCCAACAUGAAGGAAAAAAUGGAAGAAACUUAGCCAAAAGGAAAGAUAAGAAGGAAAGAAAUGUGUUGGUCAAACACCUCUUUGAUUACCAACACUUGGCAAUCAAGUUUCUUGUCUUUUUUUUUUCUUUUCUUCCUAUUCUUUGGUCAAGAAUUUCGGCUGAAUGAAGGUUUAAUUUAAGGAUAAUUAGAUGAAAUAAAAACUAGAAGAUUAGGGUAAGAAAGUAUUGGUCAAAUGGUGUACUCAAUCGGUAACAAAUGGCGCACGUCGGUUCAAGCUUAUUUUCCUUAACUCUCUUGUACUUGGGUUUUAACUUAUGAUUCACUAACUUAUUCUUAGUACUUCUAAUCACACCCUUCCUCUUACUUAAUACUCGCUCUUAUCCAUCAAAUUUAAUACACACAUCUCACCAAGUGAUCACACUACCAAAAUGCGCAAAAAUCGUAACUCACUUUAACUAUAAAAGUAAAAGUAAAACUCUCGAUUCUAUGAUCUAUUACAACUAUUGAGAGAGUAAAUUAAUAGUAAAGAAAUUAUAAAUUAACUUAUUCAAAAUAAGAGGGGAUUAUAUAAAAAAUAUAAGUAAAUUUUCAAGUCGUCACAUACAUGAACUAACAAGUUCACAAGAUAGCACCAAUAAACCAAAAAUUACUUUAUAUCAUAAUGCAAACUAGCUCAUCAUCACCAUAGGAGAAAUAGUUUAACUAGAUAUAAGAUUAAGCAUGUUUAAUCAUAAAGAACUUAUGAAAUAAGAUAUGAUUGAUAACAACAAUUUAAAGAGCAAAGGAUGAGAAAUCCUUAUUCAAGAUGUUGAAAUAAGCUCCACAAGCUUCCUCUUAGAACUUUUCCUUCAAUUUGCAAACCUCAGAAGUUUUUCUUCUAACGAAGGCUCUCUAAGGUCUCCCUUACUUAGUUCAAAUGAAAGGUAAAACUCCUAUUUAUAGAGAAUUCUCCAACCCUCUUUGUGUCUUGUAUAAUAUGAACUUUUGACAAAAGUAGCAUCCAAAAGUCAAGAUUUGUGGCUCCAAUGGAAUCAAGAAGAUUUGAGAUGACAAAAAUUUUUCUUGAAGUUGCUUAAGAUUGUUCUAACCACCAAAAUGUCCCAUCAUCCCUUCCAUCCAAAGUAAGAAAGCAUUAAAAGGAAUAAAGUUGUAGAACUUGUGCAACUUGCAAGGCACUUUUCAGUUGGGAGAAAUCAGUUUUGCUUCUAUCAAGGCCGCUCCAAUGCAAAGGUUUUGAAGUGAAAGAAGGAAACCAAUCUGCCGAGAAUCCCCACCAGAAACCAGUUCAGCUUUUGGGGUUUAUCUUCCCUGCCUUGCAACCAUUUUUAUCUCUUGAAUAGUUCUUGCUUUCUUCACUUAUCUUGGUGACCAAACUUUCUUCGAAUUUGUUGCCUCUUUUCCUACAAAAUCAACCAACCAAUCAAAGUUCUAACAUUUGAUCAACAAUGCUUAAACAUCAACUUUUAGGAUAAUCUCAACUUUCAAUCUUGAUUUUCAUCAAAAUGUGACUAAAACUUCUAAAAGAGCCACAAAAUAUAGUGCAUAAUAAGCACUUAUUAUUCACAAUUUGUUGAAAAUUUGAAAAUUUACCAAUAUACUGGCACCAUGAACAUAAGAUGCUGGAAUAGUUUUCAUUCAUUUAAAUGCUACCUUUUUUUUUUUUUACAAAUCCAAGAAGACAUUGUAACGAUGGUUUUCAUCUUACAGAUCAAUUGUGAGUGGAAGGGACAACUAUUUCUCAGUGCUACACCCAUUGGAUCCAACUUUAAAUGAUUUGUUUGACUAAGUCAUUUAUCCUCAGCUUUUUUAUCUUCUAUUCAAUAAAAAAUCUUUUUCCUCCCUUUUUAUUUGUUUUAUUUUCUGGUGCACUUUCCUUUUUUUCAAGCUAGCGCAUUUGGAAGAAAUCCUUCAUGGUAAUUCAAAGUUGAAUAUUUGAGCCAAAGAAUGUGCAUAAGUUCCAAUGAUAGUCUACCUUGACUCGAGAAGUUCCCAUAUUAAAGACAUUUUUUCAUUGAAACUUCAAUGACAACAUACUCUAACUCGAGAAAUUCAACCAUUGCAAACACUUGUUCACUUAAAAUUCAAUAAGAGCCUACCCUAUCUUUAGAAGUAUGCCAUUGAAGAAACUUGUUCAUUUAAGUUCUAAUGACAACAUCCUAACUCAAGAAGUCUACUUAUUGAAGAAGCCUUUUCUCAAUGACAACCUAACCAAGGUUCAAGAAGUUCAUCAAUUAAAGACACUUGUUUAAUUAAACUUCAAUGACAACCUCAACAUGGUUCGAUAAAGUCUAUUUAGUCACUCUUUAAUUAGAGCCUCAUAAAGGCUUGAAAAGUCCAUUAGUAGCCUUAUAAAGGCUUCAAGCUUCAAGGAGAGUCUCACCAAGGCUUAAUAAGUUGAUCAUUCAUGCUUCAAUAAUAGCCUCACAAAGGCUUGAAAAAUCCAUGAAUUCAUGCUACACUGAUAGUGUUACUGAGGCUUGAGAAGUCCGUUCCUUUAGUGAUUCAAGAAGUAUGAGAACUGCAUCAAGAAUUAUGAAGAUGGAGGGCAAUUUUACCAAAGAUUGUGGCACCAUGAAUCCAAUAAAAAUCAUGGAGGCAUGAUGAACCCUGUAAAGAUCACAACAAUGGAGAGGGACUCCACUAAGAUGGAGACAUGGUGAUCCCAUCCAAGAUUGUGACGUUCAUAGAUCGCAUUAGGAUUUUUAUUUGGGAGGGGGGAAUUAAUACAUAACAAUGCACUUUAAUGAAAUAACAAAAAGUAUAAGAAACUUAAAUUGCAAUUUCAAAGUACCAAAAGUCAAAUUCUCUUCAAAGUUAUAUUCAAACCUCAUUCAUUUGAUCAAAUGCAUCUAUGAUUGAAAUUGUAUGUGUCAUCAAUUGUUGCUUCUUAUACUAGAUUAAUUAUUUGUUGAUAAUAAUAAAAGAUUGGUUUUAUUAUUUAAAUUUAUAAAGCAAAAAGAUUUCAAAUUUAUAAAGCAAAAGGAGAAUGAUAAUAAAACUUUCCUUGAGUAUUGGAGUUGAGUUUGGAGAUUUUCAUGAUUGAGAACUAGACAGACUUUUAGUGUUUGUUAUAAUUUAUGUUAGAUAUUUUUUUUACGUAACUUUUUCUGCUACUCAUCAACUCUUACUUCUCCUCCUACUUUAGUACAUGUUAGGGAAUGGAGCAAUUUAGCCAAAUACGAUUGGAGGAAGAGGAUCUCAUCUCCAAACUAAAGGAUACACUACUACAUACAUUUUAAAUUUUACUAUAUGUGAAAAGGUUUGGUCCCCUAAUCAAUGGAGCCAAACGUGCACAUUAUGCUUCACUUGGGGCCAACUCGCCUAAGGACAGUUAAUUAUAUUUUCUUGUAUAUUGUACUUCUAAGUUAAUUGGUAUUUUACUUCAGGUAGGAAUCUAGAGAUUUGAAAUUUUAUAUUAAUUGGUAUCAUAUUUUAAUUAUGAAAUUAGAGUUUGGUAUAUUAUGGAAAGUUUUGUAGAGUAUUUUACCUUACUUAACAAGACAAGAAUGAUAUGCUAAAAUAAAAAGCUAUGUUAAAGAGAAGAGUAAAAGAUUCACUUGGUGGACAAGAAAAUUGAAAUUUUCUUAAAUUAUUAUAAAUGUCUGUAACUAACAAUGAAUUUCUAAAAGUUUUGGGCAUAUCCUUGGUGACGUUUAAAAGUAGCCCUCCCAAGAUGAAGGUAUGAUAAACCCUUGAAAGAUCAUGGUGCUAGCAAAAACCUCUACCAAGAUGGAGGCAAGGUGACCCCAUCCAAGACUACGAUGAUGGGAUAGAAGCUCUACCAAGUUGAAAGCAUAGUGUUCCUAUCCAAAACUAUGACGAUAAAGAGAAGCUCCAUCAAGAUGGAGACCAACAAAGAUUCUCUAGAUUCUUGUGAAAGUAAUUAAGGUACUUUCCAAGAACCCAAAGCAAUUCAAUCAAUCAUCUACCAUAUUUGAAAUGCAAGUCAAUUGCAAGGAGAUGAAACUAAUUGUGUAAUGGUGCAACGAAACUUAGAAGUUGCCCCCUAAAUUGUAUAUGUAUUGUGACGCCCCCACUUCUCCCUAAGGCGAACCAAAGGGUAUCCGUGGAACGCCUGUCCAGCUCUCGCCAGGACUCAAGACAAAUCAAUUCAAGCUUAACGAUACAUAACAAUUAAUAUAAGCCUAAUAAAGAAAAGUCGCUUCCAUAAUCAAAUAUCCAAGUCUUACACCACGAGUUCAAGAUACAUCAGACAAAUCAAUUCAAGCUUAACGAUACAUAACAAUUAAUAUAAGCCUAAUAAAGAAAAGUCGCUUCCAUAAUCAAAUAUCCAAGUCUUACACCACGAGUUCAAGAUACAUCAGCUAUCCAAUUCUUACAUUAGGUUCCCAAAAGAUACAUCAAUUUCCAAAAAAAUACAACAACCACAAUGUCUAGUCAAUUACGUUUAAAACCCUAAUACAAAAGUACAUCCAAAGGAUUUCUCCGAGUUUUCGCUCCAUGUCCAUACCUGUUAAGGAAAACAAAUCUACGGGGUGAGCAAUCGCUCAUGAGGCCAAGAACACUUAUGCGAACACGUUGUCUAAGUAACAAUUUCAAUUAACAAGUAAAACAAUAAUUUUCAAGUAAAUGAUAAUUCGAGCGAGAAUAGCAAACGGAAACAAUUCAAAGAUAUAGGAGCUCUCGGAGCUAUUUUCCACUUGCACGAUCAAGAACCUCCACGAAUUGACACUCCGUCAAUCGGGUAUGCUAUAGUCCGUAGAACUUCACUUAUCAUGUUCCCGUUCACCGUUACAUACCCCUGUACCGGGCCCGCCUGUCGCUUGUUUGAAGUGAUACUGUUCGAGUAUGCCAAGUAAGACCUCUCAAUAAGUCAAGCUUAUUUUUUUUCCUCAUGGUUCACUAAGGAGCCCGACCAAGCCUAUGCAGGCUCGAAUCCAAGGUUAGCUAGUGAGAAUUGGGCGUCCCCCACUUAAAAUUUAUGAGUCGAGGAGAUUCACUCCAAUCGACUUAUGCAGCCAUAGCAUAAAUAGUUACUUAAACACUUCACUUAAUUCACUUAACAAGUCACUUCAAGCAUUUCAUGUCAAGUAAUUCAAGUACACUUUACUUAAAUGAGAACGAGUGCGAUAAAGUACACACUCGACUCAGCAUUUUCAAAAUAUUCGAUUAUCAAUAACAAUUAACACGUAACACGUUUUUCACACACUUGACACUCACCAAGUAAUUCAAGAAGUAAAGCACACUUGAAGGUUCAGGCGUCCACCGUGGGAUCCUCUUGAAGGUCUUCUUGAGUGCCUGAACAAUUAAUAAUGAACUACCACUUAGAAACCCCAAUUGUCAUAGAAGAUGUAACUUGUACAAUCUAGAAAAAUAUCAUGAAAAUGAGCCUUAAUUACUCGUAAAUCGAGACUCAAAAGGGGGUUCAAUAAUACAAGGAAAAAUCUGAUUUUUAUCUUGAAAUCAAGUGCAAAACGGUCAAGCAAUCUCGAAGGAAAAAUGUGAGUUCUAAAAACUCAAUUUUCUUUAAGUUCGGAAAUUUCAGAUUUGAAAAGCAAUCUUUGGAAAAUCGUAUCUCACUCUCUGUAGGUCCAAAAUUGGAAAACUUGGUACCGUUGGAAACUACUUCCAGAGUACUAAAAUUUACUAGAAGGCACUUUUCCAUGAUUCCAAAUGGAAGACAUUCAAAUUUUGGCUUCAAGUUGCUGUUUUGGAAUACCAAGACAGUUUUGGGGUUGGUUUUUGGCAAACUUUGGAAAUUCGGCAAAAUUCACAGAAUACGAACUAACCUCUGAAAUUUGAAACUCAAUUAGAUUUAUAGUCAAAGUUUAAAACACAAUAAACGGAACAAGAAUCGGAGUUUUGAGCGCCAAGAUAUAGCAGCUCAAAGUUGCUGAAGAUUUCUCACUGAACAAGGGUUUUCCAGAUUUGAAACAUGAAUUUUGAGACUUUGGUUGGGCAUCGAAAUAGACUUGGAAUGGCACCAAAUUUGGUAGUAUUACCCUACCAUAUAGGGGAUAUUCCUCUGUCAAAUUUAAUGUAAAAAUUCGUACAGAAAGUCAUGUCGCGCCCCAUUUUUUGAUAAAAUAAAUAAAUGGUUUAAAAAUGUAUUUUUUGAUUCAAUUUUUGAUUUGGAAAAUGAAUUGUGAUUUAAAAGAAAAAUGGGUCUAAAUGGGGGUUUGAGAAUGCGACGAUUUGACCCAAAAUUAUAGUUUAAAAAGGGUUUUUUGAAAUAAAAAAUCGGAGUCGCCACUUGGUAAUGAGUUAAGGUGUACCAAGUCACCUAAAAAUGAAUUUUUAAAGAAAAAUAGGAAAAAGUAGUAAGAAACCCCUUUUAAACGACUCCUAGUCCACGUAAACCAACGAAAAAGGUUCGGGAGUCACAUUUGACGAAGGGGAAGGCAAGGAUAAAAUCCAAGGCACCCCUUCGACCUAGCCAAGGCUAGUUGCUUGAUUUAAUCAAAGAUUUUCUUGUUUUAAUCAAAGAAUUUAUUACAUUUGGGGGAAAUUUCUCUUCAAAGGUUGAGUGGUGCCAAUCACAUUAAUUGUGAAGCCCAAUGACGAUCCUUUGAAGAAGUCAUGAAUAAUGCGAGUGGGAUGCAAAUGAAUGGAAUGCAUGUAUGUAAUGUGAGGACAUGAGUUUUGAAAAAGUAAUAAAAAAAACAAUAAAUAUGUAAAGGAAAAUGUGCACGUGAGUGGGCAAGGUACGGUAUGUGAAAUGAUAAUAUGAAGUGCAUGUGUGCAAGUGAUGAUAAGAGUGUUCGUGUGCGAGUGAAGAAACAUAAAGGUGCACGUGUGCAAAAUGGAACAAAAGUGUUCGUGUGCAAGUGAAGGGAUAAAAGGUGUAUGUGUGCAAAUGGAAUGAAAAGUGAAAGUGUAAUGAUAGAGUGGAUUUAGAAUGCAUGAGCCUAGGGAAUGCAUGCAUAUUGGGUACGGGGAGACCUAAAUCGUGACUCAAUUUACCCUUUUAUAGAGGGAAUAUAAGCGUGCUAAGGCUUAGAAAAAGCCACACUCGUCUAUAUCCCAUAUUUAAGGGGACUCUCAAGCAAAUGAACCCUAUAACUAGCAUGAAAUGCAAAAAUCCUAAAAUGGAGGGAAAGGGGGUCGAGAGGCAUGCAAAAUGAUAAAACUAAAAAAAAUGCAUGACAUGUAGUGAACAUGCAAAUAUGCACUAUCGAAAAACAAAGGAAAAAUCCUAAGAGUCUAGCGUUGGACUAGCCCAUCUAUGAAUUCCGACUAGCGUUGGACUAGCGGAAACGUACAUUCAUCCAUCACAUUCAUUCAUGGUUAUGGAAAGCGAGUAGACAUGCCAAACACUCGUAAACACGUAGCACAUAACAUUUAGCAUGCUCGACUAGAUGCAAGGCCCUAACAAAGCAAAUUAACAUGUAACAACUAAGCAGGCAAGACACAUAAGGCAAUUAAAGCCCUAACUAUUACAUUUGCUAGCUAGGCACACGUCUUCGAUAGGUCUUCAUCGAAUGCUCCUCCAAGCCCUAUCUAUUACAAGCCAAGAGGUGUACACAUACCCCAUAAUGAGACUUAAAUGAAAUUGCUCGCCAAGCCCUAUCUAUUACAAGCCAAGAGGUGUACACAUACCCCAUAAUGAAUAACUUAAAUAAAAAGCAAAAGUAAAUGAAAUAAGUGCAAGGAAUUAAGGAAAGGCAAGGAAAGCGAAAUAGACAUGCAUAUUCACAUAACACGUAGGAGCACGUAGGGUCAAAUGAAGUGCAAAUGAGGGAUAGAGUGUACCUCCCUUGAAAUGGAAAUCGAGUAAAUGAGAUAUUAGCUUCAAAACAAUAAAAAGGUCAAGGUACCAAUUUAUUUGGCAAAUAAUCACGAAGGAUAAAAAAAUAAGCAUGAAUUUGAAUCAAUUAAAUCAUGUCAAACAACCCACAUUUAAGAAGUCAAGAGAAGAGAGGACCUGAUUGUAAAGAUUGUCAAAAUUUUGAGGUCAAAAUUAAAGAAAAAUAAAGUUCAGGGACCUAUUUGCAAUUAAAGUAAGGACCCAAUUGAAUGAAAUUGAAAAUGUCUAGGGCCACAGUAUAGUUAAAAAGAAAUCCAGGGACUGGUUUGCAAAUCCAGUUAUCAGAUUGCUUAAAACAGGCCAUUGUCACCUUUCUUGGGCCAAAAUCACUUGGCCCAAUCGGGAGUCCAAGGAAAAACAAGUGGGCUAGUAUAUUAUUUUGACCCCAAGAAUAAUCCAACAGGACCGAUGGGCUUUAACCCUUCAGCCCAACGGAAGUCCGAAACAAAAAAUAAAUGGGCCAGCCUAUUAUUUAUCAAGUAAAACCCAACCAAAUUAAUCAACAACCCAAUCCUAAAACCCAACCAAAAGCUUUGAAUUUUAACCCUCUUAGGCCCAACAAGAAACCCAACAAAAUAAUCUAAACCAAAUCCCUUAAACCCAAGUCAAAAGAACCUUUCAACCCAAAUCACACAUUUCACUAAAACCCAACAUGAUAAAAUCAAAUAAAAUUAUUAAACCACAAUCAUAACCUACAAACAAGAAUUAAUCUAGUUAAGAGACUACUCAUGCAUAUUAGAAGAUGAUUGAAAUCUAAAAGGGAGAAACAAAUUUACUUUUUUCCAAUUUUUCGGGUCAUAUCAAAAUAAGGGGGGGACUUGAGAGGCUCAAACAAAACAAAAGUAGGGACCUAAUUGAGGGAUUAAUCAAAUCAGCCGGGCUGUGAUAAGAUUGCUCAUGGUUCAGGGGCCGAAAUUAAAGAAAAAAUAACGUCCAGGGGUCAAUUUAUGAUUAAAUCAUGACUUAAGUGAACAAGAUCUGGAAGUUAUGUGGGCUUGCAUGUGAUUUCAUCAAAGGUCAGAGGUCAAUUUGAAAUCAAUUCAUGACCUACUUGCAAGAAAAAGCAAAUCAUUCAGGCCAUUAUAAAAAUACUCAAAAGUUAGGGGACUGGAACUGCAAAAUCAAAUGAUUAAUCAUCUUCUCCGAACAAUCAAAACGUUAGCUUCCAAUUCAGCUUUCUUUUACAGACAAAAACAGCAACAAAUUUCAACUAGUGCUCAUUUCCAAAAGAGAAAUACAACUAGCACAAGUCCAUACAAAGAAACUCGAUCAUUCCCAAUUCUAAAUGGAACUCCAGUUCCUACGAGGGAAAGGCUAACAAACAGAACAGAAAUGAAAACAAGAGAGAAGCGUCUGAACAUGAACAUCUCUUUGCCGCAUCUCACACACAGACACGCACAAGAUUCAUUAAUUUUUGCCGCUUUGACUCAACGUUUUCUAUCAGGCAUUUCUUCAAACAGGUUAAGGGCAUUAGAAAAUUCACCGAAUCCUCUUUCAGUUGAAGUUACAAUCAGCCCAAAAAUUCUUCGGAAAACAAGCAUUUCAGUCCAAUUUUCAUAUACGGCAUGCACAUUCAAAAAUUGAGGUCAAUUAACAACAAAUUGCACUAACGGGAACCACGGCAAUCCCCCUUCAAAAAAAACUUGACAAGAACUGAAAUUUAAAGAGAGGAAAAGAAAAAACUUACCGUGCUCUUGCUUCGUGAAAUUACUUUCAGGUGGCGGUGGUGGAUUCGGGUGCUGACUGGAAGAUUCGACUCCUUUGCCCAAGCUCCUCAUCUUUUCCCUUUCCUUCCUUAUUGCCCGAAAUUCCUUCUCCAAGUUCCAGAUUUCAGCCGCAGCUCCCUUCUCGGUUUUCUCUCUCCCUCUCUCGGUUGGUCUUGAAGUGAGGCUGGAAGAUAAGCUAAGUCCUCACCUCUCUCUCUCUCGUCGUUAUUUCCAAAGAAGCUGAUCACUUCACAGCUCCCGGCAUAGGAACAAUUGAAAAUAAAAAUGUUAUGGUCAGUGAUAAUGAUUGUAGUGAACUGGCAAUGAUAUAGCGUAGUGGGAUGUAUAUAUUGAGGUAUUGGGAGUGGAGUGGAGUGGAGUGGAGUCGGCAAUAACAAUGGAAGGUGCUAGGUUGAGAAGUGGAAAAUGGAACCGGCAGAAAUAGAAUUGUGAUUUUUUGAUUUUUUUGAUUUUUUUUUAAAUUUUUUUUGAUUUAUUGAAUAGAAACUAAAUCUAAAUAAACUAGAAUCCACAAAGCACAAUUUUCCAUUUUUCAUCAAUUUCCUCUUUUCUUUUCUUUUCUUUUUUCACAAAUUUUACGUUAAAACUUAAAACUAAAACUAAAACUAAAACGUGAACAAAAUUAAUAUGACAAAUAAUUAGCAAAUAAAAGACAAAUAAAAAGGUAACAACUAAAAUGCAGACAAUCUAAAACAAAAUCAUGAAUUAGAUGCAACAUACAAAUUAUUUAAAAAUUUGGUGUCUACAGGUCAGUUAACAAAGCCACUAAAGUUCCAAGAAUUUCCAAGGCAAAUCUACCUUGUACUUCAAUUUUCCUUUUUCUAACUUUUGGGUCAAUGAAAUCAUCUCAAACAUGGUUCAAUUAUGAAGACAAGGUCUAAUAAACAUCCAAGAUACUUUUGGUAGGUGGUUAACACCAAGAAUUUCAAAAUAACAAGUCCCAAUUCAAAUUAAGGCAUUCAACUAGCCAAAAAGAGGGUUUUCCAUCACUGAGACAGUUUCGUAAUUCAGCCACAACUCACUCAAUUCAACUUGGAAUUGAGCGUGGUUGGUGGCGUUGGAAACUACAUUCAUAAGGCUACAAUUUCUAAGAGCAAUCAUUUUGAAAUUCUGUCCAUAACUAGCUCAUAUUCGAGCAACAAGUAGCAGCACAUAACAGGUUCUCUAAAACAGUCGAGAAACAGGGCAAGUGACUUUGAAAGGCUGUUACGGUUCACUCAAGUGGAAUCAGGGGAUGCAUUUUAUACCAUUGGAAAACAGGAAGUGUCUAUUUUCUAAUUCCUCAAACGGAACUCAAUUUCAACAUUGGAGUAAAGAGUUAUGGUCAAUUCAAAAUCGCUGCCAGAACAACUCUGGACACGUUUUCCAGUUGUAAAGAAAUUUCGAAAUUUCAACUUUUGGCCAACCAAAUCAAGUGAUUUUUUGUGGAAACUUUCCACACAACCUAUACAACAUAUAUUCAUCAAAAUAAACUCAAUUGGACCACAAAAAUUUGCACCAACAGGUGCGGCAAAGUAGGGGCAGAACCGGCACUUUUCUUCCUUUUGUUUCCUCUGAGUUUUCUUUCCACUUUUCAACUUAUAAUCACUAGUUUAACCACUAAUUCAACAUAAACAACACCCAAUAUCAUCACAUCAGUUCAUCAAGUCUAUUGUGGGAUUUCAUAGAGCCAACUCACAAGAUCUACAACAAUCCAAGACUACCCACAUGAAGCUACAAGCUUCUAAGUGCAAUAUAACUUACAAAAACUAAGAUUCAAAGGUUUGAUCAUCAUUACCUCCUACAUGUUGCUAGAGCAGAAAUUUUCGGUCCUUUGAAGCUCAAGAAAACCGUGAGGUUGAAGCUCCUUUCCUAGCUUAAGUUGAUCUCCAAGUUAUUUGCAAGGUGUAGUGUGAAUUUGAGGUGAUGUGGUGCAAGAAAGUGAGGUGAAAUGAAGAAAAUUUUUGGUCUUCUUCUCCAAGGUGAUGCACGGCUGUUUGAGUGAGAAAGAGAGAGUUGUUGCAGCUGCAAAAGCUUCUUGAGGAAGCUUAAGAAUGUGUGGCCAACAAUGCUCCAAAAGUCAACUAGGAAUAGUGCGCGUACGCACGCGUUUCGUGCUCGAUUCCUCUCAGGUUUGUUUCACUUAUGCACUAAAUCUCUAAUGCACUUCCAUUGAUACUAUUAUUAUUCACUCUUAAUGGUCUAAAAAUAAAGGUCUAAAGUCUCUCGAUUAAUCACGCUCGCGAAAACGCGUACUUCCGAUUUGUGCGCGAUAGAGCGAAAUUUCUAAGAAAUUCUUGUAACGAUAGUAUUACUAACAAAUACUUGAGUACUUAAACAUAAAAAUACCUAUUUUAAGACUAAUGUAUGAGUCUUCAAUCUCCAAACUCACUGUACCCUCAAAUCGAUUAUUGCCUCCAAACGCAUGUCUACUAUUCUCACUAGACGAGCUUCCAAAAAUUAAAUUUUAUAACAAGUCAUUUUAAAAAUAUAUGCAAGUCAUAGUUCCAUGUAAUUGGGUCUAAAGAGGUUGGAAUAUAAUAUUUGGAGCAAACGGACAAUUAAAUAUUUAAAUAAGCUGGUAAUAGGAAUUUAAAAUAAGUAAAUUUGCGAGUCCUCAUACGAGUCUAGUAUUAAUUUCUCAAGUCACCAAUUUGUCGUGCGGUACUGCUUUUGAGAAAUUAUCGACGUACCCGUAAUAAAAACUUUAUUUAACUUAAUCACAUCUAAUCUCUCAAUUAACUCUUCUUAGUCCCCUAUUGAUCAUCCUUAAUUCUCCAAAAUCAUUGUACUCUCAGAUCGACUAUCAUCUCGAAGGUGUGUAUUUGUUAUUCCUUAAUAAACGAGCCUUCGAAAAAUUUAAAUUUGUUAGCGAGACGUUUUAAAAGUAUAAAGAAGACAUGGUUCCAUAAAAAUGAAUUUAAGAGGGUUGAAAUAAAUUGUUCGGAGAAAACAGAUGAAUAAACAUUUAGAUAAGCCAGUAAUAUGAGAUAAAAUGAGAAAAUUUUCGGGUCCUCACAUGUAUGCUAAAAGGAAAUCAAGUCACAUGUAAUUCCUACUUUUGAUAGGCUAAACUCAAGGACAACAUCUAGUUUUAGCUUGUCUUCCAAGGAGCAUUUGAAUAAGACUAAAAUUUGGAGAAGUUUAUUCUUCUGUUGAGGAGGUUUGAAACAACUUCUAAUUUGAAGAUAGUUUAGUCUCAUGUCAAGGAGAUUUAGAGAAACUUGCUAUUUUGAAACAUUUUAUACUCGAGUCAAGGUGGCUUCAAGAAACUUGCAAUAUGGAUAGAGUUUAUUCUCAUUCCAAGGAGAAUUGGAGUAAUUUGCUAUUUUGAAAUAGUUUAUACUUGUGUUAUGGAGCACACUUUGGCUUUGAUAUGGAGGCAAUUUACUUUCAUGUCAAGAACACUUCAUGGGUUUUUGAUUUGUAGACAAUUUACUUUCAUAUCAAGGAAACUUGCAAACAAUUAUCAAGGAGCAUGUAGUGGUCUUAGAUUUGGAUAUUGUGGCAAGUGAAAAUGCCAUAUCCAUAAUUUUAGUUCUACAACAAUUAUAAGUUAAUUGACAAACUUACCCUUAUGGGAGGUUAGUUGCCCUAAAGCAACCUAAUCUAAAUAGAGAAUUUAGAAGAUAAAGUUUUAAAAUCAUCAACAAAAUGAAGAACAAGCAAAAUUUUAAUAAAUCAAAUUAAGUAAUUAAAAAUCACAAUUAAAGAUAAAGAGAGUACGGAUAGAGAAAUCAAGAACAAGAGAUUUAUAGCGAUUUGGUCACCCUUCUUAGUGGUUAUGUCCGCUCCUGAGCUUUUUUCAAGCCUCAAUGUUUCUUGCAUUAUUGUCACUCUUCCAAUGGCUAAGGUGACAAACCCACAUAUAUUUGAGAAUCAACCUUUCUCCUUGAGUUCACCAACUCUUGAGCCAAGGUUUUUAUACCUUCGUAGAGUAAACUCAAUAUAUUACAAGUAAGAUUCACUUCUCCAAGGUUUUAUUUCUUCUUCUCACUGCGAAAGCUCACAUAAACUCAUACAUUGUUUGAGUUAUAACAAGAACAAACAUCUUAGUAAUGUGGAUGAUACAAUUGAAGCUCACUAGCACCCUUAAUGGUGUCAAUUGGUAAUAGAAACUCAAGAAUGAAGGAUAUUCAAGUUUGAACUCAUGAUUUUGAAGAAUAGAUGGAUGAAAUUGACCUGUAAGUUAUUAAUAAUGUUUUUUCACUUGUUGGGGCUGAAUGUUGAAGAUUUGGCCUUCUAUAGACAUCUAAAACAUGUUUCAAAUGAUGAAAACUUUGGUAGUUAAAAACUAGGGUUAAUUCCACUUUGUCCCCUCAAACUUUGGACGAUAACCCACUUAAGUCCCUAAACUUCAAAGUGGGACACUUAAAUCCCUAAACUUUUAAUUUGCUCCCAGUUAAGGAAAAUUGUUGACAGAAUCCUGAAUGCCGUUGGUGGUCAAAAAGCGUGGCAAACACUCUCCGUUAAUGAAGAUAGGGGAAUAUUGUUACUGAAAAUGACAAGGACAUAAACGUAAAUUUGGGUCGUAAAUUAAGGACAAACAAAGGAAAAAAAUUGCAAAGGAGGGAAAAACCCAGAUAGUGGUCAUUUCUUUCCUCUGUCUUGGACGAAAAAAUAGAGAGGAGGGGAAAAACCAAAGUGUGUAAAAAUCCAAAUGAUUGUUACUGAAAAACACUGAAGAUUGCAAGAAUGGGAAGGAAGCGAGUCAAUGUGAGAGAAAAAGCGUCCGGAUCCGCAGCGAAACAACAAAAAGCAAAAAAGAAGACAAGUAUUGGUAUGAGAAAAAUAUUUUACAGAUUUUUGUGUACUUUAAUUGAAUUUAAGAAUCGAAAUUUGGGUAAGAAUUUGGGGUAGCAGUAGAAAAACGUUUUAAAGCCGUAGGGAUUGUUGAAAAGUUAAGGUUUUGGAUGGUUGUGGAAUGCAUGUCCAAGGCAUUAUAUAUUUUCAAUGGUAUUGUUAGUGGGUCUGCAUAAUUUACUGAAAAGUGAGUAUUGUGGGAACCCUAAUGUUCCUUCUGUUGAAGACAUUGUGGUCCCAAAUGCUAAAAAUUUUGUAAAUAAUUAAUGGGUUAAUUAUUAAUGAUUUUUUUUAUUUAACCAGAGUGUGGUUCAAAUGACAUUUGGCCCGACCCAUUUUCUUUGGCGAUACACCAUCAGGGUGAGUUCAAAAGCUCUCCCAGUAAAGAAUACGUGGGGGGAAGGGUAGACUAUAUUGAGAACUGUAAUGCUGAAAAAUGGUCACUACAGGUGCUUGAUGAAUGUACAGUAAGACUAGGAUACCCGAAAGAUGCUCGUUUUGGGUGGUAUGGUAGGAUUCCUGGUAUGCCGCUUGAGACUGGACUAUAUUUUUGCAUGUGUGAUUGGGAUUGUGAUCUACUUGUAAACACAUUGCCACCGAAUAGAGUGGCAGAGGUUUAUCUACGAGUUGGAACUGAUGAUAAUCCAGUGAGGCUUCAAACUCAAAAAAUAGAUGAUGGAGACAUGCCUGAAUGCCACAACACUUCUACCAAGCAGGCUACAAAAGAGAAAGAAACAUCUGAAAUGGACAGUGACAUAGCAAUACUGGAAGAAGUUGACUUCAAUGAUGUGGACAACAGAAGGAAAAAUGUGGCUGAUGACAACAGUAAUGAAGUUGCUGGAAACAGUCAUGAGAAUUUUGAUUCCAAAAGUCCUAAUUUGCAACAAGAGAAAGACAACAAGGGAGAUAAUGCAGGGGAAGAAUAAAAAAUGGCAACUGAUAAUGAUAUGCAGGCUGAUGAGACUGAUGUGCAGGCUGAUGACAAGUUCGAUGAUCCAGAUUAUACGGGGCAAGUUGAGGAGGAUGUUUUAUUUGAUGAAGCCUUGAAGAUUGGACAACAGUUUGGUGUACAUAAAGGAGCUCCUGAAGUUGGACCUUCUACCAGCAAAGACACAAGAAAGAAGAGAGCAGGUAGGAAAAGAGAAACUGUUGAUGAAGUAAAUGUUUGUGAUGAGCCUGACAUGGUUAAUGUGGAGGAUAUGCAGUCAGAAUAUGAAACAGAUUGUUCUACAGAUUUGAAGAGUGAGAGUGAAUCCGAAAAUGAAGAUGGUCCUAAGAGGAAUAAGAAGCCUAAAUUUUCAGUUUUUAAUGAGAAAACUGAAAUGAGAAGUCCAAGAUUUAAGGUAGGCUAGAGGUUUUCAUCAGUUGUUAUUUUUAGGUUGGCUGUUAGAAUCCAAGCCAUUAUGGAGGGAAGGGAUGUCCAGUUCAUAAAAAAUGACACAUAUAGGGUACGGGUGAAAUGUAGAGGCUGUGAAUGGCAAAUGUUUCGCUCAAAAAUGCAAGGUGAAAACACUUUCCAGAUCAAGACACUUAGCAAGGAGCAUACCUGUGGACGUGUCUUCCAUAAUAGAAACAUGACAUCAAAACUAGCCACCAGGUUGUUUGCAGAUGAGGUGAGAAAAACACCAUCCAUGAAAGUUCAAGAGCUCAUGACUAGGGUGACUGAAGAAUUAAAUGUAGAUUUUAGUCAUAAACAAGGCUAUAGGACAAUGAAAAAAGUAAGAGACAUGAUUGAAGGCAGUCAUGAAAAAUAGUAUGCAUUGUUAGAGGACUUUUGUGGUGAAUUGAGGUGAGCAAAUCCUGGAUCGACAGUGUUCGUUGAGACUGAUACGGAUGAGGAUGGGAUUGUCAGAUUCAAAAGGCUUUACAUGUGCUUAGAGCCAUUGAAGACAGGGUUUCUAAAGGGUUGUAGGCAUUGGAUUGGGUUGGAUGGGUGCUUCUUAAAGGAUACAUAUGGUGGACAACUACUUUCAGCUGUGGGCAUGGAUGGGGAUAACAAAAUGUUUCCAUUAGCUUUGUCAGUUGUUAGAGUGGAAAAUUAUGACAAUUGGAGCUGGUUUUUGGGAUUGCUUGUACAAGAUUUGGAAAUUUCAGAUUCAGUAAUUGGUGUGUCAUGACUGACAAGCAAAAGGUAUGAUGAAUUGUAUUAGCGUUUAUUUAUACAGUAACUUUUUAUUUAAUAAUUGAGGUACAACUUUUUAUUUAAGCCAAGAUGUAUUCAAACGUGUACAGGGACUACUUCAAGCAGUUAGAGACAAAAUGCCACAGGCUGAGCACAGGUGUUGUGUGCAACAUCUAUACGCCAAUUUCAAACAGAUUCAUAGAGGCCUGGCCUUAAAAGAAAGACUUUGGAAAUGCGCAAAAGCUUCUUAUGUUACCCACUGGAAAGUCGAAAUGGAGCAGUUGAGGCAAGAAUCUGCAGCUACGCAUUCUUGGCUUGAUGAAAAAGAUCCCAAAACUUGGUGUAGAGCCCAUUUCAGAUGUGGAUUGGAUUGUAAUAUUUUGGUGAAUAACAUGUGUGAGUCCUUUAAUGCAGCAAUUUUAAAGGCCAGGUCACUACCAAUCAUAUCUAUGCUGCAGACCAUUUAUUUGUACCUACUGAAGAGGAUGGAGAGGAACAGGGAAUCAAUGUCCAAGCACGAAGGUCAAGAAACAUUUAAUUUACUAGUAUUAAGUUCAGUUCAUAACUUUGAGAAAUUUAUGACCAAUUUGUUGUUUUCAUUUUGUAUUCAGGUCUCCUUUGUCCAGCAAUAUUUGAGAUACUGGAAAAGGCUAAACAAGAGCAAUGUAUGUGCAUAGCGUCAUAUGCUGGAACAAUGAAGUAUCAGAUAAGCUGUCCAUUUGGGGAACAGUACAUUGUUGACAUGGCUGCCAAAACCUGUUCAUGUAGAAAGUGGCAAUUAAGGGGAAUACCAUGUGGCCAUGUUGUAGCUGCCAUCAACAGGAGACAUGAUGCACCAGAGAAGCAUGUUUCCAACACCUACUUGAAGAAUACGUAUCUACAAAGUUAUGAACCUGUACUUAAUCCAAUCAAUGGUCCUAAUUUGUGGGAGCACAUAGAUCUUCCAGCAGUGAAGCCUCCGACUUACAGAAGAUCUGCUGGAAGGCUGAAGAAGAUGAGAAAAAAAGCUUCAGAAGAAGAAAGACGGGACAGCUGUGUCAAUCCAACUAAACCUCACAAGGUUAGCAAGGUUGGCACCAUGAUGAGCUGCAGCUGCUGCAAAAAAUACGGACAUAACAAGAGAGGAUGUCCGGAUAAAAAUAAGCAAACUACUGAGGGGACAACUACAAGUUCAGCAAAGGAGAAUAGUGAUAUUGGAGAUGCAGGUCCAUCUAUGCAGCCAAAUACUAAAGAGGCUUGUCCAAGUGAUGUGACCAUUGACAUUGUUGGAGUAAGUACGCAACAGAGUCACACAGGUCCAUCUCAAAAUUUGAAUGCCAAUCAGCCAAAACAUGGGGCACAAGAACCAGUGACAAAGAAAGGAAGAAAAUGCUCAUUCUGUCGUAAGCAUGGUCACUCAAAGAAUAAUUGUAAGUUGAGGCAAUGGACCUUUAGCAGCUCACUGGACAUGACUGGAGACUUGGGAUUCAAAACUGUAAAAAUACGGUCUGAUGAUCUGGAAAACCCAUAUAAGCAUGCUCAAAAAAGUUCUGAGCAUAUGGAAAAGAGUCCUACAACAACUCAUGUAAGUGGUCUCCAUAUAUCAGGUCUUUAUUUAUGGGUGUCACAGCUUAUUGAUUCAUGUUAUGUGCUUGUUUGCAGUUAAGCUCCAAAGCUAAUGGUCGCAAACUUUAUUCCCACAGCCACGGAGUAACGAUGAGAGCACCACACUCAUACAUGGACUUGGGGACAACCUCUCAUUCCAGCAGUGGACUUAAGCCAGCACAAUUCACAUGGCAGGGGAAUUUGUGUGUUAACCUAUCUACAUUACAGACAGCUGCUGGACACGCGAAGGAGUCACCUGGAAUUGAAAAUGUGCAGCUCCAUGGGGAUGGAAACCAAUCUGUUAAGUUGGGAAAAUUGCAGCAACAUGUCAAAUAGCCUUCAAGCAUGAACUGACUGAUGCUGGACAAACCAACUCAAGAAUUGUACAGGCAUAUAGCCUUUUUUGUUUUGUAGAUACAAUCAAAUUAGGCAACUAAAAGCCUCUGUUUUGCUAGUCCAGAUGUGGCAAACUUUUGUUCAACUCAUAUAGUCCAUUGGAACUAAGAUUUUUUUUGUUAACAUGGAAUUUUUGUUAGCCUCUGUUUUUGGUAGCCUCUGUUUUGGAACUCAUAUAGCCUUUGUUCUGCUAGUCCAGAUAGGUGAAAUGCAGAGGUUGUUAAUGUGGAUUUUUGUCAUUCCUGGUAUUGCUAUUGUGUAUUGGAUGAUUUGUUGAAUGAUCAAAGGCUUUUGCUGAAAAUUUUAUGUUCUGGUACGACUAUUGUUUGCUGUUGUUAAUGUGACAUAAACUACUUACAAUAAACUUCACAAAUUGGGACACUAAAAUCCCUAAACAACAAAUUCUGAUUACAUAGCAGGUCCAACGUUCACAAUUAUGAGACAUAGCACUAUAUCCCUAAAUUUGAUACAGUACAUAUAAAACCAACACUUGUAGGGAAAGUGCUGGUAAUUACAUAGUCAGCAAAAGUAAGAAUUUCCUUCCUGCACCACUCAAAAGGUCCACUACUUAGCAAUGACAGACAAAGGUGGUCCCAUAUUUGAGCAAACAAAACAAGCAGUCCGGCAUAAGCGGUUGCUUCUUCUGGAAAACUCAUUUUGGACGUUCUCCCCCAGAUUUGAAUAAAAACAACCACAUGACAAUGACAACCCAGUGGAUAAUCAAGUACAUCCUUAGCUUCCUCACUUUCGAUUGUUGGCACCUUGAAUUUUCUUUCAACCUGUCCAACUCAGCUUCCAUCUUGUUCAUCGACCUUAGCAGUUCAGGUAUUAUUUCUUUUGACCUUUGACACAUCUCAGGAUCAACCCAAUCCCAGUAUAUGCAGCCUCCUUGUUCCUAGUUUGACAAGAUUAGGUGGCUACAAUUCGUACAAACCAAAAAUAAAAAACAAGUAUAAACACAAAACCCUAAUUUCCCUUACUCUGUACUUGGCACAUCGACAAAACCUUCUUCCUGGGUUCAUGGUAGUCCAUGAUGUCAUCAUCAAUGUUUGCUUUCCACAAUCACAAAAUUGCCUCACCAUUUCUCUUUGUUUGUUGAACCAUGCGUUGGGUUCUCCUUUUCUUCUUCCUGCCUUGUGGAUAGCAAAAUGACAACUUGGGUCUCUCAGCAUACCGACCUGAAGUGCUCUUUUAUGAUUUGGAUCGGGUCUACAUUAUCCAUCUGAAGUGGGUUGCAUGGAGGGAAACCUUCCCUCCAUAUUUCACCACCUUUUUUUAAUCUAUAUAUGUGAUUUUUGUGAAUUUUCAUUGUUGCCCUCGGUCAAAAUCUAGUGUUUGCCACGCUCUAUGACCACCAACGGCAUUCAGGAUUCUGUCAACAAUUUUCCUUAACUGGGAGCAAAUUAAAAGUUUAGGGAUUUAAGUGUCCCACUUUGAAGUUUAGGGACUUAAGUGGGUUAUCGUCCAAAGUUUGAGGGGACGAAGUGGAAUUAACCCAAAAAACUAACCAUUACAGCAAUCAAACGUCCAAACCAAAUGCUCUGCAUUUGAACCAUAUGUCCAAUCCCUGAUCGGACUACCAAACCAAAUCUUCACUGUUCGAUUCAUUUGUCUGAAAUUUUCUGGUAGCUAUUGAUUUUUGUUGGAUGGCGAGACCUUAGGGACUGCAUUCGAACCUCUGUGUCCAAAGAUUAUUCAUCAACUUUUGGCUCCUUUUUCUUUUUCUCCUCUUUUUCAAUGAGGUACUUUUGAUCCUUUGAAUGUUUUCUAUCAUAUAACUUAAUUAGACCAUUAGCCACUUCAUCAUUUUCUUUGUUAUUCAUCAAAAUUCAAGGAUUAAAAACUUUGAGGUCUUCAUCAACACUCUAAUUUCUCUUCUUUAUUAUAUUUUUUGCCCGCAGAAAAUUUUCUAAUUGACGUAUCAAUGGCUAAAUGACUUUUUUGUUCCCUUUACCAGCUUGCCAUUACAUGCUACAAAGUCCAAAAUAAUCACAAGACUCUCUCUAUCUUUCUCUGGGCUCCAUGUUGUUAGCACCACCACCCUGCAACAUGCACUCUUCCUAAUCUACAGGCAUGGUAACAACUCACAGUGUAAAUCACCCUAUGCUUUCUCAUUCCUUUCACAUAAUUUCUCUCUCUAGUUCCAAUCCCUCUUACCAACCAUUUUCCAAGUUUCAACUCUAUUCUAGUAUAGCAAAAAUUUGCUCACCAACAACUUUUGAACUCUUUUUUGGAACACCAAUUCAUUGCCUCAUUCUAUUGCUCUCUCAAUUGCCUCCAAUUAGAAUACUAUAGACUAUAAUAAAAAAAAUUGAAUCUAGUCCUUUUGGCCACUACAAAAAAUUUUAAAAUACAAUAACAUAAAGAUUGUUUUCUUGAUUUGUUUACCAAUUUGAGAUGUCGCGCCCCACUUUUCGAUAGGUGCGAAAUGUGUGAUGUGUGGUAUGUAAUGUGUGAACGUGUGCAAAAUGGAAAGUAAAAGGCCAUGGGACUUAGAAUGCGACGAUUUGGCCAAGUGAAGUUCAAAAGGGUUUUUUGUAUCAAAAAUGGAGUCGCCACUUGGUAUAGAGUUAGGGUGUACCAAGUCACCCAAAAAUGAUUUUUGUUUUUGAAUAAAAAAGUAAAUAAACCCUUUUUGAGAACUUUUGGGUCUACGUAACCAAAAGAGGGAUCGGGGGUCACAUUUGACGAAGGGGAAGGCAAGGAUAAAAAUCCAAGGCACCCCUUCGACCUAGCCAAGGCUAGUUGCGUGACUUAAACCAAUUUUUCCUAAUUUUUCUACCCAAGGUAUGUAUCGCGUAUUGGAUAUGUCUAUAUGAAUGCAAAAACCCUAGACCUAGGGGGUAUUGGGGAAAUUUCUCUUCAAAGGUUGAGUGGUGCCAAUCACAUUAAUUGUGAAGCCCAACAAUGAUCCUUUUGGAGAGGUCACACCUAAACCUAAAUGACGUGAAAAAUGAGUGGAAUGCAUGCCAUGUGAAAGUGUGAGUUUGUGUGAAGUGAGAAAAAAGUAAUAAGAUAAGAGUGAAGGUGUGCAAAUGUAGAUGAAAGUACUCGUGUGCGAGUGAAGAUAAAAAUGUUCGUGUGCAAGUGAAGAUAAAAGGGUUCGUGUGCAAGUGGAGAUAAAAAAGUGUUCGUGUGCAAGUGAAAGUGAUAAAAAGGUGCAUGUGUGCAAAUGAGGAAAAAAAAAAAGUGAAAGUGUAAUGAUAGAGUGGAUUGAGAAUGCAUGAGCCUAGGGAAUUCAUGCAUAUUGGGUACGGGGAGACCUAAAUCGUGACUCAAUUUGCCCUUUGAUAGAGGGAAUAUAAGCGUGCUAAGGCUUAGCAAAAAGCCCCACUCGUCUAUACCCCAUAUUUAAGGAGACUCUUCAAGCAAAUGGACCCUAACUAGCAUGAGAUGCAAGGCCUAAAGUGAGGGGAAAGGGGAAUCGAGGAUCAUGCCAGAUGAUAGAACUAAGGAAAAAUGCAUGAUAUGUAGUGAACAAGCAAAUGAUGUGCUAACGAGGGGAAAUCCCUAAGGGUCUAGCGUUGGACUAGCCCAUUCUAUGAAUUCCGAAACGUACAUUCAUCCAUUCCAUUUAUUCAUGGCUAUGAAAGCAAGUAGACAUGCCAAAACACUCGUAAACACGUAACACGUAACACUUAGCAUGCUCGACUAGAUGCAAGAGCCUAAUAAAGCAAUUAAACAUGUAGCAACAAAAGCAAGCAACCAAGGGGAAGGGGAAAUGGACCAGAUGCUCUCCGAGCCCUAUCUAUUACAAGCCAAGAGGUGUACACAUACCCCAUAAUGAAUAACUUAAAGAGCCUAAUAAAGCAAUUAAGCAAGCAACCAAGGGGAAGGGGAAAUGGACCAGAUGCUCUCCGAGCCCUAUCUAUUACAAGCCAAGAGGUGUACACAUACCCCAUAAUGAAUAACUUAAAUAAAAAGCAAAAGUAAAUGAAAUAAAUGAAAGGAAUUAAAGAAAGGCAAGGAAAGCGAAAUAGACAUGCAUAUUCACAUAACACGUAGGAGCACGUAGGGUCAAAUGAAGUGCAAAUAAGGGAUAGAGUGUACCUCCCUUGGAGUGGAGUCCAAAUGAAGUGAAACCACUUAUUUAUCCUCCAAAAUAAAAGAAAUGGUCAAGGUACCAAUUUAUUUGGGAAAAUUAAAGAAAAUAGGCAAACACAAGCGCACUUGGUCAUAAAGCCCCUAAAAUCAUGAAUUAAGUGCAAUUGAAACAAAGCAUAUUGAUUAAUUAAAACAAACAAGCAAUGAAAUUGUAGAAUUAAAAUUAUCAAGGACCAAAUUGAGGAAAUUAUUCAAUUGGUUGGGUCAUAGUGGAACAAGAAGAGACUUGGGGGGUUGAAAUGUAAUUUUUCUGAAGGUUUUUCAUGCAGCUCAUGCAAAUUAACGUGGGAUAGUCUGCAACAAGGGAAAAAAGAAAAUUUCUGCAAUCAAGAAUAUCAACGCAACUUGCAUUUCCACAAACAAAUAUCAACUUUUAACACUAAAUUUGAUCACAACCAUUCAAUCAAAACAUCUAAAAACCUUAUCUUAGCAACAUGCAACACAAUUUCAACAUCCAACAAUGGCAAACAUCGAAAGAAAAAUCACACAAAUACUUGAAGAAAAAUCCAGCAAGCAUUCGGCAACUGGAGUUGAUCAUUUUACAGCAAGGUUGUGAUCCUAGCUCAAAUGUUUAAGACCCAACUAUACAAACUCAACACCACUCACCCACUUCCCCUUCAACAUGAAAUUAAGCUAGCAAAAGAAAAUGGCCAAAACCAGUUUAUAUGAGCUACUUGCGAGAAGAAAAGAAGACAGCAAAUUAUGAGGAUGAAAACGCAGCAAAAGGAGAGACGAAAAACGCAGCAAGAAUUUCUGGAACCAAAACAAACAGGCCGCUGCAUUUUCCUUCUGGCAAAUGGAGGUUUAGCUUAACUUCAAACUAAGCAGCAAGGCCAAAACUUUCACAAACAGCAAAUGAAAGCAUAGCAGAAAAUCAUGCAAAUUCUAAUGAGACCUUUAUGCAAGACCCGAAGAGAAUUUCUGCAACAUCAAGCUUCGAUAAUUCAUGAAGACUUUUAGCGCUAAAGCCAGCUGCAAUUUUCUGCUAACAUGCAAACAGUGCACUGGGUUUCUGAACUUGAACCGAAUCCGGAUGGUGGCGGUACUGGUGGUGUUCGACGAACGCCGGCAGUGGGAGCAAAGCGCCGUUGACUAGACCGAGGGCUCCAGAGACGAAGCUUGCCGUCCCGCAACUGAAGUCGACUGAAAUGUUCUUGCCGGCAAAGGCGAUGGACUCCAGCUUUUCCUUUUCGCUCUGCUCUUCCUGUCCGAAGCCCUUUUCCAAUCUCAGCUUUUCACCCAGCCCCCGACUCUCAAUCUCUCUGGUUUUCCUUUUGUUUUUUUCCAAAUUCCAGCCGUCAACUCCCUCUUAGUUUUUCUGGUUUCUAAAACCUCUCCGUAGCCCUCUGUAUUCUGUUCCUACUCCUCAGUCAUCUUACGCUGCCUCCUCUCUCUCUUGCGGCUUCUGAUUUUUCUUUUCGUUUUUCAGCCGUCCACUCCCUCUUGCUCUCGGCUCUCCCUCUUAUCUCUCCCGUUUGCUAGCUCUCCCCACGAUGAAGCUCCCUCUCUUGCGGCUGCCCUUUUCUUUUUCUUCUUUUGGUUUAGCCAGAAACCCUCGCUCGAAAAAUCCUCCUUGCGGCUGCUCUUCUUUAUUCUCUUUAUACCCAACCAACCCUAAAACCUUCAGUCCUUCUUCUGCAAUUUGCAGCCAGGGGCUGCCCCAAAGUUCUCUUGCAAGCUGCGACCAAAACGCAGCUUGCGUGCCGCGAUUCUCAUCAUCAUUUUUCUUUUUCUUUUUUUUUCUUUUUUCAUCAAGCAAAAUUGAUAAAAAUAAAGAUAAAUAAAUAAUAAUAACAAAUUAACAAAAUUGUCAACAAAACUAAGUAACAAUAAUAAUAAUAAUUUAAAAAAAUCUAAACCACUAAAACAACAAAAAUGGAUAUUUUUAAACUCUUUUUUUCCAUAAUCUUUCCCUCCUUUUUUCCUUUUCUUUUCUUUCCAAAAUAACUUAAUAAAAAUAAAGCGCCAAAAGAUUGAAUAAAAAACAUAUUUUUGUGAACAAAUUUUCCUUUUUUCCCCUUCUUUUUCCAUUUUUCAUGAUUUUCUCUUUUUCCUUUUUCCAAAUGAACCAAAUAAAAAAAUAAAUUAAGUAGAAAUGACUAAAAUAGAUAAAUAAAGCUGAAUAAAACAAAAUUUCUAUUUUUUCAUUUUUUUCUUCAAGAAACUCUAUGCUAAAACUUAAAAACAAAAACUAGAAACUAAAAACUAAAAAAACGAGCACGACAAAUAAACUAAAAAUGAAAUUACAUCAAAAUUUUGGUGUCUACAGUUUGCCCCUCUUUGUCAGAGUUUUGGAAAAAUUUGAGACAAAGAAGUAGACACCAAAUGCUUACCUGUGCCAUGCGGUUGCCCCUAUUCGGAGGACUGACUUAAACAAGGAAUUUUAAACGUGGGACUGGCCCGAACAGAAAAUAUAAACGGGGUAGACCCGGACGGAAAUGUAAAUGGGAUAGACCCCACGGGAUAGACCCGGACAGAAAUGUAAAUGGGAUAGACCCACGGGAUAGACCCGGACUGAAAUGUAAACGGGAUAGACCCACGGGAUAGACCCGGACAGAAAAGUAAAUGGGAUAGACCCACGGGAUAGACCCGGACAGAGAUUCAAAAUUGGGAUAGACCCACGGGAUAGACCCGAACAGAAAAGUAAAUGGGAUAGACCCACGGGAUAGACCCGGACAGAGAUUUAAAAUUGGGAUAGACCCACGGGAUAGACCCGAACAGAAAUUUAAAUGGGAUGAAUUGAAGUGAGAUGGAGUAUUAGUGAGGUUGACCCAUGUUUAUUGGUGAUGCAAAUGAAAGAAGCGAAAUGAAGUGUUAAUGGGACUGAUCCACGUUCCAGUGGCUGUGAAAAUGAAAUGUCUUGACAAUCGGACAGUGGGAUCAAACCCGAACCUGCCGUGAGAACUUGAUUUGAUUUUUUGAUUUUUGAUUUUUGGAUUUUUGGAUUUUUGGAUUUUUGGAUUUUUGGAUUUUUCUGAUUGAUUUUUUUUUUUUUUGAGGGAAUCUUUUCAAAAUUUGCCCCAGUAUGAUGAAUUGGUCAGUGAGACGACAUCUGAGCCUGACGGGGUGUGGACGGUCAGCGGGAUAAAACCCGGUCCUGCCGAGAUUGGCGGGAUAAAACCCGGUCCCAAUGUGAGAAAAGCGGUCAGCGGGAUUACACCCGGUCCUGCCGAGAUUGGCGGGAUAAAACCCGGUCCCAAUGUGAGAUAAGCGGUCAGCGGGAUUAAACCCGGUCCUGCCGAGAUUGGCGGGAUGAAACCCGGUCCCAAUUUUGAUAAAAGCGGUCAGCGGGAUCAUACCCGGUCCUGCCGAGAUUGGAGGGAUGAAACCCGGUCCCAAUUUGAUAAAAACGGUCAGCGGGAUUAUACCCGGUCCUGCCGAGAUUAUUGAAUAAAACACACACGUCAGUGAGAUAAACUCGAUGCUAACGGUGGUGGAGUGAAAAGAAACGCACACGUUAGUGAGAUAGACUCGAUGCUAACGGUGGUAGGGUGAAAACGCACACGUUAGUGAGAUAGACUCGAUGCUAAUGGUGGUAUAGAAACGCACACGUUAGUGAGAUAGACUCGAUGCUAACGGUGGAAUAGAAACGCACACGUUAGUGAGAUAGACUCGAUGCUAACGGUGGAAUAGAAACGCACACGUUAGUGAGAUAGACUCGAUGCUAACGGUGGUAGGGUGAAAAGAAACACACACGUUAGUGAGACAGACUCGAUGCUAACGGUGGUAGGGUGAAAACGCACACGUUAGUGAGACAGACUCGAUGCUAACGGUGGUAGGGUGAAAACGCACACGUUAGUGAGACAGACUCGAUGCUAACGGUGGUGAAAUAGAAACGCACACGUUAGUGAGAUAGACUCGAUGCUAACGGUGGUGAAAUAGAAACGCACACGCUAGUGAGAUAGACUCGAUGCUAACGGUGGUUGAAUGAAAGCGCACACGUUAGUGAGAUAGACUCGAUGCUAACGGUGGUUGAACUAAAACCAAUCCCAACAUGACUUUUGUGAAGUUGGCGGCACAAAAUCCAGGCCCAACGUGAUCUUGUGAUAGUUGGCGGCACAAAAUCCAGGCCCAACGUGACUUUUGUGAAGUUGGUGGCACGGAAACCAAACCCAACGUGAUAAAGUGAGGUUGGCGGCACUAAAUCCAGGCCCAACGUGAUAUUUGGAAUGUUGGCGGCACGAAACUCAGGCCCAACUUGAUAUUUGAAAUGUUGGCGGCACAAAAUCCAGGCCCAACGUGAUUUUUGAUUUUUCCUUUUUCUUUUUCCGAGAGAAUUUUUUUUCAAAAUAAUUUGCCCCAGUGUCGGGCCAUUUUUCCCUCCUUCUUCUCUUUCUUCGGCAUCGGCCUUCCACAACUCAGAAGCUUUUCCGUCGAUUUCAACUAUGAGUACCUGCACAGGGGCUUACAUGCACUCAAAUUUUCAAGAAAAGGGCAGCGUGAUUGAUUUGAAAGUCUUGCUUGAGUCUUUGACGAAAUCCUCAAAUGGACUAUAAAAAUUUGCCCCAGUGUGGGCUUAUUUUUUUUGAAAUCUUGGAAAUAAAAAUUUUGCCCCAGUAUGGGCCCAUUUGAUUGGAAAAAAUUGGUUUGGAUGUCUCUCCAUUUAUUCGAACCAAGAGAAAUCGCACCUUCCAAAACUUAGAAAGUAAUCAUAUAUACAACGUGAAGAAAUUUGAAUGUUGAGUUCAUACAGAAAUUUCAUGAUGAAUCUCUCAGAAUAUCACCAAAUUACAGAAGAUUUCUUCCUCACUUUUAGCAUCGGUACUCAGGGUAACGGAUCACCAUUUCUUGUUGGCUCAUCUGUCAGGACCAAUCAAGUGACUUUAUUUUUGAUUUGGAAAUGACUAAAGGAAAAUGGGAGGUCAAGAUUUGUCUCAUUUUGUGCUCAUUCGAUAUCACGUCCUCAUGAAAGCAAAGUAGUUUGUCACCCUUAUUUUCCAAGAAAACUUAGGCAGCAUACAAGCUUGAUAGGCUUGCAACAAAACGGGUAGAAGCGAUAGCUAAACCUGUGAAAACUGGUUAUACCCCCAUGAUCACAAAUGAUUGAUGGAUUUCUUACGAGCAUAAUCGUCACUUUGGAUUGUCAUGAAGAAAUAAGUCAACGAUGGACUUUAUUAGCUUGUAAUGUGGCUUGAAAGCGAUAGUUAAAAGAUAAAUCCUUCAAGGACAUUGCAUCAAAGAUCGCAUUUUUCCCAAAAUUGCCCCUAUUUUGAACCCAAAGAUCUCAGAAUUUGUUGGUAUUCUUCUACUUAUUCAACAGGGACUUCAACGUCGAAUUUUUCUGCAUUUUCUUUUGCGUUUGCUUUCUUUUCCCUUUUUCUUUCCCCUUUUUUUUCAAAAGUGCCCUCGCGGGUUUUCACAUGAAGAGCAGUGCCAACCUCACACCUAAUCAAUUCAGAAUACAGCUAAAAUUUUCCGGCAUCAGAAAUUUUCUUGACAGGGUCAUUGCAAAGAACAGAAGUCAGGGCUUUCGGCUUUUUGUAAUGGGGUCAGGUGGGGUGCUUAGAAAAGUUAAGGCUUGAACACGGAUUUCAAAAGUAAUCUGAGAUCGCAUUGUUGUGCCAACCCUAUUUUAGGGUUAAAUCAGAAUUUGCCCCAGUUUAUGCUUAAUUGGGGCUUUUUCACUUUCAUUUUCUUUCUUCUUUUGAUUUUUCGGCCUUCUGCCACUCUUUUGAACUUUCGCAAAAUUUGCCCCAGUUUAUUUUUGAACUGAGGUUCUCUUUUCUCUUUUGUCAUUUGAUUUUGUGGCUUUUCACCUUUCACUUCUUGAAUUUUCCCUUUUUCAACUCAAACUUGCCCCCAGUGUGGGGUUUGCGAUUCUCAGGGGUUGCCAAACGAAGUAUUUUAUUCUGAAGGCUCAAAAGGGAUAACUAGGGAUAGAAUGUUCAAUUGGAAAAGAAGAUGGCCUGACUUGUAUUCCGUUCCUUACAAUAACUCUGAAAGGAAACUUUCGUUAAUGCGAAAUUUUCGCGUGUAUCUGAAUUAAUUGACUGAGGAAGACCCUUGUUCAUCCAUAUUUGUGAAACAUAGGCGAUUCACGCGGACAAAACCCUUCCUUUUUCAAAAUUGGAACCCAAGUGGAAUCAAAUUUCCCCAAUUUGCGGUUCCCUUCCUAUUUUAGCAUGUUUGCUUUUCCCCUCCUCAUUCUAGCAUUUUUUGCUUUUCCCCCUUUCUUUCCCUUUUUCAAAAUUCCUCAAUCUCCUUCCCCAAUGUGGGGUGCGAUCAUAUGUGCACUCGAAAAGAACCACCAAUUUUAGCUCAGAUGAGGUUGCAAGGGAUGAUCAGUGUUUAGGUUGUAGAAACGAUGGCCAAAGCAUCAUUCUUACACCUCAUGACAACCAAAGUAACGAAAUGGUCAUUAAGAAUCCAUUCCCCUUUUGAUAUUUGAAAAUUUUCCAAUGAAGGGUAGUGAUCAUUAGGGCUCUUAUUUGAAACGAAAUUAUUCUUUUAAAGGCUCAAAUGGGAGAGCAAAUGACAAAAUCUGUAUAGGUAGAGAAACGAAUGCUCAAAGUAUCAUUCUAAAUUUUCAAAAUAAACAAGAAUGAUGCACAUUUUUGCUUUCACUUAGAUGUGAAUGAAUCAGAUUAGACACCUCGAACAUUUUCAAGCAAAAGUUGCCCCAAUUUAUCAAUCAAUGUGACUGACUUUAUUUUGGGAUUAAGUGAAGGAGAAAGGUAUCUCAUGGGGCCUUUUGAGUGAUCGCUUACCCUUUUUCUUUCUGAGCACUCUUAUUGGAUGACUCGGAUCAACAAUCUGGUGUACAUAAGGGUUUUUGAAAGCAUACACUUGCGAAUUUUCAGGCUGGAGGUUGAAAAAACUCUCAAUUCGGUCUUAUUUCUUCAAAUUCAUCAUAAAAUCUCCAAUGAAUAAGAAUAAAGAAUGAAAUGUACAUAAAUUUACACAAAACAAUAAUUGUCCAGAACUUUGUUGCUGAAAAAGUUUGAAACAAGAAUUCCUCGUUCAAUUACGAUACAAAUGAGGAGAGAAACUUCUAAAGAGCUCCACAUAUACACUUUCCGUCUCCUUUUCUUUUGAAACAAAAGAAAUGUAUUAACAAGUCAAAUAUACAAAAUUUUCCUUGAAAGCAAUUAUGAAAUCUCUUAGAAACUCUUAGCUUAGAGCUUUCAGAUGGAUCUUUCAUGUUGCCAUUGUUGGAUCUGCCCAAGAACCAAAUAAUACUUUCUGAACUUUAUCGGAUCAAAAAUUGUUAUCCAGUAUAGGGAAAUAUUUUCACCUUAUUGAAACAUUUUUAUGAAUGCAGGGGAGGGGGAAAAAGAAAAAUACCCAGAGUUAGUAAGCAAGACUAUAAAAACAGCAUGCAUGUCCUAUGGGGGAACCCUUUUUGUGCCAAGGGUAGGCCUAGAAUGAAAAUGCAAUCCUCCAGAGCAGGCACUAUACAAUACCUGAUGGAUCCAAUCAGCUUAUGGAGUGAAAAAUAAUUUGAAAAAUUUGGCCAAUUGGAGUGACGAGAGAUUUGUCGAAAUGGGGACAACGUCCAAAUAAAUUGAUCACCUUUGAUUUGCAAAACGCACGGGUUUGACCUUGACGAACCUCCUAUCGAAGAGAUUGGAGUUCGUUGACAAAUUUUCUCAGUGAAGCAUGAGUCAAUACCCCAACUGAUCAAAUGGCUGGAUGCAAUGGAUGCUUUUCCCAAAAUCGACUAGGUUUUCCAUUUUGAAAUUCGAUAUUGAAACCCUAAUUGGUCAAAUGAAAUUGACAAUUGAUUAAAAAUCGACCGGAUUACCCUAAAAAGGGAAACAGGUCAAAUGAAUUGAAAUGAAAUUUAAUUUAUCCAAAAUUAAUCAGAUCACCCUAAAAAGGGUAAAUUGAUCAACUAGAUUGAACGAAACUUGAUUUGUUCAAAAUCGGCUCGAUUGCCCUAAGAAUGGGUAAAUUGGCCAAAUGAAUGAUUUAUUCAAAAAUCGGCCGAAUGACCCUAAAAAGGGUAAAUCGGCCAAAUGAAUAAUUUAUUCAAAAUCGAUCGGAUGACCCUAAAAAGGGUAAAUUGGUCAAAUGAAUUGACAAUUUAUUCAAAAAUCGACCAGGUGACCCUAAAAAGGGUAAAUUGGUCAAAUGAAUUGACGAUUUAUUUAAUGAAUUGGCAAAAAUGAAUUGGUUGAAUUGUCCGGCCAUUGGUGAUUUCAAAAUUAUUGAGAUGCAUUAGUCUAUGAGCUUCUAAAAAUCAAAUUUUGGCCUCAAUUUAUUUAUCGUCUCAAUAGGAGGUAUUCUUCAAAUUAAUGUCCUUCGCGCAAGGGAUUUUUACCAAUUUUUGAUAAAAUGGCCAAAAAGUGAUUAUUAGAUGCUCAUAUUCCAAAGAUCGCUCCAUGAAAAUGAUCGGAUCCCACCUUACCUUGUGCACUACCCCUUUGGAUGGUACAGGAAAUAUAAACGUGUAAGUCUCACUGGAUUAAGUAUCUGAGACACAAGGUGGCUUAUUCCUAAACACGGGAUUCCCUAUGUGGCAUUCCCUUUCUAUGGUUUAUGCAUGAUGCCAGUUAUUAAAGCGAUGACAAAUAUUGCCUAAAGGAUAUAAAUAAUACAUUGGUGGGAAAAGGUCUAAAAAUGAAAUGUAUUUAUUGAGAAUCAAGUGCAAUAACUGAAAUUUAAACAUGUGAGCUAUCUAGUGGGUGAGUCACUAAAAGAGUGCUAAAAAGGGCCUCUUAUUGCUAAGGCAUAUGAAUGCAAGCCAAGAAAACAAAAGAAUGGUUAGUGCAAUUGAUAGUACACAUAACACAUUGGGAGCAAUUAAGAAGAAGAAAUACAAUAAAACAAGUAAAAGGGGUGGAACCCCUUCCCUCGUGCCUAAUGUGCUUAAAAUAGGGUGAGGCUGACUCUAACCUAGGAAAAUGCUAAUAUGGAUGCAUGAGGUUUGGUUCACUAAUGCCUAGACUCGAUAAAGCUUCGGCUCCCAAGCCUUCAGACCUAAAGGCGAAGGGUCAUCACUCCCAGGGCCUUUGAUCGGUGGCUCGAGUGAUCCCUUAGGUAGCGCUAUGGGCGCAGAGCACACCAGCCGCCUACCCAAGGCAAUCGAUCCUAGUCCUACAAGGCGGUGUGGGAUGGCGCCCACGAAAAUAAAAAUAAAAUGGGAUAAAGCAAGUAAACAUGCACGUAUGAAGUGUUCCCCUAUUGUGAGGGAAGGGGUGAGAACCACGCGAGACUCUAUAGGUGACACACACCCCCCCAAAUGCAGUGCAAGCGCGAGAUAACAAGUAAACAUUCAUUCAAACAUACAUUCAUGAGUCGAGGGAUUGGUUUGAUUACGUACAUAAGACAAAAGGUCCUAAAAAUGAAAAAUGCAAUCCUAAUAUCCACAUGCUAUGCAUAGAAAGGGUAGAAAAGGGAAAAGAAUGGCCAAAUCAAAUGCUUGGACCCACUUAGGAAGUCCCCAGUGGAGUCGCCAACUGUCGCGCCCCACUUUUCGAUAGGUGCGAAAUGUGUGAUGUGUGGUAUGUAAUGUGUGAACGUGUGCAAAAUGGAAAGUAAAAGGCCAUGGGACUUAGAAUGCGACGAUUUGGCCAAGUGAAGUUCAAAAGGGUUUUUUGUAUCAAAAAUGGAGUCGCCACUUGGUAUAGAGUUAGGGUGUACCAAGUCACCCAAAAAUGAUUUUUGUUUUUGAAUAAAAAAGUAAAUAAACCCUUUUUGAGAACUUUUGGGUCUACGUAACCAAAAGAGGGAUCGGGGGUCACAUUUGACGAAGGGGAAGGCAAGGAUAAAAAUCCAAGGCACCCCUUCGACCUAGCCAAGGCUAGUUGCGUGACUUAAACCAAUUUUUCCUAAUUUUUCUACCCAAGGUAUGUAUCGCGUAUUGGAUAUGUCUAUAUGAAUGCAAAAACCCUAGACCUAGGGGGUAUUGGGGAAAUUUCUCUUCAAAGGUUGAGUGGUGCCAAUCACAUUAAUUGUGAAGCCCAACAAUGAUCCUUUUGGAGAGGUCACACCUAAACCUAAAUGACGUGAAAAAUGAGUGGAAUGCAUGCCAUGUGAAAGUGUGAGUUUGUGUGAAGUGAGAAAAAAGUAAUAAGAUAAGAGUGAAGGUGUGCAAAUGUAGAUGAAAGUACUCGUGUGCGAGUGAAGAUAAAAAUGUUCGUGUGCAAGUGAAGAUAAAAGGGUUCGUGUGCAAGUGGAGAUAAAAAAGUGUUCGUGUGCAAGUGAAAGUGAUAAAAAGGUGCAUGUGUGCAAAUGAGGAAAAAAAAAAAGUGAAAGUGUAAUGAUAGAGUGGAUUGAGAAUGCAUGAGCCUAGGGAAUUCAUGCAUAUUGGGUACGGGGAGACCUAAAUCGUGACUCAAUUUGCCCUUUGAUAGAGGGAAUAUAAGCGUGCUAAGGCUUAGCAAAAAGCCCCACUCGUCUAUACCCCAUAUUUAAGGAGACUCUUCAAGCAAAUGGACCCUAACUAGCAUGAGAUGCAAGGCCUAAAGUGAGGGGAAAGGGGAAUCGAGGAUCAUGCCAGAUGAUAGAACUAAGGAAAAAUGCAUGAUAUGUAGUGAACAAGCAAAUGAUGUGCUAACGAGGGGAAAUCCCUAAGGGUCUAGCGUUGGACUAGCCCAUUCUAUGAAUUCCGAAACGUACAUUCAUCCAUUCCAUUUAUUCAUGGCUAUGAAAGCAAGUAGACAUGCCAAAACACUCGUAAACACGUAACACGUAACACUUAGCAUGCUCGACUAGAUGCAAGAGCCUAAUAAAGCAAUUAAACAUGUAGCAACAAAAGCAAGCAACCAAGGGGAAGGGGAAAUGGACCAGAUGCUCUCCGAGCCCUAUCUAUUACAAGCCAAGAGGUGUACACAUACCCCAUAAUGAAUAACUUAAAGAGCCUAAUAAAGCAAUUAAGCAAGCAACCAAGGGGAAGGGGAAAUGGACCAGAUGCUCUCCGAGCCCUAUCUAUUACAAGCCAAGAGGUGUACACAUACCCCAUAAUGAAUAACUUAAAUAAAAAGCAAAAGUAAAUGAAAUAAAUGAAAGGAAUUAAAGAAAGGCAAGGAAAGCGAAAUAGACAUGCAUAUUCACAUAACACGUAGGAGCACGUAGGGUCAAAUGAAGUGCAAAUAAGGGAUAGAGUGUACCUCCCUUGGAGUGGAGUCCAAAUGAAGUGAAACCACUUAUUUAUCCUCCAAAAUAAAAGAAAUGGUCAAGGUACCAAUUUAUUUGGGAAAAUUAAAGAAAAUAGGCAAACACAAGCGCACUUGGUCAUAAAGCCCCUAAAAUCAUGAAUUAAGUGCAAUUGAAACAAAGCAUAUUGAUUAAUUAAAACAAACAAGCAAUGAAAUUGUAGAAUUAAAAUUAUCAAGGACCAAAUUGAGGAAAUUAUUCAAUUGGUUGGGUCAUAGUGGAACAAGAAGAGACUUGGGGGGUUGAAAUGUAAUUUUUCUGAAGGUUUUUCAUGCAGCUCAUGCAAAUUAACGUGGGAUAGUCUGCAACAAGGGAAAAAAGAAAAUUUCUGCAAUCAAGAAUAUCAACGCAACUUGCAUUUCCACAAACAAAUAUCAACUUUUAACACUAAAUUUGAUCACAACCAUUCAAUCAAAACAUCUAAAAACCUUAUCUUAGCAACAUGCAACACAAUUUCAACAUCCAACAAUGGCAAACAUCGAAAGAAAAAUCACACAAAUACUUGAAGAAAAAUCCAGCAAGCAUUCGGCAACUGGAGUUGAUCAUUUUACAGCAAGGUUGUGAUCCUAGCUCAAAUGUUUAAGACCCAACUAUACAAACUCAACACCACUCACCCACUUCCCCUUCAACAUGAAAUUAAGCUAGCAAAAGAAAAUGGCCAAAACCAGUUUAUAUGAGCUACUUGCGAGAAGAAAAGAAGACAGCAAAUUAUGAGGAUGAAAACACAGCAAAAGGAGAGACGAAAAACGCAGCAAGAAUUUCUGGAACCAAAACAAACAGGCCGCUGCAUUUUCCUUCUGGCAAAUGGAGGUUUAGCUUAACUUCAAACUAAGCAGCAAGGCCAAAACUUUCACAAACAGCAAAUGAAAGCAUAGCAGAAAAUCAUGCAAAUUCUAAUGAGACCUUUAUGCAAGACCCGAAGAGAAUUUCUGCAACAUCAAGCUUCGAUAAUUCAUGAAGACUUUUAGCGCUAAAGCCAGCUGCAAUUUUCUGCUAACAUGCAAACAGUGCACUGGGUUUCUGAACUUGAACCGAAUCCGGAUGGUGGCGGUACUGGUGGUGUUCGACGAACGCCGGCAGUGGGAGCAAAGCGCCGUUGACUAGACCGAGGGCUCCAGAGACGAAGCUUGCCGUCCCGCAACUGAAGUCGACUGAAAUGUUCUUGCCGGCAAAGGCGAUGGACUCCAGCUUUUCCUUUUCGCUCUGCUCUUCCUGUCCGAAGCCCUUUUCCAAUCUCAGCUUUUCACCCAGCCCCCGACUCUCAAUCUCUCUGGUUUUCCUUUUGUUUUUUUCCAAAUUCCAGCCGUCAACUCCCUCUUAGUUUUUCUGGUUUCUAAAACCUCUCCGUAGCCCUCUGUAUUCUGUUCCUACUCCUCAGUCAUCUUACGCUGCCUCCUCUCUCUCUUGCGGCUUCUGAUUUUUCUUUUCGUUUUUCAGCCGUCCACUCCCUCUUGCUCUCGGCUCUCCCUCUUAUCUCUCCCGUUUGCUAGCUCUCCCCACGAUGAAGCUCCCUCUCUUGCGGCUGCCCUUUUCUUUUUCUUCUUUUGGUUUAGCCAGAAACCCUCGCUCGAAAAAUCCUCCUUGCGGCUGCUCUUCUUUAUUCUCUUUAUACCCAACCAACCCUAAAACCUUCAGUCCUUCUUCUGCAAUUUGCAGCCAGGGGCUGCCCCAAAGUUCUCUUGCAAGCUGCGACCAAAACGCAGCUUGCGUGCCGCGAUUCUCAUCAUCAUUUUUCUUUUUCUUUUUUUUUUCUUUUUUUCCAUCAAGCAAAAUUGAUAAAAAUAAAGAUAAAUAAAUAAUAAUAACAAAUUAACAAAAUUGUCAACAAAACUAAGUAACAAUAAUAAUAAUAAUUUAAAAAAAUCUAAACCACUAAAACAACAAAAAUGGAUAUUUUUAAACUCUUUUUUUCCAAAAUCUUUCCCUCCUUUUUUCCUUUUCUUUUCUUUCCAAAAUAACUUAAUAAAAAUAAAGCGCCAAAAGAUUGAAUAAAAAACAUAUUUUUGUGAACAAAUUUUCCUUUUUUCCCCUUCUUUUUCCAUUUUUCAUGAUUUUCUCUUUUUCCUUUUUCCAAAUGAACCAAAUAAAAAAAUAAAUUAAGUAGAAAUGACUAAAAUAGAUAAAUAAAGCUGAAUAAAACAAAAUUUCUAUUUUUUCAUUUUUUUCUUCAAGAAACUCUAUGCUAAAACUUAAAAACAAAAACUAGAAACUAAAAACUAAAAAAACGAGCACGACAAAUAAACUAAAAAUGAAAUUACAUCAAAAUUUUGGUGUCUACAUGAGAUAUAGAAAAAAAAAGAUAAUUAUUCUACCUCUUUAAUUAAUAUUUGGAUGCAAUUUUGAGAUUUUUCGAGUAGUUUCAUCAUUGAACUAUUUGGCUAUGUGAUUUUGCUCUUGAUGAUUAAACAUGUCUUUUUCUCUUUCUUCUAUUGAGGUUUAAGUUUAUGAAUCUUGAAGGGAUGGUGGGACUACCAAACUAGGCAUAGAAAAGAUGGUGAACGGAAAAGUGAAGGAAUUUGAAGAAUUUGAGAAAUGGAGAAAUAGUGUUAGGUUCCAAAAUUUGAAUAAAGUGAAAGAUUCAUAUUAUAAGAAGGGUAAGUUUGCCAAUUAAUGUAAAAGUUGUUGUGACAUUAACAUCAUCACCAUGUGACUAUCAGCUACGAUAGUUUAUCCUCAUGUCAAGGAGACUUAUAGGUAGUUUAGCCUAGUGUCCGGGAACAUAUGAUGUUUUUGACUUAGAGAUAGUUUAUUUUGAUAUCAAGGAGAUUGUUAGAUAGUUUAGACUCUUGUCAAUGAGCAUUGACAAACUUUGAUUUGGAGACAAUUGACUCUUAUGUUGAGGAAACUUUCAGAUGCUUUAGACUAGUGGUAAAUCUAUGUAUUAGUUAGUCGGGGUACGAAACCUCACUGAUUAAAGGAAAUUUUCAAUUUUACACAUACAAUUUUUAUAAAAUUUAUUUUUACCCUCCUAAUUUAUGCCCUACUAACCAAAGUAACAUUUAUGUUAUUGGAUUGCUAAAAAUUUUUCUUUACCCUUAUAAUUAGUAGAAACUAAAUAGAAUUAUAUACCAAUGCAUGACUUAAUAAUAAUUUAUAACAAAACUAAUAACUAUAAAUAAAAACUCAAUAUUUGGGAGUUUAAUUCACUUGUGAGCGUUUUUAUAUACCAAAAGAUAUGUUUUAAUGGAUUGUAGAGCAUUAAAGAGUUCUUGAUAUUUGAUCAUUUUAUUUAUUGACUAUUUAUGUUACUAAUUAUUGUCACUUACUGUGUGAAUAUUACAGUUAUUCUAUCAUAGAACUAUAAUAACUCUAUUAUAUUCAUGCCCCUUAUAUGAAUAUUUUCUUAACUCUACCAUUGGUUUAGACUCUUAUCAAGGAGUACAUGAUGUGCUUUUAGUUUGACAACCAACUUGUUUGAUUCAUAAAUUUGUUCUGAUCAACACUUGCCUUUUUUUCUUCUAGCAUAAUUCUUCUUUGUUGAGCUAACUCCAUGACCUUAUCUUUGAAGGCUAAACAUCACUUAAUCGGAUAACCAAUCAAUUAGUGAUACAUGCAAUAAUUUGAUUCAUCAGGUUGUUUAGAGUUUUCAAAGUGUUUUGACUUGAGUAAUUCAAUGAGUUUUACUUGCAAGAGAUUGUCAAACAUCCUUAGAAUAUCAGUCUCUAAAUGGAUACUCCUUUUCUCGCAUCUUUUUGAAGAUUUCUUGUUGUUUGGGAUUUUUGAGUCACUUUUAUUCUUCUCUUUCUAGAGACUUUAACAUAUGCUAUGCUUGCCAUCAAGUAUUCUUCACAAUUUAUGGGAGUGUUGCCCCUUUCUUUAACUAUGGCUUCUCCACAAUUUUGUGAGGAUCAUGAACAGGCAACUCUUGUUCUUCUAAGGUUAACCUACAACAUGUGAGCUUUUGUUGAUAACUCGUCAAAGGUCUCUAGUUGUAUCCCUUGUAAAAUGUAGUAGAAUGCCAAUUGCAUGUCUUCGAUACACGAAUACACGUCUCACUCACAAAUAAUUAAGAAAGUCGAUCCAUGCAAUUUAGACUUAAAACCCUCCAACACGCGAUGCAAGUUAGAAAUUCUUACUCUAACGGGUCCCAAGUGUCAAUAGAACUAAAUUUAAAGUUAGUAUACUAAUCAAAUGUGUUACUUUUUAACCAACAUAUGCAUUACCUGACAAUAGUGCCAACUAAUAAGUGACUAUUUUGUGCUAUAUUUGAAUAACAUUUUAUAUUAGUUUUAGUCAUUUUUUUAAUAUUAUAAGAAGAAAAUGGUCCAUUUUUGCUUGAAUUAGUUCUAAAUACUACUUAGAGCUUCAAGAAGAAUUUUGUGCCCUAUACUUGCAUUUUUUAUUGUUUUUGUAGGAGUUGAAAAUGGACUUCAUUUUGGAUAAUAAAUAAGCUUGCAUUAUGUUGAUUGAAGUCUUGAAGUUCACAAGGAUGAUGAGUUUCAAAUAUGGUUGGAGUCAUAAGAAGAAGAAAAUGAAGAAACUUGUCAAAAAUAAAAGUCAACUCGAAUCCCUCCAAACAAUUCGACUAGUUUUUUGAGGGAUUCGUGGCAGAGAACUAAACUUUAGAAUCAAAAUUCAAAAAAAAAAUAGGGGAGGAUUGCUUGGAGGGAUUCUGGUCAAACUUUGAGUCUUCAACUUGCGAACUCGGUUUCAAUUCCAUUAUUUCACUUCUUUUGAGGGAAAAAUUUGGAGACUUUUGAGCUAUAAAUGAGUGGAUCUAGAAUCAGCUUUUGGAUCAUUUCUUCUCUAUAUAAACACAUUUGCUUCAAGAAUCAAAAGAGAGCUUGGAGAGAGGCAAGGAACACCACAAAAAUAUCGUUUGUUAGGUCCCCAAUUUGUGUAGUGUAGGAUAGUUUAGUUUUAGCUAAUUCAUCAUUUCUUGUGUAUUAGUUAGAUGAAGAUGAAGUUAGAGGAUGAAGAAGGCAAGGAGAGAGCUCAUGUGACAAGGCUUAAUCUACCUUUUCAAUUUUUUAUCUUUUGUAAUUGAUUCUAAAUUUAGUUAAUAUACAAGUUUAGAUUUUAUGUUUGUUAUAUGUUUCUAAAGUUUAUGCGUUGGGUUUUGGUUGAACUUUCUAUGAUUGUAUUGUGUUGAUUUCUUCUCUAUUUGAUACUAUUCUUUUGAACAAGUUAAUUCGUACUUUUUCUCCUCUAAUCAUGAUUAACUGGCCAUUAAUUGUGAUAAUCUUAAAGUGUUAAGUUUGCAAUAAAAAUUGGGAUCUAACAUUAGUUCAAAAAGUGCUAAACCUAGGGAGUACUUUUAGUGAUAGUGACAGAUCUGAGAUAAAAAACUAAGGAUUGACAGAUCAAGGUCUGGUUUUGAGAAUCAACCUUUCUUUUGUUCGAUUCCAGGAUAAAAAUACCAUGCCACUCAACCAGAGGCGUAGGAAGGAAAAGCGCUCUCUCUAACUGAUAGUUGAGCUCACUUCGGUUGCAAAGACUUUAUCCUUAGGUGCAUGUCUCAGCAACACAAAACGAGGGUUUCGCUCGUUAUAGGACUUGACCAAACAUCUCACGACACGAGCUGACGACAGCCAUGCAGCACCUGUAUGAAAAUUAGUACCAUCCCGUUAAGGACAAGUUUUCUUGUUCAUAUGUCAAGGGCUGGACUCGAGGAAGAAGCCCCGGCUAACUCCGUGCCAGCAGCCGCGGGAAGACGGGGGGGCAAGUGUUCUUCGGAAUGACUGGGCAUAAAGGGCACGUAGGCGGUGAAUCGGGUUGAAAGUGAAAGUCGCCAAAAACUGGCGGAAUGCUCUCGAAACCAAUUCACUUGAGUGAGACAGAGGAGAGUGGAAUUUCGUGAGGAGGGGUGAAAUCCGAAGAUCUACGAAGGAAGGCCAAAAGCGAAGGCAGCUCUCUGGGUCCCUACCGACGCUGGGGUGCGAAAGCAUGGGGAGCGAAUGGGAUUAGAUUGUGACAGCCCCACCUCCCCCUAAGGCGAACCAGAGGGUUCGGCGGGUCGCCUGCCCAGCUCUCGCCGGGACUCAGUCGUUCACUACAGUCCUCAAAUGAAUUACAAGAAUAAACCUCAAAUAUACAUCACAUGGUCCACAAAUAUACAUCCAAGCCUCCAAUAAUUACAUGUCGUAAGCGAAGCGGAAACGAUUCUCAACUAUACAUAAAAUGAUUCCAAAUCCAAAUUAUACAAGAUACAUGCCAUCCAGUCACGUGAACAAGUACUACAAGUCCUUCCUUCGCUUUGAGCCCUGUGGAGGGGAAUAAAUAUUUUUGGGGUGAGCUAGAAGCUCAUCGAGUAACCAGGAAAAUCAUUAAACAAAUAUAUUUCACAAUGUUGCAUUUCGAUCAUUUCGAUGAUGUCAUGAUUCAGAGAUCAAAUGUUCGUUUAGUGCUCUCGUGAGCCAGGGAAAUCAUAGCACUUGAACACCCAACGCUCAAAUAGAUCAUUUAACAUUAACAUUAACAUUCAGAGGGAGCCCCUUCUUGAGCUCCAGAUAAACAUGAACAUGAACCAUAAACAGAGUGGAGACGUUGGUGUCCAGCACAAGACUUUCCCAGAACUCAUUGAAGCCAAAUCAUGUCAUGAACUCACAUGCAAGCACGCAUGAUAUGCAAUCGAAUAAAUAAUGCAAGAAAUAUUUCACAAGUACUUCGAAAAUAGUUUAGGGUCACUCACCUCCACGUCUCAGAAAUCAUCCAUCAUAUAACAUUGCCUUGCUCAAAUCCAAGUCUUAGAUCACCAACUCAAUGCAAACAAGUUCCUUCAAAGUUCGGACAACACUUCCCCUGAAUUUGCUAACUUUUCCAGCCAUCAUGGCUUCAUUAUUUCCUCAUUCCAACCCAAAGGUACACACACACAACAACAAGUUCAUCCAAUAGCCAUUCAGCAAGCUCCAAGUAGUACUAGUGCAAGUCAAGCUAGGGAAAAGUCCGGAAAUGAAAGUUAAGCUCAAAACCAGAAAAACAGUUUUGACGUCAUUUUGCGGUAAUUGUACCAAAGGUACUACGAUGUUCGGAUCAAGGUUCAACAUACACCGUUUCGAAGCUAAAAGACAGGGCUACAACAUUGUAGAAGGUCACUCAACCCAGUUUCGAGUGUAACCAGGUCAAAAAUGCAAGAUACCGUACCAGAAUCACAAAAACAGAUUCACAUAACGCAUUCUAGCGGAAACAUCAUAAAGCAGGAUAUCCAAGUCCAAAUCCAGAAAUUCCAAAACCAGCUGAAAUCUAAGAAACAGGGUUACAUUUCAUCAGAAGGCCUCAACAACCAAUUAGGAAGAAAUUCCAGCCAAAACAAUCAAUUACAGGCGCAAUUCUUACAUUCGGGUAAAACCAGGACAGCAAUAGUAAUUUCGACUUUCUCAUUCUACACUACUCCGAUUGACCUGAAAUUUUGUAGGCACCUCUAAAAUGUUAUUCCAUACAACUUUCAUGUUUUAAGCCAAGGCCAAUUCGGCCUCUAUCUAUGAGCUAAAAAUUCGGACAGAAUGAAGAACAUUGAAACCUAGUUUUCCACUUUUCCUUCCAAAACAGAAAUUGAUUGUAAUUAAUCACUUUUUCCACCUCCUAGAGUCAUUAAACAUCAUUUCCAAUCAUCAUACAUGACCCCAUAAUCAUAUCCAUAUGAAAACAGAAAAAUCCCCAAAAAUUAUAAAACUUCACCAAUUCAACCAAAAUCAAGAUAUAAUCCAUAAAAGUGCAUCUUAUACCACCACCAAUCAUGAAUUGAACAUCAAUUAAGGGAGGAGAGUGGUUCUUCACAACUCACCUUAGCCAUACAAGAGAUAGAGCAACAAAUCACCUUAGCUUUCCAAACAACUCCACAAAACACCUCAAGACCACUUAGCAAAGAGAUUUUAUGGAAUGAUUUGGAGUUUUAUUGGUUGGAUUUGAAGAUUGAGCAAGAAAUAGAAGGAAGAAAUUGAGAGCUUUUCUUUCUUUCUUGAGCAAGAACAUUCGGCCAAGAAGCUUGCAAAAUGAAGCAUAUUUUGGUCAAAUUUUGGUAUUUAUUUAGUAAAGGUAAAGGUAAAGUAAAAUGGUCAAAGUCCAAGAUUAAAUCACAAGGUGACACUUGUCACCUUUUGGUUCAAAACUUAUGUUUUUGUCUCUCCAAUACAAAUAUCUUAACACCUUGUAAAAUAAUAUAACUUAAUACAAAAAUCCAACAAGUUGUCAAAAAUAUAAUGCAUUUACCGCACUUGCGGGUCCCACGUUCAAAAUACGCUCUUAAUUUCUCAAAAACUAACCGAUACUAGAAAAAUCAUUUUCAAACUAUCUUUGCUCGUAAACUUUAUCUGGGGAACAUUUUCUAAUAAAGAAAAUGUAGAAAAGGCGGGCGAUUAAAUAUAAUAAACCCUUGAAAAUUAGAAAAUUUUCGGUUCUCACACUUAUACUUUUCGGGGCGUCACAAUCUCCCCUCCUUAAAAGAAUGCCGUCCUCGACAUUCCAUCUUGUACCAAUCAAGUCAAGACAUCCCGCAAGAAUCACUAAUAUUUCAAACCAAACCCACAGUCCGGCAUCCUAAACUUCAAGCCUAGGAUACGCUACAGAGAUCUGAAGCCUAAGCUCUGAUACCAACUGUGACAGCCCCACCUCCCCCUAAGGCGAACCAGAGGGUUCGGCGGGUCGCCCGUCCAGUUCUCGCCGGGACUCAGUCGUUCACUACAGUCCUCAAAUGAAUUACAAGAAUAAACUUCAAAUAUACAUCACAUGGUCCACAAAUAUACAUCCAAGCCUCCAAUAAUUACAUGUCAUAAGCGAAGCGGAAACGAUUCUCAACUAUACAAAAAAUGAUUCCAAAUCCAAAUUAUACAAGAUACAUGCCAUCCAGUCACGUGAACAAGUACUACAAGUCCUUCCUUCGCUUUGAGCCCUGUGGAGGGGAAUAAAUAUUUUUGGGGUGAGCUAGAAGCUCAGCGAGUAACCAGGAAUAUCAUUAAACAAAUAUAUUUCACAAUGUUGCAUUUCGAUCAUUUCGAUGAUAUCAUGAUUCAGAGAUCAAAUGUUCGUUUAGUGCUCUCGUGAGCCAGGCAAAUCAUAGCACUUGAACACCCAACGGUCAAACAGAUCAUUUAACAUUAACAUUAACAUUCAGAGGGAGCCCCUUCUCGAGCUCCAGAUAAACAUGAAGGCCUCAACAACCAAUUCGGAAGCAAUUCCAGCCAAAACAAUCAAUUACAGGCGCAAUUCUUACAUUCGGGUAAAACCAGGUCAGCAAUAGUAAUUUCGACUUUCUCAUUCUACACUACUCCGAUUGACCUGAAAUUUUGUAGGAACCUCGAAAAUGUCAUUCCAUACAACUUUCAUGUUUUAAGCCAAGGCCAAUUCGGCCUCUAUCUAUGAGCUAAAAAUUCGGACAGAAUGAAGAACAUUGAAACCUAGUUUUCCACUUUUCCUUCCAAAACAGAAAUUGAUUGUAAUUAAUCACUUUUUCCACCUCCUAGAGUCAUUAAACAUCAUUUCCAAUCAUCAUACAUGAACCCAUAAUCAUAUCCAUAUGAAAACAGAAAAAUCCCCAAAAAUUAUAAAACUUCACCAAUUCAACCAAAAUCAAGAUAUAAUCCAUAAAAGUGCAUCUUAUACCACCACCAAUCAUGAAUUGAACAUCAAUUAAGGGAGGAGAGUGGUUCUUCACAACUCACCUUAGCCAUACAAGAGAUAGAGCAACAAAUCAACUUAGCUUUCCAAACAACUCCACAAAACACCUCAAGACCACUUAGCAAAGAGAUUUUAUGGAAUGAUUUGGAGUUUUAUUGGUUGGUUUUGAAGAUUGAGCAAGAAAUAGAAGGAAGAAAUUGAGAGCUUUUCUUUCUUCUUGAGCAAGAACAUUCGGCCAAGAAGCUUGCAAAAUGAAGCUUAUUUUGGUCAAAUUUUGGUAUUUAUUUAGUAAAGGUAAAGGUAAAGUUAAAUGGUCAAAGUCCAAGAUUAAAUCACAAGGUGACACUUGUCACCUUUUGGUUCAAAACUUAUCUUUUUGUCUCUCCAAUACAAAUAUCUUAACACCUUGUAAAAUAAUAUCAUUUAAUACAAAAAUCCAACAAGUUGUCAAAAAUAUAAUGCAUUUACCGCACUUGCGGGUCCCACGUUCAAAAUACGCUCUUAAUUUCUCAAAAACUAACCGAUACUAGAAAAAUCAUUUUCAAACUAUCUUUGCUCGUAAACUUUAUCUGGGGAACAUUCUCUAAUAAAGAAAAUGUAGAAAAGGCGGGCGAUUAAAUAAAAUAAACCCUUGAAAAUUAGAAAAUUUUCGGGUUCUCACACUUAUACUUUUCGGGGCGUCACAAUCUCCCCUCCUUAAAAGAAUGCCGUCCUCGACAUUCCAUCUUGUACCAAUCAAGUCAAGACAUCCCGCAAGAAUCACUAAUAUUUCAAACCAAACCCACAGUCCGGCAUCCUAAACUUCAAGCCUAGGAUACACUACAGAGAUCUGAAGCCUAAGCUCUGAUACCAAAUGUGACAGCCCCACCUCCCCCUAAGGCGAACCAGAUGGUUCGGCGGGUCGCCUGCCCAACUCUCGCCGGGACUCAGUCGUUCACUACAGUCCUCAAAUGAAUUACAAGAAUAAAUCUCAAAUAUACAUCACAUGGUCCACAAAUAUACAUCCAAGCCUCCAAUAAUUACAUGUCAUAAGCGAAUCGGAAACGAUUCUGAACUAUACAUAAAAUGAUUCCAAAUCCAAAUUAUACAAGAUACAUGCCAUCCAGUCACGUGAACAAGUACUACAAGUCCUUCCUUCGCUUUGAGCCCUGUGGAGGGGAAUAAAUAUUUUUGGGGUGAGCUAGAAGCUCAGCGAGUAACCAGGAAAAUCAUUAAACAAAUAUAUUUCACAAUGUUGCAUUUUGAUCAUUUCGAUGAUGUCAUGAUUCAGAGAUCAAAUGUUCGUUUAGUGCUCUCGUGAGCCAGGGAAAUCAUAGCACUUGAACACCCAACGCUCAAAUAGAUCAUUUAACAUUAACAUUAACAUUCAGAGGGAGCCCCUUCUUGAGCUCUAGAUAAACAUGAACAUGAACCACAAACAGAGUGGAGACGUUGGUGUCCAGCACAAGACUUUCCCAGAACUCAUUGAAGCCAAAUCAUGUCAUGAACUCACAUGCAAGCACGCAUGAUAUGCAAUCGAAUAAAUAAUGCAAGAAAUAUUUCACAAGUACUUCGGAAAUAGUUUAGGGUCACUCACCUCCACGGCUCAGAAAUCAUCCAUCAUAUAACAUUGCCUUGCUCAAAUCCAAGUCUUAGAUCACAAACUCAAUGCAAACAAGUUCCUUCAAAGUUCGGACAGCACUUCCCCUGAAUUUGCUAACUUUUCCAGCCAUCAUGGCUUCAUUAUUUCCUCAUUCCAACCCAAAGGUACACACACACAACAACAAGUUCAUCCAAUAGCCAUUCAGCAAGCUCCAAGUAGUACUAGUACAAGUCAAGCUAGGGAAAAGUCCGGAAAUGAAAGUUAAGCUCAAAACCAGAAAAACAGUUUUGACGUCAUUUUACGGUAAUUGUACCAAAGGUACUACGAUGGUCGGAUCAAGGUGCAAGAUACACCGUUUCGAAGCUAAAAUGCAGGGCUACAACAUUGUAGAAGGUCACUCAACCCAGUUUCGAGUGUAACCAGGUCAAAAAUGCAAGAUACCAUACCAGAAUCACAAAAACAGAUUCACAUAACGCAUUCUAGCGGAAACAUCAUAAAGCAGGCUAUCCAAGUCCAAAUCCAGAAAUUCCAAAACCAACUGAAAGCUAAGAAACAGGGUUACAUUUCAUAAGAAGGCCUCAACAACCAAUUCGGAAGCAAUUCCAGCCAAAACAAUCAAUUACAGGCGCAAUUCUUACAUUCGGGUAAAACCAGGUCAGCAAUAGUAAUUUCGACUUUCUCAUUCUACACUACUCCGAUUGACCUGAAAUUUUGUAGGAACCUCUAAAAUGUCAUUCCAUACAACUUUCAUGUUUUAAGCCAAGGCCAAUUCGGCCUCUAUCUAUGAGCUAAAAAUUCGGACAGAAUGAAGAACAUUGAAACCUAGUUUUCCACUUUUCCUUCCAAAACAGAAAUUGAUUGUAAUUAAUCACUUUUUCCACCUCCUAGAGUCAUUAAACAUCAUUUCCAAUCAUCAUACAUGACCCCAUAAUCAUAUCCAUAUGAAAACAGAAAAAUCCCCAUAAAUUAUAAAACUUCACCAAUUCAACCAAAAUCAAGAUAUAAUCCAUAAAAGUGCAUCUUAUACCACCACCAAUCAUGAAUUGAACAUCAAUUAAGGGAGGAGAGUGGUUCUUCACAACUCACCUUAGCCAUACAAGAGAUAGAGCAACAAAUCACCUUAGCUUUCCAAACAACUCCACAAAACACCUCAAGACCACUUAGCAAAGAGAUUUUAUGGAACGAUUUGGAGUUUUAUUGGUUGGAUUUGAAGAUUGAGCAAGAAAUAGAAGGAAGAAAUUGAGAGCUUUUCUUUCUUUCUUGAGCAAGAACAUUCGGCCAAGAAGCUUGCAAAAUGAAGCUUAUUUUGGUCAAAUUUUGGUAUUUAUUUAGUAAAGGUAAAGGUAAAGUUAAAUGGUCAAAGUCCAAGAUUAGAUCACAAGGUGACACUUGUCACCUUGCGUUCAAAUUAUCUUUUGUCUCUCCAAUACAAAUAUCUUAACACAUGUAAAAUAAUAUCACUUAAUACAAAAAUCCAAAGCAAGUUGUCAAAAUAUAAUGCAUUUAACGCGCACAUGCGGGUCCAGCGUUCAAAGAUACGCUCUUGAAUUUCUCAAAUCUAACCGAUACUAGAAAAAAUCAUGUUUCGAAACUAUCUUUGGCUCAGCUAAACUUAUCUGGGGAACCCAUUUCUUCUGCUAAUAAAAGAAAAUGUAAGAAAAGGCGGCGAUUAAAUAAAAUAGAAGCGCCUUGAAAAUUAGAAAAUUUUCGGGUUCUCACAAACUUAUCACUUUUCGGGGCGUGCACAGAUGCUCCCGCCUCCUUUAAUAAGAUGCCGUCCUCUGACAAUUUCGCAUCUUGUACCGAAUACAAGUCAAGACAUCCGCAAGAAUCACUGAAUAGUUCAAAACCAAACCACAAGUUCCCGGCAUCCUAAACUUCAAGGCCCUGGGAUACAGGCUACAGAGAUCUGAGUCUAAGCUCUGAUACAACUGUGACAAGCCCACCUCGCCCCUAAGGCGAACCAGAGGGUUCGGGCGGGUGCCUGCGAGCUCGUCGCCUGGACUCAGUGCGUUCACAUACAAUGCUCAAAUGAAUUACAAGAAUAAACCUCCAAUAUACAUCAAUUGGUCCACAGAAUAUACCUCGCAAGCCUCAAUAAUUACAUGUCAUAAGCGAAGGCGGAAACGAUUCUCACUAUACAUAAAAUGAUGUCCAAUCGCAAAUUUAUAACAAGAUACAUGCCAUCCAGUCGAGUGAACAAGUAUACAAGUCCUUCCUUCGCUUUGAGCCCUGUGGAGGGGAAUAAAUAUUUUUGGGGUGAGCUAGAAGCUCAGCGAGUAACCAGGAAAAUCAUUAAACAAAUAUAUUUCACAAUGUUGCAUUUCGAUCAUUUCGAUGAUGUCAUGAUUCAGAGAUCAAAUGUUCGUUUAGUGCUCUCGUGAGCCAGGCAAAUCAUAGCCCUUGAACACCCAACGCUCAAAUAGAUCAUUUAACAUUAACAUUAACAUUCAGAGGGAACCUCUUCUUGAGCCCCAGAUAAACAUGAACAUGAACCAUAAACAGAGUGGAGACGUUGGUGUCCAGCACAAGACUUUUCCAGAACUCAUUGAAGCCAAAUCAUGUCAUGAACUCACAUGCAAGCACGCAUGAUAUGCAAUCGAAUAAAUAAUGCAAGAAAUAUUUCACAAGUACUUCGGAAAUAGUUUAGGGUCACUCACCUCCACGGCACAGAAAUCAUCCAUCAUAUAACAUUGCCUUGCUCAAAUCCAAGUCUUAGAUCACAAACUCAAUGCAAACAAGUUCCUUCAAAGUUCGGACAGCACUUCCCCUGAAUUUGCUAACUUUUCCAGCCAUCAUGGCUUCAUUAUUUCCUCAUUCCAACCCAAAGGUACACACACACAACAACAAGUUCAUCCAAUAGCCAUUCAGCAAGCUCCAAGUAGUACUAGUACAAGUCAAGCUAGGGAAAAGUCCAGAAAUGAAAGUUAAGCUCAAAACCAGAAAAACAGUUUUGACGUCAUUUAGCGGUAAUUGUACCAAAGGUACUACGAUGGUCGGAUCAAGGUGCAAGAUACACCGUUUCGAAGCUAAAAUACAGGGCUACAACAUUGUAGAAUGUCACUCAACCCAGUUUCGAGUGUAACCAGGUCAAAAAUGCAAGAUACCAUACCAGAAUCACAAAAACAGAUUCACAUAACGCAUUCUAGCGGAAACAUCAUAAAGCAGGCUAUCCAAGUCCAAAUCCAGAAAUUCCAAAACCAACUGAAAGCUAAGAAACAGGGUUACAUUUCAUCAGAAGGCCUCAACAACCAAUUCGGAAGCAAUUCCAGCCAAAACAAUCAAUUACAGGCGCAAUUCUUACAUUCGGGUAAAACCAGGUCAGCAAUAGUAAUUUCGACUUUCUCAUUCUACACUACUCCGAUUGACCUGAAAUUUUGUAGGAACCUCUAAAAUGUCAUUCCAUACAACUUUCAUGUUUUAAGCCAAGGCCAAUUCGGCCUCUAUCUAUGAGCUAAAAAUUCGGACAGAAUGAAGAACAUUGAAACCUAGUUUUCCACUUUUCCUUCCAAAACAGAAAUUGAUUGUAUUUAAUCACUUUUUCCACCUCCUAGAGUCAUUAAACAUCAUUUCCAAUCAUCAUACAUGAACCCAUAAUCAUAUCCAUAUGAAAACAGAAAAAUCCCCAAAAAUUAUAAAACUUCACCAAUUCAACCAAAAUCAAGAUAUAAUCCAUAAAAGUGCAUCUUAUACCACCACCAAUCAUGAAUUGAACAUCAAUUAAGGGAGGAGAGUGGUUCUUCACAACUCACCUUAGCCAUACAAGAGAUAGAGCAACAAAUCACCUUAGCUUUCCAAACAACUCCACAAAACACCUCAAGACCACUUAGCAAAGAGAUUUUAUGGAACGAUUUGGAGUUUUAUUGGUUGGAUUUGAAGAUUGAGCAAGAAAUAGAAGGAAGAAAUUGAGAGCUUUUCUUUCUUUCUUGAGCAAGAACAUUCGGCCAAGAAGCUUGCAAAAUGAAGCUUAUUUUGGUCAAAUUUUGGUAUUUAUUUAGUAAAGGUAAAGGUAAAGUUAAAUGGUCAAAGUCCAAGAUUAGAUCACAAGGUGACACUUGUCACCUUUUGGUUCAAAACUUAUCUUUUUGUCUCUCCAAUACAAAUAUCUUAACACCUUGUAAAAUAAUAUCACUUAAUACAAAAAUCCAACAAGUUGUCAAAAAUAUAAUGCAUUUACCGCACUUGCGGGUCCCACGUUCAAAAUACGCUCUUAAUUUCUCAAAAACUAACCGAUACUAGAAAAAUCAUUUUCAAACUAUCUUUGCUCGUAAACUUUAUCUGGGGACCAUUUUCUAAUAAAGAAAAUGUAGAAAAGGCGGGCGAUUAAAUAAAAUAAACCCUUGAAAAUUAGAAAAUUUUCGGGUUCUCACACUUAUACUUUUCGGGGCGUCACAAUCUCCCCUCCUUAAAAGAAUGCCGUCCUCGACAUUCCAUCUUGUACCAAUCAAGUCAAGACAUCCCGCAAGAAUCACUAAUAUUUCAAACCAAACCCACAGUCCGGCAUCCUAAACUUCAAGCCUAGGAUACACUACAGAGAUCUGAAGCCUAAGCUCUGAUACCAACUGUGACAGCCCCACCUCCCCCUAAGGCGAACCAGAGGGUUCGGCGGGUCGCCUGCCCAGCUCUCGCCUGGACUCAGUCGUUCACUACAGUCCUCUAAUGAAUUACAAGAAUAAACCUCAAAUAUACAUCACAUGGUCCACAAAUAUACAUCCAAGCCUCCAAUAAUUACAUGUCAUAAGCGAAGCGGAAACGAUUCUCAACUAUACAUAAAAUGAUUCCAAAUCCAAAUUAUACAAGAUACAUGCCAUCCAGUCACGUGAACAAGUACUACAAGUCCUUCCUUCGCUUUGAGCCCUGUGGAGGGGAAUAAAUAUUUUUGGGGUGAGCUAGAAGCUCAGCGAGAAACCAGGAAAAUCAUUAAACAAAUAUAUUUCACAAUGUUGCAUUUCGAUCAUUUCGAUGAUGUCAUGAUUCAGAGAUCAAAUGUUCGUUUAGUGCUCUCGUGACCCAGGCAAAUCAUAGCACUUGAACACCCAACGCUCAAAUAGAUCAUUUAACAUUAACAUUAACAUUCAGAGGGAGCCCCUGCUUGAGCUCCAGAUAAACAUGAACAUGAACCAUAAACAGAGUGGAGACGUUGGUGUCCAGCACAAGACUUUUCCAGAACUCAUUGAAGCCAAAUCAUGUCAUGAAACUCACAUGCAAGCACGCAUGAUAUGCAUCGAAUAAAUAAUGUAAGAAAUAUUAUCACAAGUAUACUUUCGGAAUAGUUAGGGUCACUCACCUCCACGGCUCAGAAAUCAUCAUCAUUAUAACAUUUCCUUGCUCAUAAUCCAGAGUCUUAGAAUCACAAACUCAAUGCAAACAAGUUCCUUCAAAGUUCGGACAGCACUUCCCCUGAAUUUGCUAACUUUUCCAGCCAUCAUGGCUUCAUUAUUUCCUCAUUCCAACCCAAAGGUACACACACACAACAACAAGUUCAUCCAAUAGCCAUUCAGCAAGCUCCAAGUAGUACUAGUACAAGUCAAGCUAGGGAAAAGUGCAGAAAUGAAAGUUAAGCUCAAAACCAGAAAAACAGUUUUGACGUCAUUUUGCGGUAAUUGUACCAAUGGUACUACGAUGGUCGGAUCAAGGUGCAAGAUACACCGUUUCGAAGCUAAAAGACAGGGCUACAACAUUGUAGAAGGUCACUCAACCCAGUUUCGAGUGUAACUAGGUCAAAAAUGCAAGAUACCAUACCAGAAUCACAAAAACAGAUUCACAUAACGCAUUCUAGCGGAAACAUCAUAAAGCAGGCUAUCUAAGUCUAAAUCCAGAAAUUCCAAAACCAGCUGAAAGCUAAGAAACAGGGUUACAUUUCAUCAGAAGGCCUCAACAACCAAUUCGGAAGCAAUUCCAGCCAAAACAAUCAAUUACAGGCACAAUUCUUACAUUCGGGUAAAACCAGGACAUCAAUAGUAAUUUCGACUUUCUCAUUCUACACUACUCCGAUUGACCUGAAAUUUUGUAGGAACCUCUAAAAUGUCAUUCCAUACAACUUUCAUGUUUUAAGCCAAGGCCAAUUCGGCCUCUAUCUAUGAGCUAAAAAUUCGGACAGAAUGAAGAACAUUGAUACCUAGUUUUCCACUUUUCCUUCCAAAACAGAAAUUGAUUGUAAUUAAUCACUUUUUCCACCUCCUAGAGUCAUUAAACAUCAUUUCCAAUCAUCAUACAUGACCCCAUAAUCAUAUCCAUAUGAAAACAGAAAAAUCCCCAAAAAUUAUAAAACUUCACCAAUUCAACCAAAAUCAAGAUAUAAUCCAUAAAAGUGCAUUCUUAUACCACCACCAAUCAUGAAAAUUGAAAUCAAUAAGGACGAGAGUGCGUUCUUCACAACUCACCUUAGCCAUACAAGAGAUAGACAACAAUCACUUAGCUUUCCAAACAACUCCACAAAAACACCUCAAGACACUUAGCAAAGAGAUUUUAUGGAACGAAUUUGGGUUUUAUUGCGUUGGAUUUGAAGAUUGAGCAAGAAAUAGAAGGAAGAAAGUUGCAGAGCUUUUUCUUUCUUUUCUUGAGCAAGAACAUUCGCCAAGAAGCUUGCAAAAAUGAAGCUUAUUUUGUGUCAAAAUUUUGGUGAUUUAUUAGUAAAGGUAAUGGUAAAGUUAAAAUGGUCAAAGUCCAAGAUAAAUCACAAGGUGACACUUGUCACCUUUUUUCAAAACUUAUCUUUUUGUCUCUCCAAUACAAAUAUCUUAACACCUUGCUAAAGUAAUAUCACUUAAUACAAAAUCCCAAACAAGUUGUCAAAAAUAUAAUGCAUUUACCGCACUUGCGGGUCCCACGUUCAAAAUACGCUCUUAAUUUCUCAAAAACUACACGAUACUAGAAAAAUCAUUUUCAAACUAUCUUUGCUCGUAAACUUUAUCUGGGGAACAUUUUCUAAUAAAGAAAAUGUAGAAAAGGCGGGCGAUUAAAUAAAAUAAACCCUUGAAAAUUAGAAAAUUUUCGGGUUCUCACACUUAUACUUUUCGGGGCGUCACAAUCUCCCCUCCUUAAAAGAAUGCCGUCCUCGACAUUCCAUCUUGUACCAAUCAAGUCAAGACAUCCCGCAAGAAUCACUAAUAGUUCAAACCAAACCCACAGUCCGGCAUCCUAAACUUCAAGCCUAGGAUACACUACAGAGAUCUGAAGUCUAAGCUCUGAUACCAACUGUGACAGCCCCACCUCCCCCUAAGGCGAACCAGAGGGUUCGGCGGGUCGCCUGCCCAGCUCUCGCCUGGACUCAGUCGUUCACUACAAUCCUCAAAUGAAUUACAAGAAUAAACCUCAAAUAUACAUCACAUGGUCCACAAAUAUACCUCCAAGCCUCCAAUAAUUACAUGUCAUAAGCGAAGCGGAAACGAUUCUCAACUAUACAUAAAAUGAUUCCAAAUCCAAAUUAUACAAGAUACAUGCCAUCCAGUCACGUGAACAAGUACUACAAGUCCUUCCUUCGCUUUGAGCCCUGUGGAGGGGAAUAAAUAUUUUUGGGGUGAGCUAGAAGCUCAGCGAGUAACCAGGAAAAUCAUUAAACAAAUAUAUUUCACAAUGUUGCAUUUCGAUCAUUUCGAUGAUGUCAUGAUUCAGAGAUCAAAUGUUCGUUUAGUGCUCUCGUGACCCAGGCAAAUCAUAGCACUUGAACACCCAACGCUCAAAUAGAUCAUUUAACAUUAACAUUAACAUUCAGAGGGAGCCCCUGCUUGAGCUCCAGAUAAACAUGAACAUGAACCAUAAACAGAGUGGAGACGUUGGUGUCCAGCACAAGACUUUUCCAGAACUCAUUGAAGCCAAAUCAUGUCAUGAACUCACAUGCAAGCACGCAUGAUAUGCAAUCGAAUAAAUAAUGCAAGAAAUAUUUCACAAGUACUUCGGAAAUAGUUUAGGGUCACUCACCUCCACGGCUCAGAAAUCAUCCAUCAUAUAACAUUGCCUUGCUCAAAUCCAAGUCUUAGAUCACAAACUCAAUGCAAACAAGUUCCUUCAAAGUUCGAUCAGCACUUCCCUGAAUUUGCUAACUUUCCAGCCAUCAUGGCUUCAUUUUUCCUCAUUCCAACCCAAGGUACACACACACACACAAGUUCAUCCAAUAGCCAUUCAGCAAGCUCCAAGUAUACUUACAAGUCAGCUAGCGAAAAGUCCAGAAAUGAAAGUUAAUGCUCAAAACCAGACAAAACACGUUUGACGUCAUUUAGCGUAAUUUAACCAAAGGUACUACGAUGUCGGAAUCAAGGUGCAAGGAUACACCGUUUCGAAGCUAAAUACAGGCUACAACAUUGUUAGGAAUGUCACAUCAACCCUAGUUUCGAGAUGUAACCAGGUCAAAAAUGCAAAGAUACCAGACCAGAAUCACAAAAACAGAUUCACAUAACGAUUCUAGCGAACAUCAUAAAGCAGGCUAUCAACGUCCCAAAUCCAAACUUCCAAAACCAACUUGAAGCUAAGAAACAGGGUUACAUUCGAUCAGAAGGCUCAACACACAAUUCGGAAGCACAUUCCAGCCAAAACAAUCCAAUUACAGGCGCAAUUCUUACAUUCGCGAUAAAACAGCGUCAGCAAUAGUAAGUUUGCGACUUCUCAUUUCAUACACUACUCCGAUUGACCUGAAAUUUGUAGGAACCUCUAAAAUGUCAUUCCAUACAACCUUUCAUGUUUUAAGCCAAGGCCAAUUCGGCUUCUAACUAUGCAGCUAAAAAUUCGGACAGAUGAAGAAACAUUGAAACCUAGUUUUCCACUUUUUCCUUUCAAAACAGAAAUUGAUUGUAAUAAUCACUUUUCCACCUCUGAGUCAUUAAACAUCAUUUCCAAUCAUCAUACAUGACCCCAUAAUCAUAUCCAUAUGAAAACAGAAAAAUCCCCAAAAAUUAUAAAACUUCACCAAUUCAACCAAAAUCAAGAUAUAAUCCAUAAAAGUGCAUCUUAUACCACCACCAAUCACGAAUUGAACAUCAAUUAAGGGAGGAGAGUGGUUCUUCACAACUCACCUUAGCCAUACAAGAGAUAGAGCAACAAAUCACCUUAGCUUUCCAAACAACUCCACAAAUCACCUCAAGACCACUUAGCAAAGAGAUUUUAUGGAAUGAUUUGGAGUUUUAUUGGUUGGUUUUGAAGAUUGAGCAAGACAUAGAAGGAAGAAAUUGAGAGCUUUUCUUUCUUUCUUGAGCAAGAACAUUCGGCCAAGAAGCUUGCAAAAUGAAGCUUAUUUUGGUCAAAUUUUGGUAUUUAUUUAGUAAAGGUAAAGGUAAAGUUAAAUGGUCAAAGUCCAAGAUUAAAUCACAAGGUGCAACUUGUCACCUUUUGGUUCAAAACUUAUCUUUUUGUCUCUCCAAUACAAAUAUCUUAACACCUUGUAAAAUAAUAUCACUUAAUACAAAAAUCCAACAAGUUGUCAAAAAUAUAAUGCAUUUACCGCACUUGCGGGUCCCACGUUCAAAAUACGCUCUUAAUUUCUCAAAAACUAACCGAUACUAGAAAAAUCAUUUUCAAACUAUCUUUGCUCGUAAACUUUAUCUGGGGAACAUUCUCUAAUAAAGAAAAUGUAGAAAAGGCGGGCGAUUAAAUAAAAUAAACCCUUGAAAAUUAGAAAAUUUUCGGGUUCUCACACUUAUACUUUUCGGGGCGUCACAAUCUCCCCUCCUUAAAAGAAUGCCGUCCUCGACAUUCCAUCUUGUACCAAUCAAGUCAAGACAUCCCGCAAGAAUCACUAAUAUUUCAAACCAAACCCACAGUCCGGCAUCCUAAACUUCAAGCCUAGGAUACACUACAGAGAUCUGAAGCCUAAGCUCUGAUACCAAAUGUGACAGCCCCACCUCCCCCUAAGGCGAACCAGAUGGUUCGGCGGGUCGCCUGCCCAACUCUCGCCGGGACUCAGUCGUUCACUACAGUCCUCAAAUGAAUUACAAGAAUAAAUCUCAAAUAUACAUCACAUGGUCCACAAAUAUACAUCCAAGCCUCCAAUAAUUACAUGUCAUAAGCGAAUCGGAAACGAUUCUGAACUAUACAUAAAAUGAUUCCAAAUCCAAAUUAUACAAGAUACAUGCCAUCCAGUCACGUGAACAAGUACUACAAGUCCUUCCUUCGCUUUGAGCCCUGUGGAGGGGAAUAAAUAUUUUUGGGGUGAGCUAGAAGCUCAGCGAGUAACCAGGAAAAUCAUUAAACAAAUAUAUUUCACAAUGUUGCAUUUUGAUCAUUUCGAUGAUGUCAUGAUUCAGAGAUCAAAUGUUCGUUUAGUGCUCUCGUGAGCCAGGGAAAUCAUAGCACUUGAACACCCAACGCUCAAAUAGAUCAUUUAACAUUAACAUUAACAUUCAGAGGGAGCCCCUUCUUGAGCUCUAGAUAAACAUGAACAUGAACCACAAACAGAGUGGAGACGUUGGUGUCCAGCACAAAACUUUCCCAGAACUCAUUGAAGCCAAAUCAUGUCAUGAACUCACAUGCAAGCACGCAUGAUAUGCAAUCGAAUAAAUAAUGCAAGAAAUAUUUCACAAGUACUUCGGAAAUAGUUUAGGGUCACUCACCUCCACGGCUCAGAAAUCAUCCAUCAUAUAACAUUGCCUUGCUCAAAUCCAAGUCUUAGAUCACAAACUCAAUGCAAACAAGUUCCUUCAAAGUUCGGAAAGCACUUCCCCUGAAUUUGCUAACUUUUCCAGCCAUCAUGGCUUCAUUAUUUCCUCAUUCCAACCCAAAGGUACACACACACAACAACAAGUGUCAUCCAAUAGCCAUUCAGCAAGCUCCAAGUAGUACUUUAGUACAAGUCAAGCUAUGGGAAAAGUCCGCGCGAAAGAAAGUUAAGCUCAAAACAGAAAACAUUUUGACGUCAUUUGCAGGUAAUGUACCAAAGGUACUACAUGUCGGAUCAACGAAGUGCAAGAUACACCGCUUGCGAAGCUAAAAUGCAGCUACAACAUGUAGAAGUGUCACUCAAUCCAGUUUCGAGUGUAACCAGGUCAAAAAUGCAAGGAUACCUAGCCAGAAUCACAAAAUAGAUUCACAUAACGCAUUCUAGCGGAAACAUCAUAAAGCAGGCUAUCCAAGUCCAAAUCCAGAAAUUCCAGAACCAGCUGAAAGCUAAGAAACAGGGUUACAUUUCAUCAGAAGGCCUCAACAACCAAUUCGGAAGCAAUUCUAGCCAAAACAAUCAAUUACAGGCGCAAUUCUUACAUUCGGGUAAAACCAGGACAGCAAUAGGUAAUUUCGACUUUCUCAUUCUACAUACUCCGAUUGACCUGAAUUUUGCUAGGAACCUCUAAAAUAUCAUUCCAAUACAACUUUCUAUGUUUUAAGCAAGUCGCCAAUUCACCUCAUCUAUGAGCCUAAAAAUUCGGACAGGAAUGAAGAACAUUGAAUACCUGUUUUCCACUUUUUUCCUUCCAAAACAGAAAUUGAUUGUAAUUAAUCACUUUUUCCACCUCCUAGAGUCAUUAAACAUCAUUUUAAAUCAUCAUACAUGACCCCAUAUUCAUAUCCAUAUGAAAACAGAAAAUCCCCAAAAAUUAUAAAACUUCACCAAUUCAACCAAAAUCAAGAUAUAAUCCAUAAAAGUGCAUCUUAUACCACCACCAAUCAUGAAUUGAACAUCAAUUAAGGGAGGAGAGUGGUUCUUCACAACUCACCUUAGCCAUACAAGAGAUAGAGCAACAAAUCACCUUAGCUUUCCAAACAACUCCACAAAACACCUCAAGACAACUUAGCAAAGAGAUUUUAUGGAAUGAUUUGGAGUUUUAUUAGGUGGAUUUGAAGAGACUGAGCAAAGGAAAUAGAAGUGUAAGAAAUUGAGAGCUUUCUUUCUUUCUUGAGCAAGAAACAUCGGCCAAGAAGCUUGCAAAAUGAAGCUUUAUUUUGGUCAAAUUUUGGUAUUAUUUAGUAAAGGCUAAAGGUAAAAGUUAAUAUGCGUCAAGAUCCAAGAUUAAAUCACAAGCGUGACACUUGUCACCUUUUGGUUUCAAAACUUAUCUUUUUGUCUCUCCAAUACAAAUAUGUUAACACCUUGUAAAAUAAUAUCACUUAAUACAAAAAUCCAACAAGUUGUCAAAAAUAUAAUGCAUUUACCGCACUUGCGGGUCCCACGUUCAAAAUACGCUCUUAAUUUCUCAAAAACUAACCGAUACUAGAAAAAUCAUUUUCAAACUAUCUUUGCUCGUAAACUUUAUCUGGGGAACAUUUUCUAAUAAAGAAAAUGUAGAAAAGGCGGGCGAUUAAAUAAAAUAAACCCUUGAAAAUUAGAAAAUUUUCGGGUUCUCACACUUAUACUUUUCGGGGCGUCACAAUCUCCCCUCCUUAAAAGAAUGCCGUCCUCGACAUUCCAUCUUGUACCAAUCAAGUCAAGACAUCCCGCAAGAAUCACUAAUAUUUCAAACCAAACCCACAGUCCGGCAUCCUAAACUUCAAGCCUAGGAUACACUACAGAGAUCUGAAGCCUAAGCUCUGAUACCAACUGUGACAGCCCCACCUCCCCCUAAGGCGAACCAGAGGGUUCGGCGGGUCGCCUGCCCAGCUCUCGCCUGGACUCAGUCGUUCACUACAGUCCUCAAAUGAAUUACAAGAAUAAACCUCAAAUAUACAUCACAUGGUCCACAAAUAUACAUCCAAGCCUCCAAUAAUUACAUGUCAUAAGCGAAGCGGAAACGAUUCUCAACUAUACAUAAAAUGAUUCCAAAUCCAAAUUAUACAAGAUACAUGCCAUCCAGUCACGUGAACAAGUACUACAAGUCCUUCCUUCGCUUUGAGCCCUGUGGAGGGGAAUAAAUAUUUUUGGGGUGAGCUAGAAGCUCAGCGAGUAACCAGGAAAAUCAUUAAACAAAUAUAUUUCACAAUGUUGCAUUUCGAUCAUUUCGAUGAUGUCAUGAUUCAGAGAUCAAAUGUUCGUUUAGUGCUCUCGUGAGCCAGGCAAAUCAUAGCCCUUGAACACCCAACGCUCAAAUAGAUCAUUUAACAUUAACAUUAACAUUCAGAGGGAGCCCCUUCUUGAGCUCCAGAUAAACAUGAACAUGAACCAUAAACAGAGUGGAGACGUUGGUGUCCAGCACAAGACUUUUCCAGAACUCAUUGAAGCCAAAUCAUGUCAUGAACUCACAUGCAAGCACGCAUGAUAUGCAAUCGAAUAAAUAAUGCAAGAAAUAUUUCACAAGUACUUCGGAAAUAGUUUAGGGUCACUCACCUCCACGGCUCAGAAAUCAUUCAUCAUAUAACAUUGCCUUGCUCAAAUCCAAGUCUUAGAUCACAAACUCAAUGCAAACAAGUUCCUUCAAAGUUCGGACAGCACUUCCCCUGAAUUUGCUAACUUUUCCAGCCAUCAUGGCUUCAUUAUUUCCUCAUUCCAACCCAAAGGUACACACACACAACAACAAGUUCAUCCAAUAGCCAUUCAGCAAGCUCCAAGUAGUACUAGUACAUGUCAAGCUAGGGAAAAGUCCGGAAAUGAAAGUUAAGCACAAAACCAGAAAAACAGUUUUGACGUCAUUUUGCGGUAAUUGUACCAAAGGUACUACGAUGGUCGGAUCAAGGUGCAAGAUACACCGUUUCGAAGCUAAAAUGCAGGGCUACAACAUUGUAGAAGGUCACUCAACCCAGUUUCGAGUGUAACCAGGUCAAAAAUGCAAGAUACCAUACCAGAAUCACAAAAACAGAUUCACAUAACGCAUUCUAGCGGAAACAUCAUAAAGCAGGCUAUCCAAGUCCAAAUCCAGAAAUUCCAAAACCAGCUGAAAGCUAAGAAAUAGGGUUACAUUUCAUCAGAAGGCCUCAACAACCAAUUCGGAAGCAAUUCCAGCCAAAACAAUCAAUUACAGGCGCAAUUCUUACAUUCGGGUAAAACCAGGUCAGCAAUAGUAAUUUCGACUUUCUCAUUCUACACUACUCCGAUUGACCUGAAAUUUUGUAGGAACCUCUAAAAUGUCAUUCCAUACAACUUUCAUGUUUUAAGCCAAGGCCAAUUCGGCCUCUAUCUAUGAGCUAAAAAUUCGGACAGAAUGAAGAACAUUGAAACCUAGGUUUCCACAUUUCCUUCCAAAACAGAAAUUGAUUGUAAUUAAUCACUUUUUCCACCUCCUAGAGUCAUUAAACAUCAUUUCCAAUCAUCAUACAUGACCCCAUAAUCAUAUCCAUUUGAAAACAGAAAAAUCUCGAAAAAUUAUAAAACUUCACCAAUUCAACCAAAAUCAAGAUAUAAUCCAUAAAAGUGCAUCUUAUACCACCACCAAUCAUGAAUUGAACAUCAAUUAAGGGAGGAGAGUGGUUCUUCACAACUCACCUUAGCCAUACAAGAGAUAGAGCAACAAAUCACCUUAGCUUUCCAAACAACUCCACAAAACACCUCAAGACCACUUAGCAAAGAGAUUUUAUGGAAUGAUUUGGAGUUUUAUUGGUUGGAUUUGAAGAUUGAGCAAGAAAUAGAAGGAAGAAAUUGAGAGCUUUUCUUUCUUUCUUGAGCAAGAACAUUCGGCCAAGAAGCUUGCAAAAUGAAGCUUAUUUUGGUCAAAUUUUGGUAUUUAUUUAGUAAAGGUAAAGGUAAAGUUAAAUGGUCAAAGUCCAAGAUUAGAUCACAAGGUGACACUUGUCACCUUUUGGUUCAAAACUUAUCUUUUUGUCUCUCUAAUACAAAUAUCUUAACACCUUGUAAAAUAAUAUCACUUAAUACAAAAAUCCAACAAGUUGUCAAAAAUAUAAUGCAUUUACCGCACUUGCGGGUCCCACGUUCAAAAUACGCUCUUAAUUUCUCAAAAACUAACCGAUACUAGAAAAAUCAUUUUCAAACUAUCUUUGCUCGUAAACUUUAUCUGGGGAACAUUUUCUAAUAAAGAAAAUGUAGAAAAGGCGGGCGAUUAAAUAAAAUAAACCCUUGAAAAUUAGAAAAUUUUCGGGUUCUCACACUUAUACUUUUCGGGGCGUCACAAUCUCCCCUCCUUAAAAGAAUGCCGUCCUCGACAUUCCAUCUUGUACCAAUCAAGUCAAGACAUCCCGCAAGAAUCACUAAUAUUUCAAACCAAACCCACAGUCCGGCAUCCUAAACUUCAAGCCUAGGAUACACUACAGAGAUCUGAAGCCUAAGCUCUGAUACCAACUGUGACAGCCCCACCUCCCCCUAAGGCGAACCAGAGGGUUCGGCGGGUCGCCUGCCCAGCUCUCGCCGGGACUCAGUCUUUCACUACAGUGCUCAAAUGAAUUACAAGAAUAAACCUCAAAUAUACAUCACAUGGUCCACAAAUAUACAUCCAAGCCUCCAAUAAUUACAUGUCAUAAGCGAAGCGGAAACGAUUCUCAACUAUACAUAAAAUGAUUCCAAAUCCAAAUUAUACAAGAUAUAUGCCAUCCAGUCACGUGAACAAGUACUACAAGUCCUUCCUUCGCUUUGAGCCCUGUGGAGGGGAAUAAAUAUUUUUGGGGUGAGCUAGAAGCUCAGCGAGUAACCAGGAAAAUCAUUAAACAAAUAUAUUUCACAAUGUUGCAUUUCGAUCAUUUCGAUGAUGUCAUGAUUCAGAGAUCAAAUGUUCGUUUAGUGCUCUCGUGAGCCAGGGAAAUCAUAGCACUUGAACACCCAACGCUCAAAUAGAUCAUUUAACAUUAACAUUCAGAGGGAGCCCCUUCUUGAGCUCCAGAUAAACAUGAACAUGAACCAUAAACAGAGUGGAGACGUUGGUGUCCAGCACAAGACUUUCCCAGAACUCAUUGAAGCCAAAUCAUGUCAUGAACUCACAUGCAAGCACGCAUGAUAUGCAAUCGAAUAAAUAAUGCAAGAAAUAUUUCACAAGUACUUCGGAAAUAGUUUAGGGUCACUCACCUCCACGGCUCAGAAAUCAUCCAUCAUAUAACAUUUCCUUGCUCAAAUCCAAGUCUUAGAUCACAAACUCAAUGCAAACAAGUUCCUUCAAAGUUCGGACAGCACUUCCCCUGAAUUUGCUAACUUUUCCAGCCAUCAUGGCUUCAUUAUUUCCUCAUUCCAACCCAAAGGUACACACACACAACAACAAGUUCAUCCAAUAGCCAUUCAGCAAGCUCCAAGUAGUACUAGUACAAGUCAAGCUAGGGAAAAGUCCAGAAAUGAAAGUUAAGCUCAAAACCAGAAAAACAGUUUUGACGUCAUUUUGCGGUAAUUGUACCAAAGGUACUACGAUGGUCGGAUCAAGGUGCAAGAUACACCGUUUCGAAGCUAAAAGACAGGGCUACAACAUUGUAGAAGGUCACUCAACCCAGUUUCGAGUGUAACCAGGUCAAAAAUGCAAGAUACCAUACCAGAAUCACAAAAACAGAUUCACAUAACGCAUUCUAGCGGAAACAUCAUAAAGCAGGCUAUCCAAGUCCAAAUCCAGAAAUUCCAAAACCAGCUGAAAGCUAAGAAACAGGGUUACAUUUCAUCAGAAGGCCUCAACAACCAAUUCGGAAGCAAUUCCAGCCAAAACAAUCAAUUACAGGCGCAAUUCUUACAUUCGGGUAAAACCAGGACAGCAAUAGUAAUUUCGACUUUCUCAUUCUACACUACUCCGAUUGACCUGAAAUUUUGUAGGAACCUCUAAAAUGUCAUUCCAUACAACUUUCAUGUUUUAAGCCAAGGCCAAUUCGGCCUCUAUCUAUGAGCUAAAAAUUCGGACAGAAUGAAGAACAUUGAAACCUAGUUUUCCACUUUUCCUUCCAAAACAGAAAUUGAUUGUAAUUAAUCACUUUUUCCACCUCCUAGAGUCAUUAAACAUCAUUUCCAAUCAUCAUACAUGACCCCAUAAUCAUAUCCAUAUGAAAACAGAAAAAUCCCCAAAAAUUAUAAAACUUCACCAAUUCAACCAAAAUCAAGAUAUAAUCCAUAAAAGUGCAUCUUAUACCACCACCAAUCAUGAAUUGAACAUCAAUUAAGGGAGGAGAGUGGUUCUUCACAACUCACCUUAGCCAUACAAGAGAUAGAGCAACAAAUCACCUUAGCUUUCCAAACAACUCCACAAAACACCUCAAGACCACUUAGCAAAGAGAUUUUAUGGAAUGAUUUGGAGUUUUAUUGGUUGGAUUUGAAGAUUGAGCAAGAAAUAGAAGGAAGAAAUUGAGAGCUUUUCUUUCUUUCUUGAGCAAGAACAUUCGGCCAAGAAGCUUGCAAAAUGAAGCUUAUUUUGGUCAAAUUUUGGUAUUUAUUUAGUAAAGGUAAAGGUAAAGUUAAAUGGUCAAAGUCCAAGAUUAAAUCACAAGGUGACACUUGUCACCUUUUGGUUCAAAACUUAUCUUUUUGUCUCUCCAAUACAAAUAUCUUAACACCUUGUAAAAUAAUAUCACUUAAUACAAAAAUCCAACAAGUUGUCAAAAAUAUAAUGCAUUUACCGCACUUGCGGGUCCCACGUUCAAAAUACGCUCUUAAUUUCUCAAAAACUAACCGAUACUAGAAAAAUCAUUUUCAAACUAUCUUUGCUCGUAAACUUUAUCUGGGGAACAUUCUCUAAUAAAGAAAAUGUAGAAAAGGCGGGCGAUUAAAUAAAAUAAACCCUUGAAAAUUAGAAAAUUUUCGGGUUCUCACACUUAUACUUUUCGGGGCGUCACAAUCUCCCCUCCUUAAAAGAAUGCCGUCCUCGACAUUCCAUCUUGUACCAAUCAAGUCAAGACAUCCCGCAAGAAUCACUAAUAUUUCAAACCAAACCCACAGUCCGGCAUCCUAAACUUCAAGCCUAGGAUACACUACAGAGAUCUGAAGCCUAAGCUCUGAUACCAAAUGUGACAGCCCCACCUCCCCCUAAGGCGAACCAGAUGGUUCGGCGGGUCGCCUGCCCAACUCUCGCCGGGACUCAGUCGUUCACUACAGUCCUCAAAUGAAUUACAAGAAUAAAUCUCAAAUAUACAUCACAUGGUCCACAAAUAUACAUCCAAGCCUCCAAUAAUUACAUGUCAUAAGCGAAUCGGAAACGAUUCUGAACUAUACAUAAAAUGAUUCCAAAUCCAAAUUAUACAAGAUACAUGCCAUCCAGUCACGUGAACAAGUACUACAAGUCCUUCCUUCGCUUUGAGCCCUGUGGAGGGGAAUAAAUAUUUUUGGGGUGAGCUAGAAGCUCAGCGAGUAACCAGGAAAAUCAUUAAACAAAUAUAUUUCACAAUGUUGCAUUUUGAUCAUUUCGAUGAUGUCAUGAUUCAGAGAUCAAAUGUUCGUUUAGUGCUCUCGUGAGCCAGGGAAAUCAUAGCACUUGAACACCCAACGCUCAAAUAGAUCAUUUAACAUUAACAUUAACAUUCAGAGGGAGCCCCUUCUUGAGCUCUAGAUAAACAUGAACAUGAACCACAAACAGAGUGGAGACGUUGGUGUCCAGCACAAAACUUUCCCAGAACUCAUUGAAGCCAAAUCAUGUCAUGAACUCACAUGCAAGCACGCAUGAUAUGCAAUCGAAUAAAUAAUGCAAGAAAUAUUUCACAAGUACUUCGGAAAUAGUUUAGGGUCACUCACCUCCACGGCUCAGAAAUCAUCCAUCAUAUAACAUUGCCUUGCUCAAAUCCAAGUCUUAGAUCACAAACUCAAUGCAAACAAGUUCCUUCAAAGUUCGGAAAGCACUUCCCCUGAAUUUGCUAACUUUUCCAGCCAUCAUGGCUUCAUUAUUUCCUCAUUCCAACCCAAAGGUACACACACACAACAACAAGUUCAUCCAAUAGCCAUUCAGCAAGCUCCAAGUAGUACUAGUACAAGUCAAGCUAGGGAAAAGUCCGGAAAUGAAAGUUAAGCUCAAAACCAGAAAAACAGUUUUGACGUCAUUUUGCGGUAAUUGUACCAAAGGUACUACGAUGGUCGGAUCAAGGUGCAAGAUACACCGUUUCGAAGCUAAAAUGCAGGGCUACAACAUUGUAGAAGGUCACUCAACCCAGUUUCGAGUGUAACCAGGUCAAAAAUGCAAGAUACCAUACCAGAAUCACAAAAACAGAUUCACAUAACGCAUUCUAGCGGAAACAUCAUAAAGCAGGCUAUCCAAGUCCAAAUCCAGAAAUUCCAAAACCAACUGAAAGCUAAGAAACAGGGUUACAUUUCAUCAGAAGGCCUCAACAACCAAUUCGGAAGCAAUUCCAGCCAAAACAAUCAAUUACAGGCGCAAUUCUUACAUUCGGGUAAAACCAGGUCAGCAAUAGUAAUUUCGACUUUCUCAUUCUACACUACUCCGAUUGACCUGAAAUUUUGUAGGAACCUCUAAAAUGUCAUUCCAUACAACUUUCAUGUUUUAAGCCAAGGCCAAUUCGGCCUCUAUCUAUGAGCUAAAAAUUCGGACAGAAUGAAGAACAUUGAAACCUAGUUUUCCACUUUUCCUUCCAAAACAGAAAUUGAUUGUAAUUAAUCACUUUUUCCACCUCCUAGAGUCAUUAAACAUCAUUUCCAAUCAUCAUACAUGACCCCAUAAUCAUAUCCAUAUGAAAACAGAAAAAUCCCCAAAAAUUAUAAAACUUCACCAAUUCAACCAAAAUCAAGAUAUAAUCCAUAAAAGUGCAUCUUAUACCACCACCAAUCAUGAAUUGAACAUCAAUUAAGGGAGGAGAGUGGUUCUUCACAACUCACCUUAGCCAUACAAGAGAUAGAGCAACAAAUCACCUUAGCUUUCCAAACAACUCCACAAAACACCUCAAGACCACUUAGCAAAGAGAUUUUAUGGAAGGAUUUGGAGUUUUAUUGGUUGGAUUUGAAGAUUGAGCAAGAAAUAGAAGGAAGAAAUUGAGAGCUUUUCUUUCUUUCUUGAGCAAGAACAUUCGGCCAAGAAGCUUGCAAAAUGAAGCUUAUUUUGGUCAAAUUUUGGUAUUUAUUUAGUAAAGGUAAAGGUAAAGUUAAAUAGCGUCAAAGUCCAAGAUUAAAAUCACAAGGCAUGACACUUGUACUUUUGGUUUCAAAACUUAUCUUCCAUUUUGUCUCUCCAAUACAAAGUAUCUUAACACCUUGUAAAAUAAUAUCACUUAAUACAAAAAUCCAUAACAAGUUAGUCAAAAAUAUAAUGCAAUUUCCGCACUUGCCGGGUCCACGUUCAAAAUACUGCCAUUUAAUUUUCUCAAAAACUUACGUACUAGAAAAAUCUAUUUUCAAACUAUCUUUGCUUCGUUAAACUUUAUCUGGGGGACCAUUUUCUAAUAAAGGAAAAUGCUAGAAAAGGCGGUGCAUUAAAUAAAAAAAACCUUGAAAAAUUUAGAAAAUUUUCGGUUCUCACACUUAUUACUUUUCGGGCGUCACAAUCUCCCCUCCUCUAAAACAAGAAUUCCGUCCUCGACAUUCCAUCUUGUACCAAUCAAGUCAAGACAUCCCGCAAGAAUCACUAAUAUUUCAAACCAAACCCACAGUCCGGCAUCCUAAACUUCAAGCCUAGGAUACACUACAGAGAUCUGAAGCCUAAGCUCUGAUACCAACUGUGACAGCCCCACCUCCCCCUAAGGCGAACCAGAGGGUUCGGCGGGUCGCCUGCCCAGCUCUCGCCUGGACUCAGUCGUUCACUACAGUCCUCAAAUGAAUUACAAGAAUAAACCUCAAAUAUACAUCACAUGGUCCACAAAUAUACAUCCAAGCCUCCAAUAAUUACAUGUCAUAAGCGAAGCGGAAACGAUUCUCAACUAUACAUAAAAUGAUUCCAAAUCCAAAUUAUACAAGAUACAUGCCAUCCAGUCACGUGAACAAGUACUACAAGUCCUUCCUUCGCUUUGAGCCCUGUGGAGGGGAAUAAAUAUUUUUGGGGUGAGCUAGAAGCUCAGCGAGUAACCAGGAAAAUCAUUAAACAAAUAUAUUUCACAAUGUUGCAUUUCGAUCAUUUCGAUGAUGUCAUGAUUCAGAGAUCAAAUGUUCGUUUAGUGCUCUCGUGAGCCAGGGAAAUCAUAGCACUUGAACACCCAACGCUCAAAUAGAUCAUUUAACAUUAACAUUAACAUUCAGAGGGAGCCCCUUCUUGAGCUCCAGAUAAACAUGAACAUGAACCAUAAACAGAGUGGAGACGUUGGUGUCCAGCACAAGACUUUCCCAGAACUCAUUGAAGCCAAAUCAUGUCAUGAACUCACAUGCAAGCACGCAUGAUAUGCAAUCGAAUAAAUAAUGCAAGAAAUAUUUCACAAGUACUUCGGAAAUAGUUUAGGGUCACUCACCUCCACGGCUCAGAAAUCAUCCAUCAUAUAACAUUGCCUUGCUCAAAUCCAAGUCUUAGAUCACAAACUCAAUGCAAACAAGUUCCUUCAAAGUUCGGACAGCACUUCCCCUGAAUUUGCUAACUUUUCCAGCCAUCAUGGCUUCAUUAUUUCCUCAUUCCAACCCAAAGGUACACACACACAACAACAAGUUCAUCCAAUAGCCAUUCAGCAAGCUCCAAGUAGUACUAGUACAAGUCAAGCUAGGGAAAAGUCCGGAAAUGAAAGUUAAGCUCAAAACCAGAAAAACAGUUUUGACGUCAUUUUGCGGUAAUUGUACCAAAGGUACUACGAUGGUCGGAUCAAGGUGCAAGAUACACCGUUUCGAAGCUAAAAUGCAGGGCUACAACAUUGUAGAAGGUCACUCAACCCAGUUUCGAGUGUAACCAGGUCAAAAAUGCAAGAUACCAUACCAGAAUCACAAAAACAGAUUCACAUAACGCAUUCUAGCGGAAACAUCAUAAAGCAGGCUAUCCAAGUCCAAAUCCAGAAAUUCCAAAACCAGCUGAAAGCUAAGAAAUAGGGUUACAUUUCAUCAGAAGGCCUCAACAACCAAUUCGGAAGCAAUUCCAGCCAAAACAAUCAAUUACAGGCGCAAUUCUUACAUUCGGGUAAAACCAGGUCAGCAAUAGUAAUUUCGACUUUCUCAUUCUACACUACUCCGAUUGACCUGAAAUUUUGUAGGAACCUCUAAAAUGUCAUUCCAUACAACUUUCAUGUUUUAAGCCAAGGCCAAUUCGGCCUCUAUCUAUGAGCUAAAAAUUCGGACAGAAUGAAGAACAUUGAAACCUAGGUUUCCACAUUUCCUUCCAAAACAGAAAUUGAUUGUAAUUAAUCACUUUUUCCACCUCCUAGAGUCAUUAAACAUCAUUUCCAAUCAUCAUACAUGACCCCAUAAUCAUAUCCAUUUGAAAACAGAAAAAUUUCGAAAAAUUAUAAAACUUCACCAAUUCAACCAAAAUCAAGAUAUAAUCCAUAAAAGUGCAUCUUAUACCACCACCAAUCAUGAAUUGAACAUCAAUUAAGGGAGGAGAGUGGUUCUUCACAACUCACCUUAGCCAUACAAGAGAUAGAGCAACAAAUCACCUUAGCUUUCCAAACAACUCCACAAAUCACCUCAAGACCACUUAGCAAAGAGAUUUUAUGGAAUGAUUUGGAGUUUUAUUGGUUGGUUUUGAAGAUUGAGCAAGACAUAGAAGGAAGAAAUUGAGAGCUUUUCUUUCUUUCUUGAGCAAGAACAUUCGGCCAAGAAGCUUGCAAAAUGAAGCUUAUUUUGGUCAAAUUUUGGUAUUUAUUUAGUAAAGGUAAAGGUAAAGUAAUAGUCGUACAAAGUCAAGAUUAGAUUCACAAGGUGCACUUGUCACUUUUGGUUACAAAACUUAUUCUUUUUGUCUUCCUCCAAUCAAUAUUCUUAACACCUUCGUAAAAUAAUAUCACUUAAUACAAAAAUUCCAACAAAUUUUGGUCAAAAAUAUAAUGCAUUUACCGCACUUGCGGGUCCCACGUUCAAAAUACGCUCUUAAUUUCUCAAAAACUAACCGAUACUAGAAAAAUCAUUUUCAAACUAUCUUUGCUCGUAAACUUUAUCUGGGGAACAUUUUCUAAUAAAGAAAAUGUAGAAAAGGCGGGCGAUUAAAUAAAAUAAACCCUUGAAAAUUAAAAAAUUUUCGGGUUCUCACACUUAUACUUUUCGGGGCGUCACAAUCUCCCCUCCUUAAAAGAAUGUCGUCAUCGACAUUCCAUCUUGUACCAAUCAAGUCAAGACAUCCCGCAAGAAUCACUAAUAUUUCAAACCAAACCCACAGUCCGGCAUCCUAAACUUCAAGCCUAGGAUACACUACAGAGAUCUGAAGCCUAAGCUCUGAUACCAACUGUGACAGCCCCACCUCCCCCUAAGGCGAACCAGAGGGUUCGGCGGGUCGCCUGCCCAGCUCUCGCCUGGAUUCAGUCGUUCACUACAGUUCUCAAAUGAAUUACAAGAAUAAACCUCAAAUAUACAUCACAUGGUCCACAAAUAUACAUCCAAGCCUCCAAUAAUUACAUGUCAUAAGCGAAGCGGAAACGAUUCUCAACUAUACAUAAAAUGAUUCCAAAUCCAAAUUAUACAAGAUACAUGCCAUCCAGUCACGUGAACAAGUACUACAAGUCCUUCCUUCGCUUUGAGCCCUGGGCGGAAUAAAUAUUUUUUUUGGGGUGAGCUAGAAGUCAGCGAGUAACCAGGGAAACAUUCAUUAAACACAAUUAUAAUUUCACAAAUGUUGCAUUUCGAUCAUUUUCGAUGAUUCAUGGAUUUCAGAGAUCAAAUGUUCUGUUUAGUUUGCUCUCCGUGAGCCAGGAAUCAUAGCACUUGAACAACCCAACGCUCAAAUAGAUCAUUUUAACAUUAACAUUAACAUUCAGAGGGAGCCCCUUCUUGAGCUCCAGAUAAACAUGAACAUGAACCAUAAACAGAGUGGAGACGUUGGUGUCCAGCACAAGACUUUCCCAGAACUCAUUGAAGCCAAAUCAUGUCAUGAACUCACAUGCAAGCACGCAUGAUAUGCAAUCGAAUAAAUAAUGCAAGAAAUAUUUCACAAGUACUUCGGAAAUAGUUUAGGGUCACUCACCUCCACGGCUCAGAAAUCAUCCAUCAUAUAACAUUGCCUUGCUCAAAUCCAAGUUUUAGAUCACAAACUCAAUGCAAACAAGUUCCUUCAAAGUUCGGACAGCACUUCCCCUGAAUUUGCUAACUUUUCCAGCCAUCAUGGCUUCAUUAUUUCCUCAUUCCAACCCAAAGGUACACACACACAACAACAAGUUCAUCCAAUAGCCAUUCAGCAAGCUCCAAGUAGUACUAGUACAAGUCAAGCUAGGGAAAAGUCCAGAAAUGAAAGUUAAGCUCAAAACCAGAAAAACAGUUUUAACGUCAUUUUGCGGUAAUUGUACCAAAGGUACUACGAUGGUCAGAUCAAGGUGCAAGAUACACCGUUUCGAAGCUAAAAUACAGGGCUACAACAUUGUAGAAGGUCACUCAACCCAGUUUCGAGUGUAACCAGGUCAAAAAUGCAAGAUACCAUACCAGAAUCACAAAAACAGAUUCACAUAACGCAUUCUAGCGGAAACAUCAUAAAGCAGGCUAUCCAAGUCCAAAUCCAGAAAUUCCAAAACCAACUGAAAGCUAAGAAACAGGGUUACAUUUCAUCAGAAGGCCUCAACAACCAAUUCGGAAGCAAUUCCAGCCAAAACAAUCAAUUACAGGCGCAAUUCUUACAUUCGGGUAAAACCAGGUCAGCAAUAGUAAUUUCGACUUUCUCAUUCUACACUACUCCGAUUGACCUGAAAUUUUGUAGGAACCUCUAAAAUGUCAUUCCAUACAACUUUCAUGUUUUAAGCCAAGGCCAAUUCGGCCUCUAUCUAUGAGCUAAAAAUUCGGACAGAAUGAAGAACAUUGAAACCUAGUUUUCCACUUUUCCUUCCAAAACAGAAAUUGAUUGUAUUUAAUCACUUUUUCCACCUCCUAGAGGCAUUAAAUACCAUUUCCAAUCAUCAUACAUGAACCCAUACUUCAUAUUCCAUAUGAAAAACAGAAAUCCCCACAAAUUAUAAAAACUUCACCAAUUCAACCAAAAUCAGAUAUAAUCAUAAAAGUGCAUCUUAUACCACCACCAAUCUGAUGGAACAUCAAUAAAGGGAGGAGAGUGGUUCUUCACAACACUCACCUUAGCCAUACAAGAGAUAGAGGCAAACAAAUCACCUUAGCUUCCAAACAACUCCACAAACACCUCAAGACCACUUAGCAAAGAGAUUUUAUGGAUACGAUUUGGAUUUUAUUGGUUGAGGAUUUGAAGAUUGGAGCAAGAAAUAGAAGAAGAAUGAGAGGCUUUUCUUUCUUUCUUUGAGCAAGAAACAUAUCGUCAAGAAUGCUUGCAAAAUGAUAGCUUUAUUUUGCGUCAAAUUUUGGUAUUUAUUUUAGUUAAAGGUUAAAGGUAAAGUUAAAUUCGUCAAAGUCCAAAUUAGCAUCACAAGGUGGACACUUUGUCACCUUUUGGUUCAAAACUUAUCUUUUUGUCUCUCCAAUACAAAUUCUUAACACCUUUGUAAUUUAAUAUCAUUUAAUACAAAAAUUCCAACAAGUUUGUCAAAAAUAUAAUGCAUUUACGGCACUUGCGGCUCCCACGUUCAAAAUACGCUCUUAAUUUUUCAAAAAACUAACGCAAUACUAGAAAAAUCAUUUUCAAACUAUCUUUGCUCGUAAACUUUAUCUGGGGAACAUUUUCUAAUAAAGAAAAUGUAGAAAAGGCGGGCGAUUAAAUAAAAUAAACCCUUGAAAAUUAGAAAAUUUUCAGGUUCUCACACUUAUACUUUUCGGGGCGUCACAAUCUCCCCUCCUUAAAAGAAUGCCGUCCUCGACAUUCCAUCUUGUACCAAUCAAGUCAAGACAUCCCGCAAGAAUCACUAAUAUUUCAAACCAAACCCACAGUCCGGCAUCCUAAACUUCAUGCCUAGGAUACACUACAGAGAUCUGAAGCCUAAGCUCUGAUACCAACUGUGACAGCCCAACCUCCCCCUAAGGCGAACCAGAGGGUUCGGCGGGUCGCCUGCCCAGCUCUCGCCGGGACUCAGUCUUUCACUACAGUCCUCAAAUGAAUUACAAGAAUAAACCUCAAAUAUACAUCACAUGGUCCACAAAAAUACAUCCAAGCCUCCAAUAAUUACAUGUCAUAAGCGAAGCGGAAACGAUUCUCAACUAUACAUAAAAUGAUUCCAAAUCCAAAUUAUACAAGAUAUAUGCCAUCCAGUCACGUGAACAAGUACUACAAGUCCUUCCUUCGCUUUGAGCCCUGUGGAGGGGAAUAAAUAUUUUUGGGGUGAGCUAGAAGCUCAGCGAGUAACCAGGCGAAAUCAUAUAAACAAAUAUAUUUCACAAAUGUUGCAUUUCGUUCGGAUUUCGUGAUGUCAUGAAUUCAGAGAAUCAAAUGUUCGUUUAGUGCUCUCCGUGACCCAGGCAAAUCAUAGCAGUUGAACACCAACGCUCAAAUAGAUCAUUUAACAUUACAUUAACAUUAACAUUCAAGAGGGAGCCCCUUCUUGAGCUCCAGAUAACCAUGAACUAUGAACCAUAAACAGAGUGGAAGACGUGGUGUCCAGGCACAAGACUUUCCAGAACUCAAUGAACCAAAUCUGUCCAUGAACUCACAUGCAAGCACGCAUGAUAUGCAAUCGAAUAAAUUAAUUGCAAGAAAUAUUCACAAGUACUUCGGAAUUAGUUUAGGGUCACUCACCUCUCACGGUCAGAAAUCAUCAUUCAUAUUAACAUUUCCUUGCUCAAAUCCAAGGUCUUAGAUCACAAACUCAAUCAAACAUAAGUUCCUUCAAAGUUCGGACAGCACUUCCCCUGAAUUUUGCUAACUUUUCCAGCCAUCAUGGCUUCAUUAUUUCCUCAUUCCAACCCAAAGGUACACACACACAACAACAAGUUCAUCCAAAAGCCAUUCAGCAAGCUCCAAGAAAUACUAGUACAAGUCAAGCUAGGGAAAAGUCCGGAAAUGAAAGUUAAGCUCAAAACCAGAAAAACAGUUUUGACGUCAUUUUGCGGUAAUUGUACCAAUGGUACUACGAUGGUCGGAUCAAGGUGCAAGAUACACCGUUUCGAAGCUAAAAGACAGGGCUACAACAUUGUAGAAGGUCACUCAACCCAGUUUCGAGUGUAACCAGGUCAAAAAUGCAAGAUACCAUACCAGAAUCACAAAAACAGAUUCACAUAACGCAUUCUAGCGGAAACAUCAUAAAGCAGGCUAUCCAAGUCCAAAUCCAGAAAUUCCAGAACCAGCUGAAAGCUAAGAAACAGGGUUACAUUUCAUCAGAAGGCCUCAACAACCAAAUUCUGGAAGCAAUCCAGCCAAUAACAUCAUUACAGGCACAAAUUCUUAACAUUCGAGUGUAAACCAGGACAACAAUAGUUAAUUUCUGACUUUCUCAUUCUACACUACUCCGAUUGACCUGAAAUUUUGUAGGACUCUAAACAUGUCAUUCCAUAACAACUUAAUGCUUUUUAGCAAGGCCAAUUCGGCCUCUAUCUAUGGCUAAAAAUUCGGACAGAAUGAAGAACAUUGAUACCUAGUUUUCCACUUUUCCUUCCAAAACAGAAAUUGAUUGUAAUUAAUCACUUUUUCCACCUCCUAGAGUCAUUAAACAUCAUUUCCAAUCAUCAUACAUGACCCCAUAAUCAUAUCCAUGUGAAAACAGAAAAAUCCCCAAAAAUUAUAAAACUUCACCAAUUCAACCAAAAUCAAGAUAUAAUCCAUAAAAGUGCAUCUUAUACCACCACCAAUCAUGAAUUGAACAUCAAUUAAGGGAGGAGAGUGGUUCUUCACAACUCACCUUAGCCAUACAAGAGAUAGAGCAACAAAUCAUCUUAGCUUUCCAAACAACUCCACAAAACACCUCAAGACCACUUAGCAAAGAGAUUUUAUGGAAUGAUUUGGAGUUUUAUUGGUUGGAUUUGAAGAUUGAGCAAGAAAUAGAAGGAAGAAAUUGAGAGCUUAUCUUUCUUUCUUGAGCAAGAACAUUCGGCCAAGAAGCUUGCAAAAUGAAGCUUAUUUUGGUCAAAUUUUGGUAUUUAUUUAGUAAAGGUAAAGGUAAAGUUAAAUGGUCAAAGUCCAAGAUUAAAUCACAAGGUGACACUUGUCACCUUUUGGUUCAAAACUUAUCUUUUUGUCUCUCCAAUACAAAUAUCUUAACACCUUGUAAAAUAAUAUCACUUAAUACAAAAAUCCAACAAGUUGUCAAAAAUAUAAUGCAUUUACCGCACUUGCGGGUCCCACGUUCAAAAUACGCUCUUAAUUUCUCAAAAACUAACCGAUACUAGAAAAAUCAUUUUCAAACUAUCUUUGCUCGUAAACUUUAUCUGGGGAACAUUUUCUAAUAAAGAAAAUGUAGAAAAGGCGGGCGAUUAAAUAAAAUAAACCCUUGAAAAUUAGAAAAUUUUCGGGUUCUCACACUUAUACUUUUCGGGGCGUCACAAUCUCCCCUCCUUAAAAGAAUGCCGUCCUCGACAUUCCAUCUUGUACCAAUCAAGUCAAGACAUCCCGCAAGAAUCACUAAUAUUUCAAACCAAACCCACAGUCCGGCAUCCUAAACUUCAAGCCUAGGAUACACUACAGAGAUCUGAAGCCUAAGCUCUGAUACCAACUGUGACAGCCCCACCUCCCCCUAAGGCGAACCAGAGGCUUCGGCGGGUCGCCUGCCCAGCUCUCGCCGGGACUCAGUCGUUCACUACAGUCCUCAAAUGAAUUACAAGAAUAAACCUCAAAUAUACAUCACAUGGUCCACAAAUAUACAUCCAAGCCUCCAAUAAUUACAUGUCAUAAGCGAAGCGGAAACGAUUUUCAACUAUACAUAAAAUGAUUCCAAAUCCAAAUUAUACAAGAUAUAUGCCAUCCAGUCACGUGAACAAGUACUACAAGUCCUUCCUUCGCUUUGAGCCCUGUGGAGGGGAAUAAAUAUUUUUGGGGUGAGCUAGAAGCUCAGCGAGUAACCAGGAAAAUCAUUAAACAAAUAUAUUUCACAAUGUUGCAUUUCGAUCAUUUCGAUGAUGUCAUGAUUCAGAGAUCAAAUGUUCGUUUAGUGCUCUCGUGAGCCAGGGAAAUCAUAGCACUUGAACACCCAACGCUCAAAUAGAUCAUUUAACAUUAACAUUCAGAGGGAGCCCCUUCUUGAGCUCCAGAUAAACAUGAACAUGAACCAUAAACAGAGUGGAGACGUUGGUGUCCAGCACAAGACUUUCCCAGAACUCAUUGAAGCCAAAUCAUGUCAUGAACUCACAUGCAAGCACGCAUGAUAUGCAAUCGAAUAAAUAAUGCAAGAAAUAUUUCACAAGUACUUCGGAAAUAGUUUAGGGUCACUCACCUCCACGGCUCAGAAAUCAUCCAUCAUAUAACAUUGCCUUGCUCAAAUCCAAGUCUUAGAUCACAAACUCAAUGCAAACAAGUUCCUUCAAAGUUCGGACAGCACUUCCCCUGAAUUUGCUAACUUUUCCAGCCAUCAUGGCUUCAUUAUUUCCUCAUUCCAACCCAAAGGUACACACACACAACAACAAGUUCAUCCAAUAGCCAUUCAGCAAGCUCCAAGUAGUACUAGUACAAGUCAAGCUAGGGAAAAGUCCAGAAAUGAAAGUUAAGCUCAAAACCAGAAAAACAGUUUUGACGUCAUUUAGCGGUAAUUGUACCAAAGGUACUACGAUGGUCGGAUCAAGGUGCAAGAUACACCGUUUCGAAGCUAAAAUACAGGGCUACAACAUUGUAGAAUGUCACUCAACCCAGUUUCGAGUGUAACCAGGUCAAAAAUGCAAGAUACCAUACCAGAAUCACAAAAACAGAUUCACAUAACGCAUUCUAGCGGAAACAUCAUAAAGCAGGCUAUCCAAGUCCAAAUCCAGAAAUUCCAAACCAACUGAAAGCUAAGAAACAGGGUUACAUUUCAUAAGAAGGCCUCAACAACCAAUUCGGAAGCAAUUCCAGCCAAAACAAUCAAUUACAGGCGCAAUUCUUACAUUCGGGUAAAACCAGGUCAGCAAUAGUAAUUUCGACUUUCUCAUUCUACACUACUCCGAUUGACCUGAAAUUUUGUAGGAACCUCUAAAAUGUCAUUCCAUACAACUUUCAUGUUUUAAGCCAAGGCCAAUUCGGCCUCUAUCUAUGAGCUAAAAAUUCGGACAGAAUGAAGAACAUUGAAACCUAGUUUUCCACUUUUCCUUCCAAAACAGAAAUUGAUUGUAAUUAAUCACUUUUUCCACCUCCUAGAGUCAUUAAACAUCAUUUCAAUCAUCAUACAUGACCCCAUAAUCAUAUCCAUAUGAAAACAGAAAAAUCCCCAAAAAUUAUAAAACUUCACCAAUUCAACCAAAAUCAAGAUAUAAUCCAUAAAAGUGCAUCUUAUACCACCACCAAUCAUGAAUUGAACAUCAAUUAAGGGAGGAGAGUGGUUCUUCACAACUCACCUUAGCCAUACAAGAGAUAGAGCAACAAAUCACUUAGCUUUCCAAACAACUCCACAAAACACCUCAAGACCACUUAGCAAAGAGUUUUAUGGAAUGAUUUGGAGUUUUAUUGGUUGGUUUUGAAGAUUGAGCAAGAAAUAGAAGGAAGAAAUUGAGAGCUUUUCUUUCUUUCUUGAGCAAGAACAUUCGGCCAAGAAGCUUGCAAAAUGAAGCUUAUUUUGGUCAAAUUUUGGUAUUUAUUUAGUAAAGGUAAAGGUAAAGUUAAAUGGUCAAAGUCCAAGAUUAAAUCACAAGGUGACACUUGUCACCUUUUGGUUCAAAACUUAUCUUUUUGUCUCUCCAAUACAAAUAUCUUAACACCUUGUAAAAUAAUAUCACUUAAUACAAAAAUCCAACAAGUUGUCAAAAAUAUAAUGCAUUUACCGCACAUGCGGGUCCCACGUUCAAAAUACGCUCUUAAUUUCUCAAAAACUAACCGAUACUAGAAAAAUCAUUUUCAAACUAUCUUUGCUCGUAAACUUUAUCUGGGGAACAUUUUCUAAUAAAGAAAAUGUAGAAAAGGCGGGCGAUUAAAUAAAAUAAACCCUUGAAAAUUAGAAAAUUUUCGGGUUCUCACACUUAUACUUUUCGGGGCGUCACAAUCUCCCCUCCUUAAAAGAAUGCCGUCCUCGACAUUCCAUCUUGUACCAAUCAAGUCAAGACAUCCCGCAAGAAUCACUAAUAUUUCAAACCAAACCCACAGUCCGGCAUCCUAAACUUCAAGCCUAGGAUACACUACAGAGAUCUGAAGCCUAAGCUCUGAUACCAACUGUGACAGCCCCACCUCCCCCUAAGGCGAACCAGAGGGUUCGGCGGGUCGCCUGCCCAGCUCUCGCCGGGACUCAGUCGUUCACUACAGUCCUCAAAUGAAUUACAAGAAUAAACCUCAAAUAUACAUCACAUGGUCCACAAAUAUACAUCCAAGCCUCCAAUAAUUACAUGUCAUAAGCGAAGCGGAAACGAUUCUCAACUAUACAUAAAAUGAUUCCAAAUCCAAAUUAUACAAGAUAUAUGCCAUCCAGUCACGUGAACAAGUACUACAAGUCCUUCCUUCGCUUUGAGCCCUGUGGAGGGGAAUAAAUAUUUUUGGGGUGAGCUAGAAGCUCAGCGAGUAACCAGGAAAAUCAUUAAACAAAUAUAUUUCACAAUGUUGCAUUUCGAUCAUUUCGAUGAUGUCAUGAUUCAGAGAUCAAAUGUUCGUUUAGUGCUCUCGUGAGCCAGGGAAAUCAUAGCAAUUAAGCACCCAACGCUCAAAUAGUUCAUUUAACAUUAACAUUAACAUUCAGAGGGAGCCCCUUCUUGAGCUCCAGAUAAACAUGAACAUGAACCAUAAACAGAGUGGAGACGUUGGUGUCCAGCACAAGACUUUCCCAGAACUCAUUGAAGCCAAAUCAUGUCAUGAACUCACAUGCAAGCACGCAUGAUAUGCAAUCGAAUAAAUAAUGCAAGAAAUAUUUCACAAGUACUUCGGAAAUAGUUUAGGGUCACUCACCUCCACGGCUCAGAAAUCAUCCAUCAUAUAACAUUGCCUUGCUCAAAUCCAAGUCUUAGAUCACAAACUCAAUGCAAACAAGUUCCUUCAAAGUUCGGACAGCACUUCCCCUGAAUUUGCUAACUUUUCCAGCCAUCAUGGCUUCAUUAUUUCCUCAUUCCAACCCAAAGGUACACACACACAACAACAAGUUCAUCCAAUAGCCAUUCAGCAAGCUCCAAGUAGUACUAGUACAAGUCAAGCUAGGGAAAAGUCCGGAAAUGAAAGUUAAGCUCAAAACCAGAAAAACAGUUUUGACGUCAUUUUGCGGUAAUUGUACCAAAGGUACUACGAUGGUCGGAUCAAGGUGCAAGAUACACCGUUUCGAAGCUAAAAUGCAGGGCUACAACAUUGUAGAAGGUCACUCAACCCAGUUUCGAGUGUAACCAGGUCAAAAAUGCAAGAUACCAUACCAGAAUCACAAAAACAGAUUCACAUAACGCAUUCUAGCGGAAACAUCAUAAAGCAGGCUAUCCAAGUCCAAAUCCAGAAAUUCCAAAACCAGCUGAAAGCUAAGAAACAGGGUUACAUUUCAUCAGAAGGCCUCAACAACCAAUUCGGAAGCAAUUCCAGCCAAAACAAUCAAUUACAGGCGCAAUUCUUACAUUCGGGUAAAACCAGGACAGCAAUAGUAAUUUCGACUUUCUCAUUCUACACUACUCCGAUUGACCUGAAAUUUUGUAGGAACCUCUAAAAUGUCAUUCCAUACAACUUUCAUGUUUUAAGCCAAGGCCAAUUCGGCCUCUAUCUAUGAGCUAAAAAUUCGGACAGAAUGAAGAACAUUGAAACCUAGUUUUCCACUUUUCCUUCCAAAACAGAAAUUGAUUGUAAUUAAUCACUUUUUCCACCUCCUAGAGUCAUUAAACAUCAUUUCCAAUCAUCAUACAUGACCCCAUAAUCAUAUCCAUAUGAAAACAGAAAAAUCCCCAAAAAUUAUAAAACUUCACCAAUUCAACCAAAAUCAAGAUAUAAUCCAUAAAAGUGCAUCUUAUACCACCACCAAUCAUGAAUUGAACAUCAAUUAAGGGAAGAGAGUGGUUCUUCACAACUCACCUUAGCCAUACAAGAGAUAGAGCAACAAAUCACCUUAGCUUUCCAAACAACUCCACAAAUCACCUCAAGACCACUUAGCAAAGAGAUUUUAUGGAAUGAUUUGGAGUUUUAUUGGUUGGUUUUGAAGAUUGAGCAAGACAUAGAAGGAAGAAAUUGAGAGCUUUUCUUUCUUUCUUGAGCAAGAACAUUCGGCCAAGAAGCUUGCAAAAUGAAGCUUAUUUUGGUCAAAUUUUGGUAUUUAUUUAGUAAAGGUAAAGGUAAAGUUAAAUGGUCAAAGUCCAAGAUUAAAUCACAAGGUGACACUUGUCACCUUUUGGUUCAAAACUUAUCUUUUUGUCUCUCCAAUACAAAUAUCUUAACACCUUGUAAAAUAAUAUCACUUAAUACAAAAAUCCAACAAGUUGUAAAAAAUAUAAUGCAUUUACCGCACUUGCGGGUCCCACGUUCAAAAUACGCUCUUAAUUUCUCAAAAACUAACCGAUACUAGAAAAAUCAUUUUCAAACUAUCUUUGCUCGUAAACUUUAUCUGGGGAACAUUUUCUAAUAAAGAAAAUGUAGAAAAGGCGGGCGAUUAAAUAAAAUAAACCCUUGAAAAUUAGAAAAUUUUCGGGUUCUCACACUUAUGCUUUUCGGGGCGUCACAAUCUCCCCUCCUUAAAAGAAUGUCGUCCUCGACAUUCCAUCUUGUACCAAUCAAGUCAAGACAUCCCGCAAGAAUCACAAAUAUUUCAAACCAAACCCACAGUCCGGCAUCCUAAACUUCAAGCCUAGGAUACACUACAGAGAUCUGAAGCCUAAGCUCUGAUACCAACUGUGACAGCCCCACCUCCCCCUAAGGCGAACCAGAGGGUUCGGCGGGUCGCCUGCCCAGCUCUCGCCUGGACUCAGUCGUUCACUACAGUCCUCAAAUGAAUUACAAGAAUAAACCUCAAAUAUACAUCACAUGGUCCACAAAUAUACAUCCAAGCCUCCAAUAAUUACAUGUCAUAAGCGAAGCGGAAACGAUUCUCAACUAUACAUAAAAUGAUUUCAAAUCCAAAUUAUACAAGAUAUAUGCCAUCCAGUCACGUGAACAAGUACUACAAGUCCUUCCUUCGCUUUGAGCCCUGUGGAGGGGAAUAAAUAUUUUUGGGGUGAGCUAGAAGCUCAGCGAGUAACCAGGAAAAUCAUUAAACAAAUAUAUUUCACAAUGUUGCAUUUCGAUCAUUUCGAUGAUGUCAUGAUUCAGAGAUCAAAUGUUCGUUUAGUGCUCUCGUGAGCCAGGCAAAUCAUAGCAAUUAAGCACCCAACGCUCAAAUAGUUCAUUUAACAUUAACAUUAACAUUCAGAGGGAGCCCCUUCUUGAGCUCCAGAUAAACAUGAACAUGAACCAUAAACAGAGUGGAGACGUUGGUGUCCAGCACAAGACUUUCCCAGAACUCAUUGAAGCCAAAUCAUGUCAUGAACUCACAUGCAAGCACGCAUGAUAUGCAAUCGAAUAAAUAAUGCAAGAAAUAUUUCACAAGUACUUCGGAAAUAGUUUAGGGUCACUCACCUCCACGGCUCAGAAAUCAUCCACCAAUCAUGAAUUGAACAUCAAUUAAGGGAGGAGAGUGGUUCUUCACAACUCACCUUAGCCAUACAAGAGAUAGAGCAACAAAUCACCUUAGCUUUCCAAACAACUCCACAAAACACCUCAAGACCACUUAGCAAAGAGAUUUUAUGGAAUGAUUUGGAGUUUUAUUGGUUGGAUUUGAAGAUUGAGCAAGAAAUAGAAGGAAGAAAUUGAGAGCUUUUCUUUCUUUCUUGAGCAAGAACAUUCGGCCAAGAAGCUUGCAAAAUGAAGCUUAUUUUGGUCAAAUUUUGGUAUUUAUUUAGUAAAGGUAAAGGUAAAGUUAAAUGGUCAAAGUCCAAGAUUAGAUCACAAGGUGACACUUGUCACCUUUUGGUUCAAAACUUAUCUUUUUGUCUCUCCAAUACAAAUAUCUUAACACCUUGUAAAAUAAUAUCACUUAAUACAAAAAUCCAACAAGUUGUCAAAAAUAUAAUACAUUUACCGCACUUGCGGGUUCCACGUUCAAAAUACGCUCUUAAUUUCUCAAAAACUAACCGAUACUAGAAAAAUCAUUUUCAAACUAUCUUUGCUCGUAAACUUUAUCUGGGGAACAUUUUCUAAUAAAGAAAAUGUAGAAAAGGCGGGCGAUUAAAUAAAAUAAACCCUUGAAAAUUGGAAAAUUUUUGGGUUCUCACACUUAUACUUUUCGGGGCGUCACAUAGAUACCCCAGUAGUCCAUGCCGUAAACGAUGAGUGUUCGCCCUUGGUCUACGCGGAUCAGGGGCCCAGCUAACGCGUGAAACACUCCGCCUGGGGAGUACGGUCGCAAGACCGAAACUCAAAGGAAUUGACGGGGGCCUGCACAAACGGUGGAGUACACUCACGAGAGUAAAGGUUUAUCUUUGUGGUUUUAGUGAUUUAUUUGGCUUUAGUAAUUUAUUUCAUGUAAUUUCAUAGAGGUAAUAAACUUGUAACUAAUUUCAUAACCACGGGAGUAGGUGUGGAUUAGUUAUAAGUAUAGUUAAUUCAUUACGAGAGUAGAUUUCAUAUUUAUAAGGAAAUUACGUCAUAACUGACCAAGAUAGUAGUACUUAAUGAUUCAAAAAUUGCGCUCGUAUGAGUAGUUAAAGAUAGCAUAGUCUAAGAAGCUUUCAUUUGCUAUUUGUGACGGCCCCACCUUCCCCUAAGGCGAACCAAAGGGUUCGGCGGACCGCCUGCCCAACUCUCGCCGGGAUUCAGUCAUACACUUCAAUCCUCAAUCAAAACCAGAAUAAAACCACAGGAAAGAAUAACACAACAAUCCAAAAAUUAAGGCAAAACGUAUAUACAUUACUAUCACAAACGGGAGUACAAACAUCAAACACACAAAGGUUCUCAAUUCUUCAUACAUCCAACCCAUGCCAAGUGCUAGGGCGAAAACCAUUACAAAAGAAAUCAAAGAAUUGGACUAAGCGAUUCUAUACUGAGCCCCAUCCUUGCUCGCCUUCCCCUGUUAAGGAAAACAAAACUAAAGGGAUGAGCUAGAAGCCCAGUGAGGUUCCGAACACAUAGGCAGCAGUCACUACAUAUAACCAAUAAUUCAAGAUACAUUUAGGAUAUAAAGCAAUAAAUACCAUUAAUAAAAGGAUACGUGCUCACAGGGAGCCAUUCAUUCAUUCAUUCAUUCAUUCUCCUUUCAUGCCCUUAUUCCUCCAAUCAUUUGAAAAUGUAUUUUUGUAAGUAAAACCCUCGUUCGUUCAUUCAUUUCAUUCACCCCCUUCCCGAACAUUGGCCAGGCUCCACCAGAAUUCAAGGUAAUACUCGAGUAUACCAAACAUUCACCCAGGGUCACCAUAUCGCCGACCAAGACCGUGUCUGGCUCGAGUCAAUCGAUAACGAAGGGGCAGGGCCCAGUUCAGCCAAAAGGCUUACAUUCAUGCACAAGUAACGUUCCAAUCGUUCAAUCAUUUAAAAUGUCACAAUCAUUUAGGUCGAGUGCGAUAAAGUACACACUCGCCUAGAAAACUCAUUUUGACAAUCAUUGAAAGCAUUUAACACGCUAUCAAUCAUUCAUACAAGCCAUAUAAUCAAGAAACAUAACAAACAAGGAACACUCACCUAUUUAGGCAAAACAACGUGCAAAAUAUCCUUCCGAAUAUUACCCUCAGUCACCGAGAAAACCUAAGAUUAAAUGAGAGAGAAUAUUACAGUUGAUCUAGCAAAACAAGUAAGUGAAAUCGAAGAAAAACCGGCAAAUGAUAAGUAAAACGUAUAAAGACGACUUUAUAAUGAAAAGAGGGUAUUUGGAUCGGAGGACGGAGAUAACUAGAGUGUCAUAAACCAAACGCAAAAACCAAACUCAAAAGGGUUAUAAAAUUUCCAACGGAAAACACUUGAACCAAAGACAAGUCGAAAUCCACCAUAUAGGCUAAGAAAUAUUGUUCUCGGGAUCGUUUAUGUAGUUCAAAAUCAACUCAUAAUCAAGUAGCUAGGAUAGACUAAAUGUCUUGAUCAAAAUCAUGUGAAAAGGAGGACAACACUACCUUACUUUCACACUUAAAAUCUCACUCAAAAGUGGUUCACUUGUGGCCGAGAAAACUCUAGGUCAUACCUCUUUAUUGUGGUAAGGAGUAAGUAACGUUUGGAGUUUUAAACUAAAAAGGUAUCAUGUUUUAAAAUGGAAAACGGUCAUGGUAUUUGCCAAACGAAAGUAUACAAGUUCAAAUAGAAACUUAGCCCUCAAAUACCUUUUGAAAGAACCGAUGACGUUUUUAAUGAAAUACGUCCAACUUGGCACAAAACACAUCUCCAAAACCACUUUAACUCACUCACAUUACAAGAAAAUAAACGGACAGCAUUUUCCCCUAAAAACUUCAUUUUCUUCCUACAAUCAAAUACCCAAACUUGCAAGAGUCAAAUACAAUCACACAUUCGGUUUAUAAACAAUAAAACACGUCCAAUUAGGCUACAACACCCUUCAAUCAAAGCCAAUUAGGAGCUCAAAGCCCACCAUUAGAAAACCCCCAAAUUCAAACCCUAGAACCGGAAUUUAACCCCACAAGGGGAAAUUUUUCGUAAACAAUCGCAAUUAACAUAUAAAGAUCCCAUUUAACACCAUUUCAAUCCAUUAAUCCAAGAUCAAUCCAUGACUAUCAUCUAAAAUCAGAAAAAUACCCAAUAAAUCAUAAAUUGGACCAACUUCACUUAAAACCAUGAAAUCAUCCACAAUAUGGCAUAUUUAACCUUUACAAACCACUAAUUAACCAAGAUUAGAACCAAAAGAGAAUUUCUUAACAACUCACCUUAUGAGUUCAAGAAAGGUAGAAACUUAAGGCUUUCCCUCAAAAAACAACUCCACUAUCACCUUUAACCCACCUUAGCUAGCACUUGUACGGAGUGGUUUGAAAAUCCAACGGUGAAAUCUCAAGAUUCAAGCAAAAAAAAAAUGAAACCAAGAAAUGAAGAGCUUUUCUUUCUUCUCUCAAGAUGCACGGCUGAACCAGUAAGGAAAUGAAGAUCUUUUGGGGCCAAAGCAGUAUAAAAAGAAAAGGAAACUGGCGGUCAAAGUUGGUGGCCGCCUGUGCCACAUCACAAUCCGGCCAGAAUCUGGCCGGAUUUCCGGCCGGAUUCAAGGCAGAGGCAAAACGUAUUUUUUUUCAAAACCCUUCAACAAUCUGGCCGGCAAUCCGUCCAAGAACUGGCCGGAUUUGGGGCCGGAUUUGGCCCUUCAGCUUUUUCACAAAAAUUUUCCUCUUUCCGAGUUCGAUUGCCGCGCUCAACCGCAUUCCAACAUAUACACAUAUAUACAUAUCUCACACACAAAUACACAAAAUAACAAAACCUUCCUUUGCUUAAAACAAUUGGUUAACAAAUUUUUCACUUAAAAAGGGAAGUGAGAAUAAACCAAAAGGCUGAGAAAAUAUGAAAGGUUUAGGGUUCUCACACUCUCCUCCCCUUAAGAAAUUUCGCCCUCAAAAUUUUUUCCUUCAUUUGCUUCAGACGAGUCCGGAACUGUUUGGGUGUCUAACGCAUAAGCUUUUGCCGGCCCACUUGUCCGGCUCCCUCUUUCAUUCGCUUGUUUUGCUUUAGCUCCCUCCAGCUGCGGAAUACUACCUCCGCGUGACUGUCUCCUCGAAUAGUUGCUAACUUGGUGAUCACCACUUCCGCAAGUCAAACACUUCCGCCCUUUCCGCCAACAAUCGUUCUCGGUGUGAUUGGCCUUUCCGCAGUAGCCACAAGUCAAGGGGGAAGCCAUCCUUUGGCUUUCUGGAGAAAUCUCCCCAUGUCCGGUUUGGCUUCCUUUGGUAGACCUUUCAUCUACUGCCCCUAAUGUCCAUGGCAGGCGGGAUAACUGGUUCACUUUCUGCACUUUAAAAGGUGCUAUCGAUUCACUAGGUUCUUCAGCCACACUACCAGCUGCACCUCUUUUCCGAGUUUGGGAGGCUUUUACUUGUGCCUUUGCAUUCUCAAUUCGUUGGGCCUUCUCAAGGGCCUCCGUGAACGUAUUCACUUGAACCGCUGCUAGAGCUUCUUGGAUUUCCAAAUUCAAUCCCUGUAUAAACCGUCUCACUCUUCUCGGUUCCGUGGCCACUAAUUCGGAAGCAAACUUGGAUAGUUUAGUAAAUUUCGUUUCAUAUUCAGCCACACUUUAGGUUCCCUAACAUAACCCAAUAAAUUCAUCCUCCCUCCUUUCUUGGACUAAAGGUGGGAGGUACUUCUCAUUAAACUCCCUUAUAAAGUUCGCCCACGUCCAUACAGUCCGUUCUCUUUCCCACUUUGUUCUAAUUACGUUCCACCAUGCUCGGGCCGGUCCUUCAAAUUGGAACACCACAAAGCUUACUUGCCUUUGCUCAGUGUAGUUUAGAGCUGUGAAGAUGUUAACCAUGGUUUCUACCCAUUGUUCAGCUACGUCCGGAUCAGGCCCUCCAAGAAAUUUUGGAGGAGCAAACUUCUGGAACCUUUCAAGAGCCUUAUCCUCGCCCAUCUCAGGGUUCCGGGUUUGGUUUACGGGUAUUUGGCCUUGUUGAUCCACCAGUCUUGCUAAGAUAUCCGUCAUUUGUUGCAUUGCCGUCGCCAUUUGGUUUCCAGUCGCAACUCUCGGUCCCUGCUCUUGCUCGGCUGACGUUUCCCUUUCUGCUCUUGGUUCCGGGGCCCGCUUAGUUCCACGGCCUCGAUCACGUCCACGACUACGUCUCCCCUCCAUAUUAUUUUUCCCUCUCUUUUUUGUUUCCAAAAGGUAGUUUAGUGAAUAAACGCAGUAAGUUGACUAAAGUAACUAAAUUCUACUACACCAAAUACAUAAAUAGACAUAUACACACAUAACACACCAAGUGUUAAGGAGACGUAUCACAUUAAACAAAUAAUCAAAUGCGGUCAAUGGUACACGUGUCGAUGUUAACAUACCACAAACAAGGAUAAGAAGUAACAGUAUAAGGACAAAUCAAAAGAAAAGGAGGUAUAUCGUCCCAGUCUCAGUUAAAAUAACCCCGUCCGGUCUCUCACGUCACUUUCUAUUCACUAGAUGUCCGCAGACCUCUUAUACUCAUUCUGGCCAAACAAAGCCUAUUCAUGUUCCCAAAAAUGCAAAUCUCAAAUACUAAGCAUCGCCUCAACUCUAGAGUACUCGGGCACGAGAAUCCGAAAUAAGACAAUUCACAUCUCGAGCUGGCCAGUCCCAAGAGUAAACCAUCUAAAAUCGAAAUUCCUACCUGACGUACCUAUCUAUGAUCCUCAAAUACCACAAGAAAAUUUAAGGCCUAUAACAUCCACAACCCGUAGUUUAUGCUCGAACGAGCCCUUAGUCCUUCAUACGUAUUCACCACUUAGCCCAGGCUCACUCCGCGCAGAGACCACGCGAAGCAGGCUCUGAUACCAACUGUGACGGCCCUACCUUCCCCUAAGGCGAACCAAAGGGUUCGACGGAUCGCCUGCCCAACUCUCGCCGGGACUCAGUCAUACACUUCAAUCCUUAAUCAAAACCAGAAUAAAACCACAUGAAAGAAUAUCACAACGAUCCAAAAGUUAAGGCAAAACAUAUAUACAUUACUAUCACAAACGGGAGUACAAACAUCAAACACAAAAAGGUUCUCAAUUCUUCAUACAUCCAGCCCAUGCCAAGUGCUAGGGCGAGAACCAUUACAAAAGAAAUCAAAGAACUGGACUAAGCUAUUCUAUAUUGAGCUCCCGUCCUUACUCGUCUUCCCCUGUUAAGGAAAACAAAACUAAAGGGAUGAGUUAGAAGCCCAGUGAGGUUCCGAACACAUAGGCAACAGUCACUACAUAUAACCAAUAAUUCAAGCUACAUUUACGAUAUAAAGCAAUAAACACCAUCAAUAAAAGGAUACGUGCUCACAGGGAGCCAUUCAUUCGUUCAUUCAUUCAUUCAUUCUCCUUUCAUGCCCUUAUUCCUCCAAUCAUUUGAAAAUGUAUUUUUGUAAGUUAAACCCUUGUUCGUUCAUUCAUUUCAUUCACCCCCUUCCCGGACAUUGGCCAGGCUCCACCAGAAUUUAAGGUAAUACUCGAGUAUACCAAACAUUCACCCAGGGUCACCAUAUCGCCGACCAAGACCGUUUCUGGCUCGAGUCAAUGGGUAACGAAGGGGCAGGGCCCAGUUCAGCCAAAAGGCUAACAUUCAUGCACAAGUAACGUUCCAAUCGUUCAAUCAUUUAAAAUGUCACAAUCAUUUAGGUCGAGUGCGAUAAAGUACACACUCGCUUAGAAAACUCAUUUUGACAAUCAUUGAAAGCAUUUAACACGUUAUCAAUCAUUCAUACAAGCCAUAUAAUCAAGAAACAUAACAAACAAGGAACACUCACCUAUUUAGGCAAAACAACGUGCAAAAUAUCCUUCCGAAUAUUACCCUCAGUCACCGAAAAAACCUAAGAUUAAACGAGAGAGAAUAUUAUAGUUGAUCUAGCAAAACAAGUAAGUGAAAUCGAAGAAAAACCGGCAAAUGAUAAGUAAAACGUAUAAAGAUGACUUUAUAGUAAAAAGAGGGUAUUUGGAUCGGAGGACGGAGAUAACUAGAGUGUCAUAAACCAAACGCAAAAACCAAACUCAAAAGGGUUAUAAAAUUUCCAACGGAAAACACUUGAACCAAAGACAAGUCGAAAUCCACCAUAUAGGCUAAGAAAUAUUGUUCUCGGGAUCGUUUAUGUAGUUCAAAAUCAACUCAUAAUCAAGUAGCUAGGAUAGACUAAAUGUCUUGAUCAAAAUCAUGUGAAAAGGAGGACAACACUACCUUACUUUCACACUUAAAAUCUCACUUAAAAGUGGUUCACUUGUGGCCGAGAAAACUCUAGGUCAUACCUCUUUAUUGUGGUAAGGAGUAAGUAACGUUUGGAGUUUUAAACUAAAAAGGUAUCAUGUUUUAAAAUGGAAAACGGUCAUGGUAUUUGCCAAACGAAAGUAUACAAGUUCAAAUAGAAACUUAGCCCUCAAAUACCUUUUGAAAGAACCGAUGACGUUUUUAAUGAAAUACGUCCAACUUGGCACAAAACACAUUUCCAAAACCACUUUAACUCACUCACAUUACAAGAAAAUAAACGGACGGCAUUUCCCCCUAAAAACUUCAUUUUCUUCCUACAAUCAAAUACCCAAACUUGCAAGAGUCAAAUACAAUCACACAUUCGGUUUAUAAACAAUAAAACACGUCCAAUUAGGCUACAACACCCUUCAAUCAAAGCCAAUUAGGAGCUCAAAGCCCACCAUUAGAAAACCCCCAAAUUCAAACCCUAGAACCAGAAUUUAACCCCACAAGGGGAAAUUUUUCGUAAACAAUCGCAAUUAACAUAUAAAGAUCCCAUUUAACACCAUUUCAAUCCAUUAAUCCAAGAUCAAUCCAUGACUAUCAUCUAAAAUCAGAAAAAUACCCAAUAAAUCAUAAAUUGGACCAACUUCACUUAAAACCAUGAAAUCAUCCACAAUAUGGCAUAUUUAACCUUUACAAACCACUAAUUAACCAAGAUUAGAACCAAAAGAGAAUUUCUUAACAACUCACCUUAUGAGUUCAAGAAAGGUAGAAACUUAAGGCUUUCCCUCAAAAAACAACUCCACUAUCACCUUUAACCCACCUUAGCUAGCACUUGUACGGAGUGGUUUGAAAAUCCAACGGUGAAAUCUCAAGAUUCAAGCAAAAAAAAAUGAAACCAAGAAAUGAAGAGCUUUUCUUUCUUCUCUCAAGAUGCACGGCUGAACCAGUAAGGAAAUGAAGAUCUUUUGGGGCCAAAGCAGUAUAAAAAGAAAAGGAAACUGGCAGUCAAAGUUGGUGGCCGCCUGUGCCACAUCACAAUCCGGCCGGAUUCAAGGCAGAGGCAAAACGCUUUUUUUUUCAAAACCCUUCAACAAUCCGGCAGGCAAUCCGUCCAAGAACUGGCCAGAUUUGGCCCUUCAGCUUUUUCACAAAAAUUUUCCUCUUUCCGAGUUCGAUUGCCGCGCUCAACCGCAUUCCAACAUAUACACAUAUAUACAUAUCUCACACACAAAUACACGAAAUAACAAAACCUUCCUUUGCUUAAAACAAUUGGUUAACAAAUUUUUCACUUAAAAGGGGAAGUGAGAAUAAACCAAAAUGCUGAGAAAAUAUGAAAGGUUUAGGGUUCUCACACUAUUUUCUUGUACAUUUUAGCUCAUUUUUAUUUCCUUCAAUUAUUGAUAGUUUAAAAAAUAGAGGAGUAUUAGUAGUGUUGGUAGUUGUCCAUUCUUCACUAUGGAUUCGACCCUUAAUACCCUAUACUCAAUCACGACCUGUAUACUUGCAGAAAAUCACAUAUAAGGUAUUUAAAAAUUUAUAAAUGUAAAACUUAACUAUGGAUUGAACUAAUUUUUAUAUGCAUACCCUACACUCAUCACCAACAGUAUUGCAUGUCUCUACAAAAUAUGCAACGUGUUAUUUUGGUUUUGCCUUUGCCAUCAAAUUGCUGAAAUUUUUGAAGGUUGACAUCUAUUAAGCAUCUUCAAGCCAUCAAUCCUUGUAGUAUAUGGGUUUGGCAUAUGCAUUCAAUGGCAUUUUGCUUCCAUCAAUCAUAUUUUUGUUGUACCCUCAAUGAAUACUUUGAGAUUAUCAACACAUAUAGUACCAUCAUAGGAGAUUGGAAAUUCCUUCAUCAAAUGUGAUUUGGAAACAUUUUUCUUUUUGCUGGGAAGACUUUAAUGGCCAUUCCUUGACAAUUAGGCUGACCCCAAUGGCUUGUUCUUCAAUUAAAAUACGAGUUUAACAUGGCUUCUUAUAGCCACAACCAUUGGGAAUAUGUGAGAUUCCAUAUGGGAUUGUCGAGUAAUUUACAGAGGAUUGGGAUGGCAAUUUCAAAGGUUAGGGUAACUAAAAGAAAAUGUCUAAUUUUUUGCCAUGUAUCUUAUCCAACUUCAUUCCUAAUUUCUCGACAAACAAUUAUUCUUUUUAAUUCCACAAGGGAUGUGGGUGGUUUGUCCUAUUCUGCCCUAAGUUCACUAGUCUUCAAUGCAAAAAUUUAUAAUUUUGGUAGAUCAGCCAAAUAAGAUUCAAAUUGGCCACAUACCCCGAAUUAAGGGACUAAAUUGACUAAGAAUAUAGUUUAGCAACUAUCUUGAAUUUAGUAACAUAGUUGAGAGAGUAUAUUGGUUAUUUGCUAUUUCUUUGUCUACAACUUUUCUUCAUCUUUAUAUAUUCAUUGGAUGAAGUUACUUUCCCUAUCAAUUUGAAAACUUGAGAGAAAAGAAAGCAAAUGAAAAAUGAAUAAACUCCAAGAGGAACAACCUUUGCCUUGUUUAGUUUUCUCAGCGAAGGCAGAGGCGAAGGACAUCAUUUUAAUUUGUGCUAUAACAAUGGUACAAAGAGGGCUGCUAUUUCUAUAGGUUGAGGGAUAAUGAAUCCACAUUAUCAAGUUCAGUAGGAGAUGCUGAUGUUACAGUUGCUAUUGUUGUUUACUUGACCAUUGCCACCGCUAUGACUAAGUGUUGGUUUUUGAAGGAACCUUGUUGAAAUUUCUGUUUAUGAUUGAUACUUGAGGGUCAUUGGAGUAGAGUUGAGAGUUCGCAGCUUUAACUCCAAAAUUUUGCUAGUUUUGGUCAAGAACUCACGUCAUAUACCAUUUACCUCUUUUAUCUAGACAUGCAUGUGGUAUUUGUUGAGUUAAAAGCAAGAAAAAAAUUGAUUUUUGGAGGAAACAACAAAGCUAGAAAUUUUUUUUGAACCAUGGAGAAUGAGCUUCAUUUCUUCCAAGUUUAUUUCAAAAAUUUGUUGAGUUUUAUAAAGAAUUCAUUUCCUAUGUCAUUUACUUCAUUUAUUUUAACAUGCAUGAAGUAUUUAGUUGGAUUAAAGUAAGAAACUUGUGAUUUUUGGAAGAGAUUGAGCUGGACAGUUUUAUGGGCUAAAGAACUUGGAACUUACAAUUUUUGUUACAUUUUGAUGAAAAAAUUUAACAUGAAUGAGAAGGAUUAGACUUCAUUUCAUUAGUUUAUAGUGUUGCAUGUUAAGUUUUGACCCAAAAGGGAGGAAAUUUGUUGAAAGGAAAGCUAAACUUUCCAAGUUAAACUUUGCUAGAAAAUUUCCAAGUUAAACCAAGACUAUGAAGUCAAUUUUCCUCGCUUUAAAUUUCCAAUUUUAAUAAGUUUUAUAUGAAAAUUUUGUUGUACAUACAAUACAAUCUUUUUAUUUUGAGAAACAUAUUAAAAUAUAUUAAAACAUCCCAAUCAAAAGCCAUCUCAUUUCCCAAAAGCCGUUCACGAGGCUCAAAGUAGUACAAGUACUAAAGUUAGGUAGGAAAUGACCGGAAUGAAAGCAAGCCCUAAAACAUGCAAACAAGUACAAGGAGACUCGAUAACGAGUCAUAAACCAAUGCCAAGUAUGACCCCAAUAGGGUUCCAUAAACAUAUACAAACAUUAAAGAAAACCAGAAAUUUCGGACAUGCAAUUAACUUUGGCCCUGAAAAAAAUAGGUUUUGACUUUACUUUGCGGUAAUAGCACCAAAUGCACUACGAUUAUCGGAUGAGGGUGAAAGACCCACCAUUUCGAAGCUAAAAGACAGGGCUACAACAUCACAGAAGGUCACUCAACCCAGUUUUGAGUGCAAACAGGUCAAAAAUGCAAGAUACUUCAUCAACAACGUAAAACAGAUUCACCAAAACAUAUUCUAGCGGAAACAUCAUAACUCAGGUUCUACAAGUCCAAAUCCAGAAAUUCCAAAACCAGUUGAAAGCUAAGAAACAGGGCUAAAUUUCAUCCGAAGGCCUCAACAACCAAUUCGGAAGCAAUUUCAGCCAAAACAACCAAUUACAGUCGCAAAUCCCAAUUUCGGGUAAACCAAAACAGCAAUAGUAAUUUCGACUUUUCUCACUCUACACUACUCCGAUUGACCUGAAAUUUUGUAGGCACCUCUAAAAUGUUCAGAGCCGACUCCCGACCCCGGUGAGCCAGCGAGGACGCUGGGUCUCCUAAGGGGGGUGGAUUGGAACGAUCCCACAUCGGCUAGGGAGGAAGUCCUGGGGCUGCUUUAAUAGCCUGUCGUGGUCUUUCCCACCUGACCGAGGCCUUUUGGAGGGGUGUUGGGCUUCUUGACCUGCGGGCUUGGGCUCUUCACUUGUUGUGGGUAUAACCCCACCUCCAGGAACAAAACCCACGGCCCAAUGGGGCGGUUAACUGUGGGACAAUAUUGGUCAGGGGCGUUAGAGUUGGUACCCCAGAUAAACUGAAAUAUUAGAGAUUUUUGCGGGAUGUCUUGACUUGAUUGGUACAACAGGGAAUGUCGAGGAUGACAUUCUUUUAAGGAGGGGAGUUUGUGACGCCCCGAAAAGAAUGAGUGUGAGAACCCGAAAAUUUUCUAAUUUUCUAGGGUUUAUUUUAUUUAAUCGCCCGCCUUUUCUACAUUUUCUUUAUGAGAAAAAUUCCCCAGAUAAAGUUUAUGAGCAAAUAUAAUUUUAAAAUGAUUUUUCUAGUAUCGGUUAGUUUUUGAGAAAUUAAGAGCGUAUUUUGGACGUAGGACCCGCUAGUGCAGUAAAUGCAUUAUAUUUUUGACCACUUGUUGGCAUUUUGUAUUAAGUGAUAUUAUUUUACAAAGUGUUAAGAUAUUUGUAUUGGAGAGACAAAAAGAUAAGUUUUAAACCUAAAGGUGACAAGUGUCACCAUCUAAUUUAAUCUUGGACUUUGACCAUUUGACUUUACCUUUACCUUUACCAAAUAAAUACAAAAAAUUGAUCAAAAUAAGCUUCAUUUUGCAAGCUUCUUGGCCAAAUGUUGUUGCUCAAGAAAGAAAGAAAAGCUUCAACUUUCAACUUCCAUUUCUUGCACAAAUCUUGCAAUCCAACCGAUUAAACUUGAAAGUUUUCCAUAAAACCUCUUAGUUUGGUGGUCUUGAGGUGUUUUGUAGAGUUGUUUGGAAAGCUAAGGUGACUAGUUGCUCUAUCUCUUGUAUUGCUAAGGUGAGUUGUGAAGGACCCCUCUCCUCCCUCUAAUGAUGCUUAAUUUAUGCUUAGUGGUGGUAUAAGGUGCAACUUUAUGGAUUAUAUUGUGAUUUUGGUUGAAUUGGUGAAGUUUUAUAAUUUUUGGGGAUUUUUCUAUUUUCAUAUGAGUAUGAUUAUGUGGUCAUGUAUGAUGAUUGGAAAUGAUGUUUAAGGACUCUAUGAGGUGGAAAAAGUGGACAAUUGCAAUCAAUUUCUGUUUUGGAAGAAAUUUCAGAAAAUUAGGUUUUGUGAAGGAACAUUCUGCCCGAAUUUUUAGCUCCUAGUUAGAGGCCGAAUUGGCCUUGGCUUAAAACAUGAAAGUUGUAGGGAAUGAUAUUUUAGAGGUGCCUGAAAAAUUUCAGGUCAAUUGGAGUAGCGUAGAGUGAGAAAAGUCGAAAUUACUAUUGCUGUUCUGGUUUUACCCGAAUGUAAGAAUUGCUUCUGUAAUGGGUUGUUUUGGCUGGAAUUUCUUCCGAAUUGGUUGUUGAGGUCUUCUGAUGAAAUUUAGCCCUGUUUCUUAUCUUUCAGAUGGUUUUGGAAUUUCGGGAUUUGGACUUGGAUAGCCUGCUUUAUGAUGUUUCCGCUAGAAUGCGUUCUGUGAAUCUGUUUUUGUGAUUCUGGUAUGAUAUCUUGCAUUUUUGACCUGGUUACACUCGAAACUGGGUUGAGUGACCUUCUGCAAUGUUGUAGCCCUGUCUUUUAGCUUCGAAAAGGUGUAUCUUGAACCUUCAUCUGACAAUCGUAGCGCCUUUGGUACCAUUACCGCAAAAUGACGUCCAAAACUGUUUUUCUGGUUUUGAGCUUAACUUUCAUUUCCGGACUUUUCCCUAGCUUGACUUGUACUAGUACUACUUGGAGCUUGAUGAAUGGCUAUUGAAUGAACUUGUUGUUGUGUGUGUACCUUUGGGUUGGAAUGAGGAAAUAAUGAAGCCUUGAUGGCUGGAAAAGUAAAGAAAGAUAAGAGGAAGUGCUGUCCGAAUUUUGAAAGGACUUGUUUGCAUUGAGUUUGUGAACUAAGACUUGGAUUUGAGCAAGGCAAUGAUAUAUGAUGGAUGGUUCCUGAGCCAUGGAGGUGAGUGAUCCCAAACUAUUGUUAAAGCUUCUUAUGAAAUGUUUCUUGCAUUAUUUACUCGACUGCAUCUCAUGCGUGCUUGCAUGUGAAUUCAUGAUAUGAUUUUGGCUUCAAUGAGUUCUUGGGGAGUCUUGUGCUGGACACCAACGUCUCUACCUCUGUUUACUUGGAGCAAAUGGCUCCGGAGCUCAAAAAGGGGCUCCCUCUUAAUGUUAAUGUUAAUGUUAAAUGUUCUAUUUGAGCGUUGGGUGUUCAAGUGCUAUGACUUCACUGGCUCACGAGAGCAAUAAACGGACAUUUGUUCUUUGAAUCAUGAUAUCAUCGAAAGGAUCGAAAUGCAAUAUUGUGAAAUAUAUUUGAUUACUGAUUUUAUUGGUUACUCGCUGAGCUUCUAGCUCACCCCAAAAAUAUUUUAUUCCCCUCCACAGGGCUCGAGGCGAAGGAAACGUUUGUAUUAAAGUUCUCCGUGUGAAUGGUUGGUAUCAAGGAUCAGAGUGGCGCAGCGGAAGCGUGGACGCUUCGCUUUUGAUAUGUAAUUAUUGGAGAAUUUGAUGUAUAUUUGAGAUUUAUCUUGUAAUUUAUUUGGGGACUGUAGUGAACGACUGAGUCCCGGCGAGAGCUGGGCAGGCGGCCCGCCGAACCCUCUGGUUCGCCUUAGGGGGAGGUGGGGCUGUCACAGUGUACUUAGCCGAUUUUGAUUAUUUGAAUUAAAUGAAUGGUUUGGAUGACUUUUGAAUCAAUUAAAUGUGCAAAAGUAUUGUCUUGGGAAGGGGUGAACUUUAUCUCCCAUUUCCAAGUAAAAACUGAAAAGUUAUUAUUCCAUAGUUAUACUACUUGCGCAUAUAUUGUAAGUCAGGGGCGCACUUUACCACAUCAGGAAACUGGGCCCUAAAACCCAUUGCCAGUCGACCUAUUCGAGCCAGCACCGGGCUUGGUCGGGUUGGUUGGCAGCCUGGUUGACCCAUGGGAGAGUUGUAGGCUUCCAGGUGUGUGAAAUCAUGGUCUCAAGUAUUACCUUAUAGUGUGGUGAUUAUUAAAAUGAAUACUGAUUGAAGAUGAUUGUUUAUUGUUUCAGAGGAUAUAACGGGUGAUUGGCAGAGUGUGUGGUGAUAUUGAAUUGAUUCCCAUAAUGAUCUCGUAUCCUUUCAAUGAAUUGUGUUAUUUUAUUUCAAAAGUUUCUAUUGAGACUUGAAUUUUGUUUUGCUAUUAUUAUACUGAUAUUGUGGUUGACAAAUGAUUGUUUUAUUGUUGCUUCCUUGGAACCUCACUAAGUGAAAGUUCAACCCUUUAGUUUGUUUUUCUUACAAGAUAUGAGGGCAAAAGAAGUCAAGAUAACGAUAACUUGAAUCUAAAGUCUCUAUUUUGUAUUUAUUGUAGACAAUCUUGUACUGUGAGAAUUGGUGAGAAAAUUUUUACUUUAAUCAUGUUGGUUCGUACAUAAGUGUGAAUGUCAUGGUCAGAUUGAUGGAGUAAAUGCUGCUUUGGGAGUGUAUUGUAGUGAGUCCUAGCGAGAGUCAAACAGGCGGUCCACUAAACCCUAGGAUAUGCCUUAGGGUGAGGUACAGCUAUCACAAGUGGUAUCAGAGCCAGGUUCGCAUGGUGUCUGCAUGGGGUGAAUCUGGGCCAGUGGAUUACAGUUCUGACUAUACAAGGAACUACAAGGAACUAAAUGCCACAUUUGAUAGCAGCCACCUUUAGAGCCUAUUGUACUAAGUGCCACAUCAAGCGAGGGCCACCUCUAGAACUUGUGCGAGCCAUCUCUAGAGUUCGAGCAUGACCAAAUGGACAGUCUGAAUUUUGACAAGCUUUGCAAGGAUGCAAAGUCCUAAAGGUGAAGGUUGAGGAUGUGUCAAUGGUAAAGGAUUAUCUAGAUGUUUUUUCUGAGGAAUUAGAAUCAUUGUCUCCUAAGAGAGAGAUAGAAUUUUAGGUUCAACUGAUGCUUGAAGCAAAUUCCAUUUCUAAGACAUCUUAUCGCAUGGCACUAGCUGACCUUAAGGAGUUUUUUGAUCAACUACAAGGAGUUGUGGUAUUUUCAGCAGGGAUAUUAUCAAUUAUGAAUUAAGAUGGAAUAUGUACUUAAGACGACCUUUAAUACAAGAUAUAGGUAUUAUGAGUUUGUAGUGAUGCCCUUUGGAAUAACUAAUGCCUCGGUGUGAUAGCCCCACCUCCCCCUAAGGCGUACCAAAGGGGUUAGUGGACUGCCUGCCCAGCUCUCGCCGGGACUCACUCACUCACUACAGUCCUCAAAUAAAUUACAAUAUAAAUCUCAAAUAUACAGUAAUGUUCCACAAAUUCACAUAUCAUAAGUGAAGCGAUUCUAUCUCAAAAGAAAGUACAAACUCAAAUAUACAAAGGUCCUCAGUUCUCACAUAAUUACAAGUACAAUCGCAGUCUCAAAUAUUACACAAGAUAAAACUAAAACGCCAACUGUACUGGAGAUAAUCCAACAAGUCACACGAAGAAUUUAAUACAAGCGCCUCCUUUGCCUCGAGCCCUGUGGAGUGAAAAAAAAAUAUUUUUGGGGUGAGCUAGAAGCUCAGCGAAUAACCAGUAAAAUCCGUAGUCAAAUAAGUUUCAGAAUAGUUCAUUUCAAUGAUGUCAUGAAUCAGUAAUCAAAUGUAUGUUUAUUGCUCUUGUGAGCCAGUGAAAUCAUUGUACUUAAACAUCCAACGCUCAAAUAGGUCCAGUAACAAUGAAACAGGAAUAGGGAGCCAUUUGUGCUCCAAAUAAACAGUGAACAGUGGUGGAGACGUUGGUUCUAAGCACAAGACUUCCCAAGAACUCAUUGAAGCCAAAUCAUGUCAUGAACUCACAUGCAAGCACACAUGAUAUGCAAUCGAGUAAAUAAUGCAAGAAACAGUUCAUAAGUAGCUUUGGAAAUAGUUUGGGGUCACUCACCAACCACAGCUCAUAAUCCUCAUCCAUCAUAGACAGUUUCCUCGAUCAAGUCCAAGCUCUUCAUUCUACCAAGAAUUAACCCAAACUCACAGCGAUUAAACGUUCUCAAAGAUUGGACAACACUUCCCCUUAAAUUCCUUAUUUUUCAUCCUACAAGACAUUACAAAUCACAUCUCAACUCAAUCACAAUUACACAUACAAAUCAUAAGCUAUUAAAUACUCUUAAUUAGGGUCACAACACCCUUCACAUACAACCAUUAGAUAGCUCCAUAAUUAAUCACAAUAAAGCCCCAAUUCGAAACCCUAGAACUGCAAUUUACCCUUCAAACGGAAAUUUUCCGCAACCCAUCACAACUAAUAGACACAAGCUUCAUGUUAUACCAUAUCAAUCCAUCAUUUCAAGGCCAACCUAUGAUUAUCAUAUAAAAUCAGAAAAAUCCCCAAUAAAUCAGAAAUUGAUCCAACUUUACUUAAAAUCAUGAAAUCAUCCACAAAAUAGCAUAUCUAACCUCUACAAACCACCAAUUAACCAUUAUUAAAGCAAGAGAGAACUUUCUUCUCCAAUUUACCUCAAAACUCAAGAAAGCUAGCCACUUAUAGCUACCCUUUCAAAGAUCACUCCACCAAAAGUUUUAAACCUCCUAAACACACACUUGUAUGGAGUGGUUUCCAAAACCAUCGGUGAAAUCUCAAGAUUUGAGCAAAGAUUGAAGCUAGAAAAAUGAAUAACUUUCUCUCUUUUCUCUCUAUGAUGCACGGCCAAGAAGGAGUAAGAAAUGGAAGAUAUUUUAGCCAAAAAGCAAGAUAAGAAUGAAGAAAACAGCCAGUCAAACCAGGCUGCCGCCUGUGCCACGUCACAAUCCGGCUGGAUUCCAGGCCGAAUUCAAGGCAGAACGAAAUCCCAUUUUUUUUCAAAAUGCACCAACAAUCCAGCCGGCAAUCCGGCCAAUAACUGGCCAGAUUUGCUGCCAGAUUUGGUCCUCACCUUUUCCGCUAAAAUUUUUCGUUUCUUUUCCUUUCGGGCGUCACACUCGGCAACAUUAUAGAAUAGCAUCAUACUUUUUUAAUUCAAAUCUUUAAAAUCCUACAGUGGGUUGUUGAUCAAAUUAGCAGUAGAAUCACUUGACUCUUCAAAUCUAGAUAAGUUAUCACUUAAAUUCUCCAAAUCUCUCACCAUGUCAAGCAUCCCAUCAUUCUCUAUCUUGCCAUUCUGUGUUGUUUGAUUAUCAAGGUUAGCAUCCUUCAUAUCACUGAUGUUACUGCUUCUAGGAAUCUUUAAUUCAAAUUUCUCACUAUAGUAAAUCCACCUUGUAAUAGUCUUUAUCUAUUCUUGGAUAUAAUAAGUGGCUUUGAACCUUAUCUUGACUUUUGAUAUAGUUAUUCAAACAAUUCUCACAAGGACAAUGGAUGUCGCAUUCCUUGUCCAUAUGUUGUUGAAUGAAAUGCAUGAAUGAAUUAACACCAUUGACAUGCUUGUUUGAGAAUAUUAGCAGAUGGCUGAUUUGAAAUUUUCUUAUUGCCACAGUUAAUUCAUUUCGUAUGUAUCCAUAAAUCUUUGAAAAAUAAGUAUCCAUAAAUUGAAGGGUUUGCUAAAGUGCAGGAUAUCUAGGUCUAAAACAUUACAUGUUGCAAGUUGCAACCUUCUAGGAGAUGCAAUAUUAAAGUAGUGCAACUGUUGAACAGUUAAUAUUAGAUUUAAAUACACCACUGGAAAUUUAGAUCCAAAUGAUUAAUGACAAUGAACUUGACUCAUGAAUUGACUCUCUGAUGGGAGAUUUCAUGCUUUUAUUAAUUGGUUAUGUAAUUAGAGACAUUGGGUUAAGAGAAUGUAUUCUUGGGAGAAUUGAAUAAUAAGAAGAUGAAGGUAAAAGUGCACCGCAUAAGUAUGAGAAGCCAACUUGGAUAACAUGUGCCAAAAUAAGGGCCUAGAUUCAACUUGGUAGAUAAUUGUCAAAACCCCAAAUAUCAUACCAAUCAAUGUUUUGAAAGGCAUUUUUGGGACGAGUCUCAGGACAAAUUUUAGGGCGAGACGAAUCCCGAAUAUCCCGGACCAUUUGAAUGGGGCAUAAGUGUUGUUGGACGUUUGCUCAUCCCAUCCUACGGGGAAGACGCUAGGGCAUUUGGGCAUUUGGCGUUUGGGGCGUUCAGGACAUUUUUGUUUCUUUUUUUAAAACACUUUUGGACUUCGGCUUUACUAUUUUAUUUUCUUGAUCUUUGUUUGCUAUCCUUGUUGUUGCUUAAUAAUUUUGAAGAAUGAUUUCAUUUAUUUUUUCUUUGGAAAUAGUUUGGAAAAAAUACAAAACAAAAGCAUCCAUGACUUUGUUUCCUAUAUUUUUUCUCUUUUCCUUGAUUCUAAAAUAUAACUAUUUAUUGUUAACAUAAUUCUAGAUAGCUAAUGUAUGAAUUAAAGGUAUGUUGUGGUUUUACUUGUUAGACACUAAUAAUAUUUUUAUAAUUUUCUUAAUUUUAUCAAUUUUUUUGUAUUUAUUAGUAAUAUACAUACAUAUAUAUAUGUAUGAAUAUUGUAAUUUGUAGUAUUAUUGUAUAUUUUAUUUUAUAUAUUUAAAAAAUCAAAAUUUGUGACACUUACGCCCUACGUUUCGGAGGUGGAACUAACCAUGAAUAAUAAGAAACACAGCUAAAAUUCGCAAAAUUGUCCACUCACUCGAGGUGUCCAUAGAAGACCAAAAACUUAUAUAGCCAUAGUGGCAGUAAAAAUGUUACUUUUAGAAUAGCAAGAAAUUUACGUCCCGGAAGUGAUGGUAAUAAUAGUCUAACACUUUUAAGUUCGCAACUUGGUGUUAAAAAAACUAGGAAAUCGUAUUUAAAGUGGCCACUACUUUCGCCUCAAAAAGUAUAUGAGUUUUUGGUAAAAUUCAGCUUAUAUACUUGUGACGACCCCACCUCUUCCUAGGGUGUACCCUAGGGUUUAGCGGACCAUCAGCCCAAUUCUCGCCAAGACUCACUCACUCACGUCAAGAAAAUAGGGUGCAACCUCAAUAAUGAAGAAAAUAACAGUUCCCAAGUUUGGAACGUACAAAUACAUUCAUUUCUAUCUCAAACAUCCAUACAAUCCCAAAUAUAUCAAAAGAUUUAAGUUCUCAAUACAUUCAACCCUAAUCGAGCGACUAGCGCAAGUACAAUCGCAAACGUUCAAAAAUUAGACUAUGCUAGCCUGUACCAGUCUCACGCCUUCGCUCAUAUCCCCUGUAAGGAAAGCAAAACUAAAGGAAUGAGCUAAAAGCCCAGUGAGGUUUCCAAACAAGAAAUCAGGUAUAGAAACCAAGGAAAUGUUACAUUUAGCAAUUUGCAUAUUUUGCACAGUAAUAUCCAGUCAUUCAAGAAAUAAACACUCAAUCAUUCGAAGGAUAUGUGCUCACUUGGAACCAUUCAUUCAAGUCAUUCAUUCAUUCAUUCACCAAUCAUUUUCCUUAUCCCUCCGACAUUAGAAAACAUUUGCAAGUAAAAACUCCUCCAGUGUUCUUGACAUUCAUUCAUUGAUUUCAUUUCCUACCACUAGCCAAUUCACUGGCCAGUUCUCCACCAACCUUCGUGGUCAUACUCGAGUAUACCAAAACACUAUACCAGGGUCACCAAUCACUCGACCGAAUCCGCUUCUGGCUCGAGUCGACUGGCAACAAAGGGCAAAGGCCCAAUUUAGCCAAAAGGCUUAUAUUCAUGCACAAGUAGCAUUCAAUCAUUGAAAAUCAACUUUGGCUUGGGUCGAGUGUGAUAAAGUACAUACUCGCCCAUCGAAAAUCCAUUUAGCAAUCCUUAGAAAGCAUUUAACAUUCAAGCAAACAUUCACCAAUAGUCACAUAGUCACUUAUUGUACAAACACACAAUGGAAAACUCACCCGUCUAAGCCAAAAUAACGUCAAAAGUUUUCUUCCGGAUUAUGCCCUUGAUCACCGACAAACCCUAAGAAUAACCAAUCCCAAAUUGAAAUGAGCAAAUGUAAUUUAAGAUCCAACCAACCCUAAAAUCAAACCUUACAUCUUACUAAUAUUCACAAGAGCAAGUAACAGAAAUUUGGGCAGCAUGCCCUUUGUAUUUCGCUAUUUUCCAGCCAUUUAUGGCUUCAUUAUUUUUCUCAAUUCAGCCCCAAAACCUCACACAAAUAAUCUUACCACAAUAGCCUUUCAAUAGGCUCAAUGUCAUUCAAUUACAAAAUAAUGCUAACAAAUUGACCAGAAAUAAUGUUUAAAACAAAUAACAAAAUAACAGGUUUGAUGUCUCUUAGCGUUUCGGUCACAACCGAAGCUACGCUUAUCAGAUUGGGGUACACUUUAUACCAUUUUCAAGCUAAGACAAAGGGUUACAACUUUUAUGAAGAUAACUCAAGCCAUUUCACAAUUGAUCUAGGUCGAAUUUGCAGAUUAUAGAACUAGAAUUUCAUUGUCGGUCUGGUUAUAAGCACUGGAUUUAAAUGGAAAUAACUCAAACUACAAAAUUCCGAUUGAGACAUUUUUAGAUGCGUUGGAAAGCUAAAACAUAGGGCUAAAAUUUUCAUGUUUUGGCCAAAUACUGAUUUGAUGCGGAUCAAAGUGAAAAAUGAAGCCAAACAUGUGAAAUCUCAAAACUGUCCGCGAAAAUGAACAUUUGGCAUCAGGGGUAUUUUAGUCAUUUCACAUCCUACAGGGGUCGAAUUGAGCUUAAAUUUUACAGGAAGCUAUAUGACACCAUUUCCUACAACUUUCAUGUUUUGAACUAAGCCUAAUUUGGCCUCUAACAUGGAAUAAUGAAGCUGGUCAGAAGCAGGGCAGUUUAAUCCUAAAGCUGGCAAUUUGAUGAAUUCAAAGUUUAAAAUUCUUAUUCAUGUCUUGAACCACUACUCCAACUCCCUAUCGAAGCUUAGUAACAUCAUAUGCUAUAUAAUCAACAAGAACACAAAUGAACAACUCAAACCCUAACUCAAAAAUCCACCAUAUCCAUCAAAACUACUUAAAUAACUAUCAUUAGCCAAGAGUAUGAGUUGCUAGCCAAACUUAAACAAGAUUAAGGGAGAGAAAUAGGAAGGACACCCAUAAUACCUCACAAAGAUGCUUGCAAGAGAAAUCCACCACCUUUCCUUUCCAAACUUUAGCACACAAAACUUCCUAAUUUCCUAAGUAAGUGUUUAAUCGGUUUGGAUUUUAGAUUUUCAUUCAAACUAAGCUAAAACUCAAGAUGGAAAUGAAGUUUUCUUCUCUCUUUUUUUCUUCCUUAAGUUUGGCCACCAUAGGAGGAUAAUGAAGGAAGAAUGAAUUCCAAGAAAGAUAAGAAGCUAAGACUUGAGUUGGGUCAAAGAUAGUUGGAUGACUUCCAAGUGUCACCACAAGAUCAUUUCUCAAAUUUUUUCCUUUUCCCUUGGUUUAUAGUCAAUAAUUUUGGCCCUCUUGAGCUGAGAGACUAAUAUUUAUGCACUAAUAACAACGAUAUUAAGUUAAUAAAGUGGUGUGUUCAAUCGGUAGCGAACGGUACACGUCGGUUCAACCCGAUUUUCCUUAAAUCACGUGUACUAGUGUUUUAAUGUAUGAUUCACUAAUUUAUUAUUAUUACUUCUAAUCACACACUUUCUCUUAUCUAAAACUCACUUUUAAUCACCAAAUUGAGUACACACUCCUCACCAAUUAAUUACACUACCAAAAUACACGGAAACCCUAAUUUACCCGAACGAUGAAAGUAAAGGGAAAAACUCUUAAUUCUAUGAUUUAUUGCAACUAUGGAGAAGGUAAAUGAGUAGUAAAGCUAUUAUAAAGUAAUUUAUUCAAAAUAAAAGGGAAUUUUAAGAAAACAAGAAGAAUUUUACGAGUCCUCACAAUACUCCUACUAAGGGAAACUUGAAUACCCUAAAUAACCUUAGUUCAAUUCAACCAAGAAUCACCGCUCAAGUUCUGAUUUCACUCGCUUAACUCAUGAAAGAAAAAUUGGGCAGCAUUACCUUUUUGUUUACCCAUUUUUUCAGCCAUUUAAGGCUACAUGUUUUUCUUCAAAUCACCACAAGUAAACAUAUAAAGAUGGUUCUUAAUCUAGGCCAAAAACCAUCCAAUUGCAACUCAUUUCUAGCAAAUAAUCAUCCAAUAUCAAAGUUGAAAAUUUCUCAACAAAGCUGAAAUUUUCUCUUUUAAAGCUAAAAAGUCACAAUUAUGCCACUAACCACCUCACAAAUUCCAUAUCCAAGCUCCAUACUAACAUAAUAUAGUUGAACAACAAAAAUCAAGGCUAAAAUGGCAAAACCCUAGCUGAAAUUUCACUAAUCUACACCAAAACUAGAAUAUCAUCCAUAAUAUUUCAAGAUUCAAGGCAUCUAUACCAUAUUUGGCAAGAAUAAGGAAGAGAAAGGAAGUUGAUGAACUUAUACCUUCCAACCUUCUUGAGAAGUGAAGAACCAAACUAUUUCUUCCAAGAAACUCUCCAUUCCAAGCUUUGAUCUCAACUCAAACAAGGCAAAAUCAAGAUUGGAAGGAAAGUUUUCUCCUCUCUUUUUUUCUCUCCUUGCUCGCGGCCAACAUGAAGAAAUAAUGGGAGAAAUUUAGCCAAAAUGAAAGAUAAGAAGGAAAGAAUUGUCUUGGUCAAACACCUCUUUGAUUGCCAACACUUGGCAAUCAAGAUUCUUUCUUCUUUUUUUUCUUUUCUCACCUUUUCUUUGGUCAAAGAUUUUGGCUGGAUUAGAGGUUAAUUUAGGGCUGAUUAGAUGAAAUAAAACAAGAAGAUUAGGGUAAGAAUGUAGUGGUCAAGUGGUGUACUCAAUCGGUAACAAACGGUGCACGCCGGUUCAAGCCUAUUUUUCUUAACUCUCUUGUACUUGUGUUUUAACUUAUGAUUCACUAACUUAUUAUUAGCACUUCUAAUCACACACUUCCUCUUACCUAAUACUCACUCUUAUGCACCAAAUUUAGUACACACAUCUCACCAAGUAAUCACACUACCAAAAUGCGCAAAAACUCUAAUUUACCCUAACUAUAAAAGUAAAAGUAAACCUCUCGAUUAUAUUAUUUAGUACAACUAUUGAGGAGUAAAUUAGUAGUAAAUAAAUUAUAAAUUAACUUAUUCAAAAUAAAAGAGAAUUUUUAAGAAAAUAUGAAGAAUUUUGCAAGUCUUCACAAGAACGAUGUAAGAUUAUGCCCCCCUUUUGAUUGUUGCAAAAAAAUCGGACAUUCGUCCAUCCCGAAGUUUUUGAUUUCUAAAUGCGUGGUGUUCACAUCACUAGUUUUUAGAGAUUGUGACACAAGCUUGGUUACUGCCGGUGAAUGGCCGGCCGCUCCGGAGGUUGCUUUUAAAAAUGAAAAAUGUGAAGUUCGCGUUGAGUACCUGGAACAAAGAGGUCUUUGGUAAUGUAGCGGACAAAGUCAAAGAGGCUGAGGAAGUAGUUCGAUUGCGGGAACUGACACUGGAAGAGGAGCAAUCAGAGAGUAACCAAAUUGAAUUGAACCAAACCCAGGCACUGUUGACACGAGAAUUAUGUAAGGAGUCUGAUUUUUGGAAGCAAAAGGCCAACCUUCAGGUGGCUUCGGGAGGGAGAUGCAAAUACUAAGUUUUUUCAUGCUACGGUGAGGCAGCGAAAGGCAAGACUGUUUAUUCAUCGGAUAAAAAGGCAGGAUGGAAGCUAGGAGGAAUAUCUUAGUCAUAUAAAAGAUAUGGCAGAACAAUUCUUCUCCACAAUGUUUUCGGCAACAGAGUCUUCAAAAUUUUGGGGUGGAAUCUAGAUUGUUAAAACGUAUCCCUAAAUUGGCAAGGGAACAAGAUAAUAUGACAUUACAAGGGGUUUCAAAUGGAGAAGAGGUAAAAAAUAUCAUUUUUUCUAUGGAUGGGGACUCUGCGCCUGGACCGGAUGUUUUACUGGCAUGUUUUUUAAGGCGGUUUGGGGAAUUGUGGGGGAGGAUGUAGUUUCUGCGGUUCAGGAUUUUUUUGUUGGGGCAAGUUUGCCAAUGGAGUAUACGUCCACUCUUCUUGCACUUAUCCCCAAGGUUACGAAUCCAUCUUCCUUUUCAGAUUUCAAACCUAUUAGAUUGUGCAAUUUUAUCAACAAGAUUAUCUCCAAAUUAUUGACAUCUCGAUUGGAAGGGAUAUUAGUUAAGAUUAUCUCUCCCUAACAAAGUGCUUUUGUUAAGGGCAGACUAACAUCUGAUAAUGUUCUAUAGGCCCAGGAGAUGAUUUUCGCCAUUAGUAAGAAGGUCCGUGAUUCUAAUGUGGCCUUAAAACUGGACAUGGCCAAGGCAUAUGAUAAAGUCACUUGGGUCUUCUUAACUUCAGUGUUACGUGCGUUUGGUUUCGGAGAAAUAUUCAUUGACAUGGUUUGGCGUUUAGUCUCUAAUUGCUAUUUCUCGGUCCUUGUCAAUGGCCAGCCCUGUGGUUUUUUUAAAUCAGCCCGUGGUUUCAGACAAGGGGGCCCCCUCUCACCAGUUUUGUUCAUUAUUGCAGCGGAAGUACUAUCGCGGGGUUUAAAUGCACUACUUGAUGAACCACAUUUUAUCCCAUUUUUGGUCGACAGGAAGACUGAUCCAGUUACUCAUCUAGCAUAUGUAGAUGAUAUUAGUAUUUUCUCUUGAGGUGAUACGCGAUCUCUUUGGUGCAUGAUGCAAGUCCUUCAAAAGUAUCAGGGCUGUUCGAGCCAGUUGGUUAAUAAAAAUAAAAGUUGCUUCUUUACCUCCACUGAGUUCCUCCCAUCUAGGCAUUCAAUGGUGGCCAGGUUAAUGGGAUUCUCAUUUAAGGCCUUCUCAGUUAAGUAUUUGGGAUGCCCAUUAUUUUUAGGGAGGAAAGUUAGUUCUCUAUUUUCGGGUCUGAUUGACUCUAUUGCAAGUAGGAUAAGAGGCUAGUCGACGAAGUGGCUCUCUUUUGGAGGGCGUUUGGUUCUAAUUAAAUCCAUCCUACUCUCGAUGCCAGUGCAUCUUCUUUCUAUCCUGGAUCCCCCUAAAAGAGUGAUUAAUUAGAUUCAUAGGAUGCUUGAAAAUUUCCUAUGGGGGUCCAUAGAGGGUAAGGAGAGGCGACAUUGGAUUCCGUGGUCAAGAUUAUGUCAGCCAUUGGAGGACAGGGGAUUGGCAUUGAGGUCACUUCAUACAACGGUUCAAGCAUUUUCUUGUAAGCUAUGGUGGAUAUUUUGAAAGGGAGGGUCCUUGUGGUUAGACUUCAUGAUGGCACGGUAUUGCAAAAGCUCUCACCCGAAUCAGGUGCAUAUGUCUUCUUAUGCAUCAACUUUGUGGAAGAGAAUGCUUCGAGUAAAAACGUUGGUUGAGCAUCAUGCAAUGUGGGAUUUGGCAGCAGGGAAGAUAUCCUUUUGGUGGGAUAAUUGGUUGAGGGAUGACCCUCUUGCAUGGCGUUUCCCUCAUAUUACUGGAGAUGAAGCAGUGGCGAAGUAUUGGUUGGAGGAUGGUUGGGAUUUUGGGAUGUUAAGUAAAGUGCUCCCAAAUGAUACUUUGAAGAGAAUUGAUUCGCAGUUUUAUUGUUGGAAACAGGGUUCCCAAGAUGUUAUGCUCUGGUCUGAAAUGCAGUCUAGGAACUUUAGACUGAGUUCCGUUGUCUAGCUUAUUACCCCAGCUUCGAGCAUGUAUAGGUGAAAGGUCUACCGCUGAAAUUUCAUGCUUGGUAUGGCGUUUAUUACUCUUUAAAAUUCUGACUUCAAAUGUAUGAUCUAAAUUUAAUGUCCACGGCUCGUCACGUUGCUACUGUUGCAGUAAUCAUAAUUUGGACACAUUGCAUCAUAUCUUCUCUUUAUGGGAUACCCCAGCAAGGAUCUAAAAGGUGUUUGAAAUGCCAUUCGAGUUCUCCUUCACAGGAAAGCUGGUUCAUGACCGGUGCAUGUGCUGGUGGCUCAGUACCUCAACACAUUGGAUGGUAAGAUGGGUGUUACGUGUGGUACCGGCGGUGGUUUUAUGGCAUCUGUGGUGUGCGAGAUAUGUGUUUGUGUAUGAGAGGCAAAGUCUGUCAGUUAGAGUUCUUUCAAAAAGGAUUUUGGGUGACUUACAAGAUUUACUUAUUUCUCAGUUUCCAAAUCUUCAACGAAAUUCUAUUGGUGGAGGUUGUUCACAAUAUUAGUAAGGUCACUCUGCCCAUACAUGCACAGUAUGUUCAUUGGACUCGACCACCGGUGGGAGGUUACAAACUCAAUUUUGAUGGUUCGCGUAAGGAGAAGUAUUAAGCAGGAGGAGGAGGGAUGCUAAGGAACUCUGAAGGACGGAUGAUUUUCGCCUUUUCUGAGUCUUAUGGGAGGGUGACCUCACUGCAAGCUGAAGCUAGGGCAUUGUGUAGGGGACUUCAAAUGUGUGGGUUACUAGGUUAUGCUCCAACUAUAGUUGAGGGCGAUUCUAAAGUCCUAAUUGAUGCAAUCCAGGGGUAUGGCAGUGUCCCGAAAGCUAUGCUCCCAGUAAUCCAUCAUAUCCACCAGGUUUCUGUUGCCGGGAUUUCACAUCAACAUAUUUAUCGGGAAGGAAAUGCUGUUGCAGACGUGUUGGCAUCCUAUGGUUGUGACUCUAAUGGGUUUAGCUUAUUCCUCUCGUUCCAAUCCUUGCCAAAGUCUCUCAGAGGUCUCUACAAUGUUGAUCGGCUAGGAGCUGGAAGUUUUAGAUUUUUCAGACGGCCACAUAGGGCCAGUUGAUAGGUGAGGGGUGACAAUGCUAAUUUUACUCCAAAUAAAUGGGUAACCAAGCCCGCCCGCCAGCAUGAUUGGCGGUUUCCUAAAAAAAAGUGUGUGGAGUUUGUGAUUUUAUGGUUUAAUGGGUUUUUUCUGUAGCACAGGGGGCAUGAAAGGAACAUGAGAGCAUGGUCCUCCCUUUGUCAUUAUAGUAGGUUACAAGGGGUCCUACAUUCAUAUGUCCUUAAGCUAAAUUAAUUAGGCAGAAAAAAUGCAAAUUUUGUUGCAUUCGUUGACUAAUAGAGGUCUAAUAUUGCGGGUUUGUGUGGUGAAGAAUUGAACCUGCAAUUUAGAUUAAAAAAAUAGUAUCAAAUGAUAGUUUUAUUAUGAAAAGAUUGGAUAUAAAUCAAUUAACAAUACUGCCACUAUUUGGUUUGUUAAUGCAGGGCAUCCAUGCUCAUUAUUUUCAAUUAAGAUGUAGCAUGGUGGUAGAAUUCAAGGGAAUAAAUAUAAGAGCAAUGUUGGUAGGGAAAUAGACUAUUUUGAUCUCUUUGAUAGAAAUAGGAUGUCAAUGCAUGAGAUUAACACCAUGGUGAAAAAGUGUGGCUACAACAAUGAAGUCAUAUUCUACUAUUAGCUUGAUUCAAGAAGUGAUAUAAACCACAGAUUAAAGGAACUCUAAACUGAUGAGCAUAUUAAAGAGUUCUGUAGCUGGGUGGAGCAGUUCAAGUAGAUGGAAGUGAUAUGUGACCAUGUGCCACAAGACAAGGUGCGAGAACCCUCACUUAAAAAUAUAAGUUCUCCUAAAUUACUUGCAUUGCCCUAAGACUCAAUAAAUUAUAGCAUUUCCUUGUGUUGCAUUGCAUUGCUUUUCUAUAUGAAUUGUAAUAACUCCUUGAAUUGGUAUCAUUUUAUUUCACUAUAUGCACUGAGACCAAAUACCCUUUUAAUUGUGUUUGAGACCUUAUGUGAAAGUUUAAGGGUGCUAAUUAGACAUUUGAAACACUUGGAGGAUAGAAACAUUAUUUGGCAAAGUUUAAGGGAAGGAAUGGCCAAGAUUGGGCCAAGUGUCUAUGCCCCAACCACUCAAACAAAUUGACCAAGAAAAUUAGCAUUUUAAAACCUUUUUGGCUCCAUUUUUCCUCCUUGUUGGCCGGCUCUCUUAAGCUCCAAAGAGAGAAGAAAAAAAAUCCAUUUUCUUGCUUGAAAUCAUAGCUUGGACUUUUAGGAAAAACCAAAAGAGAAGGAACUUUAGUUAGUUGAGUAAACUAUCUUCAAGGCUUGUUUGUGAUUCAAGAUUAGAACUCUUGCUUUGGUGGACUUUUGGGUGAUUCAAGCUUCAUUUAAGAAAGGUGAAUGAUCCUUAAACCUUACCUUUAUUGUUUAAUAUCAAGUGUUUAAGAGAUUGAUGACAAACUAGAAGCUGAAUUGAUGUUGUUUGUGGUUAAACUCCUUGAGCUAAGUAAGUGGAAGUAAGGUUGGAUGUAUGGCAUGCCAUAUGUUUGAUUCUUUGCCUAAGCUUUGUUUGUGGUUUUUCUUGAUGUAGUAGCAUGUUAUGAACCCUCUUAAAGUUAGAGAUAACUCUUGGAAUGUUGUUUAAGUUAAAAUAAUCAAAGGAUGGAGGUUGGUGGUGAAUAUGAACUUGGGGACUGUUUUCUUUUCUCCUUGCUGGCCAUCCAUGAAUUGGAGAUUUUUUCUUGAUCUUUGUGACUUAUUGAACCUUAAUUAAGCUUAAGAAACUUGGCUAAACAUUAGUUUAAGCUUAUGUGUGAGUUGAUGUGAAAUGGAGCAAGUAAAUUGGUUGUUUGGCAAGGUAGCGGACUGUUUUGUUCUUCCUUGUUGGCUGGACUGCCUUGAUUCAUCUUAGCCUUUUAUGUGUUGAAUUUUAAGCUUAACUAGUGCUAUAUAACUUGAACCCUGUAUAUUAAUUUUAGGAGAUUGAAUUGGAUGAAUUUGAACCAAAAUGAAUGAGGUUAAGAAGGAGGAUUAGGGUGAUUUUUGUCAAAGUCCUGAGCUGAUCAAAACAGGAAAAUCAAUCAAUUUCCCCAGACUUUUGCUUUUGAUAAAAGAGGAACUAGAGUUUGUAUUUUAUAUCAUUGGAAAGCCUUCGAGUCUAGUUUCCAAUGCCACCAACGGCAUGUGAUUCUGACUUGUCUACAGUGAGAUAUGGCCAUUUUCCCUGGACUGCGCGUGCGCGACUGUUUUACCCGCGAAAGCCCUUUUUAACUUGAAUGAGACUUUUCUUUUGCUCAACUUUCUUACACUUGUCAAACUCAUUUUCUUAUGACCUUUUCCUACAUUUUUUGUCUAACUUGUAUGGUAAAUUGAGUCGAUUAACAACCCACUUGGUCACCUAAUGAACUUACGUUUGGGUUGGCAAAUGAAUCUAGAAUAUUAAUGACUUUUACUCGUUGCCCUAGGACUGGGAAACGAAGGUGAGGAUAACCACGGGACUUGACGGACAAACUUUGAAUUUCUUAAUAAGUGAGUGUUCCAUUGCCUCUUACCUGUCUAUGUGAGAUAUCUGAAUACUUAGUCUGUGAUUGUUUGACAUUUGAUUUGACAAACUCGAGGUGUGCGUAUACUUUAUCACACUUGACCUCCUUCAAUUCUACUGAGGCUCUGUAUACUGACAUUUUAAGAUGUGGUUUCUCUAUAUUUGACUAUACGUCGUUUGGGUGAUAUCCCAUCGACUACUGUGACUGUUUGGGGUACCCAACCUCAUAGAUGAGUCGGUUGUAUCGAGAUAGCAAGGGUUUGGUAGAGAAGACCGAUGAACCUUGGGGACUGUUUACUAAAAUUCGAAAACUGGUAUACUCGAGUAUUACCUAAUUAUACUAUUUGAGGUGUUCGGGCCCGGUAAGGGAGUUGACUAGUGGAUGGGAUUUGAAGAAAGUGGUGUUCUACGGAUAUUAUAUUCUUUAAAUGCAAACGUUGAUUGAGAGUCAACGGAUUCUCGAUACGAUCAAACUUAAGUGGAUUUGGCUUUUGGAAUCCAUCUGUAUCCUUGAAUUGAAUUGUGAUUAAAUUAUUCCAAAAUUACAUGUUGUUUACUUGUUUAUAUUACGCCUCUAAUUGGAUAUGUGCCUGCAUGUUUAUUUGGGACUUCACUAAGUUUUAGCUCACCCCACUCCCUUUUGUGUUCCUUAGCAGGUCUGUGAUGGGACUGCUGUCAAGAACUUGUGUAGUCUUAAAUCUUAUCUUGAACUUGUAUUUUGGGUUGUAAUCUUUUUGUUUAAAACACUUUACCUUUGACUCUUGUAAGUUUGAAUUUGUAAGUUUGACACAUAUUAUGUAAAUUAAGUAUGGAAUUAUAAGUUUGACAUUUAGCUCUAUAUUCUAAGUUUGGGGAGUUGGCGUGACGAUUAUAUUUCCAUUGUGAUUUGUAACCUUUACUUCAAAGAUAUUUAGUUAGUUUUCUUGGAUUGCUGGUUCAUUAGUUGACUGAGUCCCGGUGAGAGUUGGGCAGGGGCAGUUCGCUAAUCCUUAGAGUUCGGCCUGGGGUGAAGCGGAGCUGUCACAAGAGGUGCUAACAAUUCAGACCAAGACCAUCAUAAAGCCACCACAUGUACACAAGUCUAGAGUGAUAAUACAAGAAAUUGAUGAUAGAGAGCAAGUUCAAAUAGUCCAUGCAUGUAGUAGUAAAUCUACCAAAAGCACACAAUCUGUUAAGAAAAGUGGUUACAUCUCACAAUCAUUUGCUCCUUUAGAGUCGGAGGAUAGUAUUGUACAAAAAGAAGCAGUGAAUGGAACUACUAAGGAAGGUGAUAUAUCUACAAUUGCAGUAUACUUCCACUCAAGUUUUGUAGAUGGUGAACAUGUUUCCUCUAAGGCUAUUAGAAAUGAUGGAGAAGGAGACUGAUGCGGAUACGGGUGUGCAACAAUUAACUUCAACCUUGGGUCAAGGAUCCUUUGGUCCACAUUGGCGGUCCGAUGACAAGAUCAAGAUCCAAGAGGGUGAAGGAAGCUUUACGAGCCUUGAUUAUUCACCAUACAAGCAAGGAGCAAGCUAAGUUUGAAGAUUUGAUGGACCAUGAAGUUACUUUGUUCACUUGUACGUUUAAAGUGAAAGAAUGAUCUCAUACUUGUUAGCUUAGUUGGUAGUUGUUUUAAAACUGUCCCGUUUAGUAGUUGUUAGGCGUUGAGUAUUUUAUUACUUAUCGGGCCUUAUCGGAAAGCCUUAAAGAGCUGGCUCUUUAAGCUCUUUUAUGCGGACCGAAUCUCUUCCAGGUUUAUGUGGGCCGGAUUUUGCCCUAGUUUUAGCCUAUAAAAAGGCACCUCUUGUAAGAGUAAAACACAGAAUAUUACAACCAGAAAUCGUGAGGAAUUUUCCUUCAAGUUCUUAACCGAACUUACUCUUGAAUUCUUGAGUUCAUAGCUUAGGAUUCAAAUCAGACUUUAUCGAUUAGCUUGUUCCCUAAUCGUGGUGUCGCUUCAUCCAUCCUUAUUUGCUUAAGGUUGCUGAUUACCUUUGUGUGUCAGAGGUCUUGAGUUCAUGAGAACAAUCGAGUUCAAUUUCUGUUGGGAGGAAAGAUCCAACUCUGAUAAUUACAAGGUUGGGAGGUUCUAGGAGGGUCUUCCCCUAGGGUUGCCUAUAUCAGUUGGUAAUCAGAGCAUCAGGUUAAUUCUCUUUUAAUUGAAGUUGUUCAUAUCUUGUUAGUUUGUGUCUUUUGUCAAAAAAAAAAAAAACUGUAGCGAUUACUGUUCAUCGUUACUAUUCCGAAUUACUGUUCGUCGUACUGUAGCGUACUGUUCAUGUUACUGUUCAUCCGAGUCAAAAAAAAAAAUUGUUUGGGUGUUGUCUUUUUUUGUGUUUUCUGUCCAAGUUCUUGGGUCUAUUAUACUUGUGUUUGGAUUGUUAGGGUUUAAAGAGAAAAAAAAAAAGAGUCACGUACCUUAUAUUGUUUAGUGAUCAAGUUGCUAGAGUAUUGCUGGAAUUUUCUUUUGAAUAUUGCUGAAAUUCUGUUUUGCCUAUUUCUUGAGAAUUGGUUGUUGUUUCUGCAAACCCUAGACACCGCAACAUAAUUUGGGAAAAUUCUUGUGUUUCUUGAACAAAUUCUUGAAGUUCUUGGACCACCAAGUCUUGUUUUGAAAAUUCUUGAACAAUAAACCAAGAACUAGGGUUUUCUUGGAAUUGGCAUAACCUUUCAUCCGUUUUUCUUGAACUUGUUGGUGUGAUCUGAAUUUGUGUUCCUUGAAGAGCCGAAAAAAAAAGGAAAAAAAAAAUGAAAGAGAAAAAAAAAAAGGAAGAAGAGAAGGAAUUGGCUCUCAUACAAAGGAAAUCAAGUUUCCAAAAAAAAUCGUGAGUUUCCAAUUCUUGGUGGGUUCCCAAAUCUUGGUUAAUCUCCAAAUCUUGGUUGAUUUCCCAAAACUUGAGUUUCCUAAUCUUGAUUGGUUUCCAACUCUUGAGUUCCAAUCUUGAUUGAAUUCCAAAGACCCCAAACGACCUCACCAGCCCCAAACACACCCAAUUCCGUUUUCAAAACCAAACAAAACACCUUAGCCCAAAUCGCCUUGGGAGUUCUUGAGUUUCUAAAAUCGGUUGAGCUAGUUUUGCGAUCCGAUUUGACUGAAAUUUGAGGACUGGUUCGUACAUUAUGUGAGCACCCCAAAAGCACCAUUUAUACUCCAAAAUACUGACCAGAAAUUCAGCAAAGCAACAGCUCAAAGAAAAAAAAAAGUUCCAGUUUCAGGUAGAGUUUUUUGUUUUUCUAGGAUUUACAAAAUUCUGCUUUGUGUCUUAUUACUUGCUUAUAGGGUAAUUAAUUCUGGAAUUUUUGAGAGUUUGAGUUGUUUUAAGAACUUCGAGAAGGAAAAUUGAGAGUGAGUGUGUUUUCUUGAGUGAUACACGAGUGCUUUGCAAGGUAGACUAGGAUACAUUUGUUUUGCAGGUUGGACAAUAUGUCUCAAGAAGGGAACAUGCCUGAGCCGUCUGAGACCGACGUGUCACUCAAACUGGUGCUCCAAACUCUUCAACAACAAGCGGAGAGACAUGAAUUUGCGAUGGCACAAAUAUCCGACAGGUUGGCUGCCAUUGAGAUGCAAGGUACUGGAGAUAUUCCCAAUAGGGCUUCAAGUGCUCAGAGUGUUGAGCAUGAUGCGGAUGACGAGAGGUAUCAUUCUAACACUUCAUUCCGAUCAAGGAAAAGCCACAGGGAAGCGAGGGAAGGCCGAGACCGACCUAGGAGAACCGAUGACAAUCUUGGUUCCAUCAAGACUAAGAUGCCUACCUUUCAUGGGAAAAAUGAUCCUGAAGCUUACUUGGAUUGGGUUAGGCGAGUUGAGCAAGUGUUUGAAGUCCACAAUUACUCCGAAGAGAAAAAGGUGAAACUUGCAGCUUUUGAAUUUCAAGAUUAUGCAUAUAUUUGGUGGGAGCAAGUAUGUGCCACAAGAAGGAGAAAUAGGGAACAACCGAUUGCCACUUGGACUGAAAUGAAGCAAGUGAUGAGGAAACGAUUUGUACCCCUCCAUUAUACCACGGACUUGUACAAUCGAGAGAACGAACAUAAACUCAAGCAAGAGAAUGAAUCUCUCAAGAGGAGGGGUUCCAUGCAAUCUACCUCUUUAAAGCCGGUUUAUGCAAGAGGUGAUAAGAAGGUUCAUUCAGCAUUUUCUAAGACUAAACUUAGAGUUGAACGACCUCAUGCGGAGUCAUUUUGGGAGACAUAUCAACGUCUUCUACACCAAAAACAAAUGGAGUCAAAUGGAUGCUAUCAAAGUGAGUUUUCUAAGAAGGAGAUAGCUGACCCUAUUCCCAACAAAGGAGUAUCUCAUCCUAUUGAACCAUUUGUUGAGGAGGUUGAUGAUGAGAAAACAAUCGAGGGCGUUAAACUAGAUAAAGAGAUGGAAAAAUCUGAUGAGAUGAGUGGUAAAAAGGAAGAAAAGAGAGAAAGUGAGACGAUUGUGAGCAAAAAUGUGAGGGCUUAUUGUUUUUCUAACGAACUUACCUUUGCUUUAUUUAGUGUUUCUUCAUUUGUGCAGAUUAAGCAAAGUCAAGUGAAGUUAGUCAUGCCAUGCUCCAUUCCAAAGUCACUUAUACAAUUCACUAGUUUCCAUGGAGUUUGUCUUUUAGGAAUUGAAUCUAUUUGGAAUCAUCUCAUGGAACAAUUUCAAUUCAAAUCUGUCCAUACCAAAGGGGAAUCACGUCAAAUCCACCAUGAAGGGAGAAUUCCGAAAUUUGACUCUCAUUUGCUACCUAUGGGUCAUUCAUCAUCUUUACCUUCUUUUGAGUAUAAUUUCCAUCCUAACACUUGUAUUUCUUAUCCAGAUUUUGAAGAAAAGUGUAAAAGGCUAGCAAUGCCUUCUCAAAUUGAAUCAAUUGGUGAAAGGAAUGAUGAAGUGUCAAAGGGAGUUUUCACACUUAAAACUUGUUCUAUACCUUCUUACCAUUUAGUUGAUAAUGUACCAUUACUUCUUUACCCGAUUUCAAAUUUGUUUCAAGUUGAAGUUUAUUUUGUUUUUGUAGGUUGUAAAGCUGUCCACAAUUUUCCAGUUUUGAUUCAAGACUUACAACCUGAUUUCGUGCUUAUUCCAACUAAAGGUGGUGAUCUUUCAUGCUUAUUCACACAGCCAAAAGCUGGUGGCCAAGUGCUCAAUUUGUCAACUUCAACUUGUGCUAGUUCGAGUAACUCUCAUGAAGUGGAAUUCAAUUGUUUGCUACCUUAUAUGUUGGAAGAUGAGAAAUUGUGUGUCACGCAAGAUCCCAAAGCUGUCCUUCACAAGUUGUUUAGUGCCUCAUCCAUGCAACAAGUUACUCCCAUUUUAUCCAAGCAAGAUGAUUCAAAUCAAUGUCAACUAGUGCUGGAUUUUACACCUUUGCACAAUCAAGGUGUCAAUGUGAAGAUCCAUGACCAAGGACUAAUUAGAGAGUUUUGGAUUGCCACUUGGGAUUUUCACACGCCUUACACAAGAUCUUUCCUACCUUGGCGCAUGUCCUUGUUUGAGCGCUUCCCGAAGCUGACCAAACGACAUGCAACAUGGCUCGUAGUCAUUCGUCUACUUCCAACACUGCUGUCCUUUAAGCGCACCAUCGAUUUGUAGACAACUCACUUUCAAGAGGAGACUUUGAAGAUUCGAGGACGAAUCUUUUCGAGGAAAGAGGGAAUGAUGCGGAUACGGGUGUGCAAUAAUUAACUUCAACCUUGGGUCAAGGAUCCUUUGGUCCACAUUGGCGGUCCGAUGACAAGAUCAAGAUCCAAGAGGGUGAAGGAAGCUUUACGAGCCUUGAUCAUUCACCAUACAAGCAAGGAGCAAGCUAAGUUUGAAGAUUUGAUGGACCAUGAAGUUACUUUGUUCACUUGUACGUUUAAAGUGAAAGAAUGAUCUCAUACUUGUUAGCUUAGUUGGUAGUUGUUUUAAAACUAUCCCGUUUAGUAGUUGUUAGGCGUUGAGUAUUUUAUUACUUAUCGGGCCUUAUCGGAAAGCCUUAAAGAGCUGGCUCUUUAAGCUCUUUUAUGCGGACCGAAUCGCUUCCAGGUUUAUGUGGGCCGGAUUUUGCCCUAGUUUUAGCCUAUAAAAAGGCACCUCUUGUAAGAGUAAAACACAGAAUAUUACAACCAGAAAUCGUGAGGAAUUUUUCUUCAAGUUCUUAACCGAACUUACUCUUGAAUUCUUGAGUUCAUAGCCUAGGAUUCAAAUCAGACUUUAUCGAUUAGCUUGUUCCCUAAUCGUGGUGUCGCUUCGUCCAUCCUUAUUUGCUUAAGGUUGCUGAUUACCUUUGUGUGUCAGAGGUCUUGAGUUCAUGAGAACAAUCGAGUUCAAUUUCUGUUGGGAGAAAAGAUCCAACUCUGAUAAUUACAAGGUUGGGAGGUUCUAGGAGGGUCUUCCCCUAGGGUUGCCUAUAUCAGAGACGAGUGUGAUGGUGAUGAAACAUGUGAUGAGAAGGAAUCUCAACAUUGCACAAAUUAUUGUAGAGAUGAUGAAAUGUAUGAAAAACAAACUAGCUAGCAGCCUUCAAAACAGCGUGGUGAAACACAAGAAAGUCAAGCCGAUUCAACUCAGCAUGCAAAAACUUAGGAAAUGCAAAAGAGUGAAAUUGACAUUGGUGAAGGAGCAAGUGAAAGGCAACCAGGUGAACAGCCCCCAUGUAAGGACCCGAAAAUUUUCUUAUUUAUCGAAUAUUACAAAUUUACUUAAAUAUUUAUUUAUUCAUUUUCUCCGAACUAUUUAUUUCGACCAUUUAAAAUCCAUUUAUAUGGAACAACACCUCUUUUAUAUUUUACAAGCGUUUUAUUGAAAAAUUCACUUUUCAAAAAUUCGUUUAGUUCGGAACAACAAGUGCAUGUCUUUCGAGGCUAUACUUGAAUCGGGAGUGUAUUAAUAUUGGAGAAUUAAGAAUGAUCAAUGAUAGAUUAAGAAAGAUUAAUUGAGGAAUUAAUACUCGACUCAUGUGAGGACUCGCAAAAAUUUACCUAUUUUAAACUCCUAUUACUAGCUCAUUUAAUUAUUUAUUUAGCCAAUUGCCCGAAUAUUAUUUUCUAACCUUUUUAGACCUAAUUAUAUAGAUCUAUAGCUUAUUUAUAUUUUAAAGUGACUUGUUUCAAAAUUUAAUUUUUGGAAGCUCGUUAAGUAUGAAUAGUGAAUACGCGAUUAGAGUCAAUAAUCGAUUUGAAGAUACAAUAAGCUUGGAAAAAUUGGAGACUUGUACAUUAGUCUUAAAAUAGGUAAUUUUAUACUUAAGUAUUCAAGUAUUAGUUAGUGAUACAAUCGUUAUAAGAAUUUCUUGAAAAUUUCUUUUUAUUGCGCAAAAAAUCGGAAGUACGCAUUUUUACGCGCGUGAUUAAAUUGAGAAACUUUCAACCUUCAUUUUUUUGACCAUUAAGAGUGAAUAAUAAUAGUAUGAAUAUAAGUGCAUUAGAGGUUUAGUGUACAAAUGAAACAAACCUGAGAGGAAUCGAGCACAAAACGCGCGCGUGCGCGCGCGGGGAGAGAGUUGACUUUUGCUUAAUUUUGGGCCACACAUUAAAGCUUCUCAAGGAAGCCUCACUUUUGAUCAAACACUCUCUCUCUCCUCACUAAGACAUCCGGGCAUCAAGACAAGGGAAACAACUCCAAGCUCUUCAAAUUUCUUCUUCAUUUCUUGCACCAAUCCUCCACCAAAUCACACCAAAGUUUAACUACACUUAGCUAAUCACUUGGAGAGUGCAUCAAGCUAGGAAAAGGGGCUGCUUUCCACGGUCUUUCUUGAGUAUCUUUGGACCGAAAUUUCUAUUUGGUUCAUCUAAACAAGUAAGCAACGAUCAAGCCUUCAAAUCUUGGUUUAUGGAAGUUCUAUUACAUUUAUAAGCUCAUGCAUGCAUGUGGAUAGCCUUAUUUAUGUUGAAAAAUGUUGUGGGUUCUAUGAACUCCCACUUGGAUUGGAUGGACUGAUUUGAUGAAUGAUGAUGCUAUUAAUGUUGGUUUAGUGCUUAAAUUAGUGGAAUAAUGUUGGGUUGUUGGUAGAAACUCAAGGAAGGUGUAAUGAACAAAAGUGACCAUUUUACCCCUGCCAUGUUCGUGCACAUUGGUGUGAAAUUUUGAGGUUCUAAUGACUUGUUUGUGAUGUAUACAUGUUAUAUGAAUGGUGUAAAAAGUUUCAUUGAAAAAUAACAUGAUUUGGUUGGUCAAUUGUAAUGAUUUCAAAGGUUUAGCAAAACUGGAAAAUUUUCCCGGAUUGCCUAGGUAGUCCUUUUCUUUCGGCCAUAACUUUUUACUCCGAUGUCGAAAUCAAGUGCCAUUUGUGGCACUAGAAACUAGACAUUCCCAACUUUCCCAUGGUAUAAAAUACAUCUCCUGAUUCCACUUGAGUAAUCCAUACCAAUCGUUUGAACAUGAUUGUCCUGUUUCGCUAGUUCACUGGAAGCUCUGUUUUGAGCAGCAAAUUGCUGCUCAAAUAUGAGCUAGUUGUGGACAGAUUUUGAGAACGAUUUCGUCUGAGAAAUUAUAGCUUUAUGAAUCUAGUUUUCAACACCAUCAACCACACUCAAUUCCAAGUUGAAUUGAGUGAAUUGUGGCCGUAUCUCAAAACUGACUCGGUGUUUGAAAACCCUCUUUUUGGCUAGUAAACGCCUAAAUCUUGGUUGGGACUUAUUAAUUUGAAAUUCUUGGUGUUAAUCACCUGCCAAAUGUAUCUUGGAUGUUUUCUAGACAUUACCUACAUAGAUGGACCGUGUUUGAGACACUUUGUUGGCCAAACAUUUUGAAAACGGAAAACGGAAUGUACAAGGCAGAUUUGCCUUGGAAUUUUUGAAACUUUAGUGAUUUGGUUAACCAACUUCCCGUGCGUAUUUUUCUAUGAAUUUGAUAGAAGAAUAGCUCUUAUAUGUAGUAUAAUUAUACCAAAUUUGGUGCCAUUCCGAGUGCAUUUCGAUUCUCAAACAAAGUCCCAAAGUUUGUAACUUAAAUCUGAAAAUUUGCCCAACCGUCUCAAUUUUUCAGCAACUUUGAGCUACUAUAACUUGGUGCUCAAAACACCGAUUCUUGUUCCUCUUGUUUUGUUUUAAACUUUGAAUGCAACUCUAAUUGAGUUUCAAAUUUGAAAGGCUAGUUCAAAUUCUGUGAAUUUUACCGAAUUUCCAAAGUUGGUGAAAAACCAACCCCGAAACUGUCUAGCAAGCUUAAAACAGCGACUUUGAGCCAAUUUUUGAAUAUCUUCCAAUUGGAAUCAUGGAAAGGUGUCUUCUAAGAACUUUUAGUACUUUGGAAUUAGUUUCCAAAGGUACAAAAUUUUCCAAUUUUGGACUUUCAGAGAGUGAGCUAUGAUUUUUCCAAGAAUGCCGCAAAAAUUGAUAAUUCAUAACCUUCUGAAAAACUUUCGCGCAGGAACCAUCUUCAUAGAAUCCGGCCGUAUAUCCGGCCAGUUCUUGGCCGGAUAGUCGGCUAGAUUGUUCGUAAAAAUUGAAAAAAAUUUCGAUUGCUCUCUGCCUUCAAUCCGGCCAGAUCUUGGCUGGGUUGUGACGUGGCACUGUUCAUUUCUACUUCGGUCGUUCGUUUGGAAAAUGAUUUACUUUAUCUCAUACCUAUUCACUUCUCUCCAAUGAUUUUAAGAAUGAACCUUAGAUUUUCUUAUGUUCUUGACCCCAUUUCUAAAGCCUUGAUUUACAAGGAAUUUUAGGCCGUUUUCACGAUAUUUUCUAGAUUGUACAAGUGUGCGAUCUUCCGUGAUAAUUGGGGUUUAUAAGUGAUAGUUCAUUAUCAAUUACUCAGGCACCCACGAGGACUUUCAAGAGCAUCCCACGGUGAACGCUUGAAUCUCGAGUGACAUUCCUUCUUGUUUACUUGGUGAGUAUCAAGUGCAUGAUUACUUGAACUCCUAUGAAUUUAAUACAUGCUUACUUGCUAUCCAUCACUUGAGAUUUUGAAAAUGGAAUCGAGUGUGUACUUUAUCGCACUCGUUCUCAUUUGAAAUGAAUAGCUCAUGCUUGAAAUGCUGGAAUAUAUCAAAUGCUUGAUUAACAUGAAAUAGUAUGCUAUGGCUGCAUACGUCGCUGGAGUGAAUCUCCUUGACGCUCACAUGUUACAUGGGGGACGCCCAAACUCAUAGGCCGACCUUGGGACUCGAGCCGGCAUGGGCUUGGUCAGGAACCUCGGUGAGCCAUGAGAUUACAUGAUAAGCUUGAUCUAUUUGAGAGAUCUCGCUUGCCAUACGCGUGGAAUAUCGCCCUAUAAAUGUCGUGCGGGCCCGGAGUGGUAUGUACGGUGGACGGACAUGAGAAAUAAGUGGAGAUCUACGGAAUGGAAAUACCGACCCGGUUGACGGAGAGUCAUCGCGGGAAGGUAUACGAAUGACCCUGGCAAAGCAAGUGGAACUUAGCUCUUGAGAGCUACCAUAUCCUUGAAUUGUUUCUGUUUACAUUUUAUUGGAAUUGUCAAUUACUUGUACUUUAUCUAUUGACCUGUUAUUUGGGAAUGUUACUUGGACUAUCUGUUUGCAUGUGUGUUCUUGGCCUCACGAGCAUUUUGCUCACCCUGUAUAUUUGUUUUCCUUAACAGGAUUAGGCAUGGAAUAAGACUUGGAGGAACCCUUUUAAUGCACUUUUGGCUUAGGGUUUCUAAUGUAUUUUGGGCUAGACCUCUUAUUGGUUGUACUUUUGGGAACCUAAUGUAUGAUUUGGAUAUUUGAUGUACCGGGAUGUUGUAUAUUUUGGGUAUUGAUGUAACUUUUGGGAAUUUGGUGUAAGGAUUGGAUAAUCAUUAUAUAUAUUGUUAAGUUUGGAAGUUUUCCGCACUUUCUUACUUAUCUAGUGUUGUUGAAUAGUAUUGUGCUAAGCUUGAACGGAUAUUGCCAUGAGUCCUAGCAAGAGCUGGGCAGGUGUCUCGCGGAUACCCUCUGGUUCGCCUUAGGGAGAAGUGGGGGCGUCACACCCCAAGUCAGGUGGAAACUCAAGCAUCAAAAAGUUCACAUUUGAGGAGGAGUUCCAGCAACAUGAUAAUAUUGCUGUUUAGCCAUCAUCUUUUGAAGGUGCACAGUAAUCAAUGCAAGGGACCAAUAUUACUGUAGAAGGUGACAAUAAUAAUCCCAAGAAUUGUUGACGAUGACAACCAGUACAACUGCUAAGAGGCAAAUCAGAAAGCUCACACCCUGUUAGCUAUCAACCUUUGUAACCAUUUUUAAUUUCUAUUGUAAUUGUAGUUCUUGCAAUAGCUGAGUGAAAUGUUCUCUGGUAUUUUUUUCAGGUCAGGUGACUUCGACUAGAUGUUGCCACUACAACAACAAGCCAAAAAGGCCCUCAAGUGGUUGCAUCCACUGUCAAUACACAAAAGAGGAUGGUCCAAAAAAAGAGAAAAUUGAUUGAUACCGAAAAGGGCGCGACCAAUGCCAACUAUGCAUAUUUGGGCAAAGAAUCGCUAUUCAAGGUUGGGAAUUGGGCAAGAAAAUCAUUUGGGAGAGGACGCUCAACGCAAUGAUGAAAUGCUAAACAGCUUUUGUAGUAUUUUGAUGUACUAAACCAUGUGAUAGCUUUUUGUUAGCAUUUCGAAGGAGUCUUACAUGCCUUUUAUCUACCAAUUGUAAGACAAGCAAUUCUAUGAUCCAAUGCAAUGAUUCUUUUAUUGGCCACUACUUAAUCACUUGAAUGGCCUAUUUUUCUUGUCAAAUUAACCGAUUGAUCAACUACAUAACUCAUAAUUAACAUUUUUAAAGAUCCAAAGUUAACAUAAUUUGGAAGAUUCAUAAAGUCCUAUUACAUUCUACACAACAGCAGUCCAAACUACCUUCCUUCUACAAACUGGUAAUAUGCAACACUCCUUCUACACAUCAGUAAUUUGCAACCUUCCAGAAUUUGGCAUUGCUGGCUCAUGCAUCCAUAUUAAUCAUAAUGUUACAACCCCCCAAAUCAGGACAACAAUCUUUGUUAGGUUCCUUGUCCUUUACUCUUUUUUUUUUUGAGUUUCUCCUUCAGUGAUUUUAUCUCCAAUGCCAUCUCGUUUGGUUUGUUUUGCCAUCACAGAUCCUUCUCUUGCAGAGCUUCAUUCUCAGCUUCUAAUAUGUUCUUACUUCUUAAGAUGCCAGGUAGUACCUGCUUAGCCCUCUUACAAAUUUCUUCAUCAUACCAGUCCCAAUAUCUACACCCUCCAACUUGCAACAAAUUUUGCAUUUUAUCAAUCGUGUAAUAACACAAAUAUCCAUAUCUUCAUUAUCUUACCUGAUCUUGAGCACACUCAAUAUAUCUUCACAAUAGAUUUUUUUCUAUCCAUGAAGUCUUCAAAAUGGUUCUAGUUCCACACUUGUAGAAUGGGAUUGGUUUAUUGCAUCUUGCCUUGUUUCAUUGGAGUGGAUGGAAGGGAAGGAGAUUUCCCCUUGAAUAGAUGAAAGAAGAUUUUCCACUGCAUAGAUAAAAGAAGGAAUCAAUGAACUUGUAAAUCUAAUGGCACGACUUGCAAGGAAGAAAUAGGUUUGCCAUAUUUUUUUUGGACAUUUUUGCCCCCUGACAAAUAUUCCUCCACACAACAUAGCCAUGUAACAAGAUGAUUCACGGGUCAAAAUUGACAAAAUGACUCGACUGGCAUGUUUUCCUAAGUUUAGUGACCUUUUUGGCGACAAAAAAGUCUAGUGAUCAACCAAUUUCAUUUGUAAUAGUUGAGUGACCAUUUCGGCCAUUCACUUUUAUAUCAAAUUCAGUUAUAGCUUUCCUCAAAACUUUUGCUUUCUUGAAACUUACACCUGUAGACUACAUUGGUCAUGCAUAUACAAUGUAUCAAAAUCAAAACUCUAGCCUAGCAAGCAAAGAGAUCACAUAUUCAUGGAAACUUUCGACUUCAAAACUUAAUUUUCAUCUAACCUUUUACAUAUUAUUCCCUUUUCUGCACCAGUAAUCAUUCACCUCAAUCUAGUAUUAAUGUAACAACAGCUAAAAAUAAAAUAAUGGGAUAUCAAAAAUCAAUAGUUUGAAAUAUUGAUAUUGUUAGCACAAAAAAUCAAGUAGCGAAAGUAACGUUAAAAUCUCAUAAAUAAUAACAAUAAGAAAUGCAUAACAGGAAACAAAAUAUUCUAUUUCAAUUCAUUAGUUUCCCUCAGCUACAAACUUAGGACUCCAAAUCCUUGAAUAGAGAAACAUAACCACAAAUCCUAUUUUAAUUAUAAUACCAAAACAUGACUCAACCCUAUUUCCUAAACCAACUAUCAUAUCAAAUCUAAUCUAGUUACCAAAUAAUAAAUCAACUUCUAUAGCUAUUAAAAUUUUAAAUAGCUUGGUUUAAUUUUUUGUCAACACUGCCUCCCUUAAACCAAGCUCUUCAUGUAAUCAGGUUCAACGUCAUCACAAAUUUGAAUUGCUUUUGCAGCAUCUGUGGUAGUAUUGUUCACAUGCAAUUUCAAUUUAAUUUUUAUCUCCAUCUUCGCCAACGGGAGUAGGACAUACAUGUAUUUUGCACACAAUUCAACAACCAAUUUUGCUCAAAAAAAUUCAUCCAUAGUGACCCAUUGACUAUUAGAGCCUCCAUCAUGCUAUUCUUGGAUAAUAAUAAUUCACACUAUUUUCAACCAAUAAAUCAUGCUUUUCUUUUCAUCAAUAAUUUUCAAUUUAAUGAUUGCCAGUGUAUUCAUCUAUCCCACAAGUACCCCAACAAUUUCUUUAAUAUUCUCAUCCACAACAAAAUUAAUGCAUUCAUUGACAAGUUCUUCUUCAUCAAUCACCUCAAACAAAGUAUGCAAAUCAUAAUUUUCAACUAUAUCAAAAAUUUCAAAAGUCUUUUUAUCAUCAACAAACACAUCCUCUUCCAAAUUAACUUUGCAUUCCAAACCAAUUUUUGACUUAUGAUUAGAUUCAUAUGGAAAUUCUAGCACUAAAAUAUAAAAGAGAUAUAAUCAAAACCACUGAGGUGUUGAAAAGAGAUGAUAAGCCUUUUAUUUAUUUAUUUUUUUAAUCUGUGAGGACUCGCAAAUUUCUUGUAUUUUUCUCAAAAAUACCCUUUUAUUUGAAAAUUAUUAUUUAUCAAAGGCCACUACCCAAAUAUUUCACACUAAGUGUAAAUAAACCUAGAAAAUAGGGUUUUACGCUUCGGUUUCAAGUUUGGAGCAAAAUUAGGGUUUUCGCGAUUUUUCGCCGGAUGAAUUUUCGGUACAGAGUAAUAAUUAAUUUGGGGAUUAAAAGUGACUUUUAAGUGAGAAAUAAUAUGUGACUAGUGGCAAUGAGAUAAGGUUAGUGAAUUGGAAGUAAAAACCCUAGUACGUGAGUUUUUAAGAAAAACGGCGCGAACCGGCGGGUCCCGCGCACUACCGUUUGAACGCACCACUUGACCACCACUUUCUUACCACAUGAGCUCAUUAAUAUUUGAGCAAAAUAUCUCCUAAAUUCCAGCUAAGCUUGACCGAAAUUAGAGGCUGAAAAUACAAGAAAAGAAAAGGAAAUUUUACUUGGUAAGGGUUGUGACAAGUGUCACACCAUUAGAGGCCAUUGACCAAGACAUUGUCCAACUUUCUUAUCCCCAAAAUUGCACCAUUCUUCCUCAUUAUUUCUGCUGAAGAACCGUGAGAGAGAGAGAGCAAAAACAAGACAAAAGCUUCUCCAUUUCUUCUUGAAUCAAGUCACAAAGUGAGGAAACAAAGAAACUAAACCGAUUAAACUUGUUCUUGAGUGACUAGUUAGUGACUUGUGGUGUGAUUUUUGAAGGAGAGAGCUUGGGCUACUCUUAGUGACCUUUAUUCAAGGUAAGAGAGUUUAUCUUUCUAAGUUUUGCUUUCAAUUUUGUUAAAUUAAGCUUAGUAGUUUGAUUUUGUGGUGGAAUCAUGGAUGAUUAGCAUGUUUUAGAAGUUUUCCCCAAUUUAUUUGAUGAACUAGGGCUUGUGGAAAUUCUGCCCAAAUUUUUGUAUGAUACUUAUAUGUUGCAAUUGAGGUUUUAUAAGGUGUUGUGGUAGUGAUUAGACCAAGAAAUUAAGGAAAGUUGCACUAGAAACUAGAAAUUCCAGAAUCUGGAAAAUUUCCCCAACAUUCUGUCCGAAUUUUUAUCUGUGUGUUAGAGGCCGAAUUGGCCUUAGGUCAAAGAAGAAAAGUUGUAGAGAAUGACAGUUUAUAGGUGCCUACAAAAUAUCAGCUCAAUCGGAGCAACGUAGGACGUGAAAAGUCCAAAAUACCCUUACUGUUCUAAGUAUUUCCCAGCAGUCCGUUUCUUCAGUUAAGUCCAGUUUAUCACGUUUUUUGACCAGGAUCCAUUCUGAUUUAGCUCUGGGCCAAAACAUGAAAGUUGUAGUGUUCUGAAGUAGCUUUAAAAUGCCUCUAAGAAAACCUGAUUCGGACUUGCGUACACUGAGUUAUGUCCAUUACAGUGUUCUGCGGUUAAACAGCCGGCGAAUUGGUUUCUGGUUUAGUAAUUUGAGAAUUUGACUAAGUUACAUUAGGAAAUGGACUAAGUGACCUUCAUGAAUGUUGUAGCUUUAUGUCUUAGCUUCGAAAUGGCACAGGUUUCGUUUUAAUCCGAUAAGCGUAGCCUCGGAUAUGUUAUUUCCGCAUUCAUACGUCAAAUCUGUCUUUUGCUAAAUUGAAUUUCUGCACUUGUUAUUACUGUAUUUCUUAUUCUUAUGAUAUUGUGAGCCUAUGGAAUGGCUCUUGACUUGAAUUGCUUAUGUGUGAUGUUGGGUUGUGGUUGAGAAAAAAUAAUGAAGCCAAAAUGGCUGGAAAAUUAGGUAAACACAAAGGGCGUGCUGCCCAAAUUUUCGCCCGAGGGCUAGGUUUCUAUUUGAACUUGUAUACUUUUGUUAGGCCAAUACCAUGACCGGUUUUCCAUUUUAAAACAUGAUUUUCAUCCUUGGGUUCAAACAACCCUCUUCUUACUUGAAAGUCAUCUUUACACGUGUUACUCUUAAUUAGUCGGGUUUCUUUGUUUCCCUUAAAUGUUUUGCUCGAUAAACUAUAAUAUGUUCUCUUGUUCAACCUUAGGUUUCAUUGGUGAUUAAGGGUAAUAUCCGGAAGGAUAUUUUGCACGAUAUUUUGCAUUUCUAGGUGAGUGUUCCUUAUUUGAUUCUAUGGCUUGUUGUUAUCAUUUGCUAAUGUGUUAAGUGCUUUUAAUGAUUUCCAAAACGAGUUUCCUAGGCGAGUGUGUACUUUAUCGCACUCGACCUAAAUGACUGUGCAAUUUUCAAGGAUUUAAUGAUUGAAAUGUUACUUGCGCAUGAAUGUAAGCCUUUUGGGCUGAACUGGCCAUUGCCCCUUGUUACCGGUCGUCUCGAGCCAGAAGCGGACUCGGUCGGGCGAUUAGGGACUUGGGUGAACGUUUGGUAUACUCGAGUAUUACCCUGUAGGUUGGUGGAGACUGGCCAACGGCCAGGACGGGGGUGAAUGAAUGAAUGAAUGAACGAACGAACGAACGAGGGUUUAUUGAUAAACGAAAAAUGUAUUUUCAAAUAAUUGGAGGAAUAAGGGGAAAUGUCAGGAGAACGAAUGAACGAAAUAACGAAUUGCUCCUUGUGAGCCGUAUCCUUUUAAUGAAUGUGUUACUAUCGCUUUCCAUUGUAAAUGUUUCUUGACUUAUUGAUACUCCAUGUUUAAUGUAUUGGAUUGAUUAUCUGAUUAUGUGUUCGGAACCUCACUGGGCUUUUAGCUCAUCCCUUUAGUUUGUUUUCCUUACAGGGGAAGGCGAGCGAGGACGUGAGCUUGAGAUAGACUAGCCAAUCUAGUUUUGUUUCUUUUGUUUAUUUUGUAGUGGUUCUCGCCUAGUGCUUGGCACGGGCUGGACGUAUGAAGGAUUGAGAACCCUUGUAUAUUUGAUGUUUAUAUUCUCUUUUGGGUUGGCAAUGUAUAUAAGUUCCGCUUUAAGUUUGGAUCAAUGCCCUAUUUAUUCUUGUGAUUUAUUUCAAUUUUUAAUUGAGGACUGUAGCGAACGACUGAGUCCCGGCGAGAGAUGGGCAGGCGGCCCGCCGAACCCUCUGGUACGCCUUAGGGGGAGGUGGGGUCGUCACAACAGUUGGUAUCAGAGCCUGCUUCGCGUGGUCUCUGCGCGGAGUGAGCCUGGACUAAGCGGUGGAUAGGUAUGAAGGAUUAAGUGCUCGUUUGAGCCUAAGCUCUGAAUUGUGAAUGUUAUAGGCUUUAAAUUUUCUUGUGGUAUGUGAGGACCAUAGAUAGGUACGUCUGGUAGGAAUUUCGAUUUUUGAUGAUUUACUCUUGGGACUGGCCAGCUCGAGAGGUGAAUUGUCUUAUUUCGGAUUCUUGUGCCUGAGUACUCCAGAGUUGAGGCGGUGUUCGUAGGUGAGAGUUGCAUUUUGGGAACAUGAAUAGGCUUUGUUUGACAGGAAUGAGUACAAGAGGUUAUUGGAUAUCUAGUUUGCAUAGUAAGUGACGUGAGGGAUCGGACGGGGUUAUUUUAAUUGGGUCUGGGACUAUAUCGCCUUUACUCUUGAUUUGCUUUGAUACCGCUAUGACAUAACAGUGGUUUGAGUAUUGUGCAUAGGAUUAUCUGUCUAAUUUGGCAUGUAUUGGUGUAUUUGAUUAACCGUUUUCUUGAUACAUGGUGUGUUAUAUGUGUAUAUGUCAUUGGUGUAAUUGGUGUGCUAGAAUAUAAUUACUUUUGUCACUUUACUGUAUUUAUGCGUUGAAUUACCUUGGGGAAAGGGAAAAAAAAAAGGGAGGAAAAAAAAUAUAUAUAUAUAUAUAUAUGAGGAAGAGGUAGUCAUGGACGUGGUCAUGGCCGUGGAACUAAGCGAGGCCAAGAAUCAAGAGAAGAAAAGGGAAACAAUAGCUGGACAAGGACCGAGAGUGCCACUUGUACUUAGGAAUGUAUUAUGACCCAUUGUUUUGCCCGACAGACUAGCAUCCGAGUUCCAGCACUUCCGUAAGAUGACACAUUGGGUUGAUCCGUAUCAGGAAAUUUCGGUUCUCCGAGAUGAAAUAGAGGUUCAAAGGAGGCUAACCGAGUACUGGGAAGGGCGAUGGAAGCAAGAAUAUUCAGAGAAACUUGAGCUCUUACACCAAAACAUGGAGUUAAAGAGGAAAUACGAAGAGAUUUCCAAGGAGACCGUAGCAAUGGAACAAGGUAAUACUUCUAGGGGGACUCCAGAGGAAGCUCAAAGGACGGGAAUUGCAAGGCCACAACUGAAGAUCUUUCAUGCAAAGAAAAAGGGUAAAGCUGGUAGAUCAAUUGCUAAGAAGGGCCGUGGAGCGGGUGGUGUGACAAUUUGUGGUUAUUGUAGAAAAUCCAAUCAUAUUGAAGUGGAUUGUUGGAAAAAGGGAAGGAGAUGUCUGCGCUGUGGGAGCGCCGAGCAUCGAAUUGCUCAUUGCACGAUUAACUCGCGAGAAAAGAAAGGAACCCAACAACCAAUCAAGACCGACCCUGGACCGUCAAGUGGAGAAGGGACUGGAAUAAAGAACCUCGUUUCUUCUGACUCUGAAGACGGAGAAGGUACAGACCAAUGGUUACUUUAAAUUUUGAAGAGAAAAUUUUGAGGGCGAAAUUUCUUUAAGGGGGAGAGAGUGUGAGAACCCGUAAAUUGCAUUUUCUAGGUUUUCGCAAUUUUCAUGACUUGUUUUCUGCACUUUCUGUAUCCGGAACAUUUUCUAGAUAAUUUUUAUGAGUAAAUAUAGUUUUUAGAUGAUUUUUCUAGUAUCGAAUAGAUUUUGAGAAAUUAAGAGCGUAUACCGGACGUGGGACCCACUGGUGCGAAAAGUUCGGAAAAAUUCGGCCAACUAGGUUAAGUUUUGAAUACUGGAAUUAAUUUAUCGGGUGUUAAGAGAUAAGUAGAGGUUGCAAUUUUGAUUGAUAUGAGAGAGAAAAGUGAGGUAGAUAUUUAAUUAAAGGUGACAAGUGUCACCCUUGGAUUGGUCUUGAAGUAAGACCACUAUUCCUAUUCUUACCAUUUGACUUAAAAUAGCUUAAAAAUGACCAAAAAUCUUCAAGAAAACAACAAGAAGAAGCCGGCCCUCUCUUGCUCUCUUUCUCUCUCUCUUACUUCAAGCAUAAGGAAGAAAACACUUCAAUCUUGUCCCAAAUCAUCACAACUAACCAUCCAACCUUGAAAUUACUCCAUAAAACCUCUCCAAUUAGAGUUAGUGAGUGGAUUUGUGGAGUUGUUUGGAAAGUUAAGGUGGUCCAUAGCUCUCUCUCUCUCUUGUUUUAAAGGUAAGUUGUGAAGAACCACCCUCCUCCUUUAAUUGAUGCUUAAAUCAUGCUUAGUGGUAGUAUAAGAUGCAAGUUUAUGGAUUAAUUCUUGAUUUGUGGUUGAAAUGAUGGAAUUUUAUUAUUAUUGGGGAUUUUUCUGUUUUCAUAUGGAUAUGAUUAUGUGGUCAUGUAUGAUGAUUGGAAAUGAUAUUUAAGGAAGCUAGAAGGUGGAAAAAGUGAUUAAUUGCAACCAAUUUCUGUUUUGGAAGAAAAUUGAAAAAAACUAGGGUUCUUAAGGGAGCAUUCUGUCCGAAUUUUUAGGUCCUAGAUAGAGGCCGAAUUAUCCUUAGCUCAAAACAUGAAAGUUGUAGGGAAUGACAUUUUAGAGGUGCUUAAAAUAUUUCAGGUCAAUCGGAGUAGUGUAGAAUGAGAUAAGUGGAAAUUACUAUUGCUGUUCUGGUUUUACCCGAAAUAGAGAACUGCGCCUGUAAUUGGUUGUUUUGGCUGGAAUUGCUUCCGAAUUGGUUGUUGAGGCCUUCUGAUGAAAUUUAACCCUGUUUCUUAACUUUCAUAUGGUUUUAGAAUUUCUGGAUUUGGACUUGUAGAGCCUGAGUUAUGAUGUUUCCGCUAGAAUGCGUUGUGGUGAAUCUGUUUUACGUUGUUGAUGAAGUAUCUUGCAUUUUUGACCUGUUUACACUCAAAAUUGGGUUGAGUGACCUUCUGUGAUGUUGUAGCCCUAUCUUUUAGCUUCGAAAUGGUGGGUCUUUCACCCUCAUCCGAUAAUCGUGGUGCAUUUGGUGCUAUUACCGCAAAGUAAAGUCAAAACCUAUUUUUUUCAGGGCCAAACUUAAUUGCAUGUCCGAAAUUUCUGGUUUUCUUUAAUGUUUGUAUAUGUUUAUGGAACCCUAUUGGGGUCAUACUUGUACUUGUUUGCAUGUUUUAGGGCUUGCUUUCAUUCCGGUCAUUUCCUAGCUAACUUUUGUACUUGUACUACUUUGAGCCUCGUGAACGGCUUUUGGGAAAUGAGAUGACUUUUGUGUGAGAUGUUGGGACUGAUUUGAGGAAAUAAUGUGAUACGAGACGCGGAAGUUACUUCGGAUCUAGAGGAACACGAUGAAGAUUUGAUGGAGUUGAACCCGAACUUGGACCACUCAAGAACAGAUUUAACGGUAGAGGACGCCACAAUCAAGUGUGUGUAUUUGAUUGAUAAGUCAAGAACAGCCUAGGAUCAACUCUAGGAUGUUCAACUUAGCUUUCACAAGCUAAGGGAAUUUGCCACAAGGAAUGGACGAAAUUCUGGAAAUUUUAUUCAAUACUCUCAAAAACUGAAUGUAACAUGCGGCUUGAGGCUAUUAAUAGCGAGACCCCCGUACGGCUCAGCGAGGGUACUUAACUGCGGCUCAGCCCGCCGUUUGGAGCUUGAACACUCGCAUCUUCAAUUGUAAGCAGCAUUUUAGUAGUCGUGCAAGGAUGUUCCAACUCCAUUCCUUCAAUGCCCGGUUUCUCUUGGGUUUGGAUGGCACGUACCAAGGCUUGGAGGGACUCCUUGAAUCUCUUAGCUCGUGCUCGUGUCACUGGGCCUUGGGGCACCUUCACAGGGUCUACUUGUACACUUUGGGUCUCGUGCUCAACCGCAUCAUAAUGAAGCCUUAAUGGCUGGAAAAGUAAGAAAUUUAGGGGAAGUGCUGCCCGAUUUUCUAGGCCGUUUGGUUCUUUUAAGUUGGAUUUGCCUUUUGGUAGAAAUGAAAGGGCUUUUGGGUUGUUGAACCUAGGUCUUCAUGUUAUCUUUUUAUUCCCAAAAAUCAUGUUUUGUACCCUUGCAUUUGUAAUUAUUCGGCGAGGCAUACGACUAGUAGUCGAGCCUCAUGUGCAUUUUGUUUACUCGAUUAUGGAUGUGAAACCUUCAAUUGGUUUAUUUUGAUUAUUUUAGGGUUUCUUGGCGAUUAAGGCCAAUCUGAAGUAAAAACUUUUGAAGUUGAAUCGGUGAGUGUAUCACUCCCCUCCAUUGUUGUUUAACUUGAUUUCUGCUCUGCAAUCUGUUUAUUUGUUCGAGACGAGGGUGUACUUUAUCACACUCGUUCUCUUGUCUAUUCAUAUGCCAAUUUACUAUGCAAAAUUUGAAUCUGUUAUCUGUGUCUGCAUCUGUUCGGAUUUCUAUGACCUAUGAGCUCAAUCCUGUAGCUAAGUUAUUCGAGUUGGGCCGGCAAGGGCCUGGACGAUUAGAUAACGAACCACGGUAGUCUGUUCGGGGAUUUUGGGUAUUGAGACCCUUGAUUCCGGGUAUACUCGAGUAUUACCAUUUAUGUUCGAAUACGGUGAGCGGGCCCGGUAAAGGGGUGUUUGGUGGACGGAAUUCGGUGCGAAUUGAGGUCUACGGACGCGUUGGUUCUAUAUACGUUGACGGAGAGUCAACCGGUUUGGAUCAAGUAUUGCGCUGGAAAUUUGGCUCCUGAGAGCCACCUGUAUCCUUCUGAUUUGAAUCAUUAGUUACUUUACUUUACAUCUAGCAUGUGUAUCUGAUUUGUUAAAUGUGAAAUGCCAUGAUUUUCUGUUAUAUGUUUGGUACCUCAUUGAGCGCAAGCUCACCCCUUUCUGUUCCUUUUUGUUUUCCUUACAGGAAAAUAAAUACUUUUGGACUGGAUUUGACAAAUAGUUACCGAAUUGAGCUAGUUAGACAUAUCUUUUGUAUAGCUCAUUGAUUUAAACCCUAAAUAUACUUUUGGGUCCGUUUCUCUUUUGGAUUUGGCAAACCGUACAUGUAUCCACUUUUGAAUCACUUUGGUAUGCCCUUUGGGUUGUAUAUGCUAACUUUUGAGAUGUAAAUAUUUGCUUGACGUUUGGUUGGGUUUUGCCAUGUCGGUUCCUAUUCAUGGCCGACUCCGAUUUCGUUUUGUUUUAUUCUGGGAUUUUGACUUGUCUAUGCGCGUUGUACGGUCCGGAACGUAUUCGAUCGCUCUAAUUUGAACCGUUAGUCCUGGCGAGAGCUGGGCAGGCAGCCCGCUGAACCCUCUGGUUCGCCUUACGAGGAGGUGGGGCUGCCACACCCAUUCUAGGUCCUUUUCACUUAUUUUUAAAUAACAAUCACAUCUUUUGUAAACACCUUUAUUUUUCCAUCGCGAAAAAUGGGGCGCGACACACCCCUUAGCUUCGUAGCCAAUAUCUGCAUGGGAGGCCCACUAGCUGAUUCUGACUAGCAUUCUUUAACCACCCCCAGCAAGUCCUUAUGUGUGGUCCAAAUGUUCAGAAAUCGAAACGGCUUGGGUUUAUUUUCCAGGCGCGUAGCCACUGAUAACAACAACGGGGAAUGAUCCUGAUAGAUCUCUUCCCAAAAGUUGAACCAUAACCUGGUGCUGCAGUUCCAAAGCUAUCCCAUUCAACAACAACCUAUCGAGGCACUUCCAAAUCCGAGCAGUGCCUGAACGGUUAUUGCACCAGGUAAAGUUCAACCCAGAGUACCCCGCAUCGCCCACCCCCGCUACUGACAUGAAAUUCAAGAAAUCUAGCCCUUCCGAGUGUCUAAGUGGCAAACCCCCCCCCUUUUUUUCCGUUUCAUUGGUGAUUACGUUAAAAUUCCCCACCAAAAACCACGGAGCCGAAAUAGGUUUGUCCCUUAGCAAAUCACUCCACAAAACCUCUCUUUCUUGAUCCGUGCACUUAGCAUGAAUACAUGACAAAAUAAUGGGAGCAGGAAGUAAAUGAGAUUGCACUUGGAUAGUUAAAUAUUAUGCCAACUCCCCGACACUCUGGCAAGUAAACAAAGACCGAUAAAACACCCAAACGGAACCGCAUUGAUUAGUUAUGCAACAAUCCAUCCCCAAUCUCAGUCUAAUGGCAGUAAGAUUCUCCAAACCCGUCUUAGGUUCAACUAUUGCUAUCACUUGUAGAGAGUGCAAUUUCAUAAGUUUCUUCAGUCUUUUUAGAUUAGGAGCUCAAGCCACUCCUCGUAUAUUCCAGAAAAGCAACUUAAUCAUGAGAUAAGACAGAGAAAGAAUUUGCUGAUACUAACCAUGGAUCUUAGAGUUCUAUUAGAGGGGAAACCAGCCCGAAUACCGCGUGCCUUUACCUCCAAGAUCCUCCCCCGGCCCACGUCCACCUGUACCUGGCUGCCUAACAUCAUCCCCGGCUCUAAUAUCAAUGUUUCCAUCGGCGAAGUCUCCUCAUGAGCCCGCACCCUAGGACCACCACCCCUAGGAGAUAAAUUACCCGCCUUGGUAGGACCUUUUUUUUGUUUAUCAUUGCACAACAUCAAUAAUCAUGACAAAGUCCCUCUUUUUUUUUUUAUUGGAAAGUCAAUUAAUUUGAAGGCAAAAUCUAAGACUUUUCUCUACAAAUAUGCAUUGUUUGCUAUGAAACUAAGUAUCUUUUCUACAAAAAUGCAUUAUUUGCUAUGAAUCUAAGUAUCUUUGCACACAUAUAAUUUCAUCACAAAAGGUAAUCUUUUGGACUACGAAAAGGAGAAUCAUAUGAAAUAGUUGAACUUUUGGCUACGAUUUUAGAAAAUCGUCACCUAAUAUCUUUUGAGACGUGGAUUUUACGACGAUUUCGACAAUGAUAAGUUUUGUAGUUAGUUAUUAAGGAUGAUGGUUUUUGACUCUUUGGGUGCAAUGUUUUCUUGUUUAUCACACUCAACAACUAAUAGUAAACUUCCAAAUUACACUGUAGGGCUUAUUGAUUCCACAUAAGAUGCAUCCUUCCAUUAAUUAAUACAAAAAAGAUGUCAUUAAUCUGGAUAAUUAUGUGGCGCACAAAUCAAGUGGAUCCCCAUCUUUUUUCUUCAUCUUCACAAAGAUCUCUAGCCUAGAAAUUCUCUCUCAACUCAAUCAAUUCCGGAAGUAGUCUUAAUUUUUUUCUUCAAAUUUUCAUUGUCAAAAACAUUAUAACUGCAUUCUCCCAAAUUGAAAUUGAAGAGGUAUAUAAUGGGUAGAGAAAGCAUGGAAAGAAACCUAAUAAGCAUUAGUCAAUUGAUUGAUGUUAGUAGUAAUUAAUAUUAGUUGUACAAUUAACAUCAACUUUGAUAAUUCAACUUAGAUCAUCUAUUUGGCUAGGUAUAAUUAGUUAUUGAGCAAUUACUAAGCAUGAUUAGUAGUUGCUCAAUGACCAUAAAAAAAACUUAUUGUGAAACCUACAAAAUAACUUUUGGAAUUUGCAUUUGAGCUUAAAAACUUCACAAUUGUAAGUCAGAAAGUGCUUGCAUAAAGAAAAGUUUUAGUUUUGGAUGGAUUCAGAGCCUCACAAGUUCCAUUUUAUUCUAUUUUGGAGUAAAAUGAACAUUUCAACAUUUGUUGCACCAUAUUUGACUUAGUUACAUCAUAUCUAAACUUUGUUACACUAUUUUUCAAUUCAGUUACAUCCAAGAGCAAACUUGUUUGAAAUUGAACUUGUGAUGCUCUAGUCGCUUGCCACUAAGCAUGGGCUAAAAUUUGAUGCAACUAAUGUGACUUUAGAUUAGCAUUCAUGGUUCAAAAACUUGUCCGAAUCGGAGAUGACUCAGACGAGUCAUCAUGGGAACAGGGCUUGGCGUUCCACUAUCACGUCGCUAUAAAUCGAAGAUGCAAGAACCAACGAUAACUCGCUCAGACUCAGUCAACUUGGAGAAUAAAGAAAAUGACCUAUUUCAACUCGGCACAAAAUAAUUAUAUUUUCUUUGCUUCAUCCUAAAUUGAAGAAAAGACGAUGACUAUAUUCCAAAAUCAUCCCCAAAUCAUUGUAACUUUACAAAAAACUUGGAAACAAAACAACAAAAGGACUAGAGAAGAGGAAGAGAUUAAGAGAUUAGAAGGGAGAGAUUUAUAGGAAAGCAAAGGAAUAAGAGGAAGAUUGAGAAGGUGAAGAGGAGAAAAGGAGGAGGAGGAGGAGAUAAGAGGAGAUUGACAUGCACCUGAAGUAACAGCAAAGGAUUUCUCACAUGGAGACAAUAUAUUUUAGAUACAAGACUUAGACCACAUUUUUAGGGAUAUAAAAAUGUACUCUUAAGCCCUUGGAAUUCUCAAAUUUCCCAAAUAAUCCCUUUUUUUUUGGUACAAAACUGUCUUUGUCUAUUUAUUCUUCUAAAAGUAUAAUUGAUGCCUAAUUCAUUAAUAGUUCCAUAAUUUUGUAAACUUGAUUUCAGGCUUUUCAACAAUGUGACUGUUAAUGUCACUAAUAAUAUUGUUGGUAAUGUAAACUUCUUUUUGCUUUUACAUAUUUAUAUGUGAAUUUAAGAUCUUGCAGUUAACAAAAAGAAAAAAAUAGUAAAAUUUUAAUACUUAAUAUGCAAAUUUAACUAUGAUAUUGUUUCAGAUGAAUGGGAAGGCCUUUUUUCCUUUAUAUAAUCAAUUUGGACUAGACAAAAAUAGAAGGAAUAUUUGAAAAUUUUGGUACCCUACACCUGUGAACCAUUUAAUCACAAUUCCAUUUGGUCUUGGUGAAGAAUAACAAAAUUCUAUGAUAUUGUUUCAGAUGAAUGGGAAGGCCUUUUUUCCUUUAUAUAAUCAAUUUGGACUAGACAAAAAUAGAAGGAAUAUUUGAAAAUUUUGGUACCCUACACCUGUGAACCAUUUAAUCACAAUUCCAUUUGGUCUUGGUGAAGAAUAACAAAAUUCUUGCUAUAGUUUCUAUAAAAUUCUCUCAUUUACACAAUGAAGUUUUAUAUAGUAAUUAAUAUUUUAAGCAUAUUUUUACUAGUAAUUCUAGUGCAUAAGAGUAGACGACUUACUGUUUAAAAUAAUUAUUUCAAGUGACAUUUAUAUUGUACUAAUGCUUAAGAGAAAUUUGGAGAUAUAUAAUGUAUAUUUUUCAUUUUACUGACUUGUUAAAGGUUUCAGUGUCAAUGUAUAUAUAUAUAUACCAUGAUUAUUUUCUUUUACAUGAUUUUAUAUAUUUUUGAUAUUUUUUUAUGAAUUUCAAAAUACUAGAUUUAGGAAAAUAUGCAUUUCACCAAAACCGUGAUAAUUACACCGUGGUUGAUGCGAAACGGUGACAACCUCACCUUUGAACUAGACCUUGAACCAUGAUAGCAUUAAUUAACUAUAUGGCUGCCCUAAUAUUACGGCAUUAAAAAAUACUUGUCUGGCUGCCCUACUAUUACAGCUUUAAAUAGUACCCAUCUGGCUACCCUACUUUUACAGCUUUAGAAGUACCUAUCUGGUUGCCCUACCAUCACAGCUUUAAAAGGUACCAUCUGGCUGCCCUACCAUUACAGCUUUAAAAUAUUUUUUAACGUCAUCAGAAGUUUGCAGGAUCGAAUUUCAUAGAGAAAAUCGCCAAUUUAGUCCCUAAACUUUUUUUUUCCGUCAAUUUAGUCCCUAUACAUUAUUUAUAGCCAAUUUAAUCCCUAAACUUAUAUUUCGAUUCCAAUCAAGGAACUUAGCGGCGGCGCCACCUCAUAAUUUCCAUCGGCUUCCAGAUCUAGGAACCCAGAAGGGGUAUUUUAGGGACUUCCAUAUUUUUCAUAUUUCCCUUUGACUUUCAUCUUAUUUCUAUAUGGUCUUCACCUUCAACGACACCUCCCUCUCCUCUAUCACAUCAGAGCGUCUACUCCGGGCUAUGCAGAGCGUCUACUCCGUCCUCUGCUCCCUCAACCUCCAGGACAAGGUCUCCAUCACCACUGCCCACUCCCUCGCCGUCCUCCAGACCUCCUACCUCCCCUUCGCCUGCAGGUUCCACCCGGACCUCACCCCCUGCUUGACUGCCAUCCUCAACUUCCAUCUCAAGACCGGCUCCCCUUUCCUCAUCAAUGCCUACCCCUACUUCGCCUACAAGGCCAACCCCAAGCAGGUCCCUCUGGAGUUCGUCCUUUUCCAGCCCAACUCCGGGAUCGUCGAUCCCGCCACCCCUACUGUAUUUAUUCCAGUGUAAACAAUUAUAAUAAACCCCAGUUUCCUCGAAACUUUGUAAAAAAAUUAAAGAAUUUCCAUCUUUGCCUCCUCAUCAUCGGGAUGAAUUAUGCAGAGUUAUCUCCUUCAAAAGCUUGUUAAAGUGCUGGGAAGAAGAUCAAUGGGGUGCGUGCCAUAGCUGCUUUGGCAUUGUAUAAUGUAUAGUUCUAAUAUAUAGUAUAUCCAAAGCCUUACUCAUCAUUACGCACCACAUACAAUUUGUCUGGUGCUCAGCGAAGAAGGCCCGGCUUAGAUUAUGGGCGCACCAACUACGAAUGCUUUGCAAAGUUGAAUUCCUUCAGGAUUCCGCUAUAGGAAACCCGCAAGCGGGUUUCAGGCUAUUUAACAAAUUACUUAAAAAAAAAAUUUUUUUUUACAUGCAAGCUGCGUUGAGUUGCACAUGCCCAUCGGAGGGCCCUAGGAUGCCCAGCAAACCUCCCCUCUCAUCCUCACCCUUCAGGUGAGGGUUUGAGAGUAUGUGUUUGAUAUAAAUAGAACAGAAACGCAGCUUUUAGUCAUUUUACAUAAGGGGGAAACCCGCAAGCGGGUUUCAGGCAGGCUAUUUAACAAAUUACUUAAAAAAAAAAAAUUUACAUGCAAGCUGCGUUCUUCAAAAGGGUAUUUUCGUCUAUUCACUCAGGAAACCCGCAAGCGGGUUUCAGGCAGGCUAUUUAACAAAUUACUUAAAAAAAAAAAAAUUUACAUGCAAGCUGCGUUCUUCAAAAGGGUAUUUUCGAGACCGGCUGGCCCUCCAAGGGGGACACCGACGAGGCCGGAGCCACUCCGGAGAAUGCCAAGAAGUACAACGGCAACCUCAUCAACAAGCUGGUGUGCGGGAAGAAGGGGACGCCCAUGAGGCCCAACGCCGACUUGAACAUCUAUGUCUUCGCCCUUUUCAACGAGAACAUGAAGUCCAGCCCAACCUCCGAGAGGAACUACGGCCUCUUCAAGCCGGAUGACUCCUCGGCCUACUACAUUGGCUUCAACAGCACCGGUCUCCUUUCCACUUCCUCCAAUACCUCCACUACUCCUAGUAGUACUGGUAGUAGCAGCAGCAGCAGUAGUAGUGUUCCUCUUGGCUCCUCCUCCUCCUCCGGUAGCACCACUUCUUCCACAGCAGUAGUAGUAUCAUAAGAUGAAAGUCAAAGAGAAAUAUGAAAAAUAUGGAAGUCCCUAAAAUACCCCUUUUGGGUUCCUAGAUUUGGAAGCCGAUGGAAAUUAUGCGGUGGCGCCGCCGCUAAGCUCCUUGAUUGGAAUCGAAAUAUAAGUUUAGGGAUUAAAUUGGUUAUAAAUAAUGUAUAGGGACUAAAUUGACGGAAAAAAAAAGUUUAAGGACUAAAUUGGCGAUUUUCCCAAUUUCAUACCAUCAAGCUCUAAGUUGCGUAGCGAUGUUGAUGACUGCUACUUCGUGAAGUUAAAACCGAGUAGAUGUGUGCUUUUCAAGGACAAGCAGGAUAUGAUACUUCCAUGUGGUACGGACUUAAAUAAUUCUCCUUUGGGGUGCCUUGAUGCUCCAAACCUGAAAAAAAAAUUGGCAGAAUGGGGUGCCUUGAUGCUCCAAAUUUUUAUGGGCAGACGUUCAAAUGGUCAAAAAAUGGGUGUGCUAUCAAGUCGAGGUCAAGUAGUAUCACACUCGAGGUGUCGAGUUUGAGGUCAAUUACUAUCAGUGUUAUUUGAACUCGAACGAAUACAUGACAUUGAAUUCAAACUCGAUUCAACGUAAUGAAAAUUAAACUCAAGGUUGAUUAUUUUGAGGUCGAAUAAACUACAAACCUUAUUGAGUUUGAACUCGAGUUUUAUUGAAUAUUGAUUCAUGUAAAUUUAUUAAAAUAUGAACUCAUAAUAGUCAUUCCAUAAUGAAAAUAUAUAAUAUGUAAAUAAUACAAAUACUCUAUUAAGUUUGUCAAGUACUCGAAUGGUAAUUAUUGAUCCUUGGACUCGACUCGUUAUACGGAACGAAUAGUUUGAACUCAAAUUCGAAUUCGAUUUGAUCGAUUUUGAGCCAAGUAUUUGAUCAAGCUGUUCACGAGUUACUAGCGAACGAUUUGGUUUUGCCCACAUCCCUAGUUAAAAAGGUAUCUAAGGAUCUCAUAAGUUAUGUCUUGCACAAAUUUGUUCCUAAUAUAAAUUAGUAAAAUUUCGGUGUAAAUCAAUUGAGAUAUUCAAAAGUCAGAGUUUGUGCAAAGAAAUUGAAUUUGAAUGUAAAUCAAGUACAAUUGAUUAAUCAUUAUUUGGUGUAAAUAUUUUCAAAUACACUGCAAAUUACUAAUCUAUCCUCAAAAAAUUAUUUGGGGCGGCUUCUUCUGUCUGUUAAUGAUGUGAAUUAAAAAAUUAGCACGGCACACAUAUUUUGACUUCCAAUCUAGCCAAAUGUCAUUUCAGUGACAUCUUAUCUUAUAUAAUACUUAAAGAAACUUUAUGCAAUGUCCAAAAUUACUGACGUACAUUUUUGCCGCUUACACCAACUUCACGCGAAUCGACAACAACUGUUAUACAAAUGUUAUAUUAAAAUUUUAUAUUUGCCACUUAUUUGUGGCUAACACUUUUAAGCGGAGUUUUCCGUCUUUUUACUAGAUUAGUUUAGAGUAAAUUAUAUAAAUAUUACCGUUAUGACAAAAAAAAAAAAAAACAACAACUGAGGUAAGUAUAUUUUACCGCUUAUAAAAAUAUAUAUAAAUAGCAAAGGUUCUAACACUCCUUCCAAGCUAGCUAGUGCCAAGUUAUUGAGCCAUGGCAUUAUCCAGUGCCAACGCUUUUAAUUCUCUUGUCUUGAUGCAUUCCUUGUACAUCAUCCUCAUCCUUCUUCCUAGCUCUUUUGCCAGCAAUAAGUGGGAAAUUCCACAGUCAGAUGUCAAUCUCUUGGAAUUUCCACUGAAUUUAGAGUACUUGGAAGCUGAGUUCUUCUUAUGGGGUUCUCUGGGCUAUGGAUUGGACAAAAUAGCUCCUGAGCUAACUGGAAACGGUCCAGAACCAAUUGGUGCUAAGAUUGCCAAACUGGGUCCUUUCGUUAAAGAUGUUGUUGCCCAAUUCGCAUUCCAAGAAGUUGGACAUGUCAGGUAAUUUAAUUAGUAGUUGAUCAGUGCAUAAAAAAUUUUUGUAUCAUGUAUUUUUUCUUCAUUUAGUCCAGCGGAGAGGGAAAUACAAUAAAAGGUAUCUUUUCUGAGAAUCAUUAUCAAUCAUUUUGAUAGAUCUUGAUCAAUUUUAUGCUUGAAACAGGGCGAUUAAGAAUACCGUGCACGGAUUUCCAAGGCCAUUGCUGAACAUAAGCUCAGAAUCAUUUGCAACUGUGAUUAACUCUGCUUUCGGGAGAACACUGAAGCCACCUUUUGAUCCUUAUGCUAAUGACAUCAACUAUCUCAUUGCGUCCUAUGUUAUUCCUUACGUUGGACUCACAGGUUAUGUUGGAGCAAAUCCAAACCUCCAAAGUCCUGCUGCGAAAAGAGUAUGUUACAAAAUUACAACAAUCUAAGCAUCUAUUUCCCUUCUUUGUUUAUAUUUUAAUGACAGCAUUAAUCCGAAAGAGCUUAGAAACUUCAGUUUUAUACCCGAUUAAGACCUAACCAACUAAAAGUAAUGUUUUACCACUUGGUAUCUAGUACUUCGAGUUUGCCUUGAUUUGGUACCACUUACUGGACCAACACCAAAACAAUGAUUUACCCCUAAACUACCAUGGUUCAAAGUCGAGGUCGCGGUUUGGACCGUUCCACAUCGGUCUCGGCAUAUUGGUCGCGGUCUCGACGAGACGCGAAUUUUUGAAAUAUUUAAUAUUCUAAAAAUUGUAAAAAAUAUGAUAAACAAAAAUAAUUAAAUAAUUAAUAAAAAUAAUAAAAAUUCGAGUUGAUUCGGGAUGACUCGGAGUGAUUUGGUGUGAUUCAGCCGUUUCAACCCUUCACGGUGACGUCUCGAUGAGUUAAGUAUCUUGGUAUCGUUUCGUAACGGUAUUGUAUUAGCGAAGGCCGAGACGGUGACGACUCGGCCGAGUCUUCGAACCAUGUAAACUACUUUUUUUUCUCAUACAAUUUUGAUACUUUUUGUUUGUAAGAUUACAAUCUCUGAGACAAGAUCUGUCUAUAAGAUUACAAUCUCUAGACAAGAUCUAUUUAUAGGAUUACAAUUUGUGGGAUUAGGUUACAAUUUUGUUUUGUGUGGGUGCUUUGAUUAAUUUCAGCUAGUAGCGGGGCUUCUAGGUGUGGAAUCAGGCCAAGAUGCAGUGAUUAGAGCAUUACUAUUCGAGCAGGCAUAUGUGAAGGUAAAGCCAUAUGGGAUAACAGUGGCAGAAUUCACUGACCGUAUAUCAAACCUGAGGAACGAACUCGGACAUGCGGGGCUGAAAGAUGAAGGGAUAGUGGUGAAGCCAAGUGAAGGUGCAGAAGGAAGAAUUUCAGGCAAUGUUCUUGCUGGUGACAAAGACUCGCUUUCAUUUGGUCGAACACCAGAGGAAAUUCUACGAAUUGUGUAUGGAAGUGGGAAUGAGAGUAAACCUGGUGGAUUUUACCCCAAAGGAGCUGAAGGUCGAAUAGCCCGGUCACAUCUUAGAUUGAACGAGGCAUAAUUGAAUUUCAAUUGAUGAUUAGAACUGCUGAGUCUAGUAGUUUUCGUAUGGUAUUGAUGAUCAAGUAGUUCUUUUUAGUUUAAAUUU
Molecule: long non-coding RNA, 243679 nt
Filed under: Coffea arabica (coffee)
Lineage: Eukaryota; Viridiplantae; Streptophyta; Magnoliopsida; Gentianales; Rubiaceae
Description: long non-coding RNA (CARA_LNC002622)
Rfam family: Bacterial small subunit ribosomal RNA (bases 142856-143392)
Source: RNAcentral